GAGGAGGUUCAUGGUUGUCCCAAAACCAGGAACUCGUUUUGCUUCAGUAUCAUUUUUGUUGGGCUUCCAGUUGCCAACAAAUGCAUCAUGAGCAGAAGGUAGUCCCUUUUUCUGGGGUUUCAUCCAUUGAUAUAUUGCAGCCUGGAAAGCCAGAGUCGCGUUUUGUUCAAUGUAUUCAGGAUGGUUCAAAAGAUCUUGCUUGAGGCCUUCACCAACAGGCCCGUAGUUGUAGUUCCUAAGACAACAUACACGGAUACAGUCAGAAAAAUAUGCAGGACUGAAGCAAUUACUAAAAUGCAAUAGAGUUAAAAUACCGAACCCCUCCCCCCCCCCCGGCCCGCCGGCCCAAAAAAAAAAACCCGCACAAAAAAAAAUUCUAAGCAUGGAGCCCUUCAAUAUCUAUAAUCAUCAUGCGAGCAUUACAGACUUUACAAUUCUAAGAAACAGGGACAGUUAGAAUGGAAAACAAAUUAACUUUGUGUAGUCUUUGUUAAGAAAGCUUGAUUCAGUAGGAAUCAGUGAACUAAAUUAUGGCAGAUGAUAAUUAAGGACUAUUUCCAUAAAACAAUCAACAAAGCUUGCAGAAAGCAAAUGGCAUUUAGUUCCACAUCCAACUGAAAUUUCGAGGCAUAAAUAGCAUAUCUAAAUCACUGGUACUGCUUUUUUCUUCCCUCUCACUGUCUCUCUCUCUGAUCAUGUCAAAGACCUCACUUAGCCUGUAAAAAGUAACAAUCAAGUAAGGGAAGAAAGAACACCACCACAUACCAAUAAAGAGGUAGUGCACCACGACCAUGGUAACUAACUCCAGGAGCACAUGGAUAGGUUAACUUGAAGUAAUCAUCACAGUAUAUUGAGCUAGGACUCAUUUCCUUGUUGUAGCAUAGACCCCAAGCCAAGGGCCCCCUGUGGCUACCCCAUAACCACCUGCACCAUUAUCAGAAGCAUCAACUUUAAAUGGACUUAAGCAAGAAAAUGAAGUCAAUGCAACCAAAAAUCAAAGAAAAUUUCUCCCUCGUGAGCAACUUCCUCAAAUCUCAAUUUCAGCUUCAAGGCACCAUUUAGUUGGAUGCUGAUUGGAGAAAUUUAUCUCAUAAGUUUAGAUAGACAAAGCUAUUUGCCUAAGGAUUUAUUUGUUUCACCACACUUCCAACUUUAUUCAUUGUUACACAUUUUCUAAGUCUGUCUUCACAGAUACUAGCAAACAGUAGGGAUGGUAAAAAAAAUAUCCACAUAACAGUAGGACUUAGUUAUAAUAGUAUUAUAGAUAGAGAUACUAAUCAUAUAUACACACAUAGUACUUGCAAAGAAGGUGAGAUAUAGGAGCAUUAAAUGCAAGAAUAGGCGAGCUAAGAAUGGGCAAUGCUAAGAAUAGGCGAGCAAUGAAAGUGUUAAAAAAUGGGCAAUGCUAACUAAAUUUUGCACUUCCUUUUUUAAUUUUUUUCCUUUUUAGCAAGGGAGAGGAUGGGAUUUAAGAAAUGGGGAUGGAAAGAAAGAAAAAAAGGGGGGGGGGGGGGAUUUCAGUACUAAAUCUUACAAUUCUAAAAGAAAUAUAUUUCCUUGAAAGUCACGACACAUUACAUAUAUAGGAGAAUGAAAAUCAAGAAUUAAAAAAUUUUCUUGUGCUCAGUAACAAUGCUGAAAAUAAUUUGCAUCACAUACACAAAAUAUGGUAACACUUGCAUACUCUGUUUUCAUGCUACUUUACGAGUCUUAAAUGUACCUGAAUAAGAAAUGACUAAACUAAUCUGAGAUUCUUUUUUAUUUUGACUAGAACUCGUUCAAAAGAAUGUUCACAGCGAAAAGAAAACUACAGUGAUUGUACCAUCACAUCCAUCUUUUGCUUAUAUGCAAAGAAAACAACAGAUAUAAACCUCCUAUAAUGAAACUUUUAGAUCCAAAUAAAUCAGUUCAAAACAGCACUAAAUCACAAACUAUCAUGUCAGAUCUCAAUUCUGGCCCCAAAAAAGAAAGAACUUCUAUCCAUACACUCAAUCUAGGUAAUACGCAUUCCAAGAUCAGUAAGAAUCUGAGUAAUUCCACACGAUACACUAAGUCUCUUAAAACCAAUAAUUCUAGCCACAAAUCUACAUCCACCGACAAACAUGUCCAACCUAGACAGCAUCCCUACAAGCUCGUGUAUUGUUCUUUGAAAGAAAUGGAAUCAAUGAAAUGAAAGAUGGAGUCAUAUUCUCUAAAUUAAGAAUAGAGUUUCUAAAAAACACAACAAAUUUCCAUUUCCAAAUCUCAUGAAGAACCAAACGCAACUCAACUAAAUUAGGGAAAACACGCUAUAAUUCCAUAUCAUCUCCUUACCUUUUCAAACAUGAUAUUAUAUUUGAUAUUAAGUACUAGCCAUCCAUUUUUGAAUUAACCCCUUCGAAACCGACAACCAAAAAAAAAAGGUAAAAUGGAUGGUAAAUUCUUAUGCAUAUAUAUAAAAACAAACAAAACUUUAAAUCCAUCAAAAAAAAGGAGAGGAACUUACAAGAAGUUUUGGCACCGACAUGACCAAGAAAUGCGGAAAGCUCCAACAUCUGGGCAGUCUUGUUUCCAGUGGUACCAAAUCCCAAAGGCUGGAAAAGAGCAGCUGCGUGAAUGAAAGAUUCGUAAUCCCAAAACCCAACGGCAUGAGCCACCGGCGAAUUCCUCUUGGAGAACAGAUUCUCAAACUGGUAAGUCUGAAAAUAGUCCGAGAUCGUCAGAUUACAACAGUAAACAGAUGGGGUCGAACAUUCCCACCCCUUUGUACAGUACUUCUUCCCCUUCACAACCUUCACCACUUUCGACGGCACCGCCGACUCGUCGGCGUAGGAAAUCGCCGGUGAAAGAAUCAAAAUUAGACAAAUAACCGGCAAAAACAUCUUGAAAUUCAACAUUUCUUUACAAUGCAGCAGGGAUUAAAACGGUCGGUUUUUUCUGCUGGGAUUUUUGGAGCUAUAAAAUUGAAGAAAUGAAAGGGAAAGAAGAGCUGGAAUGAUGUUGGAAAGGGGCCUUGGACUAUAGAGAGUGUGAUGCAAGGUAAGGAAAGCGGUGGUUAGAUGCGGUGUCGUUUUCUGGGGAUGGAGAGAUGGACGGUCGAGAUGGGGUUUGGGUUGGGGAAUGGAGGGUGGAUGGUGAACGUGUACCAGGCUGGAUUUGGAAUCAAGCAAAGGGGAGAUGGUGAGGGAGUGACCCACUAACUAAUUCAGUAAUUCCACCGACAGCUCCUGAGUCCUGAGGACUCUUCAGACUGGGGUUUGUUUUUUUUUGGUUUUAUGGAUCCGGAUAUGGGAAUCCGGAGUCAGAGUUGUGCCGACAAAUGAAAGUCUUGAACUCGUUUAAGAUGAGCUAAGAAUGUUCAUUUACGUUUUGGAGUCUUACACUGCUACUACGCUACUAGGUACAUUUGUAUUUAUUUUCUAGGGAUAAUUUCAAAAACCUUCCCGACGUUUCUAACACUUUUACGACCUUUCCUAAGGAUUUAAAAAUUACACUAACUUUCCUUCUUAGAAAUUUGGAUCCAUUACUUGGGAUAAUUUCAUAAACCUUCCUUGAGAUUUUCAACAAUUACAGAGAUCUUCUCUCAAGUUUCAAAAAUUAUACUUACCUCCCUCGCUUUUAAGAUUUACAUAACAAUAUAGAUCCAAUAGCCUAUAAUUUUUCUUAAAUAUCCUAAAAUACCCUUCUUCAGAGAACAAGACACAACAAAAUAAGGUUUUAAUCUUUAAUUUCAUGUACGUGUCAUACUUACUAAAACAAACAAAAUCCAGUCGCUCCAACUCAUCUCAAAAUUCAUUACUUGCUAAUUCUUGCUUUAUGCAAUUACUACCACCACUACCAAUACUAAACCAAGAAGAGUAAAUUUUAGGGAUAAUUUCAGAAACCUCCCCUGAGGUUUCUGACAAUUUCACUGACCUCCCCUGAGGUUUCCACAAUUACACUGACCUCCCCUGGCAGAACUUGGGACCCAAUUGCUGACAUCAUAUAAUGCAAAAUUACUAUUAUACCCAAGACAUUUUGUGUUAUUAUAGGACUAAAAUAUGAUAAGGCAGAUGGUGUUUUUGGAUAGUAUUGGAUUGCAUUUCUAUUUAUUUAAUGUAUGGUUAUGAAAUUUGUAAUGAUAUUACUCUUGGAUUGCAGUUUUGGUUUGCACCUUAUUACUGUUAAUGUUUUAUAAAUGACUGUUUUAGUUCUUGGAUUACACCUUACCUCCAAAAUUUGGGAAUUUACCCAAAUUUUCCAUUUUCUAAUAUUCCUACAAAUAUGCAAAAUUAUGCAUAUCCCUCAAAUCUACCCAAUAUUAAUGUUUUGUUAAACUCUAAAUAACAAAAAUAUGAAAUAUAAUAUUUAAAUAUAUUUUAAUACACACAAGUUGGACGGGUAACUAGUGUGUCAGAGAGUUGCCAUAAUCUCCUUAAACCCGCAUGCGGGUUUAAAGAGUAUUCGGAUAUUCUCAUAUGCACCUAUGCAAAUCGAACCAACCGGAUAUCUUAUCCGUAUCCCAUUUUUUUAAAUAAAAAUCUUAUAAAUUUGAAAAAUAAAAUCAAAUUUAGAUGUAUUAGGGUUUUAAAAAUAUUAUAUAAGUGAUAAAAAUUUUAUAAAUUGUAAAAAUAAAAUCAAAUUUAAAUAAUUAAAUGUUAUAUUUGCAUAAGAAAUAAUACAAUAAUCAUAAUAAUGAUAAUACAAUAAUAUUGGUGUAAUAAAACUGCCAUUAAUUUAAAUAUUUACUUAUAAUGCCCAAAGAGGCUAAUUACCAAUUUUUUCUUCUCGCGCUCAAAUAUAACAUUAACCCGCAUGCGAGCUAACCUUGAAAUAGAAAAAACACAGAAUCCCGCUUGCGGGUUUCAACGUUAUUAUGCAGGCGGGAUUUUAACCUGCUUGCUUGUGAACAUGUACCACAUUGCUUUGAAUUUUUGUGACAAGAGGAAAGCUUUGUCUGAUGAAUGUAUUUGUGAAAUGACCUGAGUGGUGGUAGAUGGGUUAAUUGGGUCGGUUGCGUUACCCAAUUGUUUAUAUCCAUAAGUAAAAUUUUAUGAUUCCCAUACCCAUCCCCUCACUUUUUCUUAUUUAUUUCUGAUUUUUAUUAGUUUUCAUUAAUUCACUAAUAUAACCGUCUCUUGUAUGCCCUUGUGUGUCCCUUUAUGGUAUGCCAAUCCACCUAUUUAUAGAAAAUAUUAUUUGACCAAAAAAUCAAAUAACAACAGAAAAUCAAUGCUAAUAGGAAAUAAUUUCUAAUUCUAAAUAAAAUAGAAAAUUUCUUGGCUACUAUUUCAAGUAACUAAAACCAAUUAGGAAACUAGUUACUUCCACACAAGACAAAAAACCUACCUAAAAGAAAUUAAACCAAUUUUCUAACAUCUUUCAUUAGAAUUUUCUUAAUUCAUUAGUUAGGGUAGAUUAAUAUAGUUUAUUUCAUCCAAGUAUUGUAUGGAACUAAACACAGAUGAAGUUGAGAAAGAAGAUGGAGAGUUUGGAACUCAUGUAACAAAUGUGACAUUUCUCCUAUCACUUUAUUUUUUGUAUUGAUUCUAAUGUUUGGUUAUAAUACAAAUUUGGAUCUUGUUUUCAUGUUUUUCAUGUUUUACUAGUUUUUAUACCUAGGGUGUGAAUGAACUUCUAUGAUUAUUAUGUAAUCUUUUUAUGGUUAUUUGAGUUACAUUUAUUAACAAGUUAUUUAGCACUUUUGCUUUUCUAAUCAUGAUUAGUUGGCCAUUAAAUGUGAUAAUUUUAAGGUGUUAAGUUUACAAUGGAAAUUGGGAUUUGAUACUAAUUAAAAAAGUGCUAAAUCUAGAGAGUUUACUCAUGAAAGUAGAGGAUCUUCUUUGUCAUUUUAAUGACUUGUUUCAUAUAAUUUCAUAGAAGAAAUGAAUUUAUAAUUAAUUUCAUAACCACGAGAGUGGGUAUAAUUUAGCCAUGACAAUAAUAUUUAAUUAAUUAGUAAUUUCACUUGCAAGAGUAGUGAAAAAUUUCAUAACUCUAGAAGUUUUCUAUUGUUAUUUUUAUUACUUUUAUUCAUAUUUAUAGUAUAGUUUUAAUUUCUUGCAUUUGUGAUAGUCUAAAUAAUGAAGAAGAUAAAAAAUCAUUGAUAAUUGAUAAUCUUUCCUAUAGAAUCGACACCUAAUAUUUCAAUACUCGAUAAACGAUCUGUAUACUUGCAAAAAAUGAGAUAUUUAGGUUUUAUUAAAAUUUGGUAUAUGGUAGAAUUUCGUCAAAUUUUUGGCGUCGUUGUUGGGGAAGAUUUGGUUCAAUAUCGAUUUUAAGAACCACUUUAUUAGUUUAGACAUUUUUACUUGUUUUUCUUGUUUAUGUUAUGUCAAGUGUCUUGUUUGCCAUAUUUAGUGUCUAGAUGAGUAUUUAUUUUGUGUUUAAUGUCUUGUUUUUGGUUUGUGUCUUUUAAACUAUUCUUUUUGACUAAUCUUACUUUUGAUAUUGUUUGAAAAUAUUUUUAGGUUAUAAGAGGGGUAGUAAACAAAAGUGGAUAAAAAUUUGAGAGAAAAAGUUUGGUAAUAGACUACAAUUUUCAAAACUACAACUAUGGAGGUAACCAAAAGAUGUCUGAAGAUAUAUCUUUUGAAGAUGGAUUAAAGAGCUUAACGACUAAACUUGAUUUUAUAAUAUUAAAAGUUCAAUUGGAUACCAUUAUAAAUAUACUUGAAUAAAAGAGGAAUAUUAAUGUUUUUAAUUUCAAUUAUAUGAUUUGUGACCUGUAUGGAGGUUAUCAUGCUACUCUGUAGAAAAGUAUAAAAUGUGGAUUGUUAUGAUGAAUUAGAGCAUUUUAAUCAUUGUUUUGAUUAAUAUGGUUCUAAUUGGGGUAAUUCUUAUACUUAUAGUUGGGAUAAUCAAUGUGCAUAUAAUGAUUCUCCGUAUUUUUACGAUUACCAAUCUAAAUUUGUCCACCUCGAAUCAAAAUCAUCUUGGAAAUUAGCUAUUGAAAACUAAUGCACCUUUGUUUUGAGAAUUAGCAAUUGAAAAGUUAGCUAAUGUGACUCCCAACCGUUUUGAUAGGGUUGAGAAAACGUUAGAUGAAUUAAUGUCUUGCAUAGGUAGAAUACAAGGUCAAUUGUAUGUUUUGUGUAAAGUAAUUUCUUCUAAUGGUAACUUGACCCUAUUGUGAAUGGGAAGCAUGUCACAUGUGAAAAUGGAAUACAAUUUGAUGAUAAUGAAAUAUCUAAUAUGAGUUUUAAUGAGGAAAUGUUCAUUUCACAUGAUUAUAUCUUUGGAACAAAUUUGAACCACAAGAGAUGAGCAUGAAUGAUUCACAUUUAACCCCUUUUGAGGAGUGUUUUGAAGAAAUAAGUUUUAAAAAUAUCAUCACCCAAGAAGGAUAUGCGAAUGUUCCUUUGGAGAAAUUUUCAAGUAGUGUUACUACAAAGUAAUAUCUAUGAAACACUUGAGACGGGUAAGUCUCUUCCAUCUCUUACAUUAUUUGAAUAUAUGAGUUUUGCUAUCAAACUACCUUUUAUUGAUCCACCAUGACCUAAAAUUGUAGAUUAUUCAUUAACAAACCUCUUUUAAAAAAUGAGGUAAAAUAGUAAAGUUAAUGAUAAUAAAAAAGUACUUAUUGGGAGACAACCCAAUAUUUUGUGUUAAUUUGAUUCAUUUAAGAGUGUUUUUAUGUUUGUUAUAUGUUUUAAUGUAUGUUAGUUAUAUUUAUUCUGAAGGGUUCAAGAAAGAAGGCAAAAGUCAUUUUUGAGAUCAAUGAGACUAAGGAAGAUCAAAGAAGUCAAUCCUUGUUAUUUUUGAUGUGUUAUAGUGAGUGGGAAUGUAUGUUUAGAUCAUUUUACAUGUGCGUGUAUCAAUUGGUUAUUUAACAAAAGAAUGAUUUAGAGUGCAUUUUAAAAAAUUGGGGCCAUUCACGUAAUUUUUAGAAAAGUGCAAAAUUGCUGCACUAAAAUUGGAGGAAGUAAAUAUGCAUCCUAAAAAAUGCAUCUAGCAUGCAUUUUUAGAUCGCACAUUAGUUUAUCCUCAUAAUUUCUCUCGAAAACGCACCCUCAACCCAUAUUUUCAGCCCCCGUAUUCUAAGUACUUGAUUUUUAAAGAGAAAACUCAACCUCAAACUUCAUUAUUCUUCCUCCUCUAUUCACAAAAUAACACACACACUUUACCAAACUUUAUUUUCAUCCAUUUUUCUUGAUUAAAAUUACCAUACAAAGAUCUCAUAGAGCUAAACUCAUGGAUCAAAAACAUCCAAAUGCAUAAAAUUUUGUGAAUUUAGCUCAAGCAUUCUAGGGUCUUCACAUUUAAAAACCAAUCAUUUGGGGACCAAUUUGGAUAAGAUUUUUUAGGGCUUUUGAGUCAAAUUCGCAUCAUCAAACAUCACUCUACCAAUUUGAGAUAAGUUUUUUAAACUUAACUUGGUAUUUUAAAUAUCACUAUUUGCAUAUUUUUUGAGUUUAUUAACACACUUUGAAUGGUAAAUUUGUAAUGUUAUUUUUUGAUAUUUAUGGGUUCCAUUAUACUUAUUUAGCAUUUUUUUAACCAUGGUUAGAUGAUUAAAUGUGGGAAUAUGAUGAUCCACGCAAUGUUUUAAUAUAUGCAUAUUCCUAUAUUAUAAUCAAUGUGGUAAUUGAUUUUGGAAUGUUGUUAAACAUAAUUGUAUCAAUAAACUCAUUAUUCUUCACUUGGAACAUGAUUUGAUGAUAAAUGUUGGUUGUUUGAAGACUUGUGCAAUUUUUGAGGAGGAGUUUAAAUUAAACAUGUGCAUAAUGUAUGUUUUUUGGUUUGAUUUUACUCUUAAAUUUAUUAUUCUAUGGUGAUGAUAUAAUUGCCUAGAGAAGGAUGAAAUAGUGCGUGAGACAUGGAUACUUGGAUUUGCACCUUGAGGCUGAUUCUUUGGUUCUUGUGAAGAUGAUAAAAGGAGAGCAUGCAUGUCCUUGGAGGUUACAGAGGGAGUUGGAAGAUCGUUGCAAUAUAAAGGUCUCUUUCAUACCAUUAUGCAUUGUUAUAAGGAGGCAAAUAAUCCUAUAGAUAGAUUGGCAAAGAGAGGAGUAGAUCUGAGGGGUGAUUCCGUAUUUGAGUCCUUUGCAACUCUGCCUACAUUGGUGCAUGGUGACGUACACCUUGAUAGAUUAGGAUUUCCGAACCUUCAUCAAAGAAGUCAUUAGUUAUUGUGGAAAGGAUCCUUAGCUGUUGCUACUGUACUUUAGCCUUCAAUGAUUAAUAAAAUUCCUAGUUGUUAAAAAAAACAUGCUUAUACUUCAUAUUUUAGGUAAUUAUGGUGAAAAGUUUGUUGAAAUACAGAAAGUUGGGGAAGUGUUGUGUGAUUUGUGCCUUGAGUAGUUUCCUGUCUAUUUUAUAUUGGUACAUAACAAAGGUAAGAAGUUAUUUACAAAAACUCUUCAUGCCUUUGUGUCUUAUGCAUCAUUUGAACCUUACUAGUUGUCUUAACGUGUUUGUUUUUAGGUUUCUAUUACUAAUGGUAUCAAGUGGAAUUCAUGAAGAAUUUGGAGAUAAAUAAAUAAUGGAUUAUGGAACUUCAUGGUUGGAACACUUCAAUCAUAUUAAUAGGGAGUAUUUCUUUCUUUAUCUUGAUUUUUCUUUUUACACGUUGAGGAUAAUGUGUAUUUUAAUUGUAAAGGGGGGGGGGGAGAAUUGAGAUUAUAUGCAUUGUAUGUGAUUGAUUUGUUGGUUGGAAAAUUGGACUAGUGCUUUUUUUUUUUAGACGAAUGUCCUCCAUUUGACACGGUGUAACAACAAGUAGUAACAUUUGACACCUAAUUGCAAGAGCAAUGGAUUACAGCAACGUACAUUACACAAUACUUGCAAUAAUCACUAGUGCUUGAAAAUGUUAUUGUGCUUUGAAAGUUUUCAAAAUUUGGUUUGCUGGCUAGGAGUUUUAUCCUACAAGGAAAAUUUUUUCAAAAUCUUGUCCAAAAUUGAACAAUUGCCCCAAAAUUUUUCAAUUUAAUUCAAAGAGCAAUGUGUUCCACACCAUUAGUACCUCAAAUUUCUUUUAAUUUUGAAAUAAAUAUAUGUGACUUAAAAAUUUCAUUUCUCUUUUAACUUUCAAAUAGCUAUUACGUGAUUAGCAUUUUUACAUUUUAGGAAAGUAUAUUUUAUAAAGUGGAGAAAAUUAUGUCUAAAUUUUGCAUAAUCGAUGAAGUUUCUUCUUUUUACUUAAUUUUGCAUGGUUGAGUGAUAAAUAUGGUCAAUAAUUGCAAUACUCUUCCUAUGAUUAUUGUGAGAACCUGAAAAUUUUCACAUUUUCUAAGCAUUAUUUUAUUUUUGUUUACAUUUUUAUACUUGCCUUUACAGAACCAGAAUUUUACUAUCAGGCUGGAUAAUAGCACUGGGUUCAAAUGACAAUAACUCAGGUUACACAAGUCCGAUUGAGGCAUUUUCAAUGCGUUGGAAAGCUAAAACGUAAGACUACAACUUUCGUGUUUUGGCCAACUGCUGAUUUAAUACGAAUCAAGAUGAAAAAACGAGACCAGAAUGAUGAAAUGUCAAAACUGUCCACAAAACUCUACCUAUGGCAGUCAAGGAUAUUUUCGUCAUUUCACGUGAUACAGUGCUCAAGUUGAGCUGAAAUUUUACAGGCAAUUAUAAAAUAUCAUUUCCUACAACUUUCAUGUUUUUAAUUAAGCCCAAUUCGGCCUCCACCGAAUGAAACUGGUCAGAAUAGGAUAGUACAAAAACUUAAAGCUGGAAUUAAUGUAACCCAAACAGAAAUUUCUUUAGGCAAAGUAAACUAGCACCUAAACACAAGAUUUUCCAUACAUCAAAAUUAGUAAAUCAUGACCAACCAUUACACUUCACAUGUGAGCAGAAAUUACACCAUAAAACUGAAAAUUUUCAUAUCACUACCUCAACUCAUGAAAUAUUGCAUGAAACUAUCAAAAUCUCAACCAUAAGCUUCUAGUUUGCACAUAUUGAAAGUAGGGAAAAGUUGCUAGCCAAAAAUACCUUGUAACCUCAAGAAAAAUGGUAACUUAGUCUUUCCUCUUCCAAAAUAACUCCACCAAAGCCUUUAAACUUUCCUUGUAAUCACUUGUAUGGAGUAGUUUUAAAUUUGGUUGGCUAAAACACAAGAUCCAAGCUAGCAAGUGAGGUAGAAAAUGGAGUUUUCUCUCUUGUUUUUCUCCUCAAAACAGCCGGCCAAGAAGAAGAAAAAUGGAGGAAAUAUUGGGUCAAAAUUUGUUUUAGUAAAGUGAAGAAAAUUAGAUCAAAGUCCAAUCUCCAAUGAUGUAGUGACACUUGGCCUUUCUAGUGUUUUCUCUAAUCCUUUGUCUUCCAAUGGUUACAUCAUAUAACAAACCUCUAAUUAUCUUCUAGCACCUUGUAUAAUAAUAUCACUUAGUACAAAACUCACUUAGUCACCAAAAUUUUAUCCCACUAGCUGGUCUCACAUCUAUAAUGCUCUUCAAUUUUAAUGUACACUAACUUAUGCUAGGAAAAUAAUUUAAAACUGUACUUACUUAUAAAAAUGCAUAGGAAAUUCAAUAUUUUAAAGGCAAGUAUAAAAAUGUAAGCAAAAAUAAAAUAAUGCCUAGAAAAUAUGAAAAUUUUCAGGUUCUCACACUCUCUCCUCCUUAAAAAAUUUCGUCCUCGAAAUUUUUACCUUUCGUUGCCUCAAAUGAUCCCGGAGCUUGUUGCCGGUCUACGGCAUAUACCUGUGCUAGUACUUUUGUUUGGUUCCCUCUUUCAUUAGUUUGUUUCGGUUUGGUUCCACCCACUUAUUGAGUACUAUUCUCUAGUGGCUGUUUUUUCGGACAAUUGCUAAGUUGAUGAUUGCUAUUCCCACAAAUCAAACACUUUCGCCCUUUCCUUCAGUAAUCAUCCUCAGUGUGAUUUGCCUUCCGACAGUAUCCACAGGCCAAGUGAGAAGUCACUUUUUGGCUUUCUUGAGAAAUUUCCUCUGAUCCUAUUUGACUUUCUUUUGUAGACCGCUCAUCUAAUGCUCCUAAUGUCCAUGGUGGGUGAGGUAAAUGGUUCACUUUUUGCAUUUUAGAAGGCAUUAUCUUUUCUCUAGAUUCCUCAGGUAGGUUAAUAGAUGCACAUCAUUUUCGCAUUUGGAAAGCUUUUACUUGUGCUUUCGCGUCUUCAAUUCUUUGAGCUUUCUCUAAAGCCUCCGUAAAAAUAUUAACUUGAACCGCCACUAAAGUUUCCUGAAUUUCCAAAUUCAAACCUUGUAUGAACUGUCUUACUCUCCUUCGCUUCGUAACCACCAAUUCAGAAGCGAACUUAGACAGUUUAGUAAAUUUAGUUUCAUAUUCAGCCACACUUUGGGUUCACUGAUGCAAUCCAAUAAACUCAUCCUCUCUUCUUUCUUGGACCAAAGGUGGGAGAUGCUUCUCAUUAAAUUCCUUUAUAAAGUUCACCCAUGUCCAUGCAGUCUGUUCUCUCUCCCAUUUUACCCUAAUAACAUUUCACCAUGCUCGAGCCAGUCCUUUGAAUUGAAAUUCAACAAAAUUCACCUGUCUUUACUCCGUAUAGUUCAAGGCUGCGAAGAUGUUAAUCAUUGCCUCUAACCACUGUUUAGCUACAUCUGGAUCAGGUCCUCCAAGGAAUUUAGGAGGUGCAAAUUUUUGAAACCGCUCCAGAGCCCUAUCCCUUCAUAUCUCGGAAUUUUGGGAUUGAUUCACUGGCAUUUGAUCUUGUUGAUCUACCAAUCGCGCUAGGAUAUUUGUCAUUUGUUAGAUCGCCGUCGUUACUUGGUCUCCUACCUCAACCCUCGGCCCACGAUCUUGCUCAGCUGCUGUUUCUAUUUCAUUUCUUGGUUCUUGAACUUGCCUAACCCCACAGCCCCGACUAGCUCCAUGUUUGCGAUUACGUCUCCCCUCCAUACCCUUUUUCUCUCUUUUUUUUUUCAAAAGGUGAUUUAGUAUGUAACAAAGUAAAUUGACUAAAACAACAAGAUAUAACACACCAAAUUCACAAAGCUACAUAUCAAGUUGAACAAAAACAAAAUCAAGUAUGGCAAAUACUAUACACGUAAGUAUUAACAUGCCACAAGCCAAAUACAUACGGUAACAAUACAGAAGUAAAACAAAAGAAAACACGACAUACCGUUCCACACUCGGUUAAAAUAUUCCCCGUCCCAUCUCUCACUUCUCUUACCAUCCGAACUAGAUGUCCGUUAACCCCUAGCACUUACUCUUACCAAACAUUAACCCAUUCCUGUUCCCCACAAUAAAGAUCACAAGUCCUUAGUAUUGCCCUCAAUUCCCACUUACUCGGGUACAAGAAUCUGAAUAAUUCACCACUCAAUCUGGCCAGUUCCAAGACUAAAUUAUCUACAAUCGAGAUUCCUACCUGACGUACAUAUCUAUUGUCUUCAAGUACCAUGAGAGAGAUUUAAGACUUAUAACAAUUCAUGAUUCAUAACUUAUGCUCAAAAGAGCACUUAGUCCUUCAUACUUAUUCACGAAUUCAGGACCAUAACACCACUUGACCCAACCUCACUCCGCGUAGAGACCACGCGAAGUGGCUCUGAUACCACCUGUGACAGCCCCACCUUCCCCUAAGACGAACCAAAGGGUUUGGCGGACCGCCUGCCCAACUCUCGCCAGGACUCGAUCGCUCUCAUCAAGUGAAAUAAGAUAUAACCUCGAGACUAAGCAAAAAACAAUUCCCAAACUUGAAACAUAUACUUACAUUCAUAUCCAUCUCAAACAAAAAUAUAAUCCCAAUUAGAACAAAAGCUUUAAGUUCUUACUACAUCCAACCUUAUCCAAGCACUAACGCGAGAACAAUAAAAAAAUAAAAUUUCAAAAAACUAGACCAAGUUAGUCUACACAGGACUCACACCCUCGCUCGCAUCCCCUGUAAGGAAAACAAAGCUAACGGAAUGAGCUAAAAGCCCAGUGAGGUUCCAUACACAUAGCCAAAUAAUUAAACAAGGACAUUAAUCAUGUAAUAACAAGUAAUCCAGAAAAUAUUUACAAUAUAAAAUAAUGAUAAUACAUUCAUUAAAAGGAUACAUGCUCACAUAUAACCCUUCGUUCAUUCAUUCCACCAAUCAUUUCCUUAUUCCUCCAAUAUUAAAAAUAAUUUCAUUUGUAAGUGAAAACCCGUCCAUUGUUCUUGCCAUUCAUUCAUUCAUUUCAUUUUCCCCUUACUGGACACUGGCCAGUCUCCACCAGAUUUCGUGGUCAUACUCGAGUAUACCAAACAUUAACCCAGGGUCACCAAUCGCCUGACCGAAUCCACUUCUGGCUCGAGUCGACCAGCAACGGAGGGCAAAGGUCCAGUUCGGCCAAAAGGCUUACAUUGAUGUACAAGUAGCAUUUAAACAUUUAAUCAUUUAAUCAUUAUAAAUUUUACAUUCAUUUAGGUCAAGUACAAUAAAGUACACACUCGCCUAGCAAAAUUCAUUUUUAAAAAUCAUUGAAAACAUGUAACAUUUAAUCCAACAUUCACAAAUAGUCACAUAGUCACAACAAUCCACAUAGUCAUUGGAAACAUAACGUACAAAGAAUACUCACCUAUUUAAGCAAAAUAACGUCCAAAGUUUCCUUCCGGAUAAUACCCUCAAUCACCAAGGAACCCUAAUAAUAACCAAGAGAAAUUAUUACAGUUAAACCAUCCAAAGUUUAGGUGAACCAAAGAAAAUCCGAACCGGGUUGAGUUGUCUUCAUGAAAGUUGUAACCCUUUCUCUUAGCUUCGAAACGGUAUAAAUUGUACCCCAAUCCUAUAAGCGUAGCUUCGGUUGUGACAAAUACGCUAAGAGAUGUCAAACCUGUCAUUUUGUUCUUUACCUUAAACCUUAUUUUCGAUCACUUUUCUAGCUUGAUUUUGUAAUGGAAUGACUUUUAGCCUAUUGAACGGCUAUUGUAAUGCAAUUUUUUGUGUGUGAUUUUGGGAGCUAAUUAAGUAAAAUAAUGAAGCAUAAAUGGUUGAAAAAUACGUAAACACAAAGGGCGUAUUACCUAAAUUUGCACUCGAGGGCUAGGUAGAUGUACUCAAGACUUGAGUAAGGGUUGAGGAUGAAACUAACUUGAAUCAUUUAAGGUAUUCAAGUCUUCUUUAUUAGAGGUAUAUAAGUUAGAAUCUGGCUGAAACUUGUACCCUUGGAAAAAUGAAAUUUAUGACUAAUAGAAAUACGUUUCUUCGUUUCUUCGACUCAAAUGGAGAUUUUAAAGUUUUACGAGCGAGCAUAAGUUUUACAAAUAUUUUACUCAUGUUUUUUGGUUUAAAUGUAUUCUUUUCACUUCCAAAACUAUACUUAUACUUUGUACUAGUAGUUAUUUGGAUUUUCUUUGGUUCACCUAAACUUUGGAUAGUUUAACUGUAAUAUUUUCUCUUGGUUAUUAUUAGGGUUCCUUGGUGAUUGAGGGUAUUAUCCGGAAGGAAACUUUGGACGUUAUUUUGCUUAAAUAGGUGAGUGUUCUUUGUACGUUAUGUUUCCAAUGACUAUGUAGAUUGUUGUGACUAUGUGACUAUUUGUGAAUGUUGGAUUAAAUGUUAAAUGUUUUCAAUGAUUUCUAAAAAUGAAUUUUACUAGACGAGUGUGUACUUUAUCGCACUCGACCUAAAUGAAUGUAAAAUUUAUAAUGAUUAAAUGUUUAAAUGCUACUUGUACAUCAAUGUAAGCCUUUUGGCCGAACUGGACCUUUGCCCUCCGUUGCUGGUCGACUCGAGCCAGAAGUGGAUUCGGUCAGGCGAUUGGUGACCCUGGGUUAAUGUUUGGUAUACUCGAGUAUGACCACGAAAUCUGGUGGAGACUGGCCAGUGUCCAGUAAGGGGAAAAUGAAAUGAAUGAAUGAAUGACAAGAACAAUGGACGGGUUUUCACUUACAAAUGAAAUUAUUUUUAAUACUGGAGGAAUAAGGAAAUGAUUGGUGGAAUGAAUGAACGAAGGGCUAUACGUGAGCAUGUAUCCUUUUAAUGAAUGUAUUAUCAUUAUUUUAUAUUGUAAAUAUUUUCUGGAUUAUUUGUUAUUACAUGAUUAAUGUCCUUGUUUAAUUAUUUGGCUAUGUGUAUGGAACCUCACCGGGUUUUUAGCUCAUUCCGUUAGCUUUGUUUUCCUUACAGGGGAUGCGAGCGAGGGCGUGAGUCCUGUACAGACUAGCUUGGUAUAGUUUUUUGAAAUUUUAUUUUUUUAUUGUUCUCGCGCUAGUGCUUGGAUAAGGUUGGAUGUAGUAAGAACUUAAAACUUUUGUUCUAAUUGGGAUUGUAUUUCUGUUUGAGAUGGAUAUGAAUGUAAGUAUAUGUGACGACCCCAUCUCCCCCUAAGGCGAACCAGAGAGUUUAGCGGGUCGCUUGCCCAACUCGCGCCAGGACUCGAAGGCAAAAGCAAAUAAAAGCUAUUCACACGGUAAAAGAGUAUUAUUCACAUUAUAUACAUCGGCAAAAGAAUUCUAUUUACAUCCCCAAAAGUAACUACCCAUACUAUUACAUCCUUAUGAUUAUAACCAAAACGAAAUAGUAGACCCUAAGAAGGGUCCUUACACGGAUCACUAUAAUAAGGAAAAACAUAUUAACUAUUCGGUGAUUACAAACAAAAUCCAACUAUACUAGUGAUGGUGCCAAAAUUUUCCCGCGUCGGCCCUGCUAAGGAAAACAAAAGAAAAGGGGUAAACUAGAAGCUUAGUGACUAACCAGGGGUAAAAAUAUAAUUUUUACAUGUCAACAUUUGCACAGUAAGAGCAAAACAAAAGCAGAAAAGUAGCACCACAUGGUAAGGAUACGGGUGGCUCCCAAGCUAACUCAUUUGUCGAGCUUGAUCACUGGUUGACCCUUGAGAUCCUGAGCCACAGAGCUCGCUUCUCUUAAAGGAUCCCACAUAGAGAGGCCAUGAGUCUCAGCUCAAGUCAUGAGCAAUAAAUGCUCUAAAAUAUUUUUCAAGCAAUAAAUGCUCUAGUUCAAGCAAUAAAUGCUCUAGUUCAAGCAAUAAAUGCUCCCAAAUUGCAUCACAAGCAAUAAAGGCUUCGCAAAUGUUUCACAAUCAAUAAAUGCUCCAUAAAAAAUCACAAAAUCAUAUUUCACAGGUAUCAAGAGCAACUAAUGGGGUUUAGAUCGAGUGCGAUAAAGUACGCCCUCGCCUAAGUGCCCAUUUUUCAUAGUAAACUCAUAUUAGUAUUGAGUUACAUAGAAACCCUGAUUACUCACCUAAAGAGCAAGUAUAACGAGAGAAAGUACGGAAAUGAAUUCAAGUCGCCAACUAGUGGGCCCCACCGGCUCCGUCUAGCCCGUCACCGCCUGUAGCAGAAGGUUGAGCCAUAUUAUCACUCAAACAACUACUAAAGUGCAUAAAUUAAGCAAAACGGCAAAAUUGGCACAUGCAUGUGCGGAAUCGGCAAACGGAAAUGGAAACGGCCGGCAAACGGAAAUGGGCAUAGUUACUGUCCAAAACUGUUUUGACCAUAAGUUGGGCUAUGAAUGUCAGAUUAAAGUGUAUGAGAUUCCGUUUCGAAGCUAAAAGAAAAGGCUACAACUUUUGUGAAGACACCUAAAUCUGGAUCUGAACAGAAAUAGGUCGAAAGUAUGGAAAAUAGUGCCAGAAGUUCGCACUUUAGGGUGACGGACUGGGUAUAUUUGCCGGACCACAACUCACAGUUCACAAACCCAAAUCAAGAAAUUCCAAAGGCAUUGGAAAGCUAAGACAUAAGGAUAAAACUUUUAUGUUUUGGCCAAGACUGGAUCAACUCAGAACAGAAUGAAAAAUGAGUGCCAAAUUACCUGUCAGAACUGUCCAGUGCUCAAGGCAGUUCUGACUCACGAUCUUGUUUUGCCUAUAACGGGAGUUAUGAAGCUUGGAUUUGAACGCACUUUAUACCGUUUUGAAUCUGAAACAAAGCUCUACAUUUCUUAUGAAGAUACCAACACCCAGUUCCAUCGUUAUCCAUGCGAACCGAGCAUGGUCAGAAGCUAAUUUACAAAAUGUGACCAAACCAGAAUUUGAAAGCUGAGUGAGGGUUUUGGCUAUAACUAAGCCUACACACCUCCGUUUGACUUGAAAUAUUGCAGGAAUAACAAGGACUUAAGAAGCUACAACUUUCAUGUUUUGAGCAGCUUCUAAAUCAGCAUGCAGCAUAAAUAAAAAUAGAGCCCAAUUCAGAUUUGUGGAUUGCCCUGUUUCCGGUUUUGCCGGUUUUGUAUAUUGCAACCGUGUGAUCCAUUUCUCUAAUUCUUAUACAAGUCUUCUAACCAAUUUCAUACCAAAUAAUAUUACAUAUAUUAGAUUCUAAAAUACCUAACAAUGAUCCGAGAUUUUCUCCGCAAAUUAUCAUAAAAUUACCAAAUACUAACCACCAUUUAGAUUCCAAUUCCACUAGUUCUUUACUAACUUCAAAACCCUAAUCAAUCAAACCUUAACUUUCCAAGUUCCAACUAAACCAAACUAAUUUCCCUUUUCAUUAGAGUUUCAUAACCAAAUCUGAUUUUUGCUAAAAACCAACAUACAAGUGCAUUUAAGAUAUCAAGGAUUCCAUUUACAAGCUCAAAACCAACCAAAUCAACUUAAUAACUCAUGAGACCAAAAGCCCUAAUUCUACAUAGCUCAACCGAAAUUUAAGCAACCAGAAAUCAACAACAUAAACCAUUAAACCGCACCAUAAACACCAUACAAACCAUACAAGUUCAUAUCCUCAACAGGAAACAUCACUUUCAUGGCUUCACAACUCAAGCGCCCAACUUUACCUUUCAAAUAAGCUUUGUGGAUGAUCAAACCACCCCAAUCAAGUUCCAAAGUUGUUGUUCUAGGCUCCAAGCUCAAGAUUAAUGGUGAAACUUGAAAAAUUGUGGAAGAAAUGUCCCCCCUCUCUUGCUCUCUCACUCUCUCGGCCUUCCUUCUCUCUCUCUCUUUAGUUUUUUAUUUGGUUUGUCUUGUGUUCUCUUGGAUGUUCUAGAAUUAAUACUUAGUCAAGACCAUUAGUAGAUAUUUUCCACCAACCAAUCACAUAAAAGAUGAUUAUUCACUUCCUAGUCCUUGCAACUUCCUUUUUGUUUUCUCACACUCUUACCCACAAAUGUUUGGAACUCUUGCACUUAAUUCCAUAAGAUACAACUUAUUCUAAUCCAAAAUACUUUGUCACACUUAAUCAUUUCACUAAUCACCUUAUUAUCUUAAUCACCCAUCCUUAAUUAUUCCUUAUUCCACAUAAAACCAACUAAACCACAAUCUUUUUACAUUAGCUAAAUUAAGGGUUUUAAACCCAACUUAAGGUUGUUCAAUUAGCAAAACACUAGGGAAUUUACUAGUGUAAGACUUUGUAGCUUUCUAAUCCUACUUAACCUUUAUAAAAGAAAUCGAAUCCGAUAUCUACUCAUACGAAAACAUACAUUAGCAUGCAUAAUAUUUACUACCACAUAAACUUAUGAUUAAUAUGUAAACUAGGGUUUUUGUGUAAAAAUAUCAAAGGUGUAAAUCCAUUAGGGUUUUAAUAAAAUUCCAAAUUAAGGUUUUUCGAUUAUAAAAGCAAAAUCACAUGUAAAGAAUUACCAUCAUCCUUAAAAUCAAAUUUUAUAGCAAAAUUUAGCACUAAUAAUCCUUAUUCAAAAUUAAGGAUGAAUCGGGAUCUCACAACCUCCCCCUCUUAGAAGAAUUUCAUCCUCGAAAUUCAUACCUUCGGUGUCCCUGAUCGGCCUAAAAAUGGUUCCCUUUGUCCCUGAUUUAUUUCCUCCCCUCGGCUUCUGAUGGCACUGAGCAACUAGGUGUUCAUUGCUACCACAUCGGAAACAUCGCCGAUUUUUCUCUUUCUUCCAACAGGAAUCUUCUGUAUGGUUAGUGGCCCCACAGACAUCACAUACUUUUCUGGUUCCGAACAUCGAUUCCCCAUGUGAGACACCACUUUAGGGCCCUUUUGCUGCCUGAUCUUCCCUUGUUUUACCUUGAUUCGGAGUCCCCACUGGUCGUGUACCAUCGGUUUCCUUUCUCCUCUUAUUAGGUGGCUCGCUUCCCGAGCUUUGCCCACCAGUAUAGGUAUAGGUGUCAGAUGGUGUUCUCUUCUUGUCACGGAAAGCUUUCACCGGACUCCUUGCCAUCUCUAUUCGCUGUGUCUUUUCCAGGGUCUGGCUGAAUGUAUCCAACUGGGCAGCCGCCAGUGCUUCUUGUAUUUUCACGUUUAACCCCUGGACAAACCGACGAAUUCUCUUUCGGUCUGUUAGUACUAACUCUGGAGCAAAACGAGAGAGUUUGGUAAAUUGUGUCUCUUACUCUGCCACACUUAACGGCCCUUGACGCAGGCGGAUAAAGUCCUCUUCCCGCCUUUCUUGAACAAUCGGUGGCAAAUACUUUUCGUUAAACUCACGAGUGAAAUUGACCCAAGUCCAGGGGGUCUGCUCUCAUUCCCACUUAGCCUUUAUUACAUUCCACCAUGCUCGGGUUGGUCCCUCAAAUUGGAAGACAGCAAAAGAUACCUGCCGUUCCUCUGGAUACCCGAGCGCAGCGAAUAUAUCCAUCAUGCGGUCCAUCCAUCCCUCAGCUAAGUCAGGGUUAGGUCCACCUAUGAAUUUCGGGUGUGCAAAUUUUUGGAACCGUUCUAAGGCACGGUCCACUCCCUCGUGAUUGCUCGGAUUAUUUUCAGGGUUUUCGGCAUUAUUCCCAUGACCCUGACCCUGUUGGUCCACCAUUCAUGCUAGCAAAUUUGUCAUCCGUUGUAUGGCUGUAGCUACUUGGUUAUCAGUUUGGUGGUUCGCAUUUUCAUUUUCUACCCUUUCGGGUUCUAGUCUCUAUCCCCUACAUUUUCCUCGGCCUCGGCCUCGUCCCCUACCUCCACCUCGACCACCGGCUUCCAUUUGUUUUGAAAAUUUUACCAUAUAAAACACCAUAUAAAACACAUUAAAUGAUCAAAAUUUUUGGACAUGCAUAUACAGGUUUACGCCAAAGAUAUGCACAAAUUAGCCAAAAUGCAGUUAGUACCAAAACACUGAACACAUCGAUUUCAAAACAAAUCAACAGGACAACAAAGUAAUUCGAGUCAACGGCCUUAACGCAACUCCCCUGCGGAGCCCACCUAAUCCACCAGCACUGCCCUGGUGGCCCUAGGGUGCAAACCUAAAGAAUAGAUCCAAAUAGCUAACUUCAACAUUAAGUAAGAACCAAGUCGAUUCACACUGGGACUGGCCAUCUCCAAGUGCAAUCAACUCAAUCCCUACUUUGCCUUAUGGGAAAAUUACAAAAGUCCAAUAUCAAAAUCCUAGCAUUCAAUAUUUACCUUAAUAGCUAAGUACCCUACAGUCCGGCAUCCUAAACGUUGAAAUCUCGGAUGCACUACAAAGAUCUGAAACCUAAGCUCUGAUACCAACUGUGACGACCCCACCUUCCCCUAAGGCAAAUCAGAGGGUUUAGCGGGUCGCUUGCCCAACUCGCGCCAGGACUUGAAGGCAAAAGCAAAUAAAAGCUAUUCACACGGCAAAAGAGUACUAUUCACAUUAUAUACAUCGGCAAAAGAGUUCUAUUUACAUCCACAAAAGUAACUACCUAUACCAUUACAUCCUUAUGAUUAUAACCAAAAUCAAAUAGUAGACCCUAAGAAGGGUCCUUACACGGAUCACUAUAAUAGGGAAAAACAUAUUAACUAUUCGGUAAUUACAAAUAAAACCCAACUAUACUAGUGAUGGUGCCAAAAUUUCCCCGCGUCGGCCCUGCUAAGGAAAACAAAAGAAAAGGGGGUAAGCUAGAAGCUUAGUGACUAACCAGGGGUAAAAAUAUAAUUUUUACAUGUCAACAUUUGCACAGUGAGAGCAAAGCAAAAGCAGAAAAGUAACACCACAUGGUAAGGAUACGGGCGGCUCCCAAGCUAACUCAUUUGUCGAGCUUGAUCACUGGUUAACUCUUGAGAUCCUGAGCCACACAGCUCACUUCUAUUAAAGGAUCCCAAAUAGAGAGACCAUGAGCCUCAACUCAAGUCAUGAGCAAUAAAUGCUCUAAAAUAUUUUUCAAGCAAUAAAUGCUCUAAAAUCGUAGUUCAAGCAAUAAAUGCUCUAAUUCAAGCAAUAAAUGCUCCCAAAUUGCGUCACAAGCAAUAAAUACUCCGCAAAUGUUUCACAAGCAAUAAAUGCUCCAUAACAAAUCACAAAAUCAUAUUUCACAGGUAUCAAGAGCAACUAAUGGGGUUUAGAUCGAGUGCGAUAAAUUACGCUCUCGCCUAAGUGCCCAUUUUUCAUAGUAAACUCAUAUUAGUAUUGAGUUACACAGAAACCCUGAUUACUCACCUAAAGAGCAAGUAUAACGAGAGAAAGUACGGAAAUGAAUUUAAGUCGCCAGCUAGUGGGCCCCACCGGCUCCGUCCAGCCCGUCACCGCCUGUAGCAGAAGGUUGAGCCAUAUUAUCACACAAAUAACUACUAAAGUGCGUAAAUUAAGCAAAACGGCAAAAUUGGCACAUGCAUGUGCGGAAUCGGCAAACGGAAAUGGAAACCGCCGGCAAACGGAAAUGGGCAUAGUUACUGUCCAAAACUGUUUUGACCAUAAGUUGGGCUAGGAAUGUCGGAUUAAAGUGUAUGAGAUACCGUUUCGAAACUAAAAGAAAAGGCUACAACUUUCAUGAAGACAUCUAAAUCCGGAUAUGAAUAGAAAUAGGUUGAAAGUAUGGAAAACAGUGCCAGAAGUUUGCACUUUAGGGUGACAGACAGGGUAUGUUUGCCAGACCAUAACUCACAGCUUACAAACCCAAAUCAAGAAAUUCCAAAGGCAUUGGAAAGCUAAGACAUAAGGAUAAAACUUUUAUGUUUUGGCCAAAACCUGGACCAACUCAGAACAGAACGAAAAAUGAGUGCCAAAUUACCUGUCAGAAUUGUCCAGUGCUCAAGGCAGUUCUGACUCACGAUCUUGUUUUGGCUAUAAAGGGAGUUACGAAGCUCAAAUUUGGAUGUACUUUAUACCGUUUUGAAUUUGAAACAAAGCUCUACAUUUCUUAUGAAGACACCAACACCUAGUUCCAUCGUUAUCCAUGCAAACUGAGCAUGGUCAGAAGCUAAUUUACAAAAUGUGACCAAACCAGAAUUUGAAAGCUGAGUGAGGGUUUUGGCUAUAAUUCAGCCUACACACCUCCGUUUGACCUGAAAUUCUGCAGGAUUAACAACGACUUAAGAAGCUACAACUUUCGUGUUUUGAGUAGCUUCUAAAUCAGCACGCAGCAUAAAUAAAAAUAGAGCCUAAUUCGGAUUUGUGGACUGCCCUGUUUCCAGUUUUGCCGGUUUUGUAUAUUGCAACCGUGUGAUCCGUUUCUCUCAUUCUUAUACAAGUCUUCUAACCAAUUUCAUACCAAAUAAUAUUACAUAUAUCAGAUUCUAAAAGACCUAACAAUGGUCCGAGAUUUUCUCCGCAAAUUAUCAUAAAAUUACCAAAUACUAACCACCAUUUAGAUUCCAAUUCCACUAGUUCUUUACUAACUUCAAAACCCUAAUCAAUCAAACCUUAACUUUCCAAGUUCCAACUAAACCAAACUAAUUUCCCUUUUCAUUAGGGUUUCAUAACCAAAUCUGAUUUUUGCUAAAAACCAACAUACAAGCGCAUUUAAGAUAUCAAGGAUUCCAUUUACAAGCUCAAAACCAACCAAAUCAACUUAAUAGCUCAUGAGACCAAAAGCCCUAAUUCUACAUAGCUCAACUGAAAUUUAAGCAACCAGAAAUCAACAACAUAAACCAUUAAACCGCACCAUAAACACCAUACAAACCAUACAAGUUCAUAUCCUCAACAAGAAACAUCACUUUCAUGGCUUCACAACUCAAGCACCCAACUUUACCUUUCAAAGAGAGAUGAUUUACCUUUCAAAUAAGCUUUGUGGAUGAUCAAACCACCCCAAUCAAGUUCCAAAGUUGUUGUUCUAGGCUCCAAGCUCAAGAUUAAUGGUGAAACUUGAAAAAUUGUGGAGGAAAUAUCCCCCCUCUCUUGCUCUCUCACUCUCUCGGUCUUCCCUCUCUCUCUCUCUCUCUUUAGUUUUUGAUUUGGUUUAUGUCUUGUGUUCUCUUGGAUGUUCUAUAAUUAAUACUUAGUCAAGACCAUUAGUAAAUAUUUUCCACCAACCAAUCACAUAAAAGAUGAUUAUUCACUUCCUAGUCCUUGCAACUUCCUUUUUGUUUUCUCACACUCUUGCCCACAAAUGUUUGGAACUCUUGCACUUAACUCCAUAGGAUACAACUUAUUCUAAUCCAAAAUACUUUGUCACACUUAAUCAUUUCACUAAUCACCUUAUUAUCUUAAUCACCCAUCCUUAAUUAUUCCUUAUUCCACAUAAAAGCAACUAAACCACAAUCUUUUAACAUUAGCUAAAUUAAGGGUUUUAAACCCAAUUUAAGGUUGUUUAAUUAGCAAAACGCUAGGGAAUUUACUAGUGUAAGACUUUGUAGCUUUCUAAUCCUACUUAACCUUUAUAAAAGAAAUCGAAUCCAAUAUCUACUCAUACGAAAACAUACAUUAGCAUGCAUAAUAUUUACUACCACAUAAACUUAUGAUUAAUACGUAAACUAGGGUUUUAUGUAAAAAUAUCAAAGGUGUAAAUCCAUUAGGGUUUUAAUAAAAUUCCAAAUUAAGGUUUUUUUAUUCUAAAAGCAAAAUCACAUGUAAAGAAUUACCAUCAUCCUUAAAUUCAAAUUUUAUAGCAAAAUUUAGCACUAAUAAUCCUUAUUCAAAAUUAAGGACGAAUCAGGAUCUCACAGUAUAUGUUUCAAAUUUGGGAAUUGUUUUUCGUUUAGUCUUGAGGUUAUAUCUUAUUUCACUUGAUGAGAGCGAUCGAGUCCUGGCUAGAGCUGGGUAGGCGGUCCGCCAAACCCUUUGGUUCGCCUUAGGGAAGGUGGGGUUGUCACAAUUAUUCUUUUUUGGAAAUGAUUAUUAUUUUUACUUUAAAAAAAGAAAGAAAAAAGAAAAAUGUAGAAAAAAGAAAAGAAAAAAUGAAUAAAAGUUGAAUCUCUACUCCAAUGGUUCUUAUGCUUAAUAAUUGGGAGUUUUCAUCUACAAAUGUCGACUUUUAAGUAAAACGGUACUUGAAUUAAGAAUAAGCACAGUAAUUUGAGAAUGUGAAGUGUUGAGUAAUUGGCGAUCUUCAUCUAAUAAUAUCAAUCUUCGCGUCAAAAGACACUUUCACAAUUUGAGUAAAUAUUUAGAUAUGUUACAUGAAUAAAUCCCUCUUUGAAUUUGAGAAAGAGAUGAUUAUGGAAUUAGGAAGCUGUUAUUUAACCAUACCAGUCACUUGCUUGUGGAAUUGAGUGAAGAUGAGAAAUUGAAUUAAACUAGUCAAAAUUAUGGUAUAAUUGAUUCUUCUUUACUUGAUAUUUUGAGUUCUUGACAUUAACUAAAUGAUUGCAUAAUGGUGAUUUGCCUUGUUUUGAGAAAUUGAGUUUCAAUCUUGCACAUGUUUUAUUUCAAAGUUUUGGAUAAUUGUUUCUUAUUGUUUGAGGACAAGCAAUAAUUCAAAUACAGGAAAAUUUGAUAAGUGUGUAUUUUGAUUAUUUAAUGUGUUUUAUUAUUUAUUUUUGGUGUGUUUUAUUAAUUUUUUAUAGUUAAUUAACUAGAUUUCUAGUGAAUUAUGCAUUUAUGGUUUAAAUAUGAAAAAUUGCAUUUCUAUGAAUUAAAGUGGAGAAAAUUUCAUGUUUUUGUAAAUUUAACGAUUCAAUCAUCAUAUGGAGUGAAUUGAGAAUAUAUUUGAAUGAUUAUUGAUGAUUUGAAGUGAUUUAAAGAGAAUAUGAAGUGCAAAAUGUUCAAAAAAUAAAAUGCAAUCAAGUAUACACACUACAACAAAAAUGGCGUUUUCUGACAUGCCUGUAAGGACACUUGUUGAUUUGUGUCAUUAUAGCACUCCUAUCAUGACACUUAUUAGCAAUUCAAUAAUAUAUAGUCUAAUUUUUUUUAUUUUAUUAGAUAUAAAAAUAAUAAUGUGCCUUUAGACUAUCUAACAUGACACUUGAGAAAAAUGUGAGAUAUACCAAAAAAAAAAGAAAGACACUAAACGGCAUCGUUUGAUUUUGGUGGAAGAUUCAUUCGCUCUAAAACACUCAAAAUUUUCAUUCUGCCGGCCAAAACACUUACUCAAAACACUUGCUCAAAAUUUUCAUUUUCCAGCUCCACCAUUUCCAGCCCCCCUCUCUCUGUUGUCAGAUUCCGAUGUAGUUGGUGGGAAAAAUGGGUAGCAGCCAAGCAGCAGUUUCCAUAAAGCUUCAACCGUGGCUCCCUCAGGCAGCUAACAGCAGCAUCAGCAACAAAAUCUCUCUCGAAGGAAACCCACUUCCAGGUCAUCAUCAUCUUCUUCUUCAAAUUCGGCUCGACAAAUUUCUCCCCCGACUCGAAUAGUUUAUCGAGAAUUGUCUUCCAAGUCCAAUCUCAAUUUGCCCUUUUGGCAAACUUCCUGGUUCAUUGGCUUACUUUUACUAAUGGCAAUCUCGUUUUUCGGUCUCGCUAUUUUCCUUUUUUUUACCCUUGACUCUUAUUUCACCUCUUCCCCCGUCUCUACCGCUUCCGAAGGUGUCCAGGUAAGCCAAAAGCCCACUUACUACUUCAAAUUUGUGGUUUUUGCGUUCCUGUAGUUGCACAGAUAUGCAGUGCAUCUUUGUGUGUGUAUGUGUUUUUCCCCCUAUUUGUUGAAAUUGUACGCGGAACGUUGUUUUAUAGUUAUUUUUGGCUCAAAAUUUUGACCAAGUUUGUGCUAUUAUAGGCAUGUGAUGGUUAUAAAUUAUAGCACUUCAGAGGUUUAUAAGCUAAAAGAGGACAGGGAAAGAGGAAAUGGAGUUUUUUGUGUAGAAUUAGUAAUAGCCUUCGACAUGUUUGAUGAAAUGCCUCAAUAAUCUUUGUUGAAAAUCUAGUUGGGAUUCAGUUAAAAAUUGCUAUUUGGAUUUUUUAAAGAGCUGAUUUAGGAAUUAAAUUUGAUUUUUUUUCCUGUUUUAUAGUUUGAGGUUUCUGUUGUGUGGCGAAAAUAAAAAAUGGUGUAUGAUGCUUUGAGUUCUAAUAGUUGUAUAAUGGGGCUUUGUGCUAAGUCAUUCUUAUUUUGUUUGGCAUUGUGAUUUUGGUAGAUUACUUAUGGGUCAGUGAUCAUGUAGUUGACGAUUACUUAUGGCUGGUGCACACCUUUUUGUACAGUACAUUACCGGUUUAAGCCUAGCUACCAAAAGCAGCAUUCUGUGGACAAUAUCUUGUUCUGUGGUGCAAGAACAAGCUGUGGUAGAUGGCUUUUUCUUCCUUUAACUGAUGCUAAUCUUUUUGUAGUCUUUUAACUGAUACUGUUCUUUACAAUAUAUCCCAUUUAGCUAAUGAGUUUAAGAUGAAAAUAUAAAUAAAGUUCAAGGUAUUAUUCUCAUUAGCUGGACAAAAAAUGUAACAUCUAGUCCUCUUAUUCAGCUUAUUAGGUUGCAAGUGUUACGUUCAUGAGAAUUACAGACUUGUGACACUGCGUUGCCACUAUUCACCAGUCUAUAUGAUUUUGAGAAAAUCAAGGAUUAAACAAUAAACAAACCCCAUCAACAAAUCAACCAAUUAGAAUGGUGAUUUUGAUAUCUAGCUACUGGGAACUUUUGAAAAGUACUGUGAAAAAUCAGCUUGUGCCUAUCUGACCAAGUGUUCAUCUUCCCACUGGUCUCUGUAUGUCUCAGGCUGAGACCUCUUUCUCAUGGAAGUUUCAACAUACAUCUGCUUUCUCCAUUCUUCAGUCCGCAGACAACCACACUGAGCAGCCAACCAAUCGUCAUAUUCGAACUGGCGAUAUAAAACAACGCAUCAGUUGAGUUGGGCAGAAAUUAAAAACUCUAGCCUAGGUCCAUGGAAAAGCAAGUGCAAAGAGGGUCACACUGGUGAAAGAUGACAAUGAAGAGCUGCAGCGAAAUCAAAUCAGCAGGAGGUGAGCAUUUUCUACCUGAUAACCAGCCAUGUUAUGAGUAUACCGCUUUGGAGUGCCAGAUGCUUCCAUUGAUGAGUAGAAAGCUUGAAUAUCAGCCAUCAUCUCCUUGGGAGAAGGAAGUGAAAGCCGACCACACAGAGUACCAGCUAUCCACUUGCUCUGAAAUUCAAACAAGGGGAAAGGUACAACCUAGCAGUCAAAGGGAAAAAAAAUUGCUUUUAUCAAUUAAAUGCAUUAUCAACCAGAACAGUUCAUAAACUGAGAACAUGGAAUAUUUGCAAAAGACCUUCCACGGCAACCCAACGAAUGAAAGCCAUGGUGCUAAAGCUGGAGGAAAAAUAUGCUUGUAAAGUGGCCCCACACGGUUAUCAUCCACAGCUACAAUGCCAUUAAUUUCAAGGAACGGAAAGUGAUAUUUGUACCUUAAAGAACAUGAAUAAUGAUUUAUUGCAAAUCGUCAACUAGAAUCGCCAGUUAAUGGACCUUUUUUGAAGUCAUUAUGAUCUCAUCGCAUGAAAUAAUUUUACCUUUCUUUGUUAUUUGAUUGUUGCCUAUGAGCAUUUUGUGUGCUUCCAGUUAAUUGAUCUUUAGGAGAGUCAUUCUAGAUUUAUUGUCCCAUAACAAUCUUUAGCUAAUAUAUUAUUGGUUUUCUUUUGGGUUGGCAGACCACACUUUUGGAUUACAUCAGGAAAAGCAAGGUAUGAAUCGAUUAUUUUUAUUGAUGUUCACGUUGAGGUACAUUAUUUGUAAUGCCAUUAUCAUUUGAUGACUUUAGAAGAAGUACCUUAUUCUGUCUUAUGUUAUGAUACUUGAAUAGUUGGGAACUAAAUCUUAGACAACCUACUGUAGGUGGCAGCAUCUGAAGCAGGUGGAAUUACUCAAGGCAUGGGGGCAUACAAGGUACAAGUACCUUUUGAUGGCAAGCCACAGACUUGUGUUUUCCUUGACACCCCUAGACCAGUGGUUCUAACUUUUAACUGCUUAUUCAUGCAAUUUUUUUUUUUUUAAAUUUUUAUGUCAAAUGCUCUUCUUGGAGAUUUUGCAGACAUAUCUUAAAAGGCCUUUGUCAAGAUGAAUUAUCUAACAUAACUGUAAAAAUGGUUGGAUAGGCAUUUGGAGCAAUGAGAGCUCGUGGAGCCAGAGUAACAGACAUUGCUGUUAUUGUAGUUGCUACUGAUGAUGGAAUUCGACCUCAAACAGAAGAGGCCAUUGCUCAUGCCAAAGCAGCUGGAGUGCGAAUUGUUAUUGCUAUAAACAAUGUGCGCUUGCAUUUAUUCUGAGAUUUUCCACUGUGUGUUGGCUUGUAUAUCAUUUAGUCUCAUUUGCAUUCUGCUUUUGAUGUAUGAAACAUGAUGACAAAUCUCCUCUUGCUUAUGGGAGUUGGCAUUUUCAGUUCUCAUAAUCACGGUACUACUCAAGUUUGAUGUUUCUAGAUUUUUGCAUCAUAGCAUAUUAUCUUAUAUGCAUUCUAUUCUUUGGGAUAAUUUUAAAAGUCCUUUGGGUUUCUGAUUGACGGAAUGUAUAGCAGGGAGCACUACCUGCAGGUUGCUUCUAUCUCAAAAAAAAAAAUCUCCUGACAAUUAAAAGUGUCAGCAUAGAAUUCGAUAUUUUAAUAUUGUAUUAUACUUAUCCUGACACUUUUAAUUAUCAAGAAAAGCGAUUUUUGUUGGCAGAUGGAAAGUUAUAACAGCAUAGUUUUCUUGACAUGUUGAAUAGUACGAGUCUAUCCCCAUAUUGGAAGGGACAACACUCGCCCUAGGUGUGAGGAUAGAUAAAGUGUCAGGUUAAAUUAUCUAUACUGACACUUUUAAAUGUCGUUAAAAGCCAUUUUUGUUGUAGUGACAGGAAGAAAUAUUUGACAGUUUUGACACCUUUUGGUAUUUUGAUUAUAUCUUGAGAUAUAAGUAUCAGAUUGAGAUGAUUCUUGAGUCAUUUUGCAGAUAAUACAUAUCUCUACAUUUGUUAUGAAAUAUCAAAAGCCAGUCCAUGAGUUUUCCUAGUCAAAAAGUCAAAAUAUAGUUGGUCAUUUUUGUUGUCAAAAGUUGAAAUAGGGGAUUCACCAAUGAAGAGUAUUUUAGUUAUUUCUCAAUCUACAUAAUCCUAAAUUAGAUGAUUCUUAUGCAUUGAAAAGUUAACUCAAAGGCCUAAAUUUUUAUGUUUUGUACAAGAGCUAGUUCAGCCUGCAUUGUCGAGAAAAUAUCAACUGAAUUUGGUGCAAAAACAGAGUAAAGUUCAAGACUCAUAAAAAAAGUGCAAAUAUGCAGAGGAGGCAAUAUGUAACCUUAACCCGUGUUUUGAACUUGUGUAUUCAUAUUUUAACCGAAGUACAGCUGGAACUAGUUGUACUUUAACUUGCAGCUCUUUUCUACUACUUAUGGAUCAAUUUUCUGAACGAAUUUCAGCUGGAAAGUGCAUGAAAUAUCUUGAAAAUUUGGAGAAACAACUUUUGGGAAUCGCAAGACACAAUUUGCACAACUUGAAAAAUGAUUGUAUGGAGCUUUAAUUCUCUAUAAAUAGGGCCUUUAUUGAGCUUGCUUGAUAACUUUGGAGUCUAGAGAAACUACACCAAAAUGUAGUCUUUUACUAGAAUUUCUUUAGUUCAUUAGUUAGGGUAGAUUAGUACACUUUAUUUCAUCCAAGUCUUGUAUGGAACUAAGUAUAGAUGAAGUUGAGGAUGAAGAUGGAGAGUUUAAAAUUCAUAUGACAAGAGUGACAUUUCUCCUAUCACUUUAUUUCUUGUAUUAAUUCUAAUAUUUGGUUAUAAUACAAGUUUGGAUCUUGUUUUAAUGUCUUUCAUGUUUUGCUAGUUUUUAUACUUAGGGUGUGGAUGAACUUCUAUGAUUAUUAUGUGAUCUUUUCAUGGUUAUUUGAGUUAUAUUUUUGAACAAGUUAUGUAACACUUUUGCUUUUCUAAUCAUGAUUAGCUGACCAUUAAUUAUGAUAAAUUUAAGGUGCUAAGUUUACAAUGAAAAUUGGGAUUUGACACUAGUUCAAAAAGUGCUAAAUUUAGGGAGUUCACUCACGAAAAUUGAGGAGCAUCUUUGUGAUUUUAAUGACUUGUUCCAUGUAAUUUCAUAGAAUAAAUGAAUUUGUAGUUAAUUUAAUAAUCACAAGAGUAGGUAUGGUUUAGUUAUAAGUAUAGUUGAUUCAUUACGAGAGUAGGUUUUACAUAUAGUAAGAAAUAACGCCAAAACUAGUCAAGAUAAUAAUAUUCAAUUAACUGAUAAUUUCAUUUGUAAGAGUAGUGAAGAAUUUCACAACUCUAGGAGUUUUCUAUUGCUAUUUUAAUUACUUUUAUUUCAUGUUUGUAGCGUAGAUUUAAUCUCUUGCAUUUGUGGUAAUCUAAAUAAUGAAGGAGCUCGAAAAUCCAUCAGUAAUUGACAAUGAGAUCGACACCUAAUAUUCUUAUACUCGAUAAACGAUCUGUAUAUUUGCAAAAACCAAGAUAUUUAGAUUUUAUUAAAAUUUGGUGCAUGGCAGAAUCUCGUCAACACAUAUUAUAAAAAAAUAUUUAUAGUUUAUAUGUGAAUUUAUAAUAAUUCAUAAAAUUAAACAUAUAUUGUAUAUAAUUACAUGUUGGCACAAAAAUACACACACAGACACACACACAAUAGAAGCAAUUUUAACAUGUAUAAGAAUAUGUUGGAAAGAGAAGGAGAAUAAAUACAAACCAAUAUUCAAUAAUUUUAUUAAUUCAAAAUUCAACAACAACAAUAUUAAGUCAUAGUUUUUUGCUUACAACAACUCACACCUUAGAGGCUUUUCCUCUUUCUCACAAUUUGACUCAAUUCAACUCUCUAAAUAACAAUGUACUAGACUGGUAGUAUUUAUAUAUUGUAGAACUUUCUAAACAAAUACAAUUGCAAACAAAAACUUAUUUGGAAUUAACUUGAGAUCUUCUAAUCUAACAUGGAAACUAAACAAACAUGACACCAAAACAAGAAACUAAAAGAAUUAGGAAAUAAACAAAUAGAAUAGAUUAGUUUAGUUCCAUCAUUGCUUCCCUUAAACUUCUAGGUUCUCCAUUGUGGUCAUUUCCAAUGCCAUCUCAAGCUUGAAUCUCCAUGAAUAAUUUAGUCACUGUAUGAACGAUGUGAGCGCUAACUUGCAAUUAAUCUUCAAUUUUAUAUUCACACGUGGUAGUGAAUGAAACUUGUACUUUUCAAAACAAUUUUUUAGUUUGAUCACUUCUGUCAAAAAUUUCAAAUAUAUUCACCCAUGCUUUAAUUCAAAUAUAUAUCUAAUUAUGAGCUUGGGAUCAGCCUAAUUUGAGGCCGGAGCUCAUAUCAGAGUAUAAGUCGAGUCCAAACCUUUUAAUCAGGGUCUGAAUUUGCAAGUUCGAAAGUUCUAUUUACUUUGUCAGAAGAGUUUGGAGUUGUCAAAGUCCGGCUCAUAGAGCCUGAGUGACAGCCAUAUUUUCAAUGCUCGCUCCAUUUAACAUCAAAAGGAAAUGAUUGUUUUUUCCUUGCCGAAGGUAGAAGGGUCCCAAAAUAUGUAAAUCCAGGCAGGCAGAACACACUGUGGGAACUGUUUUGUUAACGACUCCUUCGAGGAACGGCUUCGGCAGGACAAAAAGGACGAAAUUGUUUUGUCAUGUGUGCUAACUGUUGAACCUGGCUACUCAAAGCAAAAUUAUUUUGGACCACGUUCAACCCAACAUAAUCUUGAUUUGGCUAGUUAUAGUGACUAAUGGAGUGGUUUUCUAUGAUUAGUGAAUUUGUAUACUAUAAGUGGUGUUAGCAUGUAUAAAAGAUUUAUCCAUAAAAAGAAAUAUUUUAUUCGCGUACAUUAACUUUUGUGGUAAAACAACAUUAUGCUAUUAUUUACUAGAAAAAUAGGAUUGGCUGUCACUUUACACACAACUCUUAACCAAUACUUUUCCAUGUUUAUCAUAUUAUUUCAUCCCUUAUCUCUAUAUUUUAGGCAUUUUCAUCCGUUAUUUGUAGAUGCUUUCAUAUAUCUCUUAACAUCUGUAGUGAUAUGUGACUUUAAGUUACAGUGACUCUGACAUGCUAUCAUGGUACUAUUUACCAAAUCUUAUGACAAAUGCAACAAAAUCUGACCAAUUCUCAAUUCUACAUGCGUGAACUCCAUAUAUCGCCUACUUGACAUUGUAGUGUGACUGCCACCAACUACUAGGGCAAAAUUAUAUGAAUUUGGAAUGACAAUUAAAGUAUCAGACUAGCUAGUAAUUAUAUGGAUAACUUUUAUUUCUUCUUUUUUUUCACAAAUGAUAUGGAUAAUUAUGUAUCUUACUUCAAAAGAUUAUUAACACUUGUACAAUCCAAACUAUACGCACUAUACUAUUGCUGUUCUUGCUAUGAGAACUAAAUGAAACCAUAUCGAUUAGGCCCAAGAACAGCAAUCCUAUUAACAAAUAUUAAAGUAUCAUACUACUAAUGAUAUGGAUAACUAAGUAUCUCUCUUUAAAAGAUUUACUAAGACUCGGAUCAAUGUAAUCUAUUGAUUAAUAUUAUUUGGCUAUAUAACCUAUAUAUAUAUAUAUACACACACAUAGGAGGAAAGUGAUCGAUCAUAUUGAUUAGGUCCAAGAAGAGCAAUGCUCGACCAACAAGACAGCAAAGAUGCUAAUGUGGGGACUGGUUGAUUUAGGAGGUGAUGGGAGGACUGAGGUAAGGUUGGCCAAGGGCACAUGCUAGCUUUCUGAUGAUUGGAGGAAGCCAAGGUUGGUUAAUUCAUGGGCAGAUGGAGAAGAUCUCUCCAUCAAUUCUGAGUUGAGAUAAGUUCUGCAGAAUCUGCUUGGAAGAUAAUUGCAUGAGUUUUUUUUUUCUCCAGGCUCAUGCUUACGCGAGAAUGAGAUUUUGUGCGCGUGCUUUGUAAGCAUAUAGGAAAGAAUGGGCAGAUUUUGUAGAUUUUCUAGACAUCCAAUGAUGCCAAUUAUUAUAAUUCGUCCACUUGCAACAACCUAAGAGUUGGAUUUUGCUUUUACACCAUCUUUGUGUCAGUGAUAAUUGGGAAUUAAAUAAAACAAUCAUCAUCAUCAUCAUCACCAUUUCUUACCAUCAGCAUAUAGCAUCUUUUAAGAUUUCUGUCCAUAUCAUUUCAACAAUAAUAACUACCCCUCUCAACCAUUCUCUCACACUUUUUUGGUUUCCCUCAUAGUAGUUGCGUAGACACCAGCCAGUCGUACAAACUCGAACAUAAAUUUCUAAUUCUAAUUAGCGCAUCACAGUUUAACAUGCAUAUAUAAUAGAUCAGAAUCGAAUAUAGCAAAUAAUUUUAGUCUCCUUGAGAGUUUAGCUCGCCAUAGUUCGAUCACACUCCCUACUUAGUUCCCUCUUAAUUACCCUUUUACUCCUUUAUUUGGACUUUUGUUCAAAAAUAUAAAAAUGAACGUAUGCGCUGACUUUUUUUUUUUUAAUUCAAGGAAAACUAUAAAACUGACAAGAAAUAAGAGAGAAAUGGGAUGACUAGGAAGUCGAAUUAAAGAUCUCACAAUCACUUGAUUAAGUUUUUGGAGGCACAAGAUUAUGACUUAACUUAAAGAAUAAAUCUUAUAUAUACUGACAAUGUAUUCAUUAUCAUCAUUAGAUUUAUUAGUAAAAAACAAAUAAAGGUUUGGAUAACGAGUGCCCACAAUGGUACAGUGAAUUCAAGAAAGAGUCUAAAAAUAUAAAGGUGCAAUGAAUGUAAACGUGUGCAUUCGCAUAAUAACUCAAGUGUAAUUUAGGUAUAUUGACAAGUAUUCAAUAGAACCUGUGAAAAAAAAAAUCUAACAAAUAAUAAUGUAACUCGAUUUGGGCCACGUAGUUUCCAUGUGGCACAUAAUUGUUUUCUCUCCUUUUCAUGUUCUCACAAAUAAACAUCAUUUAUUAUUGUUAGACUUGAUCAAGAAGUGGGAGUACAACUAUAAAGUGAUGGAUGAAGGAUCAAAAGAAUGAGGCACACGCGUGGCUUUUGUGGGUUCUGCUGUCUAGAAAUCUUAAACUUGGUCUUGGCCUCUUCAUUACAUUUGGUACAAACGCAAAUAUACAAAUUCCUAACACUACAUGUCAUUCUCCUCCACCUCACCCCACUAGGCCUCUCUCAUGCACUCCUUUUCCUACCUUGCUUGCGGCCGGUGGCAAAUGGAAAUGGUUUGGUACUCAAAAACCACACUGGCGUGCAUUAACAUUUGAUUGAUUACCAAAAGGAGACUAGGCUGCUGGGCAGCUACUUCUACACGAUCAUCAAUGAUCAUAUGGAAGCUAGAUAUAGCUAGACAUGAAGAUUAUGUUCAAGAACUUUUUCUUUCUUUUUUUUCAUCAAAAUAUGACAGUGGGGGAGAAAGAAGGCAUCAUGCAAAUCCCUUUAAGGAGAUUUUUCUGAUUUAUUCUCCAUGAAUGGUGUCUAAUCAUGCGAUCAUUGUGAAGAAUUCCAUAUAUGGUUAAUUGACAUGACAACAAUGUUCCUAUUUUGUUGAGAACUAAUUCCUUUUACUAAUUGGGGAGAAGAAUUUCUCCUCUACACGUGUCGACUCACCACAUACCUUCUAGAUCAGUGAAAAAAUUAAGUUACUCAAAGGUUAGAAAGUAAAAACUUUUCAGGGAGAAAUCAUGGGGAUGGAGAAUGGAAAUUGAAUGGAAUUUACUAUUUCCUUUUCUUCAUGACUUUAGUCAAUCUAUUAAGUGGAAUUAACUGUUUCCUUUUCUUCAUAAACAUGCAUUUGGCUCAAAAGUUCUUCUUUUUUUUUUUUUUGGAAGAGGGGGGCGGGGGGAAGGAGAAGGGAGGGUUUCAAAAGUUCAAUCUCUUAUUCUUAUGGCAUAUGCAUCUCUAUUUUCUUUUUCUUUUUUUUAAAAAAUUUGGAAUACAUUAAACAUCUUUUCUGAACAAGGGGCGGUUUGAACAUAUUUUAACCCUAGUUCCUUUUUGCUUUUUAAAAGAGAAGUAAAUUAAAUUGUAAGCUAGCUAGUAGCUGUUUACAAAUAGUUUUGUCAAAGUUCGGCUGAGGGGACAGUGGUUCCCCACCCUUAUUGCUCCUAGCAUUUGUUACUCACUCCGUAGAGACUGCCAUUAUUUUUAGUGCCCAUAGAUAAUCUAGAAAAACUAGCAAGAAACUAAUAUAAUAAGCUCUACAACUUUUAGUACUUGUAUCUAAAAAUGAUUUAAGUUUAAACAUUUCAUAAUUUAGUGUGUGUUGAUCAUGUUGUAAGCAUGCAACUUGCCCAAACAUUAUGAUUAUCACGAAAUAUAUGAUUAACAACUUUAGUUGUUCUCUGUCUACAUCAAUCCUUAAUUCAUCCUGCUAACUUUUUGAUGCAGGAUCGAUCACAUUUCUGAAGAUAACAUAACUAAUGUCAGUUAAAGAGACAUUUCGUUCGCUGCUGUCUUGAUCAAGGAAUUAAAGUUGUGUCCCACUAGAUAUUCAGUAUUGGCCUCUGCGAUUUGCAUUGCAUUGACGUAAACUGAUCAGAAAAAUCAUGUUCAUAUGUUCAAUAUCUUGAUGAGCCUUUUUCCAGUUUCAUCUAGUCUGUGUUAGUGUCUGUCUUUACUACCCUUUGCUGUGAUUCAGUAGAUGUGGCUCUAUGAUUUGAAAAGACGAACCAAUUUGUGAUGUGAACAAACAACAAAGAAAGAGUUACGACACUCAUGUUGCAUGAAAAUCUUUGGCAAAUGCGUGAGUCCCAAAAACAGUAAUCUUCCAGCCACCUCUUGUGUGUGACGCCGGCGUCGGUGAGGAAUAAUAAAGAACUAUAUCGUCCUAUAUGCUAGUGGCAGAAUUUUACAGAGAUGAUGGCUGCAAUAUCUAAAAGUAAAAAAAAAAAAAAAAAAAUCAGUAAUCCCUAUAUUUUUUAAUUGGUGAGUGGUUACGUACUGAGCAGCUAAUUAAUUUCGACAUUACUGAAUUUGACACUAUUAUAAAAGACUCAAAAUCUUUAAACCAGGAAAUGCGUGCGAAAAUGUCACCAUUUGCGAGCUAAAAAGUAAGGUCCAAAAUUGCGUACAUGACGAGCAAGCACUAAGUUUAAAGAAAUAUGUGAGUUGAAUGAUGAAACCUAGCAUCUUUAUUAUCUAGUAAUAUUAAUAGGGCAAAAACUUUUGCUCGAACACUUGGAGAUAAACUUGUGACAUCGAAGAAAAGCAUCUAAUUUGCAUUUGAAGAUUAUAAGAUUAUGCAACAUGCAUCUGUCCGUCAGGGUGGCUUCUGAUAAUUGGACUGACUUCAUUAUGUAAUCAUAGUCAGUUAAAGCAAUUCCAAUGACCAAGAAUCCUUCAAUAGUAAAGAGAAACAAUGCCCACAAAAUAGAACCCGUACUCAAGCUGAUUCAGUACUUGUGUAAUGGAGCACAUCUAAGUUGGACGUUUACUAGGAUUGAUUGGUCAACUAUGCUCCUGUGUAGUACUUUCCAUGCAAACAUGCAUGUACUAUAUGACUACAAUAUCUUCUACCUUUUUAACUAUCAAAAUGUGGUCACUGGUCAUGAAUCAAGAAUGUGUUUUUCGUUUUGGUACAAAUUUUGGUGAGUACAUUACAUUUAGGAAAACUUCUGUUAUAUAUAGGUGCCACAAUUAGAUCCAGAUUAACAAACAGCAGAUCUCACAGACGGAAUCCAACAAUUACAAUUAGUCCAGUGGUUUAUACGACAGAAGGCCUUUAACUUUAGUGGGUACAUUGUGUCCGGAAGCGGACAGGAACGAUUGGCAGUUCAAUCAUCUCGAAAAGAUUUCAUACAUUUAAACAGAAUGAAAACUUUUUUUCAAUCGUGUAAAUUAUUUUAAAUACAGUCUAAAUUUAAAACAAAAUUUAUUGGACUCCAUGCAUAAUAUUAAAAUCUAUAUACACGAUGUAAUCUGAAUAUUUUUCUAGUGAAUCCUCACUAUAAAAAAAAAAAAAAACCUUCAGAAACUCUCGCUGUUUUCAUUCCAUUAUGCCCCUAUAUUUGCCCACAAUCUCUUUUAGAGACUAGCCUAGCUUAGUUAGUCUAGCGUUGAUUAACCAUAUGUGAACUUUGAGAACUCGAACCUCUAACUUCUUGCUUAAAAAUGACAGUUGACUGCCUAAACAUAGAAUUGCUUUGCUUGGUGAUUAUAAACUUGACUUAAAUUAAUGAACUGCUAUUUUCUACUAAAAAAUUAUUGGGCCAUUUUACUUUUAAGUAUAAAUGGGAGGAUUCGAUUCCGAAACCUCUCAUUUAUACACGCUCCUCCUAUACCACUCAAUCCAUUUCUCCCCUCUUAAAAGUUAUUGGGCUUGUUUCCACUAUGUUCAACAUGUAUUUGCAUAUAAAUAAUAAAACUGUCAUUCACAACUCCAAAUUGCAAACGUGCUAUUGUGUUUUACAUGGUUUUUGUCCAUGAGAUAAAUAGUAGAAUUCAAAGAUCAAGCUAUACUACUAGGUAGCUGCAAUAUAUAUACAUAUAUUUUUUUUUCCCCAAAAUUCUACUCUACUGAUUGCAUAUAAAAUUGCAAUUAAUAACUCCAAAUUGCAAAAUGAGCCAUUGUAUUCCGAAUGGUUUUGUCUACGAGAUUAGCUAGUACAAUUCAAAUUAAGAAGAGCAAUACAACCAGCUAUCUGAGCAACAAUUUUCUUUUGGCAAAAAUUCUACAUCCAAGUGGCAUUAAGGUUAGGUUGAUGGUGGUUCAGUCUCCAUCAGCCUUUCGUCAGCCCAAUUGGAUCUCCUCCUUCAAUUAGAUUAGAGUAGGGUAGUAUAGACAAAAUAACGAUGACAAAAAAAAAGUGGCAUUAGGGUUAGGUUGCUAGCUUUUAUAGCAUUCAAAAUCACUUGUCUCAAUCUCUGAAUUGAUAAGGAUAUGCAAGAAAAAGACUUCACAACAUAAAUAUAAGAUGCAUUACCAUAUAGUAAUUAAAUUUCUGAUAAGUAUGGGACUGUAACAGUUGACCAGAAAACUGAAUGGAAAAUCUAGAAUUGGUCAGUUGCCAAGUGUUGGGACCUUAAACAUUUGAUAGUGCCAAGACUUCCAAGCCCUUUGCACAUCUCCUCCACUUGUUCAUGAUUUUGAGUGAAGGGAUUCAUGGUUCCCCUUUUGGGAGACUUAUCAGAUGGUAAAUGGUCUAACUCUUUCCCUAAAAUAGAGGCUUUUUAUUUUGAAAAAAAAAAGAGACUAAUUGUUCUCUUCUCUUCAGUCCCUUUCGGGAUAGUAGAGAGAGGAAAUUCUAGCAACCACCUUUAAAAAAACUUCAAAGAUGGAUCAAUGGAAGCAGCUGAUAUCAUUAGUCGCUAUCCAGAAUCACCAAGCUAGUGGUGCACCAGUUGGACAUGAUAAUAAACUUUUUGCAGAGAUAAUAUUCUCCUCUCAUCUUCCUCUAGUGGCUAGAGGAUUUUUAUCAAAAUAGUUUGAGAUAACUAAAAAUACACCACAAUUGAAGAGCAAAGCAGGGUAAAGAUUAGUUGAUUAAAAAGUGAGAAUUUGUGUUGUCCAAUCUUCAAAGCAACUUUUGCUUGCCAGCCUCAUCAAUCAGAUUCAAUCGUGGAAAGGUUUUCAGCUAAAUUAUACUUCCCUCUUUUAUGUAUCUUGCUUCGGUUGAUCGUCAUGUACCCAACAAAAUUUAAUUGGCUCAAACAAAUUUUACACUUACAAAAAACAUUAACUUUUUUAUCCACCUUCUUCUGUUUGUAUUCUAUAAAAUGAUAUUGUAAUUUUUCAAAUAGUUUAAUAUUUUCUACAAUAUUAGUGUAAAGAUUCCUUUACAUUAGCGGUUUUUUUAUUAUAAAAUACAAGAAAAUUUUCAGUCCCCAACCCCUUAAAUACGCCACAGUGCCCGAGAGAGAGAGAGAGAGAGAGAGAUAGUUGAAACUCUUAACAGGGAAAGAUGACUAGUUGAGGAUAGAAAAUUUGACUUAUAAAUUGUUAUAGGCAUAUGAAUUUGAAAUAUGUUGCAUGAUCAUGCAGCAAAAAAUUUUGGAGGCAGCCUUUCUAUAUGAAAUCAUGUUAAGUCAGCCCAAAAUUCUUACUUCUUACAUAUUAUUAUACAUAUUAGGGUUAAUCACAUUUUAUCCCCUUAAAGAAUACCCCAUUUCUCAGUUUACCCCAUAACCUUUAAUUUUGCUCACUUAACCCCCUUUAGGACAAAAUUGCCCUUGCAUUAUUUUGACUUUUCAUUUGCCUUGUUUUCCUUUCAUUUGCCUUGUCCUAAAGGGGGUUAAGUAAGCAAAAUUAAAGGUUAGGGGGUAAACUGAGAAAUGGAAUAUUCUUUAAGGGGAUAAAAUGUGAUUAACCCUACAUAUUAUAACACAUUUCCUUACUAAUUUUUGAAAUUUGAAAUUGUUGACCUUUCUUAAAAUUUCAACAGGCAAAAGUUAGUUAGGUCAUUCACUACUGUAACUAUAUAUAUAUAUAUAUAAUGCAAAUAGAUAAAAAGGUAAGUAGAGGGUGUGCUGAGAAAAUUAAAAAAAAAAAAAAUUCCAAACAGUGAAAGCCAUGUGUGCCCUAAAGUAUGGAACUAAAUGAAAAGAGCGAAGUGAAUUUUUAAUAUCAAACUAAUUCCUACUUCUUUUUUUAAAAAAGUUGGAACAACAUAUUUCAGAAAUUGGUCUAACAGUUAAUAGUUUUCCAACACGAAAUUAACAUAACAAAGCAGCAAGCCAACUAUCAUUGCCAGUCAAAAUUGUCCACCAUCUGCUAGUCUAGUAUUGUAACAAAAUGACAGAAAACAAAUGAAAAAACAGUUGAGAAACUAAGCUUGUUCCACCCCAAGGGACAACAAACAAGAUGUACUUGAAUAUAUGUUAGCUUGAAUGUCUACCACAAACAAAAAGAAUGGAUUAGUUCACCCAAAAAGGAGUAACAUGCGAUUUAAAUUUCAAUGACUAACUCAGAAGUUACUGUUUGAUUCAUAAGACGUAAUUGAGGAACUAUGGUUGAUCUUUAAUGAAGUUCUUUUUUCACUUUUUCUUUUUUUUUUUGGAGGGAUAGGGGAGGAAAACAAACUUUCAAUGCACUGAAACCAGGCAAUAGAACGUGUAUUUAUUGCUCGAUUGAUUAGGACUUUCAAAUAAGGAAUAAUGCAUCACCACAUUUCAACUAAGCUCCACUUAAUCAAUGAGAGUUAUUUAAUAAUCUUUAGGGCAAAUUCCACUUUACCCCCCUGUGGUUUAGCGUUUUUUCACAUAACCCCCCUAUGGUUUCAAAAGCUAUACAUAACCCCCUUAUGGUUUGGAUUAAAGUGUCAAAGUAACGGAAAUAGUCACUCGUAACGGUGUCACCUAAAAUGUCAAAAAUACCCUUAUGUAAGGUUGAAAUUUAUGUAUUAACCAAGGGGGGUUAUGUGUAUGUUUUGAAAAUCAUAAGGGGGUUAUAUGGUAAAAUAUUAAACCAUAGGGGGGUUAUAUGGUAAAAUAUAAAAAUCAUAGGGGGUUAAUGUGUCAUGUAUUUAUAAGGGUAAUUUCGACAUUUUUAGAAGUUCCGUUACGAGUGACUAUUUCCGUUACUUUGACACUUUAAUCCAAACCAUGAGGGGGUUAUGUAUAGCUUUUGAAACCAUAGGGGGGUUAUGUAAAAAAAGGGUAAACCACAGGGGGGUAAAAUGUAAUUUACCCUAAUCUUUAAUAUUAACGAGGUGUACCAAUAUGAACAAAGUUAAAGAGAAAAAAAAUAAUUAGAACAAACUAAUAAACUAAACUGUGCUUGUCAUUUCAUGAUCUACAGCCCACUAACUAGUGAUAAGGGCUCUAAUACCUCAUCAAGUGUCACUUUUAACAUUUGCCCAUAACCACAAUUAGUAAAAGCUCUUGACAGAUGUAGAGAAGUCAUUUUCUGAGUUCAAUCCCUACCAUCACUCUUUUCCAAAAAAAAAAGAAAAAGAAAAAACCCUACCAUCACUAUCUACGAAAUUCUAUACCAAUUGAUUCCCACACGAACACAAAUUUCUUAUUCAUAACUCUUCUAACAGCUUAUGAAAAUCCAAAAUUGCCAUGCACUUGUCCCCCUUUAUUCGUGAGUUUCUGUCAACCCUUAAAAAUUUUACAUUUGGAACAAAUGCUUUUUUUGGUCUCCACCUAUUAAACUAGGCUAUUGCUGUGAAGAUAAUCAAAUGUAGAAGUGACGCACAUAUGAGAAGAAAUCAAGAAAGAGAAUAAAGGGAAUUGGAGUUUGGAAAGAGAGGUAGUCGACAACUAAUUAAGGUUGUUAAAGUGACAAUUAUUAAACAAAUGAGAGAUAUUAAGCUCAAAGGCAUAAAAGAAAAAAGAUGAAGAAAGAGGUAAAACUAAAAAGGAAGAACAAAGGAGGGUGGGAAAUCUAACUGCAUAGAAUAAUGGAGCAGAUAAUGAAGUGAGUGUAGGGACAGCCAACAAACACAAACUCCACCAAACCAUGAUUUUCUGCAUAAAAAUUGCAUGUGUUAACAUCAUAUGUGAAAGCAUCCAAAAAUGCACCAUUUCUCUUUAGUGUUUAUGGGGAGUGGAUGCCACGCGUCCCCUUCCCAACUCCAUGUCACAAACUCAAAAACGACAAACUAAUUUUUAUUUCUUUUGAUCAUAAUAAAUAGGGGAUUAAGGAGAAAAUUGAGAAAAAGAAAGAACCUGUACAUGGUACACUGAAGAAUUAUGUUCAAUUGACAUUAUCUAGAUGAAUCCACAGUAAAUUUACCAAAACAGGAAUUAAAUAACGUUUCAUAUGGUAAAUUGCUUCUAACAUGACAAUUAUGAACGACACGUGGCCAAAAUAAGGUAGGUAUCAGUUGUUUUCUUCUAGAACUAAAUACACUAACGAUUUCUUUCUAGUUUUUAAGCAAAUGCAUGCAGAACCGAAAAAGAGAUAACUCUUGUUUAAAAUUUAGGCCAAUAACUCAUUAUGAUUCCAAAUAAAAAUUCGAUUUUUCUUAGGAGAUACAAAGCAAUCAAGAAAUAGUACUACCCCAUGAUUGUGGCACGUGAGGAAAGCUAGUGUUAAAUUUCAUUAACCUACUAGUUGAUGGAUCACUUAAAAAAGCUUCAAUGCUUUUAGCUAUUGGAUUUUAAGACCAUAAUCCAUUCAUAAUAUUUUAGUGGUAACUAUACCGUCAUACAGGUUUCGAAGUAGGACAUGAGUAAUCCACUCGAAUUGAAGUGUAAAUUGGCCUCUCUGAGAUGGUAUUCAAGAUUAUUAUAAUCAAAAGGGUGCAAAUUGGUCCGCUCCCCGCCCACCCCCAUACCCAAAAGGAAAAAGGAAAAGGGAAAAGACUACCAUUUAUGAAGGUAACUUGUACUAUGUUUUCCUAUCUAUUUGUGAAAUUUGAAGUCAUGCAUGUAUAGCUUUACUUCUGACCAAAACCCUAUGUAAUGAUCUAAUGCCCUUCGUUGAGAAAUUAGUGUAAAUGUAUUACACACAUUAUACAUAUUGAAAUGUUCACGUUGGGACGGAGACGGAAAAGAGAUUGAAGUAUAACGUCCGGCUCAACGGAUUACUAAUAAUUUUGGGUUAAUUAUUUUGAACUUGUGGUUUCAAGUCAAAAGGUGCUAGGCUGGUCUAGCAAGCGUGGGCAUUACAAAUAGUAUCAAAGUGAUUCUAACGUGGUCUCUGCGUGAAGUGAGAUUGGCCAGUGAAUUAUAAUUCUAACUAUGUAAGGAAGUGCAAGGAAUUAAAUGCUAUACGGGGUUGGAUGGCACAUCAGACAUAGGUCAUCUCUAGAACCCGUAUGAGCCAUCUCUAGAAUUCGUGUACGACUAAGUGAACAAUUUGAACUGUAACGAAUUUUGCGAGAACGCAAAGUUCUAAAGGUAGGGAGAGUGAAAUGUCUCGUAUCCCAUAUUGGCUCGGAGAAGGGAAAGGGAAUGAAAUAUAAUGUCCGACCCAUUGGAUUACUGAUAAUUUUGGAUUAACUAUUUUUUAUUUGUAAUUUUAACUCAAAAAGGUAUUGGCCAAUCGGGUGGACGCAUGACGUUACACAUUUAAAUAAUAUUUACUGUAACACAGCGGGACUUUCAUCAUCUUUGAUGUAAGCUUCGUUGCAAAUCUAGUUAGUCGAGUCGAACUAAAGAUCUUCUAUCCUUGGAAGCAGAAAUCAGCUUGAAGGUUACGCGUUUAAAAAUGAUAUAUUAUUGACAUUUGAAAAUUAUCAAUCCUUAAAAGUUUUACAUUUCUUCUAAACAAUUUGAGAGACAUUUGUAGUUUAAUUCAUCAAAUCAACUUACAAUCUUACUAAUAACUUAUAUCUAAAUUCAUACAAUUUCAUUAGAAUGCUUUUUAUCCAGGGGAAUCUAAUGGCAGUUAUUGCUUGUGUGUGUGUGUGUUUUUUUUUUUUUUUUUUGGGUCAAUCUGUAAGUUCAUUCAUUUUGAUUUUUUUCCAUGUACUGACCGUAAACUUUGUUCACGUGUGGGAAUAUGCUUUGGUAAGGAUAAAACCAUAAAAAGUAUUGACAGCCAAUGGGAAAAGAAUUCUUCCAUUGUUUUUCUGGUUCAAGAACUUGGCAUGGUACCCUGAAUGAGAUACAUCAAGUCCAAACCCACGAAAUUCGAGAAUCAGAGCCCGGAUAAAGAUGGUAUUAGGAUCCUUCGUAUAUAGCACAUGAGGAGAACUCUAUUCACUUGGCAAUUUGCAAAAACGAUUUAUAUGUGGGGAUAAAUUGUUAUUUAAAAGGGAAGUAUUAUUUGCACUCCUAUUUUUAUUAAUCACAUUCCUAUUAUCAUUUUAAUUAUAUAAUUUUAAUUUAUUAUACUAUAUGAUAAAACAAAUGAUGUAAGUGCAAAUAACAAAAAAUGGAGUGCAAAUAACUUUUGUCUUUUACAAAUUACCUUUUCUUUUUUGGGCAAUUUUGGCAAAAGUCAUACCUCUAGAAACUUUUCAUGUCAAAGGGCCGAUAGGAAUUUUCUUCGUUAAAUAUACAUAAAGAAUGAUACUUAAAGAAGAAAAGAGAAACCGAAAUGUGCAGAAUGAUACUCAGAGAAGAAAAGAGAAAGAUGCAGUUAAUAUAAAUCCUAAGCUACAUUGGAAUCCAAUAUGAGAAUUUAUUCUUUUACUUUAGUUAUCUACUUAUCUUGACUUAAUAGCCUCCCAAUACUUUUGCACGUGGGUUUGGAAAUUUAUAGUAAUUAUUUUCCUCCUUUUUCAUUAAUAUCCUUGUUUCAAAUGGGAGGUAGGGUAGGAUUGAGAAGGAAAAUUCGCAAAGUGAAAAUCCUUCUAAUUAAAAGUUGAUCAAUGAAAAUUCUUCUGAUUAUCCUUUUCUACACUGUCGAUUAAAAUCCCUUUUACAUGAGCAUGCAUGAAUGAAUACCCCAUGUGAAAAAAGAGAAAUUCAAAUUUCAAUGGAAGUUAUGUGUCAUAUGGACCUAUUCUCAACUGAUUUUGAUUUUAAAAAAAUGGCCCAAAAUUAGAAUUGAAAAAGCAGGAAUAUUGUAACUUUUAAUUUAGAAAUUUUUGUAGAGUUAAAAAAUAAAGAUGGAAAAAGAAAUAGUUGAAAACAUCAUAUAACUAAAUUUCUACAAUUAGAAGUUAAAAAAUCAAUUGACAAUAUACUAGAUCCGAUAAUGAAAAAAAUUAUUCCAAAACCUUACGCAUAACACUAUGUUCAUUCUUCAAAAAAUAGAUGCCGAUGAUAAAGCAUAAGUCAUGCUAACAUUGGGCUGUGGAUGAGUAAUCAAAACUACGUACAAAUGGCAUAAAUUUCAAAAUAUUGGAAAAAAGAUGUUUUCAACAAAGAUCAACUUAACUAUUUAACUAUCUUGACUUCCACAUCCAUUAGUCAAGGCCAACUAAAUCCUCAAUUGAUUUUGAGAUGAAGGACUAGAUUCUUCAACAUGGCAUCAAAGCUAACUUUGGACUCUUCUGUGCAUUGAACUUGGUUUCAUGGAUCUCUUUCAUGAUAAUGCUCAUUCUUGUUUGUUCAGACCGAGGCACGUGUAAAAUAGGUGUUAAACAGAGAUCAGCUAAACUAAUUAAUAAGAUCCUAGGCUACUUUUAUUUAUAGUGGUUAGCCAGAACCAAUUAAAGUGCUAAUUUCUUUAAACUGCUAAUUUCGACUAGGAUCUUAUUAAUUACAGUGAAAAAAAUUCAACAGAGAUAUUAGAGAACCUCUUUGAUUUAAUCGAAUCUAUAUAUCUGCUAAUUUCUUAUAUAGCUUAUUUAAACUUUCAGUCUCUGUAAAAUAAAUUAGAUUAGAUUAUAAGAAUAUUAUGGUAAUUAGAAAAAAAAAAAAGACAAGGUUUGGUUCAUCUUGGAACAUAAAUGCCAAAGGACUGGCAGAAGUACAUGCAAACUCGAAUCCUUUGUCCAUUAGAGAAAGGGAGAAAAAAUACAUAGAAAUAUGUCAUACGAUGUGACUUUAAAGCUUUGCAAAUAAAAUUGAUGGGACUCAUGGGAGUCGAAUCCUAACAAAAAUUUUUUUUUUUUUAAAAAAAGCAGGUGACUUUACCACUCCAACAAACACAUGGCCCCUUCCGAGAAAAAAUAAAUAAAGCUCUGGUUAUUACUUUUUCUUUACUUCACCUGUUAGGUGGAUAGCAAAACCUUAUGAAUAACUAUUAAAUAUCAAAUAGCAAAAUAGUACCUCUUGUAACUAACAUAAUUGCCAUAUGUACAUAAAAAAGUAUAUUUGCAACCUCAACGAUAACUUCCUUUUUCCCCCCCAAUUUAUCAAAGGUUUAAUUUUUGAUUAACUAAAGUGGCAGCUAAAUGGACAAUUAAAAAAAAUAAAAGUUGAAUGGGCCAAGAUUUUUAGGUGGAAACGUAAAUGGCCAAGUUAAAAUGUAUACAUAAAAAAUCAAUGUAUUAACUGAAAUGCUGCCGCGCGGCGCGCAGGCCUCAUGUGCACCAAUGCCAGAUAGCCAACACUUGAAUGCAGAAUAAAACUUCCUCUACAUUGAUACAAAGUAUGCAUGCCUUCUUAGUGCUCAUUAAUAAAACAUAUAUUUAUAAGGAUGGCAAUUGGAGUUUGAUUGGUGGGUUCUUCCUUUAAUCAUUUCUCUCUUUAUAAGAAGACCAAAAUGUACAUAAAAUAAAUUAAAAAAAUUAACAAGAAGGAUGUGGAGGGGAAAUGGAUCAUAGAACAUUGAGAGGUGAGACUUUGGCUAGCAUCUAACUUCAUAUCCCCACCUUUUCGAUGAAUAUUAUUAGUGAAAUCAUUGAUGAAGCAUGCAAUGAUAAAAUUAUUGGUCAUAUCGGAUUUCGGCGAUACGAAUGUUGAAAACUACAGUAUUUUUAAAGAUCAAAUGAACAUGGAAUAUAGGAAUCAGAUAGCUUUACUAGGAAAGGAACCAUUGCAGCUUUCACUUUUCGUUGCUGAAACUUUUUUAAACUAUUGAUUUCAUUUCAUCUCUUUGAACCCUUUUUCUUUCUUUUUCUGUGAUCAGAAAUGUGUGGUCCAGAAUUAAAUAUGGCCAUCUAAUUUUUCUUUCUUCAAACCUUUUUCUUCCACAUUAUUGGUCUCUCGUUUUUUCAAAGAAAGAUUUAAAGAAUAAAUUGUUCUAUAGAGAUAGUUAGUGAAUGUGGGGAAACUGCAGAGCGGCAUCAAUGAUUUGGGAAUCGGGUGGCGAUAGUUCAGUUUAAUUUGGAUCGUUCAUUUUAAAAUUUUUAUUUAAAAAUAAACGACACAAAUCAGACCUGACUGAUAUGAUUCAAUUUAUUCUGAUAAUUGCAUUGUACAAUUCUAAUUGCAACCAUGCAAUCGCACAUGCCCCUCACCCCGUAGCUAGCAGAAAGAACCAAUACUCCUAUAGGAGGCACGAAUAUUCUCUGCUCUUUACUUUGGAAAGUGACAAGCAGACCAAGAAGUUUGGAUGGAAUUUAUUUUGAGUCAAAUGUCACUUUGAUAAUCUCUAAUUAGAUGCUAUAAGUUGCAUCAAUGAAUCCCCGUCCAAUAAUUUCCCCUGCACAUUUUGACAUAAACUAUCGAGAUAAUGUUUUACACCACCGAUUUUUAUCGAGAAUAAAGUUAUUUAUGCCUCAUCACAUCUGAUCUCAUUACGAAAUAUUCAAUCUAUCAAGCUUUAUGCAUCCAAAAUUGUAAUUAGAGUAAUGAAUCUUGGCCGACUGCGAUUUAAGAGUCACAGAGACACGUAGAUUAAUCUAAGUUGAGUAUUAUAGGCACGCACGUACAACUAUAUGAAUUAGUACUCUUUAUCGUUUUGAGACUUUAGAAAAUUGCACGAGUGUCUAAAGAUUAAGAUGUGGAUAUAACUAAGUUAGGUAUAAAGGAAAUAGAAUAAGAUUAGAUUUCAGAAAAUUGAUGGUUGAUGAUUUUCUAUAAUUUUCAAAAUCACAGCGAGUAAUCUGUAUAAUUAGAGUGCAUGUAUGAUCGGAAAAUUUGUUAAUAGUUGUGCUCUAAUAUUCUUAUUGACCUUGCAAUUUACCAAUGCAAUGGAGGCAUGUGAGGUCUUAGUUUCUGCAAAUUGAAAGAUGAUUGACAACAAGAAAGAAAUGGACAACAGCAUUUGAGAGAAAUGGACAACAGCAUUUGAGAGGCCCCAAUACAGCUAAUGUCUUAAUUGUGUGGUUAAAAAGAUGACCAAGAAUAUGUUGAACAAAGUUCAUAUAAAAUAAAAGACUAAAAGAAACAGCAAAACUUAAUCCAUGCAUCCGCCCCCACGACUAGUCCGAGUGGUUUUUUAGUCUAUUAGGUAUCAGUAGGUCCUGUGAUCGACUCCUGUGUGUAAUCUCGUUAUGUAUUUUUGGGACAAAAUUUUACACAAUUUUAGAAAUUAGUUGAUCAAAGGGUUGGGAUACCCCUAAGUGGAAAAUAUAUAUAUAUAUAUAUAUGCAUCCCCAUUCAUCAUUACUUUCUAAAGUGAUUAUAGAGCAAAUAAAAUUCAUGUUUAAAAUAUUUCUCAUGUUUCAGCACAUAUCACUAUUAAAGUGUACGGUCGUGUACAAAACCACUUGCUGUCAUCUUCAAAAUGAUGCCACCAUAUUUGCAACUUAUUUGCUGUGUCAUCUUAAAGUGUAUUUCUUUUGUUCAAUAUUUGCAAGUUUGCAUUUAAUCUUACUUAAAUCAAAAAAAUUAAAGUCCAUCAGAAGACAUAAUCAGAGGUACAAACAAUCAUAUCUAGCUCAAACAUUAGUCAAUGCUGAAAGUAAGAUACCAAAAAUACUAGCUGUUUAUUGCCAUCCAAAAUGGAGAAUACAAGGGGGACAAAAGAAAGAAAAAAAACGUACUUAAAAUUAAGCAUCAGAAAAAAAAAAAAAUUGGAGAAGGGUGAACAAGAAGAAGAAAUGCAAUCUAAGUGGGAACAAGAAUCCAUUUGCACAUUAUGUAAGAAUCCAUUUGCAAAAUAAAUAUAAAGAUUAAAGCCUUAAAGUUUAUCAAAAUGAUUGAAGUGAAAGGUGGGAAGCACUAUCAUUGUCUAUUACUAAGCACACGCACAAGAUUUCAAGUCCUUCCGUUUUCAAAUGUACACAAAAGCAGAACUAUAAAAUACAUAAAAGAAAAUACUAAUUCAAAAAUAAAAAGUUAUAUACAAGAACAAUGUCUAGAUAUCAUUGCUAAAUCCUAGGAUAUUGCCAUAUGUGGUUUUUUUUUCUUUAGCUGCAAAUUGGUUUCAUAGAUCACUAUGUGAAUAAUUAUUGUCAUCAAGUUGUUCUUCAUGCAUAGUAGCAAAGCAAGUCUUGAUAAAUGAUUGCUCAGUGGCAUGUUUCUCAUUUCCCACCUUUUGAUGUUGGAUGUUAACUUCAUCAUCAAUCAGCAAUUCCUGCACUCUUGUUCACCAUGGGGAUAUACAGAUCUACUGACAUAUAUCACCUGAGAUAAAUCUAUCAAGGCUGGUUGUCUAGAUUGUUAAAAAAAAAAUUUUUGCAUUAUGCCAACAACUUGUGGUAAAAACCAUCAUCACCAAUAAUAGCACACCUGAGAACUAUGAACUUUUCACCUUGAAAAGACUUAACAUCAUUGAAGUGAUACUCAUAAUAAUAAAAAAAAAGUAAUAUUUAUAAUAAGCAUACAUAAAAGAUAUCCAUGGUUAAUGAAUUAAAUAAAAUAAGGAUAUAAAAAAAUAGCGAAAUCAAAUUCACACCCCUACAGUCUAAUACCACACAUUGCAUAAGUCUACAUUACAUGGCACACAUCAAUAAUAUAAGUUAACGGGUGCUAAUUUAGAAUAUAGGCGAGUACACGUGUGAUCUAGCUCGAAUUGUUCCCAAAAAAAAAAAACAGAGAGAGACCAAAAUAGAGGAAAAAAGAGAGAGAGAGAGAGAGAGAAAGGUUAACCUAGUAGAAUGUAGGUGAGUACGGGUGUAAAUUAGCCUGAGUCAUACCCAACCCAAAAAAUGAAAAGAUGACCAAAGAGAGGAAAAAGAAGAAAAAAAAAUUGAGAGAGAGAGAGAGAGAGAGAGAGGAGGGGGGUUAGCCUAGUAGCAAGUCAUCAACUAAACCAUACUGAGUACCAAGAGGUGUUGGAAUACUUCAUCAAAAGAAAAAGGUGGGGAACCCACCAUGAAGGCUAAGGCCAACAUCUCAGAGCCUUUAAGACUCAAAGAAGAUCCUCGUUUCUGGCCCUCUUCUGUUUAUAAAUGUGUUGUCCAGUUUCAAUUCGGAAGCCAAAGUUAAGAGCAACUUCUUAACUUCUUCCUUCUUCACCAGUCACCACCACCACCAUACUAUAACAAAAAAACAGUACUUCAACUCGGCCAUGCCACUUAAUUCUGUAGCACCAAAACCAGAAAAUCCCAGCAUUCAACUGAUGGGAGGCCUGCCAAUAUCAUCAGAGUCCUGUGACAAUCCUUAUCUGGCUUACCCUAUACAGGCCAGAACACAGUCCUUUCUGCAAAUGACCUUAAACCCCAUAACUCUAAAGGUCUUAUUUUCACACCUUUUUCUUUUGGACAUUUCAUACAUGCAAGCACAUGCAUUUCCCCAGUCGGAAAAUAGUUCAAGGCAUAUAGUUUUAUUUGUGACAUAGCCCUCAAGGCAUGAAGCUCGUUCACAGAGGAUUACUCAUAAAUAAGAAUUUGAAAUUACUUCUUUUUUUUUCCAUUAAGCAGUAAUUUGAAUGUUCUGCUUAUUUGUCUUACUUAUUAUGCAGUUUGAAGAGAUUGUCUACAAGAUCAGAAUUGAAACGAAAGGAAUGUGUUGUGGCCAAACAUUGAGCAGCAAAGAGAAGAUAAUACUGAACGGGCUAACAGGUAUGGUUUGUCCAGGGGAGAUACUGGCCAUGUUAGGUCCAUCAGGCAGUGGAAAAACAACCCUCCUAACAGCCCUUGGGGGCCGCCUCACCAGCAAGUUAUCAGGAAAGAUCACAUACAACACCCAGCCUAUAUCAGGUCAUAUCAGACGUCAAACCGGGUUCGUUGCCCAGGAUGAUGUCCUGUAUCCCCAUCUAACUGUGUUUGAAACUCUCCUGUUCACUGCACUACUGAGGCUGCCAAAAACCCUUACCAAGGAAGAGAAAGUCCAGCAUGUGGAGCAAGUUAUUGCAGAAUUGGGAUUGAGCAGGUGCCGCAACAGCAUGAUAGGAGGACCUCUAUUUCGAGGAAUAUCAGGUGGAGAGAAAAAGAGGGUCAGCAUUGGCCAAGAAAUGCUAAUCAAUCCAAGCCUACUGCUGCUAGAUGAGCCCACCUCGGGGUUGGACUCGACCACAGCCAUGCGCAUUUUGACCACGAUCAAGCGUCUUGCUAGUGCUGGUCGGACGGUGGUAACCACAAUCCAUCAGCCUUCCAGCCGGCUCUAUCAUAUGUUUGAUAAGCUGGUCUUGUUGUCGGAGGGCAGCCCAAUCUACUAUGGUCCUGCAUCAACUGCCCUGGAAUACUUCUCUUCAAUUGGCUUUUCCACAACACUCACCGUCAAUCCUGCAGAUUUCUUGCUUGACCUUGCGAAUGGUAAUCAGAUAAUCAAUAAGACCAACUCUUUUUCUGUCCUUUAUCAGUCAAAGAACUUCGGACAGCUUGAGUUUUCAAAAAACCUGCUAUCCAAAUGAAAUUCAAGAAUCAACUCUAAGAAUAGGCUCUAGAUAUUUGCAUGUAACAUAUACUUUUUAUGCUGCGAAGUUUAAAGCUGAAUCAAGUUUCGAUAGACCGAGCAACAAAAGUGAAAAAAAAAUCUAUAUAUUCAUCAGAAUCCUGACCAGUUACCAUUAAAACUUUUCAGGAAUUGGGCCUGACGCCAAGCAUGCAAUUGAGCUAGGUGAAAGUGCUGAGAAGGAACAAAAAUUAGUGAGAGAAGCUCUGAUAUCCGCUUAUGACAAAAACAUUGCUACAAGGUUGAAAGCUGAGCUAUGCAGUUUAGACAUCAAUAAUUAUGCUUACGCAAAGGAUUCUUCCACUAGUGAGUUCAAUAGCCUUCCUCUCAAAUAAGUUAUCUUUCUCAAUCACAUAGAAUUAUUAGACUUCAGAUAGUUCUCACUUCUCUCAUUUCAAAUUCUGUCUAAUUUACAGUUGUUUUCUGGUGUUCAAUCAAAUGCAGAACGUGAUGCAAAGUCAGAGCAAUGGUGCACGAGCUGGUUUUAUCAGUUCAACGUGCUGCUACUGCGGGGGCUUAGGGAGCGGAGGUAUGAAACCUUCAACAGACUAAGAAUUUUCCAAGUCAUCAGUGUUGCAAUACUUGGCGGACUUCUCUGGUGGCAUACCCCAAUGUCCCACAUUGAAGAUCAAGUAAGAAUGGAUCCACUUACUCACAUUAUUUGCAUAAACAAUCAUAGUGGCAGCUGUCACUUUCUUUUGAAGGCCAUGAUAAUUAUGAGGCUGUUCUGGUUGCUUUAGAUUUUACUAAAAGUUGUUUAAUCAGAAUCACCAAAGCCUACUCUUGCAUAGGUUCUAGAUAAAUCUAAAAAUUUAGGUUGUUUUCUUGUUAGAAACUCUAAAAUUUUAGUUUUUUAGCUUGUUAGAAAAUCUAAAAUCUAGACAUAAAAGCAAAUGAGAACAGCUAAAAAAAACUAAUUUUUCAGAUCAGAAUCUAAAAUCAGGUGAAAGAAUCAAACGAGAACGUCCGCUAUAUCAAGAAUGCAUCUUGAUGUUGAAUAGACCAAGUCAUUGGAAGACCAUUAGAGGGCGCCCACAUCUGAUAAUGCGCAUGAUCUACAGAAAAUCGCCGAGAGUACAGUUAUUAUCAUUUUACCUUGAGAGUUCUUUGGAAGCCUCUAUAUUCAAUGAAGACAUAAGAUAUGCUUCUUCAAAUAAAACAGCUACUUCUAAGAGAUACUAACCUAAGUUCAUUUCCUAUAUGCAGAUUGCUAUGUUAUUCUUCUUCUCUGUUUUCUGGGGCUUUUACCCAAUCUACAAUGCUGUUUUCACUUUUCCCCAAGAAAGAAGGAUGCUUAUCAAGGAAAGAUCAUCUGGAAUGUACCAUCUGUCCUCCUACUUUCUAGCUAAAACAGUGGGCGAUCUUCCACUAGAGCUUGCUCUGCCAACUGCCUUUACCUUCAUAAUUUAUUGGAUGGGUGGGCUCAAACCAGAACCAGCCACCUUCAUCCUUUCCCUUCUCAUUGUUCUGUACAGUGUCCUUGUUUCGCAAAGUCUAGGAUUGGCCUUUGGUGCAAUACUUAUGGACGUAAAGCAAGCUACUACCUUAGCAUCAGUAACAACGCUAGUUUUCCUCAUUGCUGGUGGUUACUAUAUUCAACAAAUCCCUGCUUUCAUAGUCUGGUUAAAGUACUUGAGUUACAGCUACUACUGUUUCAAGCUGCUUCUUGGAGUGCAAUACAAUGGGAAUGAUUAUUAUGAGUGCUCCAAGGGAGUAUAUUGCCGGGUUGCAGAUUUCCCUUAUGUCAAAUCAGUAGGUCUAAACCAUUUGUGGAUUGACGUGUCCAUCAUGGCACUCAUGAUGGUGGGCUAUCGGUUCAUUGCUUAUCUAGCAUUGCGCAGGGUCAGAUGAAGAAGGUUCAAUUCAGGAGCAUGAUCACCAAGGCCUGUUGAAGAGUUUUCCAUUUCUUCAACUGAGCAAUAAUCUUAGGUUUAGAUGAGAAUGCCACUGUCAGAUUAUGAUCACAAGUACCUGGAUAGUUGGAUGUAUCACAUUCUGGCAAUGGUUUGCAAAAAACUGACUUACAAAAGUGAUCAAGAUUUGCACAAUAAAUGUGUAACACUCUUAAUAGUAAGACCCAGUCUUAUAGAAGGAGAAUGAUUUUCCCAGUGUCAAAAAAGAGGGCAUGUUAAGGCAACUCAAAGUCCACUGUAUUCCAGAUCCAUGUGGGGGCAUUACAAUCGCCACUUUAUGGUAGUAACUCCUACAGAUGCAUUGACCACAAAAAGAAGGCACUCUUUUAAAGAAUAAGCAAAUUUAAGUACAUAGAGUAAUUAUAUUGGACAAACGUUUUAUGUCUGGAAGUGCACCAUAACAUUGCUUUUAUCUAUCUUCUUUGUUCAGUCUCUCUGUUGUCUAAUCCUAAGUUUAUAGUAGGGACAGAAAGUGGGACUAAGAACACUUUUGGCUUCUAAUCAAGGUCAUGGUCUGAAGGGCCACGAAGACCUCUUUAUCUUUAAGGAGACGUUUGAACAUAUUUUGUUGCUACAUCUUUAAAUCUUUAUACAGUUCCAGGACAUGUCAUACAUGUUUACUGUAUGGACAGGAGGAGGGAUUCAACAUAAGCUUUUUUCAAUGGCAUGGAGAUUUUGACGGAAACCAGAAAUUCUGUGAAUAUUUUUGCAAAAAGAAGUCAAACCCUUGAAUCUUGAUGUAAAACAGAAGUCAAAAAAAUGGAGAGAUAACUACAGAAUUGAAAAUAUAAUUUUCCGAAAAAAUUCUCAAUCAACAAUCAGCUGAUUAUGCAGGACAAAAGGUGGUCAAAAACGAUUUGAUGUGGUUGACAAACUUCAAUCUCAAGAAUAAUAGAUCUCAAUUUUCCUGUUUAUCACAUGGACUGGACAAUAAAAACAAACAAGAAAGGAGGAGCACAGAGAAUCAAGCAACAGAACACUAUACCGGAGAAGGCUAGCAAUUCUAACCUCAAUUCCAGAAGCCAUAUUUCUUCGUGGUGAUGAGAGAAAUUCUUGAACUGCAUGAUAUCGAAAGGAGGUCAAGUUCCACAUGAUGCUGAUACAGUAGCGGCUGCAACAUUAUGCAAACAAGAAGUGACCCCCAAAAUCCUUGUCAUUUUUACGUCAACGUAGUACCCCAUGCACCGCUCCCUAUAAGGUUCUAGAUUAACAAUAAAGGCCUGAAAUCCAUAGAAUCCUGCUCAUCUCUCGGAUAGAUUAAUGGUUGCAGAUAUCCAUUGAUGGCUAAUGAAGCAGAUCUUGCGUUAGCUGUUAAUUAGAAGGUUGGUAGAAAGGAGAAAUGGAAGAAAUAAACACAGAUACAAGCUGAAGUGGAUUCAAUUCUUCGAGACGGGCCACGAAAGGCCAAGUUGAGAGGGAAUUGUGAUCAGUACAUGAUGAACACCCGGCGACACCUAUGCUGAAUGAGUACAUGACUCCAAUACAGGUCAACAAAAUUGCAAUGAAUCUGCUGAUUUCAUGAUGAUUCUAAGGCAACUGGAGAUCACUGCUGACAGAAGUCAAGACAACUGGCUACCGAAAAUUUGAUAUUUCUUUAAUAUGCAAUGUCUCGUGAAUCUACCUCUCCCAGUCAGGCUUGAAGCCGCAGAACAAUCCAGAAUUUUUAGCGAAAUAACCAUUCCAUUUCAAAUUUUUCAUACUGAGCAAAGCUUGAGACUUAAAUUAACUAAUGCAAGAAGCUAACCUCAUGUAGAUCAAAGUACAAUUGACAAGAAGCAAAUAAGCAAACCCAUAGAGCAUGGUUCACUGUUGCGGAUCACGGUCGUGGAUGUUCCACAUCCGUCGCAGCAUAUUGAUUGAACAUCGGGUGAUACAUACAUUAUAAUAAAUAAAAUUUUCCAAAAAAUCUGAAAAAAUUACUAAAAAUAGAGAAUACCAUAAAAGGCACAAUUACCAAAUUAAAUUUACUAAAUACCUACAUGAUCAUAAAUAGUUACUAAUUAUUUAAAUAAAAUAAUGCUGCCAUUACCAUAAACCUAUAGCAUUAGCAAUAAAUGAUUUUAGCAUCAAGUGUGCUUUCUAAUCCUAUUUUAUAUGAGAUCAAAAAUUAUAUAUAAAAAUAAAAUCAUCAUAUCUUACAUAAUACAAUACGAAUCCCAGUACACAAAGGAAGUAGUGGUGUUUAGUUCAAUACAAUAAAAGAAACAAAUACCUAUUAAAUAAUAUUAUGAAAUAUAAAGACAUAAAGAAGCAAGUGUUUUCACCAUAUUCUCAAUACACAUUUUCAUCCUAUAUUGAUCCCAAUUUCCUAAAAUAAAAAAUAAUAAAUAUCACUGAAAUAUUAAAAUUAAUGAAUUAUGUACAACUAUUGAAUUCUAUCAAAUAUAGUAAAAUUAUAUUUUUACUUUGUUUACAUACCUAUUAAUACCAUGUGGAAUGACGAGGAGGUUCAAAAUCAUGCUCAUCUCCCAACCGAUUAUAGUAAGAAUAUAACAUUUGUAGUUAGUUUCCUUCAUGUGAAUAAGGAGAAAUGUAUGAACCAUAUUGUUCGUCUCUUAAAUUUGAUGACGUACUAGAUAAACCAUGAUUAAAAUGUGACAAAGGUGGUAGAUUUGAUCUUAAUGAACCCUCGAUAGUGUAAACUAUCAGUGGUGCUAUUAGAUGAACCAUAAUUGUGUUCAUAAUAGCCAAUGCUACUUGAUUCAGAUGUAGAUCCCUCAUGAUAUAUUCUAGUUGGCUGAUGAUAAUAUUCAUUAGUAGAAACACUAGUGGACCUCUGAAGAUGGCUAGCUCCACUAUAUGAUCCGUAUUCAGAGUAAUAACAAGUAGAACCUGCAUGUAAUCGCUCAAACUCAUGUCCUAGCCACCUAGUACCCAAACUAUUACCAGAAUUAUAGACUCCAUAUGAAUGACCUAUAUUUAAAUCUUGCAUGAGCUUAUGAAAUUCAGAAUAUCUCCUAGAAUUUGAGUAGUAAAAAGAGUCACCUUCACUCAAAAAUUCAAUUAUUCUGCUCAAAUGCUGCUACUGUGCUUUUAUGCCACGAUGAUAUCCAUGAUCAGUGUCUUGAGUAGCAUACUAGUUAUUAUCUGUUUGAACCCAUGACAUGCCACCAGUACAUUAGCUAUUAUGAUAGUUACCACCACUACCACUAAAAUUUUUUGUUAAGAAUGUCUCGUGUUUGCCCCUCCAUUAUCAUCAUCAUCUUUUCCACCGCUAGAGGUGUUGGUAGAGAAAGAUGAAAUGGGUUUUGAUAUAAUUUUUUUCUAUCUAGUACUCUUGUCUUUGCUCAUAAAUACUUGCUCUUUAUGUUUCUUUUUCAUACCAAUUAUGAAUUGAGACAAAAGCAUAUCAUUAUCAUCAUCAUUAUGAUGACUUUGUUCUCUCCCUCCCUUCACUUUCAUUGAUGUAUUUAUUCAACCAACUUAAAUCAUCUUCACAAAUCAAUCGCGGCUCAUUUUCUCAAAUCCACUCAUCUAAUAUAUCAUUUUCAUCAAAAAUGUGAUUUAAAUAAAUUGGGUUAUAAAAAUCAUCGGUGUCAUUUUUAUACAUCAAAUUCUUCAUUCUGAGCCACAUGUUGUAGCGCACAAAUACCAACUUGUUCAACAUUUCAAUUGGCAAUUGAUUUCAAAGUUUUGUAUGUAUCAAAGACCACGUACUCCAAAUUCUUUCAUAACCAGAUGAUGUACAAGUUUGACUCAGAACUUUAAUUACAAUUUUUCUUAAAUUAGGAACUUCUUCACCAUAUAUGUUCCACCAUAUAGCUAUUAAAAACAUAGAAUGCAAAAAAAUAGUAAAUAUGAUGCAUAUAUAACAAGUAUCCUUAAACUGAUAUAAUAAUGCAUAAUAUAAUUUAAAGGACAAAAUCAUAUUUAUUAACCUGAUAAAGAUGUAGCUACUGCUUUAAUUGCAAGUGCACUUCCAAACUCUCCAAUGUUGUUCACAAAUGUGUUUGUCUAAGGAUACCACAAAGUUAGAAUAUUAGAAAUUUAAAAAAACACAUAAAGUAAUGCAGAUUAAUAAAUAAUGGCUAUUAUUUUACCUUAUUCAUUGCUUUUGCUUGCAUUUCUAAAUUUAGUUCAAACCUUUUAAUUACUUCUUUCAAUCCUUUUCUAAUUUCAGAUGUAUUAAAUUCACAAGUGCCAGAAUAUUGAAGAACGAGAUUUAAGAAAUAGGCUGGACCAAUGACAUAAAAAAUAAUCAAGUGGGAAAAUCUUUAGCACAAAAUAAUUUGUUUAAAAAAAUAUUUAUUUAUAAGUGUCAAACAUAAUGACCUGUUGCAUGCAAGUCUUGUGUAAAUGCUUAUACCAUCUGUCAUCAAUAAUAUCACAGUAUUUUUGAAAGUCUUUCACUGCAAUUUAUAUUGUCAUUUUAGCCUUAUCCAUUUUCUCAUAUAUAAUGGGUAGUGUGGGUUUUUUAUCCUAAUCGAUCACUUUUAAAACUUUCACUAGCGGCUCCAUGAUUGCACAUACCCACCAUACCUUUUUCCAAAAUCUUUCUAACAAAAUCAAGUCAAACACUUCAGCAUCUUCUUCCCUUCUUUUAGAACUGCUAUUAUACUCUUACCACUCAUUUGAAGUACACAUUCGUUUCAACUCGGUAGCAUGAUGAAGAAGACUUUCUAUUGCAAUGAUCUCGGUAGCAAAUCUUGUUAUGUCAGGUUACAAUAACUCUCUAUUAUUUGUAUAUGUCUUCAUUAGAUUUACCAUUUUGUCACUAUUGUAUAUAAAACUGGUAAUUCUCCUACCUUGUUUGAUGGCAUCUUUUAUUGACUUCAUCUGAUCAAUGUCUUCCAAAAUCAAAUCAAUGCAAUGCGUAGCACAUGGUGACCAGAACAAAUGCUUCCUUUUCUUCAUCAAUUGCUCCCCAGUUGCUUUCAUACUAGAUUCGCUAUCAGUGACAAGUUGUACAAUAUUUUCUUCUUCAAUGGAAUCCACAACCUUAUCCACUAAGGAUAAAACUGGUAAUUCUUCUACCUUGUUUGAUGGCAUCUUUUAUUGACUUCAUCUGACCAAUGUCUUCCAAAAUCAAAUCAAUGCAAUGCGCAGCACAUGGUGAUCAGAACAAAUGCUUCCUUUUUUAUUAGUUGCUCCCCAACUGCUUUCAUACUAGAUUCGCGAUCAGUGACAAGUUGUACAAUAUUUUCUUCUUCAAUGGAAUCCACAACCUUAUCCAUUAAGGAUAAGACAAAAUUUGCAGCCUCUACCUUGUUUGUACUGUCGACAAAGUUGUGGUAUAUUAUGUCUCUAUCAUAGUACACCAUGAAAUUAAUGAUUGGAUGCUUUGUCCGAGUACUCUAGCCAUCACACAUGAUUGUGCACCCAUAUGUUUUCCAUUUGUGUUUAAUGGAACUAAUUGUCGGUCAACGUCUGCCAUCUCCUUAUUUAGAUAUUCACCUCCAAUUUGUCUACCUGUUGGCCCUUUAAAUCCAAGUCCAGCACUAUCAAUUGUGUCAAUCAUCGAUUGAUAAUAAGUUCCACAAUCAGCCACAUGAAAUGGUAUGGCAUUAAAAUGAAAAAAUUUUGCAAUUGCCUUACCAACUUUUUUGUCAUUUUCUUUGGAAAAUUAAUCUUUUAUUGACUUAUUUUUUAAGGGAAACAUGUAUGGAUCAAUUCCUUUGACCCCAAACCUCCUGCCUUAAACUUAAAACUCUGUGAGAAAGCUCUUUUACUUCUAGAGAACAAUAGAUUAGGUAUAUUCGAACUACUACUCCCUACAAUAUAGUACAUAAAAGAUUGUAAUAUUUUUUUAUUAAAUAAGUCUUGUACUCUAAAAAUGAUAUAUUAAUUUUUAGAUAUUUCUACAUACAUACCAGACGUAAAAUUCAUAGUUGGCUAACUUCCAGAUACAUAAUGCCUAGGUUGCUCUUCCAUAAAUCUCAUGUAUCUACUUUCAUCCAUAGCUCACUUGUAUUGCUUUCUUUCUAAAGCUUCCAUUUCAUCUUCCUUAAGUUUGAAGAUAUCAUCCUCGUUUUCACCUAGCAGAUUGAUGGAAUGGAGUAAUGAUUGUUUUUUCUUUUGUAUUUCAACUAUUGCACUCUUACCUUAAAUCAAGUGUUUCUUUAAAAGCUCUCUUAUUUCUUUUGGAGCUACAGGACAUGUUUUUACUUGUCGUGCUACAUGGCUAAUAUGUUGUUUCAUCCUUAUAAUUCCUCAGUGUACAAUUUUACCACAAUAAUUGCACUUUGUAACCUUUCUGGUAAUGACCAGUUGGAGUAACAUGAUCCCCACCAAUGCCUUGAUUUGAACCCAUUUUACAAUGUCCUUAAAUUAGUUAAAUAAUUGUAGGUGUGAUGUUAAACAUGCAAAUAUGUGUUAUUCAGAUAAGAAUAAAAUUAUUAAAUUUUAUUAUCUAAAUAUAUUAAAAAUUUUCCGAUCAAGUUUAAUUAUACAAGAUAAUCUAUACUUUCACAAUUUGCCCACUUCAAUUUUUUUGUUUAACUAAGUGGAACUUGUAAGUAAACUUUUUUUUUCCUUUUUCUAAUUAAUUUACCUAAAAUCAUUUUAACCAAUAUAAUUGAGAUAUAUGAAAUAAAUAAAUUACAUUAUUGAUCAUUAAAAUGUAUCCAAACAAUAACUAUAUAUUUUCUAACUAAAACUUAGAUAAGAAACUACUGAUAUUAUAUAAUAUAUUAAAUAUAAAAUUAGCAAUGUAAUAAAAAACAUCAUAUACUUAAUAAUGUAUAAAAAUGCCAAAAUGCAUUGCAUAAAUUUACAAAUAUUGAAAUAUCACAUCUGAAUACUAAAUCCAGAAAAAUUAAAAUUGAGAAACUACUUUGAAAGAAGAUGUGGACCUUUUGGCCUGAUGUUUGAGUUUAAGAUUAGGAGUCCAAUCUCCUAAUUACUUAGGCCAAAUUUGGACUUUAAGAGUUUUUAAUUUUUGCUUCUUUUUUUUCCUGUCUUUGGCUCCACUAGAAAAGCCCAACUACUCCAAUUUUAGCUGAGUUCCACGUACUCCAAAUUUAGUCGUUGCUUUGGUUCUUUCUUCUCCCUUUUGCUCUUUCUUCUCUUCUCUGUAGACCAAUUGUCGAGCCCUAUUUCUAAAAAAAAUGAAUUAAUGAUUAAAAAAUGAAUUUUUAUUUUAAAGAACAUUGGCGUAUAAAAAUGUAAUUUUUAUUAAAAGAUGAGUAAAAAAUGAGUUUUAGUUCUUGAUUAGUUUUUAUUUUAGUUUUAAAUUUUGUAAAAAUAAAAAGAAAGAAAAAGAGCCUAAAAUGGGACUUAAAAAGUGCGACAGUUUUGGCUCAAAAUAAUAGUCUAAAAAGGGUUUCUAAGAAAAAUAGGAGUGGUCACUUGGUAUUGAGUUAAGGUGUACCAAAUCACCCAAAAUAUGUUUUUAAGAUAAAAGAUAAAAAAAAAUAAACCCUUUUUAAAUGACUCCAGAUUUUUGAAAAGAAGAGAAAAGAGUUCGGGAGUCACAGUUGAAAAAAUGGAAGGCAAAGAUUUGAUAGAAUCAAACCUAAGGCACCCUGUCAACCUAGCCAAAGUUAGUUGCGAGAUUUAGUCGAAAAUUUUUCGAGCCUUACCUAUGAAAACUUAUCACAUUAGAAUGUUUCUAUAUGGAUGCAAACCUAGACCUAGGGGGGUAUCGAGAGGGUCGAGCUGUCUCUUCAAAAUUUAAAUGGUGCAAUCACAUUAAUUGUGAUGCCCAAAAUGAUUUUUAGAAAAGGUUACGAAUAUGCAAAAGAUAAGAAUAGAAGAAAAGAAGAAUUAUAAUAUAUAAAUAUACAUGACCUAAAAGAGAGGAAUGCAACAUAACGGGUAUGAGGGAUCUAAAUUCGUGACUCAAUUUUCCUUUCUCUAGAGGAGAUACAAACGUGUUAAGCCUUAGAAACUAUACUCGUCCAUUUCCCAUAUUUGAAGAGUGACUCUCCUAACUAGUCAAGCAAAUGAACUAACCUAUUUCUCAUUUCCUAUUGGAAUGCAAGUCUAAAUGUCAUGUUUCACACACAUAGGGGUAAGUGAGAUAAGGAAAUUUCAUGCCAAUGAAGAAAAGGAUCCUAAAGGUGAAAAGUAUGCAUGAAAUGCAAUAAAUGUCAAACAAAGUAUGAAUUCUAACGCGAAAACGGCCUAAAAGGUCUAGCAUUGUACUAACUCAUUUCUAUAAGUCCUCACUAGCGUUGAACUAGUGAGAAAUCGGGGAGCAAACCACAACUAACAUUGGACUAGUGUGAUGACGUCAUGCAUUUAUUAUAACUAAAUAAAUCAUAUAAAACAUAAUUAAAACAAGUAAACACAUAAUGCACAUAGAAUGCAUAACAAAUAGGCAUAAUUUCUAGAUGCAAAACCCUAGUGAAAGCGAAUAAACAUGUAAACACACAAGCAUGCAAGCACACAAGCAAAUAAAUGCAAAUAAAAGCUUAACUAUAACAUUCGAGACCCUAACUACAAUCUAAGAGGAAAUUUUUUUUUAAAAAAAAAAUAACCUAACUAUUACAUUUAUCUAACUAAAUACAUUUUUGACAAAAAUUAAAACCUAUCUAUUACAUAUGCUAACUAAAUACAUGUCUUGAGUAUCUAUCUAUUACAAAUUGACAUUUAAAUGCCCUCAAAUAAUCAUCAAAAAUUAAAUAUAAUAAAUAAAAAUUUAAGAUGAAUAAAAUUCAUAAAUAAAAGAAAAAGCACUCAAAACAUGCAAUCACAUAUAAAAAGCACAUAAGAGCACAUAAAGGAAUUUAAAAUAAUACUAGAAGGUAUCUCCCUUUGAAGUAUUGGUUAAAUGAAGUUGGAUUUGCCCUAUUAUACUCCAAGAUCAACAAAAUGGUCAAAACAUCAAUUUAAUUAACAAAUAAAUUAUAAAGCAACGGAAAUAACCAUGAAAUCUAGCAAUUAAAACAUUUAAAUAAAGUAUAAUUAACAAUUAAAGAAGAUAAACAACUUACAUUUAAGAAAUCAAAACUGUCAGAGACCUAAUUGCAAAAUUGAGAACGUUUUUGGGAUCAAAUAAUAAUUAUUACAAAAAAGGGGUCAAAUCAAAGAAAAAUAAAGUUUAGGAACCAAAUUACAAUUAAAUUAGGGACCUAAUUGAAAGAAAUAAAAAAAAUUUAGGGCCAUAAUAUAAUUACUUAGAAGUAUAGGGACCAAGUUGCAAUUUUCAUUUUCUGGUUUGGCCAGAAAGGGCCUUGGGCAUCCUUCAAAUUUUUCUUUGGGCCAAAGUUACCUAGGCUUAAUGAAAAGUCCAGAAAAAUGGGUGGACUAGCCUGUCAUUUUUACUAAACUAAGUCUGGUGAAAAAAGGUUGGGCUUAAACCCCAAGUUCGGUCAUAAACCCAAGCAAAAAGGAAAAUCUUGGCCCAAAUUUUUUUAACCCAAAACAUGUUUUAUCAACCCAUCAUGGCCCAUAUCAGAUCAAAUGAAGUAAAACAAACAAGAUAAAAUUGGAGGAAAAUAGAAAGAAAAUAAGUGAAAAGCAUUCUGGCGGGUCUGAAAACAUUCGCCGGAAUCCAUUUUUACCGGCUUUUAAAGCCGAAUAUUGAUAUAAACAUACUCCCCAUGAUCUCUUGAGUUAGUUAAAACAUCAAACAUCACCAUUUAAACAACAAAAUUGUGAGAAAAAAGAGAUCUAAGAUGCAAAACCCGUAAAACUCAUGUAAUAGCUUAAAAAACACAUGAAAAACGUUAGAACAACCAAGAAAAAGGGUUAUAAUUACCUGAGGAAGUUAGGGAACUUGAAUAGAUGCGAGAAAUCACAGUGAAGCGUGCCCUGAUUCCGAAAGUGAAGCAAAACACUUCUUGUCGUAGAAGUUUAAGAGUUGAGAAACUGGCAACUUCAGGCUCGAAUUCGAAGGUUCUGGAAGUGUUUUUUCAGGAAACUUUCAACAUGAAAACUCCCCUACUACGUCCAUGAAGUAUCCAGAAAUCAAGAAUCGAUCUCAAAGAAGUCAAGACGAAGAAGAAAAUGGCGUCUGAACAGGGCUGCCCGUUCAUUCCUAACUCAAUUUUUUCUGAAAAUUCCCUGCUACUUUUUCUUCUUUUUCCUUCUCUGUUUUCCUUCCUUUUCUAUUUUUCGGCCGCCUCCAACUCUUUUUUCUACCCUAAUGGCCGCAUUUCUAUGCAUUUAUAUGGAACAAAAACCCUCCCCCCAAACCCUAUGAGCAAUGGUGGAGAUUGGUUGGCUUUUUGGGGAUGAUUUGGAGCAAUUAGAUGGCUGAUUUUGGAUAAGAAUUGGAAGAUGAUUUGACCCUUGUACUGGGGGGCUCAAAAGGAAAGAAAAAAUGAGUGGAAUUAGGAUCAAAUGGCCGCUGCAAUUCUCUGGUACUAUGGCCUCGUUGCUAGUUUUGUACCAGUUUUCAUGAAGGAAAAUUUUUUUUUUUAUAAAAACUGAUUUUAAUUUUUGUUUUCUGCUUUUUUGUUUUCUUUUAUUUCUAAUUUUCUAAAAAUAAAUUGAAAUUAUUUUCUUCAGAAAUAGAAAUGAAACAAAAUAAACUAAAAUAAAUAAAAUUUAAACAAAAUGAACUAAAAAUGAACAAAAAAUAGGAAUAAAAUGAAGAAAAAUAAAAUGGUAACAUUUUGGCGUUUACAACUUGCCUCUCUUUAUCUGAGUUUCGCAAAAAAUCGAGAUAAAGACGUAGACACUGUGACGACCCCACUUCUCCUUAGGGUGUGAGCCGCCUACCUAGCUUUCGUCAGGGCUCAAUACGAGUCAAAUUUAAAGUUAAAGGUAAUCAACCACUAAUAAAAGUUAAUAUAAAGAAAAGUCGCUUCCUUAUAUAAUCAUUUGAGUCUUAUAUCACAAAGUUUCCAAAAGGUACAUCAAAUUUCCCCAAAAAUACAACCACCAUAAGUCGACUAAUCAAUUACAUUCAUAAUUGUACCAAAAUAAAGUCAAGACAGCUUCUCCAAAAAUCUUUCCAUUCCGAGCCCCUGUUAAGGAAAACAAACUACGGGGGUGAGUUAACAUUUAGUGAGGCCAAGAAAAGCAUGCAAACACAUAAGUUCAAGUAACAAUAACACUGGUACAAGAAAUAUAGUUAGAAAGUUCAUGUAAUUCACAAAUAACAGUAAAACACAAUCAAUAAGGAUACGGGAGCUCUCAGGAGCUAAAUUCCCCUUUGCUUUGCCAAGGCUUGAUCCAAUACCUCCACGUGAUGACACUCCGUCAACCGAGUAGGUAGCAAGUCCGUAGAAACCCCGCUUACUUCCUCCAUCCCUCAUUUCACCCCCUUGGAUCCGUAACCAAACACUCACUGGAAGGGCGAUACUACUCGAGUAUGGCAAGCAAGAUCUCAAAAGAUCAAACUUAUAAUUUUCUCAUGGUUCACCGGGCUUCUCGACCAAGCCCAUACUGGCUCAAGUCGCAAGGUUAGCCAAUGAGUUUUGGGCGUCCCCAAAUGUACAAAUACAAUUUGCCAAGUUCACGUAAUUCAAUUAUCAAGUCACAUUCACACAAGUCAAUUAUCUAGUCAAGUAAAAGAGAACGAGUGCGAUAAAGUACACACUCGUCUUGACAAGUCCAAAUCACUUAAUUAACAAGAAACAAUUCAAGUAUUUAGCAACAAUUCAUGCACUUGACACUCACCAAAUCAAAAGUAAGUGAGCCAAUAAGGCCUUUAGUUGUCUGCACUGAGAUUCCCUUCGAAACUCUCUUGAGCACCUGAAGAAAAAGUGACCAACCAUCACUCACGUAUACUUUAGACCUCUUAACAUUCAAGAAAGAAAAUGCACUUGCUUAAAAUUAAGACAACGCCUUAAAAGAGCUUUUCUCAUCGAACAUCGAGAUUCAAAAAUGAGAAUUUAAAAUCUCAAGUGAACUCAUAUCAUUCAUGAAAUCGAGUUUAAAAUGAACCAUCAAUCUCAAAAGGAAGUUGGAAGUUCAUAAAAGUUCAUUUCUUAAGAAAUCAGAAAUUUCCAGUUUUACGAGACAAUACUUGGAAAAUCAGAUCUUGAGUUUGGUAAGUCCAAAAAUGGGAAACUUUACACCGUUGGAAACUAGAUUCAUAGUACUAAAACUAAAAAUCAUUCAAAUCUCAGCUCAAAGCUACUAUUUCAUGAAGACACUUUUCCCAGAUUCCAACUAAAAAUCAUUCAAAUCUCAGCUCAAAGUUACUAUUUCAUGAAAUCAGGGCCGAACCAGUCUUGAUUUUUCAGUAAUGUUUGGAAAUUCAAAAAAAAUUCACAGAAAUUGAAUUAGCCUCUAAAAUUUAUAACACAGCAAGAGUUUCAAGUAAAGUUUCAAACACAACCAGAGGAACUAAAUUUGGAUUUUUGAACAGCAAGAUACAACAGUUUGAAGAUGGCUGGAUUUCACAACCUGUCCAACAAUUUUCCAGUUACCAGCUUUGACACCGUUUUGAAAUCAAACCAUAUCUAACUCUACACAAGUCCAAAUUGAGGAUGAUUUAUGGCGUUAGAAACUAGAUUCAAAAUGUUUCAAAUCAUCAGAAGACAUCAUUUUCAAACUCUUUUUACAAGUGAGACAAAAUUAAGCCACAAGAUACAAUUUCACAGUUUCUCGAGGAUAAACAGGUAAAACAGGUCAGUCCACUUUACUGAUUCGUUACGGGUCACUCAAAACGAAUUAGCAAGGAAAUUUUAUAUCGUUUGAAAGCUCUUGGUAUCUAGUUUUAAAUGCCAAAAACGGCACUUAACUUCGACUUUUGUACAAAGAUUUAUGCUCAGACAAAGUACCCCUAGUCGGCUGCCCUGGCAGCUAUUUUCCAGAUUUCUACCUUUCCACAAAACCCAAGUUUAAUGUAACCAAUUGAAAUGAUUUUUGAAAGACAAUUUCUACACACAUAAUACAACAUAUAACAAGCAUUUUAGCAGCCAUAUAACCAACAAAAAUUCAAAAUCCAAGCAAGACAACAGGGCAGCAAAUUCGGCCAGCCCCUCUCAAGAGUUUCUUUUAACUUUCUUUCCUCUUACCAAGCCAAUGUCAAGUCACUCAUCACACAAACAACAACAAUCAAGUAAAAAGCCUCAAGUCCACUACCUAAAGGCCACCUCAAGACCACUAGCCUAGGAUAUAAAGCAAGAAAUAAAAGUUCCUCAAGUCCUCUAGCCUAACUUCUUGAUUAAGGUUUCAAACCCAUGAAAUACAACCUUUACUUUUGGUAAAAUUUGAAACAUUAAAGAAGGAUGAGCUUGUUACCUCUUCAAGUUCUUGAACCCUAGGAAGAGCCAAGUUAUGCACCACUAACCACCAAGAAUUCACCACAAGAUGGAAGCUUCCUUCAAGUUGGAUCAACUACUAAAGGUUUGGAGGAUUUUGUAUGGAUCUUGGAGCAAGAUUGGUGAAGAAAAAUUGGAGCUUUUCUCCCUUCUUCUUGAGCUAGAGAGGGUCGGCCAUGGAGAGGAGAAAAAGGGGAGAAAGUGAGCUUUGAAAUGUGAUGGAAAAGUGAGGUGAAAGGUAGCUUUUGGAGGGUAAAAGUCAACUUUGAAUAGUAGCUCUAAUAGUGUCAUGCACUACCAAUUCGUUCUUGUUUGCUACACUUAAAUACUAAUCCUCUAAGGUGGUUCCUCUAACACUACAAAUACUCAUACUUACUAGUCUAAAAUUAAUUCUCCAAAAUUAUUGCACUUUCGGAUCGAAUAUCGCCUCGAAAAAUGUGUAUUCGCUAUUCCUUACUAGACGAGCCGCAGAAAAAUUAAAUUUGCUAACGGAACGUUUUAAAAAAAUAUAAAUGAGACAUUGCUCCAUGCAAAUAAAAUUAAAGUGGUUAAAAUAAAUUAUUCGGAGAAAACGGGUAAAUAAAUAAUUAAAUAAGCCAGUAAAAUAAAAUAAAAGUAAGAAAAAUUUGGGUCCUCACAAACACCAACUUAUUUACCUUUCUGGUUCAGCUGCAAUUGAAACAACUAGUAAAGCCUAAUUAAUCAGAAAACCCAAGCUUAGAAAACAAAAGAUUGGUGAGAUAAAAUCCAAACCUAACAAAAUAAAGGUUGGUGGGAUAAAACCCAAAUCCAACAUGGUUGAUGGAAUAAAACCCAAAUUUAACGAAAUAACAGUUGGUGGGAUAAAACCUCAACCCAACAAAAAAAACGGUUGGUGGGAUAAAAUCCAAACCAAUGAAAUGGCAGUUGGCAGGAUAAAAUUCAUUUCCAACAAAAUAGCGGUUUGUGGGAUAAAAUCCAAACCCAACAAAAUAGACAAAAUAACAGUUGGUGGAAUAAAAUUCAAACCCAAAAAAAUAACGGUUGGUAGGAUAAAAUCUAAACCUAACGAAAUAUCAGUUGGUGGAUAAAAUCCAAAUCUAACGAAAUAGUGGUUGGUGGGAUAAAAUCCAAACCCAAUAAAAUAACGGUCGAUGAGAUAAAAUUCAAAUCCAAUGAAAUAAUAAUUGGUGGGAUAAAACCCAAAUCCAACGAAAUAACGGUUGGUGGGAUAAAAUUCAAAUCCAACGGAAUAACGGUUGGUGGGAUAAAACUCAAUUCCAACAAAAUAACGGUUGAUGGGAUAAAAUCCAAAUCCAACAAAAUAAAACCCGACGAAAUAACAAUUAAUAGGAUAAAAUUCAAACCCAACAAAAAAAAGGUUUACAUGAAAAUGUGUUUGAAUCAAAAGCUGUGAAGUGAUUUUUGCUAUUUUACUAAACAAAUGUUAAACUUACUUGUAGAAUCAGAUAUCACUUUCGUGACAAAAUUUGUCCCAGUGUAAAUCAGACUUAGCUAAAUAAUUGUUGUUUUCUGUUCCUUCAAAAAGACAUGUCUAGUCCAAUCCUGCAAAAGGAAAUAAAAACAACUGUGAUAAAAUAUAAUGCCAUUACCGUGCGAUCCCUCAAACCUUGAGAAACAUGAGUCUUUUGAUAUCGGGCGACUGUUCGAUUUAAACAUCUUGUUUAACCUUCCUUUUGAUCUGCUAGUAUCUGUACUCAAUCAACCAUACUUAUACCAUAGAUAUACACUCAUUACGGUAAAUUACGGGGAUCGUCUCUUGGUUAAAUUCAAUGAAAAACACGUAAAAGUUUUAAACAAGAUAAUUUCAUGCAAUAGUGUAAAAAUAAUUUUAGUAAAAAAUGACUCUUAUUAAAUUUACGAAAAUAAUUUGGAGACUCAGAUACAAAUUUGAAUGGCCCUUUUAUGAUAAAAGGAACGUCACAUUUGACCCCUUCGAAUAUCACGUUCCUGAAAUUCGGUGUUGCCAACAGACCUUAACAUGAGGAAAAAUUCAAACGAACAUAGUUACCAGCUUCUGAACAGUCGACCCUCUGCUUUCCAUUCACAGCUCAGUCAAUGAUUCAAAACCCUACCUUAGCACUCUUUUGGAUUUUCACUAAGGUUGCCCCCGUCCAUUUAUUUUCUUUCUUUUACUUUUGCUUUUUGUUUUUUUUCUCUUUUCUUCUCUUUUUUUUUUCUUCUUUCUACUUUUUUUCUCUUUUUUUUAUUAACUUAAUUUUUUUUGUUUUUUGUUUAUUUUUUUUUUUGAAAAGGCUCUAUUUCGAAUUUUCACCUAAUGAACAAAUUUAGCGACGGCCUCUAUCAAUUCAAAAAUGUGUUUCAACAUUAAUGACAUCAAUGUAACAAUCCUUCCCUUAUAAAAUUGAUGAAUGUGGGUUGACAUCAUUUGCCAUUUGAUUAAACAAUUCUCAUUACAAAUACUGUUAAAGCGGAGGUUGGGACUUUAUGAUUUUUGUAACGAGAUCAGGUGUGGUGUUAAGAAAUGUUAAGACUCUAAAGCAAUUUUUUAAAGGGGUUUCAAAAGUUUUAAGAUCACAUCCUAUAAAAUCUUACUCCAAUAUAAGGCUAUUGAAAUCAUAAAAUUGCCCCAGUUUGGCUUUUAACUUUUCUUUUUAAUUAUAUAUAUUUUUUUUAAUUUUUUUAUAACAAACGAAAGAUAAGUUUUGCCCCAAUGUGGGGUUUGUGAUCCUUAGGAGGCUAUCAAACGAAGGAAUAGAUUAUUCUGGAGGCUCAAAGGGGAGAACAAGGGAUUAAAUAUUCAAAGGAAAAAGAAAUAAGCCCACCUUUUAGUUCACCCUAGACCGUAUUUCAAAAAGAAAACUCACAUAAUCAGAUAAAAAAACUUCUUGCACAUAAUUGAAUUGAUUGGUUGAAGAAAAAUCUGUCCGCCCAUCUCUGUGAGAAUGAGUGUUCCUCCGGGCAAUACCUUCUUAACAAUGAAAGGUCUUUGCCAAUUUGGGAUAAAUUUUCCUUUAGUUUCGUCUUGGAUGGGAAGAAUUCGUUUCAAAAUUUUGUCUCCUUCUUAAAAUAUGCGAGGUUUGACCCUUUUAUUAUAAGUACGGGCCAUUCGCCUUUGAUAAUACUGCCCAUGGAAAAUAGCAUUUAACCGCCUUUCAUCAAUCAAGGAUAGUUGCUCGUGCCACUGUUUAAUCCAUUCAGUUUCCUCCAACUGAGUUUCCAUUAAAAUGCGCAAAAAGGGAUCUCAACCUGCCGCGGGUAAUUCUGCUUCCAUACCGUACAUGAGAGAAUAAGGCGUUGCCCCAAUAGAAGUUCUAAUUACAGUUCGAUAAGCCAUUAAUGCAUAUGGCAGUUUCUCAUGUCAAUCUCGGUGUCUUUCCUUCAUUUUGUGAAUGAUUUUCUUCAGAUUUUUGUUUGCAACUACUACCGCUCCAUUCAUCUGAGGCAUGUAGAUAGUCGAAUUCCGGUGCUUGAUCUUGAAUUGUUCGCAUAAUUCAUCUAUCAUGUCAUUAUUGAUAUUUUUGUCGGUGAUCAGCAUCUCUAGCACCCAAAAACUACAGAUAAUGUGGUCUUUCAAAAAAUCAGAUACUACUUUCUUGAUCACGUUCUUGUAAGACGCUGUUUCAACUCAUUUCGUAAAAUACUCGAUCAUCACAGGAAAAAUCGAUGCCCAUUCGAAGCUGGGGGAUCAAUAGCUCCAAUCACGUCCAUUCCCCAUAUUGAACAGGGUCAAGGAGCAGUCAUACUAUGUAGUUUUGUAGAAAAAGAAUGUAUAAUAUCGGCAUGCAUUUGAUACUUUAUGCAUUUUCUAACAAAAUCUACACAUCAUGCUCCAUGAUAAGUAAAAAAUACCCCGUUCUCAUGAUCUUCUUAACAGUAAGUGCCCAUUCAUAUGGAGUCCGCAUACACCGCUGUGCACUUCUUUCAUCAUAUAAUCAGGUUUCUCUCUAUCGAUGCACCUUAGAAGGCCCAAAGCUGAUGUCUUCUCAUAUAACACCUCUUCGUUCAGGAAGAAUUUUGACGACAUUCUGCGCAAGAAACUCUUGGCAGCUGCAGCAGCACUCGGAGGGUAAGACCCUAUUUUUAUGAAUUCCUUAAUAUCGUUAUACCAUGGACGAUCGUCAGAUGUCUCUCUCACAACUAGACAAUGUGCCGAUUUAUCUUGAAAUUGAAUCUAAAUAGGUUUGAUUACUAACGCGUUCGGGUGUCAAAUCAUAGAAGACAAUGUGGCCAGAGUAUCAGCAAAAACAUUGCAAGUGCGACAGAUAUGUCUGAACUUUAAACUUCUGAAUUGAUUGGUCAAACUGAGCAGACUACAAUGACACAGCAUGAUUUUCGAGUCUCGCGUCAUCCACUAAUUAAGCGUUUAAUGUACCAAUAAAUCUGAAUCGCUGAACAUGAUUAAAUCCUUUAUCUCCAUUUCUAAUGCCAUUUUUAGUCCAAAAAUACAAGUUUCGUACUCAGCCAUGUUGUUAGUACAAGAAAAUUGUAAUUUAGUAGCGGCGGGGUAAUGGUUUCCCUCAGGUGACACUAGAACAGCUCUGAUUCUGACCCUAAAAGAAUUUGAAGCGCCAUCAAAGAAUAGCCUUCACCUAGAAUAUGGUUCGUUUAUAUCUUCCAACGUGCCAAUGAAUAAAAUUUCCUUAUCAAAAAAAUAGGUAUGCAAUGACUGGUAAUCAUCUUCUCUCGGAUUCUCGGCCAAAUGAUCUGCUAUGACUUGACUCUUGAUUGCCUUUUGCGUAGUGAAAAUGAUAUCGAAUUCUGAGAGAAUCAUCUGUCAUUUCGCCAUACGGCCUGUCAGCAUCGGAUUUUCCAACAAAUAUUUCAGAGGAUCGGAGCGACAAAUGAGACAGGUUGUGUGACUGAGUAAGUAAUGCCUCAACUUUUGAGCGGGCCAAGCUAAAGCGCAGCAACUCCUCUCAAGAAAGGAAUAGUUGACCUCGUACGCGGUGAACUUCUUAUUGAGAUAAUAAAUAACUUGCUCCUUCUUUUUUGAGUCAUCAUGUUGUCCCCUUACAUAUCUCAUAAUCUCAUCCAACACGGACAGAUACAUGAUCAAAGGUGGACUUGGGUUGGGUGGCACUAAGACCGUAGGGUUCAACAGAUAAUCCUUGAUCUUGUCGAAAGCUUGUUGACAUUUUUCGUUCCAGCGCAUCGGCGUAUUCUUCUUCAAUAAUUUGAACAAAACUCACAUGUAAAUAUUAAUUGUGCAAUAAAUCUGUCGAUAAAAUUAAUCUUUCCCAAGAAACACUUUACGUCCUUAUGAAUUUUUGGUAUAGGCAUCCCUCGAAUUGCUUUAAUUUUCGUCGAAUCAAUUUCAAUUCCCUUUUUACUGAUAAUAAACCCCAAUAAUUUUACCGACGGGAGCCCCAAAAGUACACUUGGCAGGGUUCAGCUUUAAAUUGUAUCUUCUCAACCUUUCGAACAAUUUCUUCAAAGCAACCAAAUGAUCUUCAAAUUUCUUGAAUUUAAUGAUAAUGUCCUGCACAUAGAAUUCCAUCUCUUUAUGAAUUAUAUCGUUGAACAAAGUGGUCAUUGUCCGUUGAUAAGUGGUUCCUACAUUUUUCAAUCUGAAAGGCAUUACCCGAUAGCAGAAGGUUUCCCACGGAGUGAUGAAAGCAAUGUUCUCUCUAUCUUUUUUCACCAUCAGGAUCUGGUGAUACCCGACAAAACAGUCACCAAAAGAUUCAAUUUCAUGUCCAGCAGUGUUGUCCAGAAGAAUAUGAAUGUUCAGCAGCAAAAAAUUAUCCUUCCGACUACCUUUGUUGAGAUCCCUAUAAUUGACACACACCCGCACUUCUCCACUUUUCUUCAAAAUCAAUAUAGGAUUUGAAAGUCAAAUGGGGUAAUGAGAUACCAUAAUAAUCCUGACGUUGAGCUGCUUCUCGAUCUGUUUCUUGAUUAUGAAACUUAUAUUUGACCAAAAUUUGCUUGAUUUUUACUUUACUGGCGAAAAUUUUGGAUCGAUCGGCAAUCUGUGAACCACUAUAUCUGUUGAAAUCCCGGACAUAUUAUCAUACGACCAAGCAAAUACAUUUUAGAAGAUGGUUAAAAAUUCAAUCAUCUUUUUUUUCUACUCCUUAUUCAAGUGCACACUGAUUUUGAUUUUUUUAACCUCCAUUUUAGUGCCAAUGUUAAUGUUUUCUGUCUCUUCUAAGUUCGAUUUGGGUUUUUUAAUCCAUAUUGUUCAAGAAUUUUUGAAAUAGACUCAAAUUCUUCCUCGCUAUCACUCUUUUUUUGAAUUUUGAAUUUCAUAAUUUCAAAUUCGUGAGAGAUAUCGAGUUUGCAAUAAUUGAAUUUUAGAAUGGUAAUAUCCAAAAGGACAAACGAUUUUAUUUUUGGCUAUCUGAAAAUAGAGUAAACAUCACAAUAAACAAGUAGAAAAUAAUAAAGAUGAACAAAAAUUUUUUAUUUCAUUAAAUUUAAAAAACAAACAGAGAUUGAAAUAAAGAUGAGUACUUUGCAAACUAAAACAAACACAUUCCCAACAGAACUGCGCAGUGGGAACGGUCUUUCAUGACACUAAAAGGAAACAAGUAACUAAAAAUAAAGUAACUUUUUGUCAUGGAUUUCGGCCAGGGACAAUCCCCUAAAUUUAUCAAAAUUUUCUUGGAGAGAGAAGGUAAUCUGCAGUUCAAUUUUACACAGCUCCUUCAGGAAUGGUUGGGAAUUCCAUUUCUUUCAAUGGCUUGUCCUCGCAGGUGACUCUGAAGAACAGUUGAGAUAGGCUCAUUUCAAUCUCUUCAAUCGGAUCCUCUUUAUCCAAUUCUGAUAGGAUCAUCCUAGAUGGUCGAGAAAAGGUGUAGCGCAACGGCGGGAUACUAAUAGCAAUCUGCUUUCUUUCUUUUUUCACCUUCUUACGAGCUUGCAUCUUCUUCUUGUCCUUAACGGUCGGUUACAAUCCCAAUCCAAAUGUAUCUUUCUUCCCCAAAAGCUCUAUAGGCUUCAAAAUGCCUUAUAAAUUUUGCUCCAAACCUUUGCCUAUUUCAUACCCCCUCGAAUAAUUUCCUUAGCCAUCAUGAUACUAGCUUCAGAUACAUCUAUUCAUUCUUUAAAAAUCUAUCCAACUAACACGAUAUCGACCACACGAUGAGAUGAAUUGAGAAUUUUUCUACUAUUUUCUCAACUCGAACCAGAAUUGACGAUCAUGGUGCAGUCAUCCUUAGUGAACACGGUGAUAAGUUGAUCAUUGACAAUGAAUUUCACCUUUUGAUAGAGAGAAGAUGGAAUGGCGCUAGAAGUGUGGAUCCAAGAUCGUCCAAGUAAGACGUUGUACACACUUGAAAAGUUCAUGAUUUGCCAAACUAGUUGAAAUUGGGUGGGCCCUAUCUCCUGUACUAAAUCAAAUUCGCCCAUUGAUUCCCUUCUAACUCCGUCAAAUCCUCUUAUUAUCGUGGCAGAUGGUCACAACCUAGCAUCCAAACGUCCAAGUUUCAUAAGAGUAUUUCCUUGGUAGAUGUUUAGAGCGGACCCAUUGUCUAUCAAAACUCUCGGCAACAACUUUCCAUUACAUCUCACUGAGAUAUAUAAUACCUUAUUAUGUCUGAUCCCUUCAGGAGUCAAAUCCUCUUCAGAAAAGGUUAUGUGAUUAGCAGCCAAAACAUUUUCCACAACAUGAGUAAACUUGUCAAUUGAAAUAUUCUUCGGUAUUCGAUCCUCACUCAAAACCUUGAGUAGCGCCUCUCUACGCAACUCGGAGGUUAAAAGUAAGUCUAGAAUAGAAAUUUGGGCGGACAUCUUGUCCAACUGCUCCAUAACCUUGACUCGCUCCUUUUCAGCAAUUUAAGAAAAUCCAAAGUUUUCUUUUCAGUCACAGACGGCUUUGAUGGCAUAAGAUUUUCCUCCACAAUCUUCCCAAGUUUAGUGACACUAACCCCCUCCUCUGCCGACAUGCUCAAUCAAUAAAGUAGAUUCACUAUAAUCUCAUGGUACUUCUUUUAAAUUAUGCACAGGUGAUUGCUCAGGAAAUUCAAACAUCACAGGUUCUGACAAAUCUAAGAUGAAGUGAUCGGUUUCCAAAAGCUUUCCUUCUAGUAUGAAAGGUUUCUCGACUAUUCCAAUCACUUUAUUUUCAUCCACAAUAUACCGACUAGGUUCCUUAAACUUCUCAUCGGAGGUAAUAACCCCUACAGUUCCUUUAUAUUCAGGAAGAGGGUUCUUGCCGACGUUUGGCCCUGAUUCACCCCUUCUCCUCAAGACUAUGUCUCCGGUUUCGAUCAUGUUUUGAAUCUUAUGCUCUAAUGCCCAACAAUUGGUGGUGGAGUGACCAGAACGUUCAGAGUGAUACGAACAAAUGACUUGAGGAUCAUAAUUAGCAGGAACACUACUAGGGUAGGUUUUAGGGGACGCCACGUUAAUCUUGCCAGUGGUUUUAAGUUACUCAUACAAUUGAUCGAGUGGACGGUCCAAGAUGGUGAAGGUGUGAGAUUGAUUUUGAUUUUGGAUUUCAUUGGUUUGAGAAUAGUUAUAUGUUUGAUUGUUUGACGGAACAAGUCUUGAAUUAAAAGGGGGUCGAGGUCGAAUUUGCAAAUUUGGUUAAGAAAUCUGAAAAAGUGGUGAAGGUUUAUUUGUAUAGUUUGGUCAAGGUCGAGGAUGGUUAAUGGUAGUGUGGUAAACAGGUCGAGGGUUUAAGUAGUAUGGAUAGAGUAAUGAGUAAGUGGGGCGAUUUUGAAAUCUGGAUCUAGUCGAAGGGCCUUAAUCCCAAACGAAGGCAGUCUCUCCUUCCUUCUUCUUAAAUUGGGGUUUCUUACCACUAUUAUUCUGACCUUGCAGGGCUCCCAGUUGCAUUUUCAAUGUCGACACGUUAACUAUUUUUUCUGCUUUGAUGAACUCAUCAAAUUCUUUCAACUUGUUAACAAUAUCCGCAAAUGAGCAUCCAGUUAUAUGAAAAAUCUCCUCAAAGUACAGUAGAUCAUGAGUUUUAAUAAAUAUGCGGAUAAUUUCCUCCUCGGUCAUGGGGGGUUCCACCUUAGAGACAAGUUUUCUCCAACGUUUAGCAUAUGUUUUAUGGUCUUCCAAUGGCUUUCUCUUGGUUCCCUCAAGUGUGGUUCUUGUUGGCACAAACUCACAAUUGUAUUCAUAUUAUCUCACGAAAGCUGUAGACAGGUCCAACCAAGUUCUCAUCUCUUCUAACUUCAAAUUAAAAUAUCAAUCCAGAGGAGCAUCACCCUCCAAGCUUUUAAGGAACAGACGCAUCGGUAGGUUCUCAUCAUCUACUGGCUUUUCUAACUUGUUUGGGAACAUUCGGAGAUGCGUUUUUGGAUUUUCGAUGUCAUCAUACUUGCUAAAUUUAGGAGUUUUGAAACCCAUAGGCAACUACAUAUCCGAAAAAAGAUAGAGUUCAUCGUAGUCUAAGUCUCUAUGCUUGUUCAAUCCUUGGCUCUUUUUCAUGAAUUCAUCAAAGCGGUCCUACCUCUUCAGUAGAUUCUUAUCAAUUGAAGCAGAGGGCUCGUCUAUUUCUACUUUCACUUGAAAGGCGGUGUCCAACAUCAAUGGCUUUGUGGUAGGGUGAUGGGAUUCUUGAGGGUUAGAGGGGAUAUUCAGGUUGAUUUGUGGAUAAUUUUGGAGAAUUUGGUGGCUAAUCGGGUUGACGAAAAUAUUAUUUGCGUAUAUAUGUGGUAAAUUGGGGAUGGGAUAAGUAAAAGCAUUUUCAGAUAGACUUGUAAAAGGCAAAACAAAAGUGGUUUGAUUAUGUGACAUGUGAGGUGGUGGAUUUUCUAACUUAUAUUGGUUAUCGUCAACAGGUACAUUAUUGUUUUGGACACCGCUAGUGUUGUUCGAGAUCAGUUGGUCAAUCAUGUCCUUUUAUAAUGUCAUUUUUGCACUUAACUCGUUGAAUUUGUUUAGCAUCUCACUUAAUUGGGUCCCCAGAUUUGCAGCGUCUGACGAUGGAAUCAUUACAGAUAUCUUCGAUGGUUCAGGAUGGGAACUCAUGUUUUCACGAUUUCUCAAGAUUCGGCUGCGGGAUCGCGUAAUGAUGGAACUUCUACGGGUAGCUAUUUUUAAAAGUAUCUGAUGAUAAAAAAAGAAAUUGGCUCAGUUGUGCGCUUUCUAUCAAAUUUCUGUAAUUUAUUCAAAAGAUAAAAGAAAAAGAAAUGAGUUAGUAGAUAUUUGAAUAAUUUCGAUGCAUGACCUAUGAGGGAACUCUUUUUACGCCAAGAGUCGGUCUAACCUGAUGCAAUUCUUUCGGGAUAAAAUCUCAAUUUCAAACUUGUAAGUGAAUGUAGAAAUCAAAGUAGAAAUUCUCAUUAAACACUGAUAAGUUCAAUCAUUUUUUACAAUUUCAUUAAUAGUUUGGCUAAUCAUUUUUACAAAAUUCUCAUACCUCGCUAAAGUACUACGUUGAGACUCUCUAGAACUUACUAUACUAAACUUCCGAAUUCCUUCUUGAAUUUUAUCAAAUGCAUCCAAUGCUCUCUCCAACUUUUUAAUUUUUCUUGUCUCUCUCUUUAAUUGUGAUUGGGCGUCUUCCAAGGCAUGGCCAGCCACUAAAAGCUGUAAUUGGUAAUUCUUGACCUCUUUUUUUAACUUCUCUAUAUGCUCUUCAAGACGGGCAAGAGUAGACUAUGAUCUCUCUCUUCCUUGUUCUACUAUAAGUUUGAUCCAUUCAUCAUAUUUCGAAAUGACUUUAGGUUCCAAUUUGUUCACUUAAUCCAAGUGCAGGUUCUCUAAACUAUGAAGAUUCCCCCAAGCUUCUAGUACCAUGUUUCGACUCUCAACAACUGUGUUGAAUCUGAUAUUUCCAAUUCCUUGUAUCAUUAAAACUAUUUGUGGAUACCCAAAUUGCCUCAUGACUCAUUGCGGAACAUAUGCGACCAAUCCGUUGGUGCUUGCUAGAGGAAUAAAAUUGUGUUGGGUAGUUUUGAAAGUCGGAUUCCUAACUUUCGUCCAAUCUAGAACCCGUUAUAUUUUGUUCAGUGUCAAGCUGUCAAACUCUUAAACGAACUGACUUGGAGAUGCUAUUUGGUAAUAUCUUUUGACCCCUUUUCGAUGUGAUUCGAUCCAAUUCUCUGUUGGGAGACAAGAUCCCAGGGGAUUGAGCAUCCUCUUCACUAGAUGUUCCAUUGCCCAUAUUUCAAGUAUCAAAUUUAAUGCACAGAAAAACCAAAAGAAAUUUGGUGUCAAAAGAUGUCGGCAAUGAUGGUACCAAAGAGAAUCUGAAUGGGAGUCAAAAAGAAAAACAUUUGGUGUCACGUUCAGAAGACUAGGUAAAUGCCCCACAUACUUAAAUAAUUUUUUCGCCUCGUGCGACAUAUUAUUUUUUCAAUCAGUUAGUUCUCGAGGUAUCUGAUUCAGCACUCUACAAGGAGCCAUCUAAGCAGAAAUUCACUUUUAAUACCUUAUCUCAAGAUUUUACCCCUUAGAAAAUAUAAAAUUAUAAACAUGCAAAUUUCAUUGGAUUAAAUAUUCGAGACACAAGGUGGCUUAUUCCUAACAUGGGAUCCCGGCAUUCUCUCUAUGGUUGAUGCAUGAUGACAGUUUAUUAAAACGUGUAAAUAUAUACAAUACGAUAAUUGGAAAACGACCUCAAAGUGCCCCAUUUAAAUGUCGGGAUAAGUCUAAAAUGAUGUACAAUAUAUAUACGUAUUAUUAAUGUAAUAACUAAAAUUUAAACGUGUUUUUUAUAAAAGGUGAUUUUUCCUAAACGAGUACCAUGCCAGAAUUCUUACUUUCUAAGAUUUGUGAAUGCAAGAAAAGAGAAAACAAAGAGAUAUUAGUUCAAUUAAUAAAUAACACAUAGCACAUUGGAGUACUAAAAUGAUACAAAAAUAUAAAAGAAGAGAACAUGGGUAGAAUCCCUCCCCUCGUGUCUAGUAUGCCUAAUAGAGUAAAGUUGACUCUAUCCUAGGCGAUUUCUAAUAUGGAUAGAUGAAGUUGGGCUCACUAAUGCAUCUAAACUCGAUAAGAUUUCAAGUUCCCAAAUCUUCAGACCAAGAGGCGAAAGGUCAGCAAUCCCAAAAUCUUCAGUCGGUGGAUUGAGUGAUCCCUUAGGCAUCGCUAUAGGCGCAGAGCACACCAUCCGCCUACCUAAGUAAUCGAUUCUAAUCAUACAAGAAAAUGUGGGAUGGUGCCCACGAGAAAAAUAAAAAUAGGACAAAAGUAAUGCAUGCACGUAUGAAAUGCUUCCUUCGAGGGAAUGGAUUAAAUACCAUUAAAUAUGGGUAAAAGCUCUAGGGUAGCUAUACCCCCCCCCCCAAGAUAUAAAGUGCGAUACAAAUAUAUAAACAUAAAUAAAUGAAAGUAAAUAAAUAAAUUAUUCAUCAUAUACACGGAUAUCGAGAGACGAUUACGUGUGCGAAAUGAAAAAAAUCCUAAAAAGAAGGAAAAAAUAAAAGGAAAAGAAAAAUGCAACCUAAACAUCCCACUAUGAUAUGUAAAAAUGUUAGAAAAAGAAAAGACUAGACUAAAUCAAGUGUUUGGACUCUCUAAAAAUUUCCAGUGGUGUCACCAGCUGUCGCGUCCUAUUUUUAAAAAAAUAAAUUAAUGAUUAAAAAAAUAAACUUUUUAUUUUAAAGAAUAUUGGCGCAUAAAAAUGUAAUUUUUAUUAAAAGAUGAGUAAAAAAAUGAGUUUUAGUUCUUGAUUAGUUUUUAUUUUAGUUUUUAAUUUAGCAAAAAUAAAAAGAAAGAAAAAGGGCCUAAAAUGGGAUUUAAAAAAAUGCGACAGUUUUGGCCCAAAAUAAUAGUCUAAAAAGGAUUUUUAAGAAAAAUAGGAGUCGCCACUUGAUAUUGAGUUAAGGUGUACCAAAUCACCUAAAAUAUGUUUUUAAGAUAAAAGAUAAAAAUAAAAACCCUUUUUAGACUACUCCAAGUUUUUGAAAACAAGAGAAAAGAGUUCGAGAGUCACGCUUGAAGAAAAGGAAUGCAAAGAUUUGAUAGAAUCAAAUCUAAGAAACCCUGUCAAUCUAACCAAUGUUAGUUGCGAGAUUUAGUCAAAAAUUUUCGUAAUCUUACCUAUGAAAACUUUUCUAUAUAAAUGCAAACCUAGACCUGGGGGCUAUCGAGAGGGUCGAGAUGUUUCUUCAAAAUUUAAAUGGUGCAAUCACAUUAAUUGUGAUGUCCAAAAUGAUUUUUAGAAGAAGUUACAAAUAUACAAAAGAUGAGACUCGAAGAAAAGGAAAAUUAUAAUAUAUAAAUAUACAUGACCUAAAAUAGAGGAAUGCAACAUAACAUGUACGAGAGAUCUGAAUUCGUGACUCAAUUUUCAUUUCUAUAAAGGAGAUAUGAAUGUGCUAAGACUGAGAAACUAUGUUCGUCCAUUUUCUAUAUUUGAAGAGUGCCUCUCCUAACCUAGUCAAGCAAAUGAACUAACAUAUUUCUAGUUUUCUAAAUGGAAUGCAAGUCUAAAUGUCACGUUUAGCGCACAUAGGGGUAAGGAAGUUAAGGAAAUAUCAUGUCAAACGAAGAAAAGGAUUCUAAAGGUGAAAAGUAUGCAUGAAAUACAAUAAAUGUCAAACAAAUUAUGAAUUCUAACGUGAAACCGGCCUAAAGGGUCUAUCAUUGAACUAUCCUAUUUCUGUAAGUUCUCAUUAGCGUUGGACUAGUGAGAAAUCGGGGAAAAAAAUUCACAACUAACAUUGGAUCAGUGUGGUGACGUCAUGUAUUUAUUAUAACUAAAUAAAUCAUAUAAAACAUAAUUAAAACAAGUAAAUACAUAAUGCACAUAGAACACAUAACACAUAGGUAUAAUUUCUAGAUGCAAAAGUCUAGUGAAAGCGAAUAAACACUCAAACACACAAGCAUGUAAGCACACAAGCAAAUAAACACAAAUAAAAGCCUAACUAUUUGGGGUCCUAACUACAAUCUAAGGGGGAAAUUUUUUUAAAAAAAUAACAUAACUAUUACAUUUAUCUAACUAAAUACAUUUUUGGCAAAAAUUAAAAUCUAUCUAUUACAUAUCCUAACUAAAUACAUGUCUUGAGUAUCUAUUUAUUACAAAUUGGCAUUUAAAUGCCCUCAAAUAAUCACCAAAAAUUAAAUAUAAUAAAUGAAAAUUUAAGAUGAAUAAAAUAAAUAAAAGAAAAGAAAAGAAAAGGCACUCAAAACAUGCAAUCACAUAUAAAAAGCACAUACGAGCACAUAAAGGGAUUUAAAAUAAUACUAGAAGGUACUUCCCUUUGAAAUAGUGGUUAAAUGAGGUUGGAUUUGCCCUAUUUAUACUCCAAGAUCAACAAAAUGGUCAAGCCACCAAUUUAAUUAACAAAUAAAUUAUAAAGCAAUGGAAAUAACCAUGAAAUCUUCCAAUUAAAGCAUUUAAAUGAACUAUAAUUAACAAUUAAAGAAGAUAAACAACUUAUAUUUAAGAAAUUAAAACUGUCAGGGAUCUAAUUGUAAAAAUGAGAAAGUUUUUGGGAUCAAAUUAUAAUUAUUACAAAAUUAGGGUCAAAUAAAAAAAAUAAAGUUCAUGGACCAAAUUGCAAUUAAAUUAGGGACCUAAUUGAAAGAAAUCAAAAGUUUUUAGAGCCACAGUACAAUUACUUUGAAGUAAAGGGACCAAGUUGCAAUUUUCAUUUUCUAGUUUGGCCAGAAAAAGGCCUUGGGCUAUCCUUCAAAUUUUUCGUUAGGCCAAAGUUACCUAGACCCAGCAAAAAGUCCAGAAAAAUGGGUGGACUAGCCUGUCAUUUUUACUAAACUAAGCUUGGUGAAAAAAGGUUGGACUUGAACCCCAAGCCCGGUCACAAACCCAAGCAUAAAAGAAAAUCUUCCCCCAUAUUUUUAACCAAGAACAUGUUUUAUCAACCCAUCAUGGCCCAGAUCGGAUCAAAUCAAAUAAAAGAUCAAAUUGGGGGAAAAUAAAAAGAAAAUAAGUGAAGAACAUUCUGGCGGGUUGACCCGCUUGGAUGACCAGUCGGAAUCUGGAAAAAUUCCGGCCAUCUUGGCCGGAAAUUCGCCGGAAUCCAUUUUCACCGGCUUUUAAUACCGGAUCUUGACAUAAACAUACUUCCCAUGAUCUCUUGAGUUAGUUAAAAUAUCAUACAUCACCAUUUAAACAACAAAAUCUUAAGAAAAAAGAGAUCUAAGAUGCAAAACCCAUAAACUCAUGUAAUAACUUAAAAACACAUGGAAAAUGUUAGAACAACCAAGAAAAAGGGUUAUAAUUACCUGAGGAAGUUAGGGAACUUGAAUAGACGUGAGAAAUCACAGUGAAACGUGCCCAGAUUCCGAAAGUGAAGCAAAACACUUCUUGUCGCAGAAGUUUAAGAGCUGAGAAAUUGGCAACUUCAGGUUCGAAUAUGAAGGUUCUGGAAGUGUUUUUUCAAGAAACUUUCAACAUGAAAACUCCUCUACUACAUCCAUAGAGUAUCUAGAAAUCAAGAAUCGAUCUAAAAGAAGUCAAGAUGAAGAAGAAAAUGGCGUCUGAACAGGGCUGCCUGUUCAGCCCUAGCUCAAUUUUUUCUGAAAAUUUCCUGCUACUUUUUCUUCUUUUUCCUUCUCUGUUUUCUCUCUUUUCCUUCCUUUUCUGUUUUUCUGCCGCCUCCCACUCUUUUUUCUACCCUAAUGGCCGUAUUUCUAUGCAUUUAUAUGGAACAAAACCCCCCCCCAAAACCCUAUGAGCAUUGGUGGAGAUUGGUUGGCUUUUUGGGGAUGAUUUGGAGCCAUUAGAUGGCUGAUUUUGAAUAAGAAUUGGAAGAUGAUCUGGCCCUUGUACUGGGGGGCUUAGAAGGAAAGAAAACAAUGCAAAAAAAAAAAGAGUGGAAUAGGGAUCAAAUGGCCACUGCAAUUCUCUGGUACUAUGGCCUCGUUGCUGGUUUUGUACUAGUUUUCAUGAAGAAGGCACGUGCGUGAAGGAAUUUUAUUUUUUUUUACAAAAACUGAUUUUGAUUUUUGUUUUCUUUUCUUUUCUGCUUUUUCUUUCCAUCUUUUCUUUUCUUUUCUUUUCUUUCUAAUUUUCUAAAAAUAAAUUGAAAUGAUUUUCUUAAGAAAUAGAAAUGAAACAAAAUAAAUAAAAUAAAUAAAAUUUAAACAAAAUAAACUAAAAAUGAACAAAAAAUGAACAAAAAAAUAGGAAUAAAAUGAAGAAAAAUAAAAUGGUAACAUUUUUGUGUCUACACCAAUGAUGUUCUAGAAGUCAAAGACAAUUCUCACUCCAAAUUUGGACCACCUCCCACUCCAUCACUUCCAAUUCUAGCAAUAAUUUCAAUAAUAAUUUCUUUAUUCUUUCCUAUUUUAUAUGUAGCAAACUCACUUGGAGAAUCAUGGGUUUAAUCAAGACAACCCGGUGCGCUGCUUCAUGCUCUAAUUGAAGACAAAUCAGUGAUGAUAUUGCUUGUACAUUUCUCCAUUACUUGAUUAUCUAUUGUUCUCUACUUUCUAUACCUUAUCUUUCCUUUCCCCUUUCCUUGUCUUCGUGGCUGAAAAAGAAAAGAAUAAAGCAUGAGGGGAAGGAUGUCUGAUAACUUUGAGUCCUUUGUUGGUGCUUAUUAUGACGGCUUUGAAUUCAUGUGGCAAUAAUUGAGUUGGAUGCAAUAACUUUUUUGUUGUUUUCAUUCACUUGGAUCACCUUUUCUAAUCUUUCUGUUCAUGUUUUGUUUGGAUCACUUUUUGGAUGUAGUUUUGUUUUGCAGCAACUUUUUGUUGUUUUGUUUAUUUGAUCGAGUCGACUUCGAGUUACCUAGGAGGUUUUGGCUAAUAUAAUGCGUUAUGAAUUCAAAUCGGCCAAUAUCGACUGAAUCAAAGUGAGUCGUCAUGGAUAUAGAAUUAUCUACGAUUCGAGGAUCGAUAUCAUACCGGUCUCCUCUGUUCCGAUUAUGACUUGACCGUGUCAUAUCGGAAUCGACCGAUAUUGCUAACCAUGCCAUAGAGACGAAGUAAGAUUUAACAUCCUGGCACUAUAAACCACUAGUCAUGAAGUAUUAUAUGUAGUUUCAAACUAAAAAACUAUGCUGUCCUUGAUAAUUAGAAAACAAAGCCAUUAGCUUUUAUAAGGACAGGUAACUCGAGCAGAAGCACAUAGCAGAAGUAAGAGCUGAGUAAGUGAGCAAGGUUUACUGCAAUAGGAAGCAGCAAAUCACGUGCAUUGAUUAACUAAUCUAAUAUUACUUUUUUAGGUCUGACCUCAAGAAUUUGACGAAACAAUUCUUAACAAUCCUAAAAAGGCAAUUAACAAAGCAAAAAUAAAAUGAAAUAGGAACACAAAAUUUACGUGGCAAUCCCACAAAAUUGCUUUUGUUAGGUCUAAAGACAAAUAACAAGCAAAAAUAAAUGAAAUAGGAACAUAGAAUUUACGUCCACAAGUGGAGGAGGAGCACAAUUUCACUAUGAAGAAGAGAGUACAAAAACCUUAGGAAAGUGUUUCCGGGGUCAAAAGUAGCUACUAAAACACAAGAGAAUUCAAAAUAUUUUUACUACAAAAAGGUUUAAUAAUCCAAAGAGUCAAAUAGCCUACUAAAACUAUAUUGAUUUGGUGUGCUUAAUCUCAUCACAGGUCCACCCUAUUUAUAACCAACUAAGAGAAAGACUCUUUUGUACAAAAUCAAUGUGGAACAAAGCCAUUUAUAACAAAUUUUUACUUUGACGUGUCCCUAACAUCGAUAAAUAGUCUUCUUCAUAUAAGCUCUAAUGGAUCUAAAUCACGAACAACGAAUACUAACCAAAUCCAAGCAUCGAUUGAACUUAUAAACUAGAAGAAGUUCCGUGAAUUGUUAGUAGGAUUCUCCUCGAUAUUGAUUUUUUGAACAAGAACUUUUCCCUCAGCAACAGUAUCUCGAAUGAAGUGAAACUUUACAUCAAUGUGUUUCAUCCUCUCAUGAUAUAUCUAGUUUUUAGUCAAGUGAAUAGUACUUUAAUUAUCACAGUAAAUAGUAGUAACACCUCGAUAUAGACUAAACUUCCCAAAUAAACCCUUUAACCAUAAGGUUUCUUUGAUUAUUUUGGUCACAGUCAUAUAUUCUACCUCUAUAUUAGAUAAAGUUACAACAGGUUAUAAAGUAACUUUUCAACUAACUACAGAACUGCCAAUGCAAAAUAUAUAAUUUGAAAGUGAUCUUCUUCUGUCAAGAUUCUUGACAUAGUCAGAGUCCAUAAAAUCAACCAAAUUGUCACUAUUUCUCCCAAGUUUUAAACAAUUAUUUGAAAUCCUUCACAAAUAUCUGAAAAUCCACUUCACAGCCUGUCAAUGUACUUUUUCAAAAUAAGACAUAUAUCUGAUAAUAAUAUUGACUGCUUGUGCGAUAUUUGGACGAAUACAAACCAUUGCAUAUAUUAUAUUGUCAAUUACUCUAGAAUAAGGAACUCCUACCAUAUAAUCUUCUUCUUAGCUAACUGUGGUGACUGAACAGCUAAUAGUCGAAAAUGACAAACAAGAGGAGUAGUCACAGGUUUAGCAUUUUUCAUGCCAAAUUUCUCCAAGAUUUUCUCAAGGUAAUUUUUCUUGGUAAAGAAUAAUUUUCCAACUUCUUAAUCUCGCUUGAUCUACAUAUCAAGAAUUUUCUUAGUUACUCCCAAAUAUUUCAUCUCAAAUCCACUAAUUAACUACAAUUUCAAAUUGUGAAUUUCUGAUAAAUUCUUGGCAGCAAUGAACAUUUCAUCAACAUAAAGUAACAAAUAAAUGAAAGAAUUAUUAUCUAACUUCCGAAAAUAAACACAACUAUCAUACAUGCUCCUCAAAUAAGCAUGACCCAACAUAAAAAAUCAAACCUCUUAUACUACUGUCAUUGAGGUUGUUUCUAUCCAAAUAAGAAUUUUUUUAACGAAAAACAUGAUCUUCCUUUCCUUCAAUUUCAAAUCUCUGAAAUUGCUUCAUAUAAAUUUGUUUUUCAAGUUCAUCAUGCAGGAAAUUUGUCUUAACAUCAAGCUGCUCUAACUCCAAAUCAUAAUGGCAAUUAAAGCAAGCAAAACACGAAUAGAGCUACGUUUAACAAUAAGUAGAAAUACAUCAUUAAAAUCAACACCUUGUACCUGACUAUACCCUUUGCAACCAACCAUGUUUUAUACCUUGUAUUUUCAACCCCCAGAAUAACCUUUUUUCUCCUUAAACACCUAUUUGUAUCCAACAAUUUUUUUUUAUCUAAAGGCAACUUCACAAGAACUUAAGUUCUAUUUUGGUAAAAAGAUUCAAUUUUUUCAUUCAUCGCAAUCAAUCACUUAGCAAAAUCAUCACAAGAAACUACUGUUGAAUAGGUUGUAGGUUCACUAACUCCAUCAAUUUCUUCUGCAAUAGACAAAGCGCAUGCAACCAAAUCUACAUAUUUUUGUGGUGGUCGAAUAUCCCUCCUUAGUCUAUGUUUGACAAUAUAAUAUUGCUUCUCUUUUGGAUUAUUUUCAUCAGUAGAUUCAAGUACAUUUACUGGCAUUUGCUGAAUAGAAGAGGUGGACUAAGAAAGACCAAAACUACCAAUUUCAAACUUCUCCCACUUCUACAUACUGUCAUCUGUAUGACAAGAACUAAAAGACUCCUUAGAAGAUAGCAUAAAGAAUUCAUCAAAAGUAACAUCUCUAUUGAUCAAAAUUUUUGAAAAUUUGGCAUCAAAACACCACAAUCUAUAACCUUUCACUUUAGAAGCAUACCCAUAGAAAAUACACUUUUUAACUCGAGACUCCAAUUUUUCAUCAUUUAUAUGCAUGUAUGCUAGAUACCCAAAAACUUUUAAAUUAGAGUAAUCAAUAGCAAUACCUGACCAAACUUUCUUAACAGUUUUAAAAUCAAGAGUUGCAGAAAGAGUACGGUUGAUAAUGUAACAAGCUAUAGAGAUUACCUCUGCCAAAAGUCCUUUUGUCAACCCAGUAUAGAGAUCAGACACCUCGCUCUCUUUAAAAGUAUUUUGUUCAUACGUUCAGCCACAUCAUUUUGUUGAGACGUCAUUUUGACAAUGUAGUGCCGAAUAAUUCCUUUAUUCUUGUAAAAUUCAUCAAAUUCACCUUCACAAAAUUUCAUGCCAUUAUUUGUUCUACACCGCUUGAUCUGUCUACCUGUCGAUUUUCAAUCAAAACUUUUGAUUGGUUAAAAGUUAGGCAUAUAUCAUUAUUAUGUUUAAGAAAAUAAACUAAAACUUUUCUUGAAUAAUUAUCAAUGAAAGUUAAUAUAUACGUGACAUCACCUUUAGACGAAACACGAGUUGGACCUCAUAGAUCUGAAUGAAUGUAAUCAACAGUACCUUUCGUCUUAUGAAUUAUUGGUGAACUAAAAUGGACUCUUUUCUGUUUCCCAAAAACAUAGUGCUCACAGAAUUUCAAUGGUCCAAUAUUCUCCCUGCAAAGAAGUUCCCUUUUACUUAGUAUACCUAAUCCUUCAUUGUUCAUAUGCCUCAAACACAUAUGUCAUAAUUUAGUGAUGUCAAAAUCAAAUUAAGAUGAUGACGAGACCGUAACCAAACUUGUAACAAUAGAUUCCUGCAAAACAUACAAACUACCAGGCCUACAAGUUUUUAUAACAACAAAAGCCCUUUAGAGACCUUCAUAGUGUCAUUUCAGCCGUGUAUUUGCACUCAAGAGCCUCCAAAGUGCCCAAAGAGAUGAGAUUCUUUUUCAAAUAAAAAAUAUGUCUAACAUUAGUGAGCAUCCUCACAAUAUAAUUAUGCAUUUUAAUUCAAAAUGUACCGUUAUCAAUAAUAUCAUAAAUGGAUUAUUGUCGAUCAAAACAAUUCCAUCAUUACAAGGUUCAUAAGUGAAAAAAAAUUCCCUAUUAGAACACAUGUAACAAGAAUAUCCCAAAAUCUAAAAUUGAUUCAUUUUUAGAUCUUGUCCUAUCAUUUGUCAUAAAAAAAUAUUUUUAUUACUCUCAUCAGUUGCAACACGAUUUUCAGCAGUUUCAAUAUUUUUGUCACCAUAUUUUUCCUUUUGCUUUAGUUUAAUUUUCAAUUUAAAGCAAUCAGCCUUAAUGUGCUGCAUUUUGUGAUAAUAAUUGCACUCCAAAUUUUUAUAUCUAAAUUUAGAUCUACGAUUGUCAAAUUUUCUUUUAUUAAUUGUGCCUCAAGUAACCAGUUCUUCCACCUAACCUCCAUUACUUUCUUCGAUGAUAUUAUUGUUUAUCUGCUAUUUAGAUCUUAUUGCAGAUUUAAUUUCCUGAUACACAAUUGUUUCUUUUUCAUAAAUCAUAGUAUCACGAAAAUAUUUAAAGGACUAGGGAAGGGGACACUAAAGUAACAUGACCUGAUCCUCAUUAUGCAUUUUCGAAUCUAUAUUCUUCAAAUCCAUAAUAAUGGUAUCAAAUUUAUUAAGAUGUGAGAGUAUAAAUGUGCCUUCAGUCAUCUGAAACAUAUACAGACUUUGUUUUAAACAAAGUCGAUUCUCAACUGUCUUUUUCAUAUACAAUACUUUAAACUUAUCCGAUAUAGCCUUAGCCGGAGUUUCAAUGGCUACCUCCCAUAAAAUCUUAUCAGAGAGAUUUAAAAUAAUACUGGAUCUAAUCUUAUUAUCCAUUUCAGAAAAUUUUGCAUCUAUCACAUUCUCUAGCUUUUUCUAAACCCUGUAUGUCACUAAAUCAACUUCUUCUUGAACCAAAAUUGACUCCAUCUUGAGCUGCUACAUCCUGAAGUUAACAUUUCUAUCGAAUUUAUUGAUAAUAGUUUUUGUUAUUGUCAUCGUUGCCAUAGAACCCAAAGUUUUUGAAGAAAUUCUGAUACCAAAUUAUUAGGUCUGAUUUCAUAAAAUUGAUGAAAGGAUUCUUGGCAAUCCCAAAAAGAUAAAUAAAAAAGUAAAAAUAAAUGAAAUAGGAACACAGAAUUUAAAUUAUUCAAUCAAAUUAACCUAUGUCCAUGGGCAAAGGAAGAGCAAAAUUUCACUAUGAAAAAUAGAGUACAAAAGUUUUAGGAAAGUGUUUUUAGACCCAAAAGCAUCUAAUCCUAAAACACAAAAGAAACCAAAAUAUUUUUACUACAAAAAGACUUAAUGACUCAAAGACCCAAAUAGGCUACUAAAACUCUCUUGAUUUGGUGCAUUUAAUCUCAUUACAGGCUGACUCUAUUAAUAGCCAACUAAGAGAAAAAUUCCUUUAUACAAAAAUCGAUGUUGAUCGAAGUCACAUAUAACAGCUUUUAACAUAGAAUAACGAAACCAGGUACAUAGAAAACAAGGAAAGGAAGAACUCUUAAUGCCCUUGACAAGAAUUUAAAUAUAAAAGAAUAAAAGUUUAAACAUAUAUGGUUCUUGCUCUGUACAUCCUCGAGUACACCUAGGAACUUACCUUCCAUACUUAAAAUCAAGCCUAAAUAAUGACCUCUCUAUUACACAUCAUCAUUAUUUGAAAAGAUAAAUCCAUAGCUUAAAACUACAACUGUCAACACAGAGGACUAUAACAUCUUACACCAACAAAUAAUGUCAGCACAAUUGACAUCAUAUUGACUAAAAUAAUAUAUAUUCAAUCUUCACAUGACAUAUAAACCAAAAUUUUGGAAGUUUCCAGUUGCAUAGUCUAAAUGACACUAGUGACCUAUAGUUUACUUGACAUAAGAAAUUUAUGGUCAUUGUAAGUAACAUUAAUCAUGGUCUUUCAAUUUGGGAUCCUUCCUAUGCUUAUUAGUAAGCACUUAAAAUCUUAGCAUGAAACUACUCAACUAUAGAAGCUAUUACAUCUCAAGAUGUCUCUUUCCAUCUUCUUGCAACAUUUGUACAUAUGCUGACAACCAAUAUUAAAUUCAUCCGGUUAAAAUCAUCUUAGCUGAACUCUACUUCAACAUAACUAAUUUUAACUUCGUCCUCUUAAGGGCUUCUAUGAACAUACAUUGACAUCAACAAAUCAGGAUUUCUAGUCUUCAUUUGUUUAAUCAAUGAACAUGCUGGGUUUCAUAACUUUGGUUGAAACGAGUAGCUAGAACUCAAGUUCGAACUCAGUCAAUGUUAAGUCGAGCUAAGCAUUUGACCCUCGGUUUGAUAGGACCGCUAUGUGCGAGUGUUUGAACCAACCCAACUGGGCUAAAUGAGGAGAAAUUCAUUUCUAGACCAAAUGUAUACACUGUUACAAUUCCUCUAGAUUUUAAAUUACUUGUGUUAAGGGUUUGAACCCCUAAUUGGUGACGAAUUUCUAAGAAUAUUACUAAAAUAAAAAACUAUCAUAAAAUUGGGGGUAUUCGGGAGGGGGUUCUUAUUUUAGGGUCGCCGCAAUUUAGGUACGCGGCUACCAAUAAAAUUAGAAUUAAUUUGCAUUUAUUUUUGGUUGCUGUAGUUUUGUAUAAUUUCUCCGGGUUUUUUUUUCCCAAACUUGAGCGGCGAAAGACUUGCCAACACCGACAAGGCUGACAACGACUUGACAGUACGGCAAGACUACAGCUAAUACGGACAAAUUAGGAGGCAUUCAGUUUUUUUUUAAUAGUUUAAAAAGCUGACGUCAUUUGCGUUAGCUUUUUGACUUUUCCUCAACGCCGCAAACGUCAAAAUUUUUUUAAAUUGACGCUGCAAAUUUGAUCAAAAUUUUUUAAAGUGAAAAGGCAAUUAUUGAUUGCCGCCAAAAUUAAUUUUUUUAACUGAAAAAAGAAUUUUUUUUAAAGUAAAACCGCAAAUCCUGAUUGCGGCGAUAGUUUUGACACCGUCAAUCCCACCUACCCAACGUAACCAACAGUUGUCAUUGACUCUCUUAUUAUUUCUUUAUAAAAAAAGGCAACGGCCAUGCACUAUUUUUUUAAAAAAAAACUAAUACAGCAAUUUGAAUUUUCGGCGUUAGUUUUUCCAUCAUCCAUCCCUCUAGAUUUACAAAUCAAAGUUCAGGAUUUAGUCAAAAAAAAUUUGUAGUUAAAGUAGCAGUACUACAAUUAUUUGUUAUAUUGCCAACAAUAACUAUUCGUGCCUCAUCUUCACGGACAAUCCCAACUAUUUUCUCUUCUCUAUAUAUUCACUUGAGAAAACCCACUUCCUUUACGACCUUUCUCUUUCUAGUGUGGUUCUCAUCUUCUUCUUCAUCUUCUCUACAUAUUUCUCCUAAAUUUUCGAGGGUAGCUGAUCGAUUAAGACGACUUGAAUCGAGGAAAGCAAUAUUACAAUUUGAGCGGUGGAUCGAAAAGAAAUUUUGUAAAGAAACGAUAUUAUCCUUGACAAGGUUAGUUUAUUUAAUAAUUUUGUUAAUAAUAAUUUUAUAAUAUUUGCAGUUAUGUUAAGUUCUAGAUAUUAUGCUGCUUUACAUUUAUUUAAUUUUUGAAUGAGUUGUUUAUUUAUGGUUUGCAGUAGUCUUUUAUUUAUGAUUUAUUUAUGGUUAGCAGUAGUCUUUUAGGCGAAUUAAUAAUGAAUACUAAUAGUAAGAUAUACUAUUAAAUGAUUAUUUGUUGACAUUAAUGGUUAGAUGAAUAAAAGGUGAUAGUUUUUAAGAUUUAAUAGUCACUGAUAGGCGAAUUAAUAUUUACAUUUAUUAAGAUUAUUUAAUAGUCAGAUGAUAAGGUUAGUCUUUUAUAGUUAUUGAAGAAGUUUUUUAAAAAUUAUUUGUUGAUGGAUUUUAGAAUUAAUUUUAUAGAGGCAGUAGUCUUUUAGGCGAAUGAUGAAUAAAAGAUAAAUAAUGGUACAUGGUAAAUAGUAAAUAGUAAAUAAUAAAUAGUAAAUAGUAAAUAGUGAGUGGUUAAAAUUAUAUAGUAAAAAUAACAAUAAUACAAUAUGAGAUAGUGAGAUAGUAACUAAUACAUUAAUAAUACCAGUACUAUUAAUCUAUAGUUUAGUAAUAUUAAUAUGAAUAAUAAAUAGUAAGUAAUACUAAUAGUUCUAAAAAUAUAAGUUACAAUAAUACAAUCAUAGUUUAAUAGUAAUUAUGAUUAAUUAAAGAAGAACCAUUACUCUAAUAGUUUGAAUAAUACUAUUUGUUUGAUAAAUCUAUUUUUAUUUAUUCAUUUGAUAUUGAUAAUUAUUUUAUUAGUGGUGCUACUACCAAUGAAAACGUUUAUUGCGUUAAUAUUAGUAAUUAUGAUAAGUUGUUAAAAGAAAUAAGUUGACAUAAAAAUAUUUGUAAGAUUAGGAAAAAAUAUCGAUGGACCUUGCAUUGGUGUUUCAAUUUUAUUGGGGAGGCAGAAUAAACGAGACCGGAGAAUCAUUCGCAUAUGAACCUCCACGGUGUAAAAAAGCCGUUUUAGUGAAACAUCGAAUAAGUUAUGAUGAAUUGGUGGAAAAAGUGUACACCUACAUGCAAUUAGAUCGGAAUGUUUGCAAGUUGAAUCUAUAGUUUAGAAAUGCUGUUGGCCAAGACAUAUUUGCUGGAGUGCAAUUGAAAUUUGAAGAUGAUAUUGACACGUUAUAUCAUAUGAAGUCAAUGUCACCACACACGACAUGUGAGAUAUAUGUAGAAUUAGAACUACGAACCCGUCAUAUUCACAGUGACCAUGAUGGCGGACAAACAUCAUUAGUCGAGAAUGAUUUUGAAAAGGAGUCAAACAGUAUGUUUCAUACUGAGGUAACUGAAAGUACAAGGAUGGUAAAUCGUUCUUUUGAUGAAUUGCCUCAAAUGGAAAUUUUCAAUCCGACAAUCCUAUCAAGCAUACCUGAGAGAGAAGGUGUUAAUGUUGAUCAAGACACGGAACCAGAACCCGAUGGUGAUGAUUCAGACAAUGAUGAGCAGGAUCAAAUCGAUGAAGAAUCUGGCAAUCUGCCGGUUCAAUUGGCUGCCGGUCCAUCGAUCUCAUAUCAUAUACCAGUCCAUCUAAAUGACCUUGAAGGUGUGGAAGCCUCACUGAAUUUUGAUACUUUUAAGAAGAUAGUUUCAGAGGAGUACAAUGUGUGGGAUGAGUGGACAAAGGAGCUUAGAUUGGGAAUGAUUUUUGAAACAAAGAACGACGUACAGCGAGCUGUCAAACUCUGGUCGAUCAAGCACAACAGGGAGUACAAAGUGUGAGAAAGUAAACCGACCACUUGGUAUGUCCGCUGCAAGUCCUAUAGUGUUUCGCUUCCAUGUAAUUGGUAGCUAAGAGCCACUCUAAGAUGCACACAUAACAUGUGAAAAAUUGUAACAUUUGUGAAAGAAUACAUGUGUAUGCGAGUUUCGAAUUCCAAUGACCACCGACAGUUAAGUUUGGAACUCAUAGCCGAGUACGUAAUACACCACGUCCAGAAUGGUCCACUGUAUGCCAUCAAAGAAAUACAAAUGAGCAUUAAACGUGCUUUUGAUAUGGAUGUUUCAUACAAAAAAGCAUGGUAUGCUAAGCAACGUGCGAUUGAUAUUGUGUAUGAUGAUUGGCCAACUUCUAUAGCUGCGCUCCUUAUGUACAUGCAGGAAUUGGUGAAAGCCAAUUUCGGAACAGUUGUCGAGUGGGAGCACCAUCCGCAAAGCAGUGCUAGAUGCAGAAUCUUUCAUUAUGUGUUUUGGACAUUUGGGCCGGUGAUCGACUCAUUUCGACACCUUAAACCAGUUAUUUGUAUUGACGGCAUAUUUAUGAAGGGCACAUACAAAGCAAAAUUAUUAGUUGUUGUUGGUUUUGAUGCUUCCAAUCAGCGGUGGCCGAUUGCAAUCGCACUUGUAGACGAGGAGAUAAAUCGGAGUUGGACAUGGUUCAUGUCACAUUUGCGACGUCAUGUGUGCCGUGAGGUGAAAAAUAUAUGCGUUAUUUCGAAUAGGUACAAGAGCAUAACACACGCUAUGAAUACUUUGCUGGAGUGGAAAGAAUCGAUGGCUGUGCACCGAUACUGUUUAGUACACGUGCAGAGCAACUUUGCCCAAAAAUUUUGAAAUCAAAGGUAUAUAUUUUUUAAUAUUAGAUUAGGAAUACAUAGUAUGAAUACCCACUAAAUAUAAGUUUAAUCGUUGGUCAAUUAUCAUUGUCCAAAUUGAAUGAUCUUAUGUGGGCUGCCGGAGCAGCAAAUCAAGCCAAAAAAUACGAAACAUUUAUGGAACAAAUAUAGGUGUUAAACGAAGAGGUGUAUAAAUGGUUGAAUGGCAGUUCGGUCAAACCGGAACAAUGGACAUUAUGCAAGGAUAGGGAAUAUCGGUGGGGCUACAUAUCGAAGAACAUAGCUGAGUGCUUCAACAAUGUAUUGCACAAUGCUCGAUUAUUACUAAUAACAGCAUGCGUACAGUUCACUUUUAAUCAAGCCGUUGAGCUCUUUACGUCGAAGCGAAAAUUGGCUUUCAACACGACGUAUGUUUUUUCUAAAGAAAUAUGGAAGCCAUUCUUAAAAAAUGAAUUAAAGGCAAGGACACACUCAAUCCAAGUAUAUGACCAUAGAGGCGGAAUAUAUUGCGUUACUACUGGUUGACGCGAUAAUGGAAAGGGUGGCAAUGUGCAAAUUGUCAAGUUCGGGAAUAACACAUGUACGUGUGGCAAGUGGGCUGAACUUAGAUUCCCAUGGUCACACGUAUUUGCAGCUUGUUAUAGGUCGGGUACAAAUCUGUACCAUCUGGUAGGUCACGUGCACACAUUUUCAUCCUGGCAAUCUUCACUUCAAGGACAGUUUCAAUUUUUGUCGGAUUCGGCUUAUUGGAUCCCUUCGGAGUUGUGACUUAACUGUGAUGUAGGAAGAAUUAAACAAAAGAGACCCGACCCUAAAGCCAUUGCUAGAAUACAUAACCAAAUAGAUCGUCGAUGUUCCGAUGCGUCUCAUCAUUAUAGUCACUGUUCACAGACAAGCCACAAAGCCUCCAAUUGCCCUUAUUCUAGUCAUUUUCAUGUGUAAAAGCAUGAACGGGAUGAAAAAUUAGCUAAAGGUUGUGUAGUCAUUGAUUGUGUGUUAUGUUAGUUAUUUGGUCGAUUUUUUGACUGUAUGUCUAUUGCUGACGUACAAUUUAAUAAAAUUGGGACUGUAUGUAUGCUAUUAAUAAAUAUUUGAUUGUGGAGAUUAUCCUAAACAUGUCACAUUGGCCUAGACAGACUCCAAAUCCUAUACAGGGUUCACACGAAGAUGGCGUAUUAUAUUUGCAGGAUACACAUCGAUCGAAAAUCGUGUUUUUAGGGCAAGAGAGUCAGCUCGAUAUAAAAUGAGCCGACAAUUUUUUUUAGGAUCUGAUACGAAAUCAGCUGAAUUCUAGGAUAGCAAACUACCUUCGUGUAAUAGGUUUUUGGGGGAUCGUACAGGUAGGUUAUUUUGAAAUUGAUCAUGGAUUGAUUACAUCGCUUAUUGAGCGAUGAAGGCAGGAGACCCACACAUUUCAUCUUCCCGUGGGUGAGGCCACAGUCACUUUACAGGACGUGGAGGUAUUAUGGGGUCUACGUGUUGACGGAUUAUCAGUGACACUUGUUGAUCGAAAUAGUAAUAUUGCACGCAAGAAACAAUUAAUCAAGGAGCUUCUAGGUUUUAGACCUGAGACGCGACACUUAAGGAUGAGAGGUUGAAACUUGUUCCAAUAUUUGACUUUUUGUACGAGCCUCCUCCAGAUGAUGCACCGGAGGAAUUAGUUCGACAACAUGUUUGAUGCUACAUUUUGAUCUUAUUUGUUGGACAAUUAUAUGCCUACACGUGUGGAAAUGUUGUAAGUUGCCACUGGUUGGAUUACUUACGAGACCUAGAGGCUUUGAGUAAUUUCAGUUGGGGCAAUGCUACACUUGCAUGUUUAUAUUCCCGUCUGUGUAAAGCGUCUUACGCAACGACAAGCUGCACAGCUGGCCCGAACAUGCUUUUGCAGGUAUUGGAUGCAUAAUUUUGGAAUCAUUGCACGUCCAUAUUUCAUUUAAAUGCAAUAGUGAUUUAACGUAAACAAUUCGUAUUUUUUACAGUUAUGGACUUGGGAGAGAAUGCCCAGGAUUCGUCCGACCGUAUUGUUUCCUGCUGUACAGGGCGAUAAUUUUUCCAGAGGUGGUCGCUGGGCAGGAGAACGUACGACUAGAUACGUGCCAUCGCAUGUCGUCUCAUUAUUUCGUGAUGCACUCACCAAGAUGGGAGCCGACGAGGUACUCAAACUAAUAUACAAUUUUGAUAAAAAAAACUCUCAAUAUGUAUUUAUAAUCGCACUUAGUUGAACAAAUUUAUUGUCAUAGUUUAUCUGGGAGCUGUAUUCUACCAACCUUAUUGCACAGCUCCUCGCUUAUUAUUUAGCCGAACAACACAUAUGGCGGUCAGUAGUUCCGUUGAUAUAUUGGGAGGUUGUGGAAUUUCACCUCCCGCAACGGGUACUAAGACAAUUUGGGUUAUUUCAACUGAUACCUGCCUCCGUUGACACAGACACAGAUAAGAAAUUACAUUCUUUAAGUCGCUCAGGGCGUUCCGGAAAGGAUUGGAUCCUGUACCAUAGUCAUUGGGUGCAAUACUGGGAACAUCGUGCUCAAUUGAUUGUUGGUGGAUAUCGCAGCGAUCCAUUAAUGACUUUAUAUGAGUAUAUUGUAUGGUACCAGAAUAUUACUGCUCGCUAUAUAGCACCUCCUGUUUCAUGGCAAGCAGUAGAUGAUGCUCAUCGGCCAGAAAGGGGACAGUUCGACUACUUGGUAAAUUAUUAAACACUUUCCCUUUUUAUGUAAUCAAAUCCCAUUACAUGUUUAUUUAUUAACAUAUAAUAUGAUUACAAUAUACAAAUUUCUCUUUUUUUAGGUUGAUUCGAUGUCUCGGAUCGGUUCGAUCUAUGGGAUGUAUCUCGAUCCCGCAAAUCCAACGCAGAGUGCUCAUCCGGGACUAACAACUAUUCGUGAGGAGGCAUUUGGGGCAUUACAAUACCUGAAUCUAGGACAUAAAACGGUAGCUAGCCCAUUUGACCGUCAAGAUAUUGGUCAAUCUGCCUCUUCUGCUGCCCCUUUUCAGAUGCCUGUCGAGCAUCUACCUAGGGAAGUCCGUGGUAGGAAACAAGCAGUUAGACGUCGCAGAGGGAGCACCUCCACGCAUGCUGUUGAUGUGCCGGACGAAGAUAUAAUGCAAAUUUCAUCACUAUUCGGUUACGAUCCACCUAUUGGCAUACACUUUUCUCAUAAUGAAACUUUCUUCACACCUCCUACUAUGCCAGCUUUCGGAGGUCAUUUCAGUGAUACACCUACUCCCAUACCCGUAUUUGACUAUACGUCUGCUGCUGCACCAGCGUCUACAAUGCUUGCUACAACGAUGUGUCCAGAAAUUAAGUUUCAAGAUAAUCUUGACCAAAUGUACCGCUUCCUAGAGACCUCGGUUGGUUUCUCACCUGCUUUGCAUAUGGACGACGACAGUGUUCCCAUUAGUGCUUCUUUUCAAGCACCUAUACAUGGCUCUUGUCCUAGAUGCGGUCAAACUCCGGUAUUCAAUCCCUCCGUUGAUGAUGACGAUGAUCAAAUAUCUGAACAAAUUCAUGCAAUUUCUCAGAGGUUUGAACGAUUACAAUUGGGACGAGAUCUACCACAUGAGAGAAUUCAUUGGAAAUGUGGCUGUUCUACCACUCCGCGAGAUAAGGGCAAGAGGCGCGUUGAUGGGUGAUUUAAAAAAUAUUAUUUUUCAAAUUUUUCUUAUCGAAACUCUCAUUUUAUUAUCAAUUAAGUUUAUAUGCUAAUUAUUACAUUCUAUAAAUAUUGUUUAAUGUUGCAUUAUUUAUCAUUAUUCAAAUUAGCAUUAACAUUAAAAAUUUUAAAAAUAUGACUUAGGUAAAUUUUAGAGUGUUUUUAAUAGCAUACUAAUUAUUUAAACCCUAAACUCUAAUUAAGCCUAAUUUAUUAUUAUUUAAGUUUAUAUACUAAUUAUUACAUUCUAUAAAUAUUAUAUUAUUUAUCAUUAUUGCGAUAAUAAUAUUAUAAAAUUUAAAAAAUAUGACUUAGGCAAAUUUUAUUAGUAAUUUAAUAGCAUACUUGAUUAUCAUCUUAAUUUAUAAAUUUAACAUUAUUCUAAUAUGAUAUUUUAAAUUUUUGAUAAUUUUGGUUUACAAUAGAAUUUUAGUAAUACGAUUUAAGAAUUUUAAUUUUAAAAUUAGGGUUAAAGGGUUACACUGUAAUUUGAAAAUUAGUAUUUCAUGUAAAACAUAAAACCCUAAUUACGCCUAAUUAAGGUUACUUUUUACAGGAGAAAAAAACUUGGUCACGCUGCCUUUUAUUAAAUAUUAAAUAACUUAUUAAAAAUUAAAUAUUAAAUAAUAAAAGGUAGGAAGAAUGCUUCAAUAAAAAAAAAAGCAAGAAUGCAUCGCCGCUCAUGAGCGGAAACACAUAAAAACAAAAACCUUCGCCGCUCAUGAGUUGAGCGGUGAUCAAAAUUCCUUCACAGCUUAUUUCAUGAGCGGCAAAGCGUUUUUAAAAAAAAAAAUUAAACCAAGCAAAAAUAAAUGAAAACUAAAAGUCUUUUUAUUAGUAGCCUCACGUCUCAAUUGCGACGACCCCUUAUUCCGAAACACUCCCGACAUAACACCAAUUUUCUGAACAUUUUCAAUUUUGACAAUAUUCCUAGAAAUUCAACCUAGUUGGUUCAUUUUAAUAUGUAAAUAUUUGAUAGUACAAAAGUAAACACAAACACUUUUCGAGCUUUUCCCACUGUCAGCACUUGAAUCUUGAAUCUGACAACAGGGGAUGGGGAGGGAUGAAAGGUUUAAAAAAAAAGGGUUAAUUCCACUUUGUCCCCCCAAACUUUGGAUGAUUAUCCACUUAAAUCCCUAAACUUUAAAAUGGGACACUUAAGUCCCUAAACUUAUAAAUACCUCCCACUUAAGUCCCUGAACUUAUAAAAUGAGACACUUUAAUCCCUAAACCCUCAUAAAAUGGGACACUUCGACCACCAACGGCAUUCAGGAUUUGUUAACAAUUUUCCUUAAGUGGGAGGUAUUUAUAAGUUUAGGGACUUAAGUGUCCCAUUUUGAAGUUUAGGGACUUAAGUGGAUAAUCGUCCAAAGUUUGGGGGGACAAAGUGGAAUUAACCCAAAAAAAAAUUCAAAUAGCAACCUAAUGGCAAUUUGGGAAAAAAAACUUUACCGACCAUUAGACCAAUUUUCUCAAAAUGAGGGUUUAAAGUGCUAUAUUGGAAGACCUUCAGCCCUCCCAGGACAAAUGAAUAUGCCCAGGGUCAUGGAGCCUGGAUUCUGAGUUUCUGAACAAGGAGAAAAAUAGAUUUCAAUUCUCUGAGGAAAAACCAGAAAAGGUAAAGAAUCAAGGAAGAAGGAAUGGAUGAAGAAGAAGGAGGAGGAAUAAGGUUAAGCAAGAGAUUUUCAGACAAAGGAGGAGAGGUUGAUUACAAAACCAAAGCAGGCACCGCUUGGUCUCAUUCUUACCUCAAUCAGAAGCCAUGGCACCCUCUUUCUUACCCUAAUCAACGCCGCAAGUGGAUCGCCGAGCAGACUCACGCCCAGCGAGAACGCCGCGCCGAAGAAGUUGCCCGCGAGGUACUUUUUUUUCCUUAAUUUUGUUUCAAUUGAUUUCUGAGGAACCAUUUUUGCUCCAUUUUUUUUGUUUAAUGAACGGAAAAGCCCAGUUAAGAUACAGAAAUCUUUGGUUUCUGUUUUUCUUUUUGGUUGGUUAUUAUUAUUGUUUCUUGUAUUCAGUAGAGGACAAAAGCCUAGUUGCAGUUAGAUAAGUUCAAUAGUUUCUUUGGUUGUGGAUUAUCUUGUGGAAUUUUCAGAUUAUGAACUACUAGUAGAAAGGGAAGAGCCCCAGUUACAUGGUGUAUUGAAUUUCGAGGAUUUUUUUGGUUGCAGAUUUUAUAUGCAGAAGCAGAAUAUGUAAGAAAAUAGUGCAUUUUUGGAAUCUAAACAGUUUUGCAAAUGUUGCAAAGGUUUUAUAUUGUGGAAAACCCUGAUUAUCAUGUGUUUCAGGAGUUUUGUAUUGCAUAUUUUAUAGGCAGGAGCAGAAUAUAAAGAAACUAUUAUAGUAUUGGAGUCUAUAAAUAGUUAUACAAAUUUUGGAAAGGUUGUACAUUCAGCAUAUUUCUCAUUUUAUACUUAAAUUGUAUCAUGGGCAUUGGCUCAUCCGUGAGGUACAUUUUGAGGUACUUAGGUGCUCGUACUAUGUUGCCUAUUUUUUAAGGAUAAAAGUAGAAUUUGAAACUAGACGAGACUGAACUAUGAUAAAGAUUCUAUGUAUAACAUAUACAGACAGUUAAAUAGAAAAAAAAAAUUUGAAUUGGUUGAAUUAUUGGCUAUGUCUUCCUAUCUUUUUGAAUUUUAGUUGGGUACCUGCGAAUUGCUCUAGACACUAAUUCCUAUAGUUAUUUUUAACUGUUUGAUUGUUGCUUCAUUUUAGCUAUGUGAUUCUGUUUAUUUUUUUCUGAUGUAAUAUAAUACCCUGUCUUAUUUUGAUUCAAUGUUUGUGCUUAUUGGUACUUUUGGUCAUGUGUUUUUUCAGUAUGCUCAGGAGCACGAAUUUUUCCGCCAGACAGCUCUCGUCUCCAAGAAGGAGAAAGAAAAGGUACUUUGCGUGCACUGUAUAACUCUGUAUUUUGUACACUUCAAUACAGUUAUAUUAUGUCUAUGGGCGUUCCCCAUUAGUGGAGAUACCAGGUCUAAUCAUGUGCUUAUAGAGCAUGCAAGGAAAGUGUUGAUUGUCUGACUGAAUGUGCAUAAACUAAGUAAGGUAAUUGAUGCAUGACUUGUGUUCUUGUAGAUGGAGACGAUGAAAGCUGUUAGCUUUAUGUAUGUCAGACCACCUGGUUACAAUGCAGAGAGUGCUAAAGCUGCAGACAUGGCUGAUGAGAGGAAGAAGCAAGAGCAGGAGCAAAAUAACACUUCCCAAGGACCAUUUGAACACGGUGCUUCCACGUCGAUGUAAAUGCUUAGUUUUUAAAUUCUGGUUUCUCUAUUUCUAAGUGUGUAUGGCUGCUUAAUUAUGAUGUCUGUGUGUGCAUGGAUUAUGAAAGCUAAAAUACACUGGGCUUUGAUGUAGGAAGCACGAAUCUUUGCCUUCUAGUGAGGAGAAAAAGAAGCCCAGGCCAAAGGAUGUCUUUGGUCGUGCCUUGCCAACAGAAGAACAAUUUGAAGUCCUUAAGCAUGCUCCAAGGUCCGCAUGUUCUGCUCUUAUUUUGUUCUUGGUGUACAAUAGUUUUUCAAAGCAGUAUUCUAUCUGAAUGACGUAUUUUUCUUUACAUUCUCAACAAGUAACUGUCUUCCUGAGUUGGAAAUUAUUGGUCCUGUCCAUAUAACCUGUUAAUAUCAAUAAAUUGCAUUUCAGAUAUUCUUGAACAUAUUAAUUCAUACAUACCAAGAAUUCUCCAUAGAGCAGUUUUGUGUGUUAGGUUUUAAGAAUAUUAGAAGGUACCCUGUGGCUUUUGUCUCCGUUGAUAAUACAUAACAAAAUUUGCAUAAAUGUGUUUUGGCAAUACUUUAUUGUAUAUCCUUCAUCAGUAAUGUGCACGAUUGUAUGUAUUCACUAUUCACAUUAUAAAUGCUAAUUUUGAUGAUCUUCUCCAGGCUAGAGACAGGUGUUGCUGGCAGGUCCAAACCAUUUGGAGUGGAGAUACGCAAUGUAAAAUGCUUAAGAUGUGGAAACUUUGGCCAUCAAAGUGGUGAUCGUGAAUGCCCAUUGAAAGAUGCUAUAAUGCCUAGUGAAGAGAAUAGAUUGAAAAGAGAUGAUCCUUUAACAGCUAUCCAGGCUCUGACAGAUGUGAAUGAGGUACAUAUUGAUUCUUCUUACACAUCUAGCUAGUUAUAUUCAUCUAUAGACUUCUUUAACUCAAAGUAAUUAAUUUUUCCUUGAUAAAUAUGUUGGCUUUUAAUUUAUAAUACUUUACUCAAUCUGUUAGUCUUUUUUCUCCCAAAUUUUAUAAUAGUGAAUGAUGGAAUUAUUUCCCAUUUACCUCUCUGUAGCUUCCUCAGAACUGCAAGAGAGAGAGGGGGGGGAGAGAGAGAGAGAGUUACUAGAUGUUCAAGUAUAUUUAAAACUUCAAUCUGUGUUUUGUCCUUUUGUCUCCUUUGGGAAAUCGAAAGGAAAGCCAAGCUCUGAUGGAAUUUAGAAGUCCAUGCAGUUGCUCAUGCUUUUCUUCCAAAUAUUUUUCAUUGGUACAUAUAAAGACUACAUAUAAAGAAGGUUAUUUUUGGUUGGUCUUUUGGCAAAGUUCUAUUAGAUGUGUAGAUACUCAUUUUUACUGGAUCUCGCUAUAGCAAUGCAGAGAGUAAAAUGAUUGUUGCCCUUUCAAAGAUAUGAAGGAAGGUCUCUGAAGUUAUCUUGUGAGCGUGAGGACUACGUAAUCAAUCAAACAUCACUUGAAAAUGGCUCUUCUGCUCAGAAACGAAAUGUUCCAACUUGUAGGCAAACUAUUAUAAUUAUUUUAUAGAUUUUUUAUUUUUAUUUUUUUAUGAAUUUAAGCUGAUUUACAUCUCCGUGUAAAAGCUGGGAUAUGUGGUAUGAUAAUUGUUAUUCCUGACAGUCUCAUAGUGAAAAUUGUAGUAAUUCUUUUAGGUAAUUUAUAAUUGAGAAUAGCCCCUGGUUUUGGCAAAUCGGACGUGCAUAUACUGUCUUCUUCUGUUCAACGCAUCAUGUCUGUGCAAAUGGCUAGUACUUUAUAUUUUUAAUAAAUGUUUUCCAAGUAUUAUUUACAUUCAGAUGGACUACUGGUCUAUAGUUGAGACAAUAGGGGUAAACAAGGAAAAGACAAUCUGGUUUCCCAAUGGGGAACUCGAACUCUUUGUUCUUUUAAGAUUUUUAAGAUUAAAGUGCAGAGCUCAGUGGAAUGACUUCCAAAAUUUUCUAAGAGGAGAUGGAUUGUGUGCCAAAGUGCACUGCAAAUUUACCCUUGAAACAAUAAAUUCAUUUUCUUUUCCUUGUUUAGAUUUUCUUUUCCCUCCACUGGGUUAGGGAGAAGGUGGUGGGGUCGCUAAAAGAGAGAAUAACUUUUGUGUGAUCCCAAGUUUUGGCCAUCUGGAUACUUUUAUCACAUAUUAAUUGCAAUCAGAUUAAAUAAUUACAGGUCCUUUGGCGUUGGAAGGGCAAAUAUUACUCUACUAUGUAGUAUAUAGGAAAGUUUCUUGGUAUAAAGUUGCAAUGUCUUCCCCAUUCCACCAUGUUCUUCUGCUGUUUCCAUUUGACAGUGUCUUCCUACAUCUGAAGCAAGUGAUCUGAUUUUUCGUAUAUUCUUUCUCCUGUCAUCUUUGCUCUUACCAGACUAUCAUUUAUCCACUGGUCGUGUCUGGAAAUUGCACAUCAAAACUACUUGGCAGUUAUACAAGUUAUUAUUUAUCUAUAAUUUUUUAUACUUGUUUGUUGUACUUCGAGAUGCACACUAUACAGUUUGCUUCUUUCAUUAGUUGCCUCAUUCUGCUGUAAAUUUGACUUUCAAGUUCAGUUGAUUCAGCAGCUAUAAGUAUUUGCUGGACAAGUAUUAAUCACUGAUUAUCACAAUCUCAAGGAAAGACAUGCAGUUUGGAUAUUGUAGAUUUAAGCCUUUAAACAAUUUUCUUCACUUGAUAUGCAGCCAUUUAAGUGGGAGCUGAAACAAAAGCCAGGAUUGAGUCCCGUUCGAGGUGGGUUUAGGGCUGAUGAUCCAAACCAACAAAUCGUUGCUGAGGACAUAUUUGAUGAGUACGGAGGUGAUAUUUUUGUUGCUUCUAUAAAGUUUUAAUUGAAUGAUUUAUUAGUUCUACUCAAGAGAUGUAAAUGUAGUCCGUCUUGAAUCAAAUCAUGCCAGGGUUUCUAAGUGGAGAUAACAUCCCUGACUUGCUGGCCAAUUUUUCAUCAAGCGAGCCAAAGAAAAAGUCAUCUAGUAAGAGGAAACAUAAAAGGCAGUUAUCACCUACUGAAGUAAGUGGUAGAGAAAAGUGGUCAUCUUCCAGUGAUGAUGGUGGCAGAAGAUUGGAGAAGAAGAGACACAAGAAGUCAUCAAGAAAGCAUUCUCACUCAAGUUUGGCAGUUAACUUAGAUUCCAACAUGCUUCAAAAGGGUAACAGAUCAUUGGCUGGUGGUGAUAGGGAUAGACAUUUGAAGAAGAAAAGAAGUGAUAGGAAAUCACAGAAGCAUUCAGUGUCAAGUUUGCAAGAAAACUCUGAUUCUGAUGUGCCAUAUGAUCAUCGAGAUAAUGGGUCAUCAUCUGGUGAUGAUAGGAAAAGGAGAUCAAAGCUGUCAUCAUCUUCUGGUGAUGAUCAUGGGAGGAGAUUGGAGAAGAAGAGACAUCAUAAGUCGCCAAGAAAGCAUUCUCGCUCAAGUUUGCCAGAUAAGUCAGACUUUGACAUGCCAUACAAUAACCGAAAUGACCAUAGGUCAUCAGCUGGUGGUGAUAGGAUUAGUAAAUUGAAGGACAGAAGACAUGAGAAGAAGUCAAGGGUGCACUCAGAGUCAAGUUUGCGAGAAAACUCAGAUUCUGGUGUGCCGUAUAAUCACCAAGACGAUGGGUCAUCAUCUGGUUAUGAUCGAAAAAGGAGAUCAAAAAAGAUACAUAAGAGGAAGUCACCAAAGCAUUCUUACUCAAGUCAAUCUGAGAUCUCUGACUAUGAUAGGCAUUGCAGGAGCAGUAGGCACAAGCAUUCUCAUCCAACCUCAUCUGAGAAUUUGGACUUUGAUGGGCAUUACAGAAAUCGUCGUCAUCGUCAUGGUUAUCGCCAUUAGAAUUGUGUCUUUUUUCUGGUUUGAUCUUUUGAAACCACCAACGAUCCUUCCAUGAAGCUGCACCAAACUAAUACAGUUAGACACACCCGAGAGGUAAUGAGCGUUCACUGCGUCAGACACUCUACACAGCAGCUUUUUGCAUUUAGAUCUAAAUUUGCCUCCUUUCUCUCAAUACAAAGCUGAAGAACAAAAAUGAUGGUGAAGCUGCAGCUAUAGGUGUUCAAGAUUUAUGGGGACCUGUUUUUGCUUAAAGCUGAUGUAAGAUGGAGUCAAAUGACCUUCGUGGUGAAAGGAGAAAUUCACUUCCCUGUUCAACACUCUUGUUCUUGGGGUUACUGAUACAAAAACAUCACUGCAAUUAUUCUUUGGUUUAAAGUUUAAAUGCAUAAUCUUGACUUCAGGCUCUCAUGUCGUUGCAGGGGGUUGAAAUAUUUGUAAAAUUUCCCUCCCUCAACCCAAGAGCUUUGGUGUAAAAAGACUGUCUAUUAGUCAGUUGAAUAUUCUAAACAGGCAAGUUUAAAAGCUUGGAAUCUUUCAGCACAAUUGGUUUGUUUCAAUACACUGGUAGAUCUAUGGCAUUAGAUGUUUUUUAAGUUACUCCAGACACUCCUGCUAUGUUGCAGCAAGGUGCCCAGUUAAGAGCUAGUCGAAAAGUCCACCUUGUGGACAAGACUUCCACGUCUAGGUUGCAAAAUUUGCAAUGAAUUAUCCUUUCUCUUAGCCUCAAUCAAUUUUCUGUCUCACGUAUUAGGUCCUCUAUGAAGACCGAGCCAAAAAUUUAGCAACAAAAGUGAGUAUAACUGGGAUGGUGAGCCAAAAAAAAAAAAGGAUAAAAUAGAAAAUUGAUUGAAGUAACGAAUAAGCUCACUUGGUUUUUAGUAGGGUUAAAUGCAAAAAACCCCACAAACUAUAUAACCAGUUGCAGUUUACCCCCUAAAUUAUAAUAAUAGGCAUUUUGUCCCCUUGAAUGAUAUGUUUGGACAACAUUACCCCUACUAUCUUAAAUCCUUUCUCUUUUUUUUCUCUAUUAGCUUUUUUCAUUUUUUUCCUUUUAUUUUCUUUUUGUUCUCCUUCUCUCAUGGAACUAGCCAACGUCUUUCUCUGAUGUGAAAAGACUUACAUCAAAAAUUUUAAUAUUUUUAAACUGCUUUUUUAAUUUGUUUAUUUGUUAAAUUCAUUCUUAAUAAUUUGUCAUAAACUCUUUGUUAUUACAAAAUAUAUGUAACUUAUAUUAUAAAGUGUAUUAAUCUAGUAAUUCAACAAUUUAAGUACCUAUAAACUAAUUAAGAGUUCACAGUUACUCAACUACUUAUAAUAAAAGUAACAUAUUAUAUAUCACAUAAAAAAGAAAAGUUAGCAAUUGUUAUUUGUAGUGAAAUAAAAAAUAAGAAUAAAAAACAAUAGUAGUUCAUUUUUUUUGUUAUUGAUACUACUAAUAAUUGAUUAAUCAAUUUCUCUAUUUUGUUAUUAUAUAUUUGAAAAGUUCAAUUUCUUAAAUGACAUUGAUUUCAACAUUUGGAAAAAAAAUUUUGUAUUCCAUAGAUUUUUUUUUUAAAAAUAUUGACAUACGAAAUUAAGAAAUAAACAAAUUUUGACUAAUCUAGUCUACUUAUUUAAACAAUGUUUAAAGGAAAAAAAGGGAAGAAUUUAAAAAGAAAAUGAUAGGGAAAAAGAAAAAUAACAAUGCUUAAAAUAAAAGGGGUAGAUUUGUCCAAACAUAUCAUUCAAAGGGGCAAAAUACCUAUUAUUAUAGUUUAGGGGGUAAACUGCAACUGGGUAUAUAGUUUGUGGGGGUUUUUUGCAUUUAACCCUUUUUAGUAUGCAGCGAUAAAUUCUUCCACUAAUUUAAGUAAAGGCUGAAGAGGUCCAAAUUGCCUACAUCAAAUUUCACUCACUCAAGCAAAUUUCACUCACUCACCAAACAUAUCUGGCAGAUUGCCCCAAUCCAGUGGGACGGUAUGCAAGAGCAUCAUGGCUGUUUCAAAAGAUGGUGGAUCUCCGUCAUCGAGGCAAGGCAUAGGACAGCAGGAUCGCAACAUUUGGCCUUAACUGUCAACAUUCUUUGGCAGAUUUGGAAGGCUAGAAAUGACAUGGAAUUUAAGGGGAAAGCUCAUCAGCCCUGGAAGAUUAUAAAGAAAGCACAGGAGGAAUGGAUAGAAUUCGAUGAAGUAGCAAAGAAGGAAGCUAGGAUGAGCACAGGAGAAACAUCAACUCACAACAAUGAAGACCAGCAAUUAGAGCCGGAAGAGGGAACUGUGGAAAUGAGAGUUGCCGCAACAAGACAGACAGACAAACCUAUCUUAGGCAUUGGAAUCACUUCAGCUGAAAGGAACCAAGAACCAAUGAUAGGAUGGGCGCUAAGGGAAAGAAGCUCAGGGGUACAGCUUCUGGACGAUGCAGUAGCAUUAAAGCUGGCUAUGUGCAAAGCAAUUACAUUGCACCAAAGGAAAGUACAAUUCCAAGUGAAGAAUAUGCAACUCCUCAAUCAUAUUCGAACUCAGAAGGCAAGUGACAGCAGAAUAGCUACGCUGGUGGAAGACAUUGUACUUUUGAAAGGGUUGUUUCAUAUGUGCUCCUUUUGUCUAGCUAAUAGUGAUAAAAAUUAUCUAAGCUCUAGUAUCAGCAUAUAUGCCUUAGGCAUCACAAUUGAUGAGGAAUUGGUGUUUCCUCAGUGUUAAGCACACUGGUUGUAAAGUCAAUUCGAGCCUUUGCUCGCUCUUGUAUAUCUUUUGAAAGUAAUAUAAUCAAAUAUCGUUUUGGAAAAAAAAGCAAGAAGCCGUUUAGAAAUUAUCGUUUCGAAAAAAAAAAAAAAAAGCAAGAAGCCGUUUAGGGAAGCAAAACUUCCACCCCACAUGGUAAUAAUUUUUCAAGCGGUGGUUUUUACAUUUUGAAUUGGAUAUGAUGCUAUCUGGACCAAAAUUUAAGGGUAUCUAUAAUUGUCAAUGAGAAUUACACCGUGUAAUAUAGUCCAAUAAAUGUAAGCAUUAAGACAAUAACAUGAGAAAAUACAAAAUUAAAAAAAAAAAACUUUUUCACUUCAUGAAAUUUGUGCCCAAAACUCAAUCUCAAAUGUCUAAAUUUAGAUUUGUCUAUUUCUCACCAUGAGUUGUUCUCUGCAAAGAACCUGGAUCCGAUGCUAGCUAUGGUGCUGGAGGUCUUCUUCAUUUUCAUAUUAUUAAACUUUCUAACGUUUAUAAGCAAGAUAAUAUACUUAGUCGGAGGAUUAUGUGGUCUAACUAGAUUAAGGGAUUUUGCUAUUACCAAUUUCUUACGUUUAUAAGUAAGAUAAUAUACUUAAUCUUAGGAUUAUGUGAUCUAAUUAGAUUAAGGGAUUCUACUGUCACCAAUUUAAACUAUACGGUACAAUGUAAAUACUAACACAAUAAAUAUAGACACCAUUACAAGAUGUAAAAAACAUAACAAAUUUUUGACACAUUGAAAUAUGUGUCCUGCGUUUUUUUUUCUCUUCCAUCCAAUUUCACAACGCUCCAUCUACCACUCUCAUCUCAUUUGCAGAGGAUCUGAAUCCAAUCCGAACUCUAAAGGUCUGAGCGUAGCAUGAUGAAAAUGGGACUGGAAAUUAUUGAAUUCCAAUAUUUGCACAUAGUUGCAUCUAAUGAGGGGCAUUAUUUGCACACAAAUAAGGAUUUAAGUGCUUCUUCCAGGAAAAAACUAUUUAUAUAGGAAACGAGGUGAGGAAAACUAGGAAGUUCUUACACCAAAACCGAAUUCGAUUUGAAGUUUUUGGAUUCAACCCAUUACAAUCAGGAAAAGAAACUAAUGAAUUUGUGACACGUGGGGGCCGGUCCUAUUUGUUAAUAAGACUUUGUAAUUUUGUCAACAAAUCUAACAUUACCACCUGGCAUGCUUAAACAAAAAUAGCUAGUAUUUUUGCCCGAAUCCACUUACAAAGAACGACUAAUAUAUUUUUAAAUGAUAAAUACAAAUCUUAAAAUCUUAAAAUUAGGAAAAUGGACCAUUUUUAGUAUACGAUUUUCCUUCUCACACCCUAAAGUAAUUUGCCUUUGAUGGGACAUAACCAAACCAAAAUCCUAAAGCCACAAAAUUAUGAAAGAUUGGGCUCUUGAUUUUGAAAAAGGGUAAAUUUCGAUGACUUCUUUUUUUGCAAAAGAUCUUCUAUCCCAUUUUCUAUACAAUGUUCUAUCCCAACAUCUAUUAAAUCAUCAUAUAUCCUUCAUGAACAUCCCAUUUUAAUUCUUUUUUUCCCUUGGAGUUCCAGCAAAUUACUUAUAGGGUAGAAUACAAAAUAGAAGAUAUAAAAGACAAAAUUGAAUAACAUUCUAAAUUGACACAAAUGGUUUGACUUUUUUCAUAAAGAAAGUUUUAUUUUAUAAUUUUGUUUCGCAUUUAAUAGUUGAUAUGUAAUAAAGAAGAGUCGACAAUGAUCAAUUGCUGUAAAAGAUAAAGCAUAACUAUUUAUGUAGAACCCAUAUCAACCUUAAAUAUUCCUAAACUCAUCUACAAUCUCAUAUCAACCUUAAAUAUUUCUAAACUCAUAUCAACCUUAGAUAUUCCUAAACUCCAAUUUCAUGAUUGCCACCUUUCUAAUACAAAAUAGCCUAAGUCAUCACCACUAAUACUAACACCCAAUACACUCCAUUAGUACAAAGUUCAAAAUCAGUCAAAUUUUCUCUCUGUAUAGGACCAUCACCAAUAACUGCAAAUAAAAAAUAGAAACACAAUGUAAUUAUGAUAUACUAGGAACAUAUUUUUUCCAUAACAACCAUAAUAGUAUAAGUUUUAUUUAGUCUCUCAUCCAUUUUUCACCCUUAAUUUUUUUUAAUCACUACCAGUAUCUUCAUUUCUUCUUCUCCUUCUAGUUUGACAACUAAAUCGUCACUUAACUUCUUGUUUGACAAUUUCAAUUUGCUAAUACCUGCAAAAAAUUGAAACCAAAAAUGACCACAAAAAAGCUCUUUAUUAGUAUUGAAAGAGAGUGAAUUGGAAUUAGACACCAUAAUGGGUAAGUAUUGGUGGUUGGUACGCAUGGUGGUUUUGUUAGUAGUGGCAAUAUACAUUUGAUCAAUGGGAAUAAAUAAAUAAGUUUGAAAGAAAAGAAGAUGUAGGAGGGAGAAGAUAGAGAGUUAAAUAUGAAAAACUCUAGUUUGAGUCAUUGGUUGAUAAUAGAUGAGAGAAAACUAAUUUUUGGUAGAGUUAUUUGAUGAGUUGACAAUUAAAUGAAGGGCAUUUGUUGUCUUUUUAUUACACCUAGGGAAGUCCUCAUAAUUAUGUAAACUUCAGGGAAGCCGAGUGAAAUUGCUAGGAACUUCAAGGGAGGUUUUUGAAAUUAUCUCAUUGUAAAAAAGGAACAAAAUCAAGUUUAUAAAGUUGAUCUUUAGGGGAACUAAAUCAUCAUAUUAUUGCUUCCGGUUACGUUUGGAUUGAAAACCAAUGGUAGGAAAAGAAAUACAACUCCACGUUACAAAGAAAACACUAUUAAUCUGAUUUAGAGUAUAGGCCAGAUCAACUAUAUCGAUUAUUCAUUAGAUUGACUGGUGAUUAGUGAAUGUGCAUUAAAAAAAAAAUAGUAUACAUUUCUUUACAUGCAAUCAUGUAGAUUUCUUCAUAUGUGUCCAUAACAAUAUCAUUAGUGGUACUUACCUAAUAAAAAAAAUUAUGAGUGAUAUUUCCAAUUGCCGAUUACUGAAAAAUUUAAAAAAAAAAAAUCCAAUUGCUGGUUUCUGUCCUAGACUCCGAGGUUUAUUAUUCUUUCGCGCUGCGCGUGGAUGUAUAUAACUCAAUAUCUUGUAGUUGGAAAAAGAUUGAGUACAAGGAAGUCUUUUACAUCUAUUUUUCCUAGAUUUUAUUCCUCAUCGUUGCCUUGUAUUCUACUCCAGCUCAUUUUCGGUAACCACAAAGUUAAAGCAAUUAGUUAUAUCUCCCGUGGCAGAAUCUUUAAUUAAUUCAUGAUUCGAGAAAUAUUAAAGAAGUGAUUUAAUGUGAUUAUUUACCGAUUGCAGUGGCUAUUCUGUGUACUUUGGUUAGAAAAUGACUUAACAACGUGAAAUUGCUUAUGAACUCCAAACCCCUUAAUUCCCUUCAUUUGUUAUUAAUUAGAUGCACUCAACAAGGAGGGAAAAAAAAAGGAUGCUUCACCUAUCAUCUAUAGGUCCCGGAUGCAAGUCAUCAAUGUGGUGGUGGAGUCCCACUUUUGAUACUCUUUUUGAAUGAGAAAAAAAAAAGAAGAAAAAAAUGCACUCAAUACAAUUAAUAAUGGCUAAAGAGUAAAUUAUUGAGUUUUACAUUAAAAAAAAUGCUGACAUUUACCAUUUAAUUUCCUUGUUAACGUUAGAUAUUAUAAGUAAAUUAAUUGUUAGACAAAAGUUAAACUUAUUAGUUUGAUUCCAUACCCAAAAAAAAAAAAAAUGAAAAGAAGUUCUCAGAGCUUAUAUAUCUAGUUUUGCAAAGGUUACACAACCAUAUUGCUCCAAUUAUUGGCAGAUGAAGCUAAAAGGAAUCUUCAUUUUCUUGAUAACAACCUAAAGAUAUGGACACUCUCACUCAGUAGUGGAGUGAGGUCCCUAAGGUUCCUAUCACCACAUAAUAUGUAGUAAUAGUAGAUUUACAAUUAAAGGACUUCUAUGUUGAACAUUCCUUUUCCUAUGUUGUUUAAUACUUGCAAGUCAGAGUUGUGCUAUAAUGUGCCAUUAAUGAGUUUAAGAAUCUUGUGAAGCAUAAGAAUUACAAAUUUUUUUAAUUAUUUAGUGGGGCAACAUAGAUAAAAAGAGCAGAGAAAAUACAAUUUCAAAAAUUUUAGGGGACAAAGUAUAUAAGAAAGACAAUUUUGUGGAAUUGAGGGGGGCACAAAUAGGAAGCAAUUUUAAAAAAUUUUAAAACUUUCCAAGCCUGAAAAAUGUUGAACUAGCAAAUGCCGAGAGAGAGAGAGAGAGAGAGAGAGAGAGAGAGAGAGAGAGAGAGAGAGAAUGUCCGAUUAUUUAUCGCAUUUCACAAAAAUGGAGAAUAAGUUACUCUUACCAACUAUGAAUUUUUUCAGAUCAGAUAUCCAAACAUCAUUCUUCUAUAAGUAGUAAUGUCGAAUAUCAUAAUUCAGAGGUAUUGUUUUCUAUCAAUGAGAAAAAUAGAAAAGAAAUCAUUUUGUGGAUUCGAAAUUCAUAAUAACAAUUGGUAUUUGUUCCAAAAAAGUGAGUAACAACCUAGCAACAAAGACACCUACAGCCUAUUUCAAAUAGAAUCAUAAAAUGCCAACUUUUAUCCAGAAAUCGGAUUUAAAUAGACUUUCAAGAAUUUGUGAAGAAUUUUAGCACAAGAUUAAAUUAAAUUCCUCCUGUGAACAAAUUUAUUUUCCCUCCAAGGUUGUUCUUUUCUGAGCCUCAAUAUCUUCAUUAUCCAGCACUGGUUCCUGUUCUUGAUCCUCAAAUUUCGUUAAAGAUUGCUGCUUAUCAUUUUCAGGGAACACUUUGUACAGUCCCAAGUAAAGACACAUACCAAAAACUGUAACUCCAACUAAGUACCAGCUGAAAAAAAGGUUCACUAAUGAUUUGGCUUUUUCAAGGGCUUCAUGAUCAUGGCAUCUGACAACUUCAUGACCAUCUUCCCACUUCAGAAAACAGCCUUUGGGAAUAUAUUCUGGUGUCCACAGCAUGAUUCCCAUGACCAUAAACCAAGCUCCUUGGAAAAAGAUGAUAAGAGACCUUAUGAAACUAUUCAAGAAACUCUUGGGGUAAACUAUGCAUAAGAGGGUAGUGAGAAAUGAGACAAGUAUGACAAUUUGAAGAAGCCAGUGAUAUUGGCCUUCCAGACCAAUGUGAUCAGCAGGGUGGAGAUUAAAUAGGAGAAACUGCUGGCCAAAGGAAACGGCUCCAAGCAUUUGCGAAAGGCCAUAUUGAGCUGGGGGCUGAAUUUUGUCUAGGAUAAUGCAGAGAAGUGCAUAGAUAAAGAAAGUCAAGGAUAUAUUUGAGUGCUCAAAGCUAUGUUUUCAGAACCGGACCGGAUAGCGACUCGGCCGAGGUCAGGGGUCAGGGGUCAAUGGGUUCGACCGGGGGUCGAUAGGGGUCGAACCGGAUGACGUCAUAAAUUAAAAUUAUUUAAAAAUUAAAAUAUUAUAUAUAUAAUAUCUAAUAAUAUAUUGAUAUUAAUAAAGGUAUAUCCAUAUAUAUUUGAUGUUUCAAAUAUAUUUAACAAGAAAAUACAAAGAAAUUAGAACAAUCAAGUAGCAAUUUAUAUUAUUUAAUAAAUAUUAACAAGUUUAGAAUUAAAAUUAUGAAUUUAAUUGAAAAAUAACAUCAAAUUUUAGGACAAUAUUUAUAAAGUAUCAAAUAUUUGAGGUAUAUCAAUAAGUUUUAACAAUUUAGGGGGUCAAAACAUAAUAUUAAAAAGUUUGAAUUUUUUUAAAAAAAUUACUGUUGAACCGGAAAAACCGAUUUUUUCCUGAUCAAACCUGAUUUUUGACCGGAUUUUAAAUUUUCGGUUUUUUAAUGUGACUCGGACCGGCUACCUGACCGGUUCCCGGUUCGACCGGCCGGUCCGGUCCGAGUUUGAAAACAGAGGCUCAAAGCUGUGAAGAUGGUUUGAUGGAAUAGUGCCAUCCGGGGUCCAACGGUUGGUGCCUUUUUGGACCAAUGAAGAGAUCCAUGGAUAUUGAGGCAAUGCAGCCUCCCAUGAUGAAGAAAAGUUCCAAGUACCUGAUUUUUGAAGUUGGAAACCAUGGCAAAGAUGUGUAGGAUUUUGGAUGGAGACAGUGAAGUCUGACAUGGUUAAGUAAAUGCCAGAGCCCAACUAGAAAGAAGCCGAAUCCAUGUCCCACCAAUUUGCCAUCUUGUUAUCCUGCUUUGGUUUGCCUUGCAAUUUUUGCUGCUUGGUUGAUAGUUUGCUUGGUUUGUGUGUUUUGUCCUACCAGAAAAGGAAAUAUGGAGGGUAUAGGAGGGGAAGAAAAGAAUGGAUCUCUACAAGUUAGAGAGGAAAAAGUAACGUGAAGGCAAGGAUAGGUUGGUUGGGAUGGUUUAUAAAGAAGGGAAUGGAGUAGGUGAACAGGUAAUCUGUACGAUUGUAUGGAAUUAUUAUAUUUUUUAUAAGAUUUGAUGUAUACUUAUAUUACCUUUUUUACACACAAAUUUUGUUUAUGUACAUCAAAAAUAUUGUAAGAGAUGUAUUUAUGCUAUCCAUUUAAUCUUGUAAGAAAUACGAUAAAUAGACAUAAUCGUAACGAAUCAUAAACGCUCCUAUUCGUGCGCCGGUGGGGUGGGGGUGGGCGGGAGAUUUGAAAUAUAUGUCAUUUUUCAAGGUCUUCAUGCUACUAUUUCUUCUUUGGGUGGAAAGCUUUUGAACAUUUUGAGGUACUCGUGACUGCAGCUUGCGUGAUUAGGAAAUGAGAUUGAGCAAAGAAGAGUUGACCGGGAACCGUUUGGCUGUUAUUUUCAAGUCAGUUGGCAAUUUUUAUUCUCUAGGGUUGAGCCAAUUUGCUGCCUGGAGAACAAAAUUGACAACUAAAAGUCAUAAUUGUCCUUCUUUUUUGCAUUAUCUUAUCACAAGGCAUGUUGAAAUAAUGAAACAAAAUCAAAACAUAGCCAAAACAAAAAAAAGUUGACAAGAAAGAAGAACAAAUAAUUCAAUUAUCAUACCGGCUAACUAAUCAUGCUAGGAAACGUGACAAAAUUUGUUAAGGAUAAAUUAACUAAAUUCUGGUUUACAUUUUUUAAAAUUUAACACUGAAAUUUGUAACAGUUUAAUUGCAUGCCAAGUUCUUUCGCCAGUCCAACUUUCUAGAUUUCACAAACUAAAGUGUCAUUGCACUAGUCUUUUGCAAUCUGUCAAUCAAUGGACCAAAGCAGAAUGAAUUGAAGAGUUUAGGUUAUAAAAUAUCCUAAAUAGAGAUUCAAGUCACAAAGUGAAAAUUGGUGUAAAAUUUAAACUGCGGUAUGAAAUUCUAACCCUUAAAUACUGUCAAGAACUACGCAGGGUUUUUUUUUUUUUUUUUUUUUCUAGAUUUUGAGGAAGUGAUUUUACAUUCGCAUAAAGUAUGAUUGGUUUCUUCACCAUAGAAUCAUCAGCUUGUGAUUAAGCAUCAAACUUAAAACACACAGGCAGCCAAGGCCCAACCAAAAAUAAAGACCAUUUUUUUUGGUUCAGAUGGAAUCAUAGAAGGCAAAGAUAUUGCAAUUAAAUCACCAGAAAACUUUUUUUUUGGGUCCCAUAACAAAAGUAAACUCAUGAUGGUAAUGCUGAAGAAGUAUAAUCUUAUCAAAGUUAAAGGAUGAUGCUAAACCAAAUAACUCGACUCGAGCUCGAAAACUACUCGAUCAACAGCUCAUAUUCAGCUCGUUUUGACCGAGUUCGAGUUCGAGCUACUCAUUUGAUCUCACAAGCCGAGCUUGAGCUCUAGUAUUUUGUACUAGAAGGCUCGACGAGUCUAAUCGAGUUUUUUACAAUAUAUAUUUUUAAAUUUUUUAAAUUUAUUAUUGUAAAAUGUCAAUAACAUCAUUUAUUUAAAAUUAUAUGUAAAAUAUUAAUUUUUAUUAUAUGAUAUUGAUUAGACUCGAAUAGGCUCGUCUAAACUCGAUUACACUCAAAUAGAUUGAUUGAACUUGAUUUGCCUUGAUUAGAUUUAAUUUAACUCGAACUCGAGUAAGGAAAACUAAAGUCGAAUUUGAGCUCGAACUCGACUUCUACAAGUUCGACGAGCUCGAACUCAGUUAUUUUACCUCAUUGAGGAAGAGUAACAAAUGACCCCGUCGCUAGCCCCUUCAACACAGCAAAAGACAACAAUUACAAUGCAAGGAUAAGUUUCCAAUUCAUCUGUAAAUGAAAAUCUAUCUCCAUAGACAAGACUCGGUUUCCAAAUCAAGUCUCGUUAGUUACUCCCACGUUGAACCACCUUUGUCACUUCUAUUCAAUGUGAGUUCAUGUGUUAGGACACAUCUUUCAAUCUGCUACACCCAUACUUGCAUACAGUUAGCGCGGUUAAAUAGAAAGCAAUGUACAUAAUAAUGGCAAAAGCAGCAGGAAAACAAAGGUUAAAACUGUUAUAUACUGCACAUAGCAGGCAUCAGAUAUAUCAGAGUUCCUUUCUGAUGGCUGUCAUUCUUUGCUCUUUUUUCCCCUUUUGAGCAAAAUAAGUAAUAAAUUCAGGUUGCAUAACAGUAUUACACAUUUGAGACAAUACCAUAUACAUCCCAAAAAAUCCGCACCAUGCCAAGAUAUUUCAGUAAGUAGGAAAUUUUGGAUCCACAUCAUGGGCCCAUGAUUGAAUGCCACCUAUUAUGUCCUUGGCAGAUGAAAAUCCCAUUUUGUGGAGAUAUUGAACAGCUCUUUGCGACUCAUUACCUCUUCUACAAACAACAUACAGGGAUGCAUUCGAAUCAGCGCUAUUCUUGCUCUCAUCCUUUUUUAUCAACGCUGAAGAUAUUUCAUGCAAUCUUGCUUCCAGACUCGGGAAGGGUAUGUUGAUGCAGUUGGGAAGUGAAACAAUCUUAUAGUGAUGAGCAGGUCUUACAUCUACCAGCACAUGUGGUUCUCCUUUAACAAUUCUCUCAUGGUACUCCUUGCUGCUAAUUCUGGCAUCCACUGGAAGCAGGCUCAACUUCAGAGGAGCCUGAAAUCAAUUGAAUAUUGCCAUUAGGAGCUUAGAUUCAGACUACUUCACUGGCAAAUCUCUUCAUAGUGUAAGAUCUGAAAAUUGAAGCUAACAAUUAGAAAUUAAACUUUUCAAAAAGAUUUUACCAAAUGAACACCAAUAUUCAUCUUAAGUGCUCCAUAAUGAUGUAGAGUGCAAUUUUCCAAAAUAAGGAAGACAUGAUUUCAUGGCAGAUUAUCAGGCUGGAACUAAAGUUUUAACUUAGCAGCUCCAGUUCUCUAUUUAUACAUGCCAUACUUCAAGUUUAUCCUAUUCAUCACGGAAUAAAGUCAUGAUAUAAGAGAGACACACCGUUGAGAAGGGAGUCUGAGUAAAGCAUUCAUAGUCAAACUCUUGAAACUGCUUUUCAGUCAGAGGUGCAUUUUCACCACAAGCUUCACAUUGUAAUGACCUUCCUCUAAUCUUCACCUGGUAAACAAAUAUGACAUCAUACGAAUAUUGGUUGGAAUCCCAAAAAAUUGAAUAAUGGCCACAAUACGGAAAUGCUGGAGCUACUACCAAUUUCCAUUUUUUGUCUAUUUAUUAGCCUCUGAAGAUGCACAAAUUUUGUGAUAAUGUAAUAUUAAUAGACACUGCAAUCUAGAGAUUAGCUUCCCCAUCAAUCUCAAUGCUUAAGACUGCAGCAUUAGGAAAACAGUUCCUAUAACAUCUAUCCAGACCAAGAAUUGUCUUCAUUCUAUUAUUAUCUUAUAGGAGCUACAAUUAUAUAGUCCUCCAAACUCAUAAAACUCAAUUUAUCCAGUCCUAACAAGAAACUUCAGAUACAAGGUGAUAGCACCACUAAUAGGUCCAGAUAGGUAAUAAUUGUACAUAUUACCGGCAAAAAAGUUUGUCACAAUAUGUAACUGAUACUAAAAACAAAAAAAACCAUGCACAUCAGAGGCUGAAUAGACAUCAAAGACCAAAAACAUACUAUACGAAUCCGGCCUGAAAUUGCAUCAAACAGAAGCAUCCGACCCGAGAAUGGAUCACCAACAGCACUUCCAAUCUUUAUGGCCUCCAAGGCUUGGAGACACCCAAUAAUACCAGGCACUGUGAAUAAUGGCACAAACAAAUGAAGAAAACUGAUGGUCUAUUGACAACUGGACUGAAUGUCCACUUAGGGAAGCACGAGUGUAAUAUGUUCUAGACUAACUUACCUACACCUAGAACUCCACUAUCAGCACAUCUUUGACAUGCUGUUGUAGGUGGUGGAGUUGGAAAUAAGCAUCUGUAACAUGGCCCACCAUUAUAGUUGUAUACCGUUAGCUACAUAAACAAUUGAAGAGUGUUAGUGUGAUAUGCCCAAGGAAUAAGUUGACAUCAACAUGAAUUAGCAUGUGACUUGUACCUGCCCUUCAAGUCCAAGUGCAGCUCCAGAUACAAGAGGCUAUCACAAAUAAGAAGUCCGUGGUAAAUAUACUUGCAUAUAAUCACAUUACGCUGUGAUCUCAGAUUUGUAAAUAAAAUCCUUGUGAGGUUGUCAUAAAAUCCAGCAAAGACACCAAUGCAAUUGAAACCACACAUUUAAUUAGCAUAUGAGAUCUAAAUACCAAAAGGUGGUAGAAUUUGCUUGAAGAAAUGCAUAAGAAAAAUAUGAUUUCUUUGAGUAAUCCCUAAAUGUAGUGUAAGAUAUUUUUGAACGCUUAUAAUAUUUACUUGCAUAAAACAUCAAACAUAAAGGAAAUGUUCAAAGAAAAAUUACCAUAAGAUAUUAACCUUUGCAGGAUAUCAGUGGCAAAGAUAAACAAGCAUUUGUACCUUUCCCAAAACAACACAGCAAUCAUUGAUCAGGUAACGGCUUGGAACAUUAUCUGUUGCAUCUACAACUAUGUCAUAUCUAUUGUUCAGUAAAAGUCAAGAAAAUCAUGAUUUUCGCCAGAAUGGAUUACACAAAUCAACAGAAAAAAUGGAUAACAUGUAUGAUGUGUGAAAAGUGUUUAUAAGUCAACUUUAUAUAUGUCCCCUUUGUGUGUGUGUGUGUGUGUAUCAACCAAGCACUAAACAAGGAUACUUUCUCACAAUCCCUAAUGCAUUUGUCGCACGAAAUGCUUCUGUGUGCUCCACAAUUUCAACAGUUGAAUUAAUCCUGAGAUUAAGAUAGUUAAGAACAGCUAUAUAACACAAACUCCUCCAAGGUCCAAAUACACAAUAGACGUUAACAGGACAAUGCAGUUUAACAUCAGAGGAAAAAAUUCAAUGAAAAGCAACAUACGCACGACAAGCAGCAGCAGCAGACUCCACCUUCGGCCUUCCAAUAUAAGCUUCAGUAUGAAUAAUCUGAACCACAUAAAAAUGAAAUCAGCAUCAUUAUCAGAUCUGGUUGCAAUAGAAAUAAACAACUAGCUUAAAAUUUUGUAGGCCAACAAACAAAGUCAUUCAAAUUUACCUGCCUAUGGAGAUUGUUAAGUUCAACCAUAUCAUGGUCAACAAUACCUAUUCGACCUGCAAAGUUUGGUCAUGAUCAAAUCAACUGCAACUCUAACUGAAAAAAUUAAUCUUUAUUCAAUUUCAGGCACGAACAUUUCUUUCCAGAGAAAAUUAGUAAAAGGAGACGCAGUUUUGGACUAUUUGUCAUAAAGGGCAUAUGAACAAACUUCUGUAUACAUGUACAACAAAGUGUAUUACGAGUGUGCACAAAUGGCCCUCAUGAGAAAGUAGCUUUAAAGCUCCAAGGGCCCCCCUUUUCAACUGCUCCCCGUUUUUCUUGAAAGAAAUUUAGAAGUGGGUGCCGGGCGACCAUCAAUGAAGCCCCUUAACUAUUUGCCAAAAUUCAGUCCUGAUACAGACAUAAACAUCUUACCAAAACCACAAGCCGCAAGAUAUAACAGCGCAGGUGAACCAAGUCCUCCAGCUCCAAUAACUAACACUGAUGAUUUCAAGAGAUUUGCCUGCCCUGCAACCAAUCAAACAACCAAGCAAAACUAUCAAAGAAAUCCCAGCAAAGAUAUGACUACACUACCGUCGUUUCUCUCCUCCUUCCCAAAGCUUACCUUGGACUCCAAAUGCAGGGAGCAAGAGUUGUCGGCUGUAUCUGUAAAUCAUAUCCGAAGCCAAUCCAUGUCCAGAGUCAAAACUACCGUUCUCCGACGGCAAAAUUAAACACGAACUCGAACCAUUUGAAUUCACCUCAUCCUCUUCUGCUUUUCUGCAAUUAUUCUCGUCACAAUUAAGUUGUUGGAGCUGAGCUUCCAGAUCUGAUAUCUGCCGCUCUAUUUCGUCCUUUGAGGAUCGCAGAGACUCGAUUUGACGUAGAAUUUCAGAAGCUUGUGGUCUUCCAUUAGACUCCAUACCCGCCUGCAGAGUUCGGAAAUUUUUUGAAGAUGAUCAAAUUUUAUGUAUGAAUUCUUGAAGUCUUCUGAGCAUUAUAUCAAACAAGUGGAAGGCAAUUCCGAAAAACUCCUAUUUUGGACAUUGAUUGGAGAGUGGGGAAUCCCGGACGUAUGUUUUGACAGAUAGCGAAGUGUGUAUAGAUAAGAUAGCGAUAAGAUAGCAAAAUAUGGAAGCUGGGUCCUGUCACUGUCUAAGCACUGAUUUUGUCCAUCAACAGAAAUAGUAGUGCUGUUCAUUCCAAGGGUUUUGGGGUUAAGAGUGACUGGAGGGGAGGUCCUCUACUAUUUUGCUUUCUCUAAAAAACCCUUCCUUUUAUUUAUUUGGGUUAAUUACACUAAGACCUCUUAUAAAUUUGGAUGAUUUAUAUUUUGCUACCCACAAGUUUUUAAAUAUGCCCAUCUUUGAUGUUUCUUGACUGGAAUAGAAUCAGCUUAGGUUCCAUUUGUUUGUAUUGUUUCUCAAAAGCACUGUUCCUACAAAAUGUUUAGAAUUUUAGUUGGUAAAAUGCCCCAUAAGUCAUCAAAAUUUUUUAAAGUCUCGUAUAGCUCACUAUGUUAUUUUUUCCCAUCAAUUGAUGAAACUCACAACAUGUGAGCGUCGCGUGGCAUAAUUGAAGUUGGCAGCAAAAAUUGACCAAAUUCAGCAUAUUUUCGUCACUCCGUGGAUGAAAGACAACAUAAUGUGUUAAAUGAAAUUUUAGAAAAGUUUAAUGACCAUAGCUACAAUCAGUUGUGAAGACAGGAUUUUUAGGUUGGGAAAAAAAUUUGUAAGUAAUAAACUUGCUAUUCGAUGAGUGUCAUUUAUAGAAUUAUAUAGAUUGUAGCAUAUUUUUUUUUGUUUCUGCUCUUUGCUUGAUUAUCUAGUCUUAAAUUAAGUUUCUCUUUAAACAAGGUCAUCCUUAAUGAAAGAUGAUUUUGUGGUAACAAUGAUAGCAAUAAAUUAUAUUAAAUAGAACGAGGAAGUUUUGUAUUAAAUAAGAAUUAAUCUUUGCACUUUAACCUUGUAUACAUGCUACUUAAUUUUAGUUGGAACUUGAAUUUCUCAUUUUGCACAAGUGAUAUGCAUUACAGGUUGAUAAUGAAUGUACUCUCAAUGUAUAUAAAAUUAAUCCAUUAAAUAAAGGGUUAUUAUCACUUUACCCCCUUAAACUAUAUCACUACUAUCAGUUUACCCCUUAACGUGAUCUUUUAGUCACUUUAUCCCCAUAAGUAAUUCAACUCAACAUGUUAAGAAAUUUUGAACAAAAUACCCUUUAAUUUUAUAGCAUUACUAUAUUGUUAUUAUCACUUUAUUCGUUUGGAUUAUAGUGAUACAAUCACUUUAGUUCCUAACAUUAUUUUCUAGGCAUUUUACCUCAUCAUUAAUCUAAUUAGUAUGGUCAAAAAAUUUUAAAUAUAUUUACCCUUUUUAUAUAUAAUUAAAAAUAAAAAAAUUGGAAUGGUUAUUCUUCCUUUUUUUUCACUUUAAGAGAUCGAAAAACAUAAAAAUAAAAGAAUAUUCUCAAAUUUCUUUUUUUUACACUUACUAAUACUAGGAAAAGAAAAAGGGAUAGGAAAGAAGGAGACAAAAAAUUAGAUUUUGCAAAACAAGAAAAUAAAAAAAGUCUAACAUUAUCGUAUUACUUUAAAGUUGUCGAGAUUAAAAUUGGAAUUUGAUGGUAAACAAAAAAGGUGAAAUAAUUUUAAAAUAAUAAAAGUAUUUAAUUCUUUAUUAUUUGUAAAUUUAAAAAAAAAAAAAAGAAUUGAGCUCUCUCUGUCCCCCUCUCCCUCUCCAUCUUUCUAUUUUUUUCAAUAUUAAUAAGAUUACCAAGAAGAAAGAAAUUAAUGCUUUGAAUUUUUUCUUAAUACUAAAAAGGAGAAGAAUCAUUCUAAAUUUAUUAUUAUUUUUAUUAUGCAAAGAGAAGGGUAUUUUCUUCUAAAGUUUUUUAACUUGGUAAAUUGGUUUAAUGGUCGGAUAAAUUGUCUAAAAAAUAACUCUAGAGGGGUAAAUUGAUAAUGAGACUAUAUUUUAUGGGGGUAAAGUGAUAAUAAUUUUAAGGGUUAAACAUAUCUUUUUACUUUAAUUAAGGGUUAAACACAUUUUAUCCCCUUAAAGAAUACCCCAUUUCUCAGUUUACCCCCUAACCUUUAAUUUAACUCACUUAACCCCCUUUAGAACAAAAAUGCCCUUGCAUUAUUUUGACUUUUCAUUUACCUUGUUUUCCUUUCUUUUAUUUCUUUUUCUCUUUUUUCUUUAUUUAAUUCUUCCUCUUUCCCACAAAAAUCUUCACCUUAAUGAUUGAAAUUAAAAAAGAGGAAUUGCAGAGAUCUAUCUUCUCCUUAAAUGAUUAAAAAAUAUUCAAAUCACUUUCCUAAAAUACAAUUUUUUUUAGCCUUUCAAUUCUUUUAAUUUUGGGUUUUCCUCUUUCCUUUCUAGUUUCUCAUUUUAUUCCCAAGAAAAUAUCUUAAGAUGCAAUUGUGACCUGAUUAAUAAUCAUCAAUUGAAAUUUGUGACACGUGGCAUCAUACAAAAAAUCAAAAUUAGUUUUUGAUACCUUUUAAAUCUUCACCCAGAAAUAUGCAAUUACAAACUCAAAACAAAAAUUUUCGUUGAAAUUGAAUUUCUAUUGGGAAGGAUGAAAGAGAGAAGAAAGAGAAAAAGAAAUAAAAGAAAGAAAAACAAUUUCAUCUUUUGAUAUUUUCUUGAGAAUAAAAUGAGAAACUAGAAAGAAAAGAGGAAAACCCAAAAUUAAAAGAAUUGAAAGGCUAAAAAAAUUGUAUUUUAGGAAAGUGAUUUGAAUAUAUUUUUAAUCAUUUAAGGAGAAGAUAAAUCUCUGCAAUUCCUCUUUUUUAAUUUCAAUCAUUAAGGUGAAGAUUUUUGUGGGAAAGAGGAAGAAUUAAAUAAAGAAGAAAGAGAAAAAGAAAGAAAAACAAGGUAAAUGAAAAGUCAAAAUAAUGCAAGGGCAAUUUUGUCCUAAAGGGGGUUAAGUGAGCAAAAUUAAAGGUUAGGGGGUAAACUGAGAAAUGGGAUAUUUUUUAAGGAGAUAAAAUGUGAUUAACCCUUUAAUUAACAAAUUCCGUUAAGUUUGACCGUUAGUUUUAGGGGUAAAGUGACUAAAAGAUAACGUUAAGGGGAAAAUUGAUAGUAGCACCAAACGUUAAGGGGAUAAAGUGAUAAUCACCCUUAAAUAAAAGGAUAAAAAGAUGCAUUGACAUUAGAGCUGUUAAACGAACCAAGCUGUUCGGUAGCUCGGUUCGUUUCGGCUCGUUCGUGUUCGUGAAAGGCUCGUUCGAAAUUUUAAACGAACUGAGUUCGAACGAAUUUUUUUGUUCGAUUAAUAAUCGAGCGAACACGAGCAUGUUCGCGAGUUUUAACGAACGUUCGUGAACAUGCUAAACAAACGUUCGCGAACACGAACAUGUUCGCGAGUUUUAACGAAUGUUCGCGAACAUAGACAUAAUUAUCAUUUGACAAAUUUUAGGAUUAAUUUUAUGGCUGGACUUUUAUAUUUGGAGGGCAAAUUUCUUUGUUUUAUUUGUUGUUUUUAUGUUAAUGUUAGUUAUAUAGUUAAUGAAUAAUAUAAUUUAGUCACUUAGUGCUUUAAUUAUUUUUGAGAAUGAUUAAUAAUUUGCAUGGCAUAUUUAAGGCAUAAAAUAAAUUGGAUUCGAACAUUUCGAACAUGUUCGCGAACGGCUCGUUUAUGUUAAACGAGCCGAACUCGAAUUCGAAUUCGAACACGAAUUUUACUUAACGAACCGAACACGAACACGGGUUUGGAGUUCAAAAAUUAACGAACGAACACGAAUGUUGUUCAAACUGCUUAACGAACAGAGCUCAAACAUGAGAUACUAGGUUCGAUUCGGUUCGUUUACAGCUCUAAUUGACAUAACUACUCAUUUUUCUAUCUUCUCUUUCUUACCAUUCUAAGGGAAAAAAUGUUAAAAAUAUAUCUUGACUGCCUCUAAUUUCAAAUUCUUAAGAAUAUUUAUAUCUAAAAGUCUUGAGCCAAAAGUACACAAACAUCAUAAGUAAUUAGCUAUAAAUGUUCAUUCUACACGUUUAUGAGUAGAUAUUUUAGAGUAUAUACAAUUUUUAUCAUUAUCGAUUUCAAAUAAGAGAGAGUGCAUAAGUACAUUUGAUAGAUCAACAUAAAAAAUAUAAGACGAAAUAAGAUGUGCACAACUAUUAAGAGAUUUUGCUUGUGUCAAUUGAUGAUAGUCUAAGAGAGGGCAAGGUGUAAGGCUAAAACAUGUAUAAGAAGUUAAAUGCUAUAGAUUUGCUAACUAAACAGCAAUAGAAAAAUAAAAAUAAAGAGCUCGACUCUAUUUGGAUUGCUUGUUUUUCAAAUAAAAUAUUAAUGACACUUUAAAAAUACCAUAAACAACACUCUAGAUGCAGUAUCAAAUUACAUAAAUAAAAAUAACAAUCUUACCACCUCUUUCUUCUUCUAUCACUACCUACCACUGCCGCCACCCCUCCCCUCCUCUCUUCUCUACCGCCACCACUGCCCCUUUCCCCUCCAUCUGCCUCCCCCUUCUUCCUCCUUUCUUCUCUUCCCUCUUCCUCUUUCUUCCUUCCACUGCUUCCUCCUCCUUUUCCCUCCCUUCCCUCCCCUCCCUCCCUUUCCUUGCAAUCUCCCUCCCCCUCUAGUGGCAAUAGUGACUAGAUCUGGUCAUAGCCACCACUAAAUUGUGAUGUGAGGUUUUUGAGAAAUAAAUAGUGAGAUUUUGUUGCCUCGACUAAAAAAAGGCUAUUGGCCAUUAUUUCUAGUUCAUUAUCCUAUUCAUUAUUCUUGUGCCUUAAAUUAAUUUGUUUGUUUCCAUUGAGCUAGCAAGUUAGUGUAAAACUCAAGUCCCUUCUCAAUUUAUACUUUACUCAAUUAAUUAAAUGGUAAAUUGCCAUGGGUAAAGGUAAAAAUAAUUGUAGGAUAGGUUAAAGGGUUAAGUGGGAGAUAGGAAGGAGAUAAGAUAGGAUGAGAGUCACAACAAAUUAAAAUUCUUAUCUAAACCACCAAGUAGUGAGUGGUUACUAGGGUUUAGAACAUUUAUCAAAAUAACACAGGAAAAAAAUAACACUGUUCCUACUUUUCAUUUGUCUGCCUCCCUUUAGAGCAAGAAUCAACUAAGAAUAGAGGAGAAGAAGAAAACGUUGCCGUCCAACUAGCAGGCAAUUAAACGUCUAAACUUGUAAGUCCCAAAAGCGCGUGAAAGUUUUUCUCUUAAAUCUUAUUAAUUCCAUGAAUUAUUUUAAAUAUUUUAUGUAUAUUCAUAUCGUAAUAUAUUUAUGCCUGCCUGAAAAAUUUAGGAAGAUUCAUGCUCGGAUUUGUGAGAAUAGUGUAUUAAAUUAUAAUUAUGGGAUGAUUAGAGUUUACCCAAAUUUGUUGGAAAGAAAAAAAAAAAAGAAGAGAGGGAGUAGCAGCAUUGUAGACCGUUGCUGCUAUUGUGCGUCGUUGCUGAAGCUUUGACUUCAGCAACACAAAAAAAAAAAGAGGCAAAGGUUGCCAGUUAGCAACCCCGAAGAAAACAAGGGGUCGCCAGCAACUUGCUGGCGACAUGGCCGAAAGAAAAAAAAAGGAGCAAAGGAGGGUCUGAUGACCCUCCUCUUUUCAUUAGCCAAAAAGGUCGGCCCUUUGAAGGAAAAAAAAAAAGAUUAUGAACUAUGAAUAAAAAAAUAAUAAUAAAAAUAAUAAAUAUAUAUAUAUAUGGCAAGUAUACUUGGGCCAAAAUAUAGUAUAGGUUUAGUGAAUGUUCAGAAGAUAAAUUUUAAAUAUAACUAACUCACCUUUAUAACUUAUCAUGGGUAUUAAAUUUCAAAACCCAAGCUAAAAAUAAUUUUUAGAGUUUCAAGAUUGAGUCAUCUAAGCUUAUACUUAAUUCAUUAAGUCUAAAAUAAUUAAAUAGAAAUCUAAAACAUCUUAAUCUCGCAUUACUAGAUCAAUUUAUACAAUGUAGAAUAAGUCCUAGAUUGUUAAACGAAACACGUAAAAUCAUAAUAAUGAUAAUAAUAAUAAUAAUAAUAAUAAUAAUAAUGAUAACACUAAUAGUAAUAAUAAUAAUAAUAACAACAAUAUAGAUAUAGAUGAAGUAAAUUAAAGAUAUAAACAAAAAUUAAAUGAAAAGAUAAAUAUAAGUGGAAUAAACUAAGACAAUAAUUAUAAUAAUAAAUCAAUAUGUACAUAUAUAUACAUAUAGAUAUAAAUAAUAAUAACACAUGCACAUGCACAAAAAUGGAAGUAAAACAAAAGAUAAUAGUAACUAAUUAACAAAUACAUAUAUAAAAUGAUAAUAAAAUAAAAUAGUGAUGACAAGGAUAAAAACAAUAACAAUGAAUAAUAAUAUAUAUAUAUAUAUGUAUAGAUAAAUACGUAUAAUGGUCAAGAUAAUAAAUUUGAUUAUGAAUAAUUAUUUCUAAAUUAGGAAACUUUACGAAAAAGAGAACUUUCCAAAAAUGCAAACUUUCCAAAAAUAAAAACUUCUUAAUUUAGGAAACCUCUGCUAAAGUUCAAAUAAUGGUCUAGACAUUAAUCUUAAAUUUACUCAGAGUAUGUAUAUUUAUGCAUCUAUAGGAAAUAUCAACUAAUUAGAAAAUCUAUGCAUUUGAUAAGUACGACACAAGUUUAAAAGAUCUAAAAUAGUUCCAUUCGAACAGCCAGACAAAGGUAGGUGGUAUUUACUCUUUUGAGAUUUCAAAAGUGCAAAAUGACAUUCUUGUUGUCAAUCAUAUUUUGUUGUGUUGACUCGAAAUGUAUUUGAUUAAAUGUUUUACUAGGAUAUUUAUGCAAGUUCUACUUUUAGUAUACGAAAAUAGACCAUGUGACUUAUUUGAAACAUUUUGAUAUGUUAUUAUAUACCAAAUGAGUUGUAUCUUUUAUGCAAUCAAAGAACUAUGUAUAUGAUGUGUGAAAUGAAUUUAUGUUAAGUAAAACUCAAAACAGUCAUGCAAUAGACGGUAGAAGCUAUUGUGAGGACUCGAAAAUUCUAUUAUUCUUAAAAUCCCUAAUUUUGGCUAAAUUAAUUAUUUAUUUGGAUUUUUGCCACGAAUAAUAUUUUCUAGCCUUAUUAGACCUAAGUACAUGGUUUUAUAGUUUCGUUAUAUUUUUAAAGUGUCUCAUUUCAAAAAAAUUAUUUUCUUAAAAGCUUGAUUAGAAAAAAAAAAGAAAAAAAGUGAGAACGUGUCUAAACACUUUAGCCAAUUGGGAGUGCAAUAAGCUCAAAAAUUUGAGAUAUAUACAAUGGUCCUAAAAUAGGCAAUUUUAGGUUUAAAAACUCAAGUGAUAGUUGGUAGUACGAUUGUUCUAAGAAUUUCUCGAAGGUUUCAUUUUAUUGCGCCUAAAUUGGAAAUACGUGUUUUCACGUGCGCGCUUAAUUGAGGGACUUUGGACAAUUAUUUUGGAACAAUUAAGAAUGAAUAAUAUUUAUAUGAAUGUAAGUGCCCUAGAGGUUUAGUGCACUAGUGCAACAAACUUAAGAGAAAUCGAACACAAAACGCGCGCGUAGGCGCACUAGUUGCAAUUGAUUUUUACGUACUUAAAAUAUUACACGAGUAGCGUUCCUUAUACGCCAAAGGAUCAGCAAACUAUUUCCUUUCUUCAAGCUCCUUGGACGGCUAGCAGCUGCAAAGAAACAACCAAAAACUUUCAACAUUCCCUCUACAAAUCUUACUCAAUCUACCAAACUCUCAAAAAAAUUCAACUACAUCUACCUCAACACUUGGGAAGUCCAUUUAGCUGCAAAAGGAAGGAACUAUCCACGGUUUUCUUCAAGCUUCAAAAGGGCCGAAACUUCUGUCUUGACCAACCAUCAAAGUAGGUAAUGAUCUAAUACCUUAAACUUGUCCUAUGGAAGUUAAAUUACACUUAUAAGCUUGAAUUUGCAUAUGGGUUGUGGUUGAUGUUGGAGAAAUUGGAAAAGUGGGCUCUAUGAAUUUCUACUCUUGGGUUGUUGCUGAUUUUGUGCUUGAUGAUGUUUAUAAUGUUGGAUUAGUGUUUAAGUUAGUGGUUUGUUGAAGGAAAAUUUGCUGGAAACUCACGUUGGGUGCAAAGGCCAAAUCUGACCAUUUUGCCCCUGCUUUGUUCGGCCACUUUAAUGCAGAAAUUUGAGGAUUUAAUGGCUUGAUUGUGUUGUUUACAUGUUAUAGAAGUUGUGUACAAAUUUUCAGUGAAAAAUGUGAGUUUUGGUUGAUCAAAAGAAUUUAUUUCCCAAAGCUGGUAAUCUGGAAACGGUUGCCGUCGUAACCAAACCAGUGUUCGUAUUUCGUCCAUAACUCCGUACUCCGACGUCGAAAUCAAGUGCCGUUAGCGGCAUUUGAAAUUAGACGUUCCCAUAUUUCCAACGGUAUAUAAUGCACAUUCUGGUUCCAUGUGUGUGAACCGCACCACUCUUCUGAAUUCAGCUGCCCUGUUUCUCCGUUCUGCCGAAAUGAUUUGAUGAUGCUGUAACUUUAGGCUUAAUUUCGAGCCAGUUGCAUGCUGAAACUUAAAACGAUUUCUUCUGUGAAAUUUUAUCCCUAUGAAUGCAUUUUCCAACACUAUCAACCAUUCCCAAUUCCGAGCUAAAUUGAGUGAUUUAUGAUCAAAAUACGACGACUGCCUCGUCUUUGAAAACUCUUCGAUUUGGACAGAUUAGAUGUGAGACUUGUUGUGGUCUUACUAAAUGAAUUUCUUGGUGCUAAACACCUACUAAAAGUACCAUGUAUGUUCCUUAGACCUUUCUUGCACAAAUGAACCAUGUUUGGAGGUUUUUCCUUAGCCGAAUGUUUGGAAACGGAGAGAAAGAGAGCUAAAGGCAGUUUGGCCUUAGUAAUUUCAAACUUUGGUUGAUUGGUUAACCACCUUCCCGAAGGUAAUUUUCCACGAAAUUUGAUAGAGAGAUACCCUUCAUAUAGGAGUAUUAUACUACAAAAUUUGGUAUCAAUCCAAGUCCGUUUCGACACUUAACUAAAGGUCCAAAGUCGGAACCAAAUCUGGAAAUUUGUUAACAGUCUUGAAAUUUACCCAACUUUGAGCUACCAUAUCUUGGUGCUCGAAACUCCGAUUCUCGAUCCGCUUGUUCUGACCUAAACCUUACUUGCACCUCUAAUUGAGAUAUAAAUUUCAAGGGCUGGUUUGCAACGAGUGAAUUCUACCGAAUUUUCAAAGUUAGCGAAAAACCAACUCCGGCUCAAUCCUGGGUGAUUUGGAAUAGCAACUUUAAGCUCAUUUUUGGAGCACUUUCCACUUCGAUUCAUGGAAAAGUGUCUUCUAGGAACUUGUAGUACUUUCUAAGAGGUUUCCAACGAUAUAAAGUUUUCCAAUUCUUGACUUAUACCGAGUGAGUUACGAUUUUUCAAAAAUUCAUAACAAAAUUGAAAUUUUCCAACUUUCAAAGAAAUAGAGUUUUUCAAGAACCCUUUAUUCUUUUGAUAUUGUGACAGCCCCACCUCACCCUAAGGCGAACCAAAGGGUUCAGCGGACCGCCUGCCCAACUCUCGCCAGGACUACGGAGUCGAAUCACACAAAUCCGAUAUUACGCGAGAGGACCCAAAAGAAAUGAGCGAUUGAAGACCGCCAAGCUUAAACAUGGGGAAAACGCUUUCAUAUAUACAUGUCACUAGGUUUACAAUUCAAAUGGAACCAGUGAAACGGAAUACAUUUAGGGUUUGCUCAUUCUCGAGGAGCUAUACAAAAGAACAAAAGAUUUUCUAACUAGCUCAACUCGCUUCUCAAAAUCAUGAUUUCCAAAAGAGGUUCCUGUAAGGAAAACAAAGAUAACGAGGAGGGGGUGAGCUUACGCCCAAUGAGGUACCAAACAUGUAGCAGAAAAAUCAGGUAUUUCACGUUAUACAAAACCAGAUACACAUGCUCGCUAUAAAGUAAGACAGGUAAACACAAGAACUCAAAUAGGAAGGAUACAGGUGGCUCUCAGGAGCCAGCUUUCCAGCGCAGUACUUGAUCCAAGCCGGUUGACUCUCCGUCAACGUAUAUAGAACCAACACGUCCGUAGACCCCACUUUACACCAAAUUCCGUCCACCAAACACCCCUUUACCGGGCCCGCUCACCUCAACAGAAACAGAAAUGGUAAUACUCGAGUAUACCGGAAUCAAGGGUCUCAAUACCCAAAGAUCCCAAAACAGACUACCGUGGUUCGUUAUCUAAUCGUCCAGGCCCUUGCCGGCCCGACUCGAAUAACUUAGCCACAGGAUUUGAGUUCAUAGGUCACAGAUACAGAUACAGAUACAGAUUCAGAUUGACACCAAAAUUGGCAUAUGAACAGACAAGAGAACGAGUGCGAUAAAGUACACCCUCGUCUCAAACAAAUUAAACAGAUUGCAGAGCAGAAAUCAAGUUAAACAGCAAUGGAGGGGAGUGGUACACCCACCGGUUCAAGUACAGAUACCUCAAAAGUUUUCACUUCGGAUUGGCUUUAAUCGCCAAGAAAUCCUAAAAUAAUCAAAGUAAACCAAUUGAAGGUUUCACAUCCAGAAUCGAGUAAACAAAAUACACAUGUGAGGCUCGACUACUAGUCGUAUGCCUCGCCAAAUAAUUACUAAUGCAAGGGUACAAAACAUGAUUUUUGGGAAUAAAAAGGUAACAUGAAGACCUAGGUUCAACAACCCAAAAGCCCUUCAUUUCUAUCACAAGCCAAUUCAAACUUAAAGGAACCAAUUGGCCUAGAAAAAAUUGGACAGCACUUCCCUUAAAUUUCUUACUUUUUCAGCCAUCACGGCUUCAUUAUUUUCCUCAAUCAACUCCCAAAGUCAUACUCAAUAUACAUUCAUCACCACAGCCGUUCAAUAGGCUCAAGGUUAUCCAAGUACAAAAGUUAGCUAGGAAAAUGACCGAAAAUAAAAGUCAAGCCCUAGAAUAUUCCACUAAGCACAAGAAGACUCGAUUACAAGUCACAAACCGAUGCCAACACAAUCACAAUAGGGUUCCAUAAGCAUAUAUAAGCAUUAGAGGAAACCAGAAAUUUCGGAAAUGUAACUAGCUUUGGCCCUGAAAAAAAUAGUUUUUGUCCUCAUUUUACGGUAAUGGCAAAAAUUUCACUACGCUUAUCGGAUGAGGGUGAAAGACCCACCAUCUCGAAGCUAAAAGACAGGGUUACAAUAUCACAGAAGGUCACUAAACCCAGUUUUGAGUGCAAAUAGGUCAAAAAUGCAGGAUACUACAUCAACAACGUAAAACAGAUUCACCAAAACGCAUUCUAGCGGAAACAUCAUAACUCAGGCUCUACAAGUCCAAAUCCAGAAAUUCAAAAACCAUCUGAAAGAUAAGAAACAGGGAUAAAUUUAAUCAGAAGGUCUCAACAACCAAUUCGGAAGCAAUUCCAGCCAAAACAACCCAUUACAGGCGCAAUUCUUACAUUCGGGUAAAACCAGAACAGCAAUAGUAAUUUUGACUUUUCUCAUUCUACACUACUUCGAUUGACCUGAAAUUUUGUAGACACCUCUAAAAUGUUAUUCCCUACAACUUUCAUGUUUUGAGCUAAGGCCAAUUCGGCCUCUAUCUAGGACCUAAAAAUUCGGACAGAAUGCUCCCUUAAGAACCCUAGUUUUCUGAAAUUUCUUCCAAACCAGAAAUUGGCUGCAAUUAAUCACUUUUUCCACCUCCUAGAGUCAUUAUAUACCAUUUCCAAUCAUCAUAUAUAGCCACACAAUCAUGCUUAUAUUAAUGCAGAAAAAUCCCCAAAAAUAAUAAAACUUCAUCAUUUCAACCACAAAUCAAAAAUUAAUCCAUAAACUUGCAUCUUAUACUACCACUAAGCAUGAUUUAAGCAUCAAUUAAAGGAGGAGGGUGGUUCUUCACAACUUACCUUAGAAACAAGAGAGAGAGAGAGUUAUUGGUCACCUUAACUUUCCAAAAAACUUCACACAACAACUCACCAACACUUCCUUAAGUGGUUUUAUGGAGCAAAAUCAAGGUUGGAUGGUUGGUUUUGGUGAUUUGGAACAAGAUUGAAGUGUUUUCUUCCUUGUGCUUGGAGUAAGAGAGAGAGAAAGAGAGCAAGAGAGGGCCGGCUUCAAGGAGGAUUUUUUUGAGGAUUUUUGGGUCAAUUUUGGUUAUUUAAGUCAAUGGUAAGAAAGGUCUUAAGGCAAGCCCAAUCAAAUGGUGACACUUGUCACCUUUUAUUAACUCUCUACCUAACUUGUCUCUCUCAUAUCAAUCCAAAUUGCACCCUCCACUUAUCUCUUAACACCCGGUAAAUUCAUUCCAGUAUUCAAAACUUAAUCUAGUUGGCCGAAUUUUUUCGAACUUUUCGCACUAGUGGAUCCCACGUCCGGUAUACGCUCUUAAUUCCUCAAAAACUAACCGAUACUAGAAAAAUCAUUUAAAAGCUAUAUUUACUCAUAAAAUUUAUUUGCACAAUGUUUCGAAUAAAGAAAAGGUGGAAAAACGUAUAAUUAAAAGAAAUUAAAACCUAGAAAUUAAGAAAAUUACGGGUCCUCACACUUUCUCCCCCUUAAAGAAAUUUCGUCCUCGAAAUUUUCUUAUCAGCGGAAUCCAUCAAAUCUAAGGUACCCAAUAGAUCGUACCUUCUACGUCCUCAGACGAGUCAGGGACCAGAUGAUGCUCCAGGGAAUAUAUUCGAGCCGGUACUUUCGCUCCAGUCCCUUCUCCUUUCGACUGUACAGGGUUGGUCUUGGCUGGUUGCUGAGAGUUAGUCUUGGUUGGUGGCGGAGUCCCUCUCCGCUCGCGCAGGCGAGCUGGACAGUUAGCAAUUCGAUGUUCAGCGCUUCCACAGCGCAAGCAUUUUCCUUCUUUCUUUCAGCAAUUGGUUUCAAUAUGAUUUGGCCCUCCACAAUAUCCACAAGAACCACGAGUAGCAGAGACUGAUCCCCCAUGUGGAACACCACCUGUCACCCCCGGUAGCCGUACUUCCCCGUUUCCCUUUCGAACUUUAGGGAUUGUACUAUUAUCCGCUUGUUCUGAGCUGCUCCCCGGAAAGCCCCUUUUUCUUGUUUGGAAGUUUCUAACUUGUAACCUUGCAGUUUCAACGCGCUGGGCCUUCUCCACCGCAUCACUAAAGGCAUUAAGUUGGGCUACCGCCAGAUCUUUUUGAAUUUCAACAUUUAAUCCCUGGAUGAAUCGCCUUAUCCGUCUUUGUUCAGUUACAAUCAGUUCGGGCGCAAACUUAGACAACCGAGUGAAUUGACUCUCAUACUCGACUACGGUCUGAGUUCCUUGGCGAAGCCGAAUAAAUUCAUCUUCCUUCUUUUCUUGGAUUAGAGGAGGGAAAAACUUGGCAUUAAAUUCCCUCAUAAAGUUCGCCCACGUCCUCGGGGUUUGUUCUCUUUCCCAUUUCAUUCGAAUGACAUUCCACCAGGAACGGGCGGCUCCCUCUAGUUGAAAGACAGCAAAUGUUACCUGUCUCUACUCAGUAUAGUGUAAGGCAGCGAAAAUAUCGAUCAUCUUCUCUAGCCACUUCUCAGCUACGUCAGGAUCAGGGCCUCCAAGAAAUUUGGGUGGGGAGAACUUCUGAAAUCUCUCAAGGGCUCUAUCCUCGCCCUCUAUGUGAUUACCAGGAUUCCCAGGGUUGGGGUUAGGGUUUUGACCUUGUUGGUGCACCACUUGGGCUAGCAAAUCAGUCAUUUGCUGCAUGGCAGCAGCUAUUUGGACAUUGGGGUCAACCCUAGGUUCAGGGUUUGGUUUAUAUGAGGUUUCUCCAGUGCGCCUCUCAGAUAUAGGUUGCCUAAUUCCACGCCCGCGGCCCCGUCCACUACGAGUGCCUUCCAUUGGUCUAAUAAAUCUAGGGUCGAAGCGGGAAUAUAAUAUUAAACAUAGGUAGGCAAAAGCAAGUAGCAAAAGGUACGCACAGAUCAAAAGUAUACAUAUAUAACAUAACUGUAUCAAAUAAGCCACACAAUAGCAAUCAAUUAGAUACAAAUCCAUGAAAAUAGCAGGGUUAUCCAAAAGUACUAUAGACACACUAGGUCACAAGUACAAGAAUAACUAACGAAAAUCUUUUCCCCUCUAAGGCUCCGUCCUUAAUCGACGAGAACAACACCAUUGAUAUCCUAAUCAAGGUUGAUCAUGCUUAACAACACCCGAACAGACUGCACGAAGUUCCAUCGAAUCACAUUGCUAGUUCGCCCAAGUCCUUUCUAACCUAGGCCCUCAUCUCUUUCGUAUCCGGGCGCAAGAAUCCCAUCUAAGAUAAUUCACAACUCGAGCCGGCCGGUCCCAAGCGUAAAUCAUCCAUACUAAAGAUUCCUACCCGACAUACUUAUCUGUCGUCCUCAAGUUCCACAAUAAAGACUUUUACACUUAUAACAUGCCCCAUUCAUAACAUACGCUCAAACGAGCACUUAGACAUAUCCAUGAAAUCAGGACAUAACACCACUUGGCCCUAGGCUCACUCCGCGCAGAGACCAUGCGAAGUGGCUCUGAUACCACCUGUGACAGUUCUCAGGGUCACAUCACAAGGUACCUAUCAGCUUGCCACCCGCACGCGGGCAUCCCCUACGGAGAGUUUCGCUUCGUGACUCUUCACGAACGAGAGGCUCGGGGCUUUUCCAGUAAAAGGACGUAGAGUCCCAACCAUUGGCAUAUGGCUCUGAUACCACCUGUGACAGCCCCACCUCACCCUAAGGCGAACCAAAGGAUUCAGCGGACCGCCUGCCCAGCUCUCGCCAGGACUACGGAGUCGAAUCACACAAAUCCGAUAUUACGUGAGAGGACCCAAAAGAAAUGAGCGAUUGAAGACCGCCAAGCUUAAACAUGGGGAAAACGCUUUCAUAUAUACAUGUCACUAGGUUUACAAUUCAAAUGGAACCAGUGAAACGAAAUACAUUUAGGGUUUGCUCAUUCUCGAGGAGCUAUACAAAAGAACAAAAGAUUUUCUAACUAGCUCAACUCGCUUCUCAAAAUCAUGAUUUCCAAAAGAGAUUCCUGUAAGGAAAACAAAGAUAACGAGGAGGGGGUGAGCUUACGCCCAAUGAGGUACCAAACAUGUAGCAGAAAAAUCAGGUAUUUCACGUUAUACAAAACCAGAUACACAUGCUCGCUAUAAAGUAAGACAGGUAAACACAAGAACUCAAAUAGGAAGGAUACAGGUGGCUCUCAGGAGCCAGCUUUCCAGCGCAGUACUUGAUCCAAGCCGGUUGACUCUCCGUCAACGUAUAUAGAACCAACACGUCCGUAGACCCCACUUUACACCAAAUUUCGUCCACCAAACACCCCUUUACCGGGCCCGCUCACCUCAACAGAAACAGAAAUGGUAAUACUCGAGUAUACCGGAAUCAAGAGUCUCAAUACCCAAAGAUCCCAAAACAGACUACCGUGGUUCGUUAUCUAAUCGUCCAGGCCCUUGCCGGCCCGACUCGAAUAACUUAGCCACAGGAUUUGAGCUCAUAAGUCACAGAAAGGUCGUUGGUUACAAGUUUCCAAACGACGUCCGAACAGAUACAGAUACAGAUACAGAUACAGAUAUCAGAUACAUAGAUUCAGAUUGACACCAAAAUUGGCAUAUGAACAGACAAGAGAACGAGUGUGAUAAAGUACACCCUCGUCUCAAACAAAUUAAACAGAUUGCAGAGCAUAAAUCAAGUUAAACAGCAAUGGAGGGGAGUGGUACACUCACCGGUUCAAGUACAGAUACCUCAAAAGUUUUCACUUCGGAUUGGCUUUAAUUGCCAAGAAACCCUAAAAUAAUCAAAGUAAACCAAUUGAAGGUUUCACAUCCAGAAUCGAGUAAACAAAAUACACAUGUGAGGCUCGACUACUAGUCGUAUGCCUCGUCAAAUAAUUACUAAUGCAAGGGUACAAAACAUGAUUUUUUGGAAUAAAAAGGUAACACGAAGACCUAGGUUCAACAACCCAAAAGUCCUUCAUUUCUAUCACAAGCCAAUUCAAACUUAAAGGAACCAAUUGGCCUAGAAAAAAUUGGACAGCACUUCCCCUAAAUUUCUUACUUUUCCAGCCAUCACGGCUUCAUUAUUUUCCUCAAUCAACUCCCAAAGUCAUACUCAAUAUACAUUCAUCACCACAGCCGUUCAAUAGGCUCAAGGUUAUCCAAGUACAAAAGUUAGCUAGGAAAAUGACCGGAAAUAAAAGUCAAGCCCUAGAAUAUUCCACUAAGCACAAGAAGACUCGAUUACAAGUCAUAAACCGAUGCCAACACGAUCACAAUAGGGUUCCAUAAGUAUAUAUAAGCAUUAGAGGAAACCAGAAAUUUCGGAAAUGUAACUAGCUUUGGCCCUGAAAAAAAUAGUUUUUAUCCUCAUUUUGCGGUAAUGACACAAAUUUCACUACGCUUAUCGGAUGAGGGUGCAAGACCCACCAUCUCGAAGCUAAAAGACAGGGCUAAAACAUCACAGAAGGUCACUCAACCCAGUUUUGAGUACAAACAGGUCAAAAAUGCAAGAUACUACAUCAACAACGUAAAACAGAUUCACCAAAACGCAUUCUAGCGGAAACAUCAUAACUCAGGCUCUACAAGUCCAAAUCCAGAAAUUCCAAAACCAGCUGAAAGCUAAGAAACAGGGACAAAUUUCAUCAGAAGGCCUCAACAACCAAUUCGGAAGCAAUUCCAGGCAAAACAACCAAUUACAGGCGCAGUUCUCAAUUUCGGGUAAAACCAGAACAGCAAUAGUAAUUUCGACUUAUCUCAUUCUACACCACUCCGAUUGACCUGAAAUUUUGUAGGAACCUCUAAAAUGUCAUUCCCUACAACUUUCAUGUUUUGAGCUAAGGCCAAUUCGGCCUCUAUCUAGGACCUAAAAAUUCGGACAGAAUGCUCCCACAAGAAUCCUAAUUUUCUGAAAUUUCUUCCGAAACAGAAAUUGAUUGCAAUUGUCCACUUUUUCCACCUUCUAGAAUCAUUACAUACCAUUUCCAAUCAUCAUAGAUAGCCACACAAUCAUGCUUAUAUUAAAACAGAAAAAUCCCCAAAAAUAAUAAAACUUCAUCAUUUCAACCACAAAUCAAAAAUUAAUCCAUAAACUUGCAUCUUAUACUACCACUAAGCAUGAUUUAAGCAUCAAUUAAAGGAGGAGGGUUGUUCUUCACAACUUACCUUAGAAACAAGAGAGAGAGAGCUAUUGGUCACCUUAACUUUCCAACACACAACAACUCACCAACACUUCCUUAAGUGGUUUUAUGGAGCAAAAUCAAGGUUGGAUGGUUGGUUUUGGUGAUUUGGAACAAGAUUGAAGUGUUUUCUUCCUUGUUCUUGGAGUAAGAGAGAGAGAAAGAGAGCAAGAGAGGGCCGGCUUCAAGGAGGAUUUUUUUGAGGAUUUUUGGGUCAAUUUUGGUUAUUUAAGUCAAUGGUAAGAAAGGUCUUAAGGUAAGCCCAAUCAAAUGGUGACACUUGUCACCUUUUAUUAACUCUCUACCUAACUUGUCUCUAUCAUAUCAAUCCAAAUUGCACCCUCCACUUAUCUCUUAACACCCGGUAAAUUCAUUCCAGUAUUCAAAACUUAAUCUAGUUGGCCGAAUUUUUUUGAACUUUUCGCACUAGUGGGUCCCACGUCCGGUAUACGCUAUUAAUUCCUCAAAAACUAACCGAUACUAGAAAAAUCAUUUAAAAGCUAUAUUUACUCAUAAAAUUUAUUUGCACAAUGUUUCGAAUAAAGAAAAGGUGGAAAAACGUAUAAUUAAAAGAAAUUAAAACCUAGAAAUUAAGAAAAUUACGGGUCCUCACAGAUAUUAUCUAAACGUUUUAUCCCCGAUUUCCUAGAUAAAGGCUUAAAUACUUUUGAAUGUUAUCAAACCCCUCUCGAACCUCGAUUUACGAGUAAUUGAGGUUCAUUUUCACGGAAUCCCCUAGAUUAAUACUAGUGAACGAAUUAUUCCUCGAUAUUUGGAAUUUGGCUGAUAAUUCACUAUUAUUUGCUCAGGCGCACACAAGGACCUUCAAGAGAAUCCCACGGUGGACGCUUGAACUUUCCUUGACCUUACUUACACCUAAUACUUGGUGGGUGUCAGGUGUAUGUAAACUUGUUACAUGUUUAAUUGUUAUUAAUGAUUGGAAAUCUUGAAAGUGGAGUCGAGUGUGUACUUUACCACACUCGUUCUCAUUAGAAAUGAAAUAUUAAUGGUUGAAAUGUAUUGAAUGAAUGAUUGAAAUGUAUUGAAUGAAUGAAUGAAAUGUAAUGGUAUGCUAUAGUUGCCUACGUCGUUGGAGUGAAUCUCGUCGACACACAAGUGCACAUGGGGACGCCCAAAUCUCAUUGACCGACCUUGGACUCGAGCCGGCAUGGGUUUGGUCGGGAACCUUGGCGAGCCAUGAGAUAUAUAAGCUUGACCUAGUGAGAGGUCUUGCUUGGCAUACUCGAGUAGUAUCGCCACAAACAAAUGACAGGCGGGCCCGAUACAGGGGUAUGUUAGGUGAAAGGGGACAGGUUAAGUGGAGUUCUACGGACUAAACCUACCCGAUUGACGGAGUGUCAAUUCGUGGAGGUUAUUGAAUGUGCAAGUGGAAUAUAGCUCCUGAGGGCUCCAGUAUCCUUGAAUUGUUUCUGGUUAUAUUUCCAGUAAAUUGUUAAUUACUAAAAUAUGAUUGCUUGACUUAUAAAUUGAGAUUGUUAUUUGAGCAAUGUGCUUGUAUGUGUGUUCUUGGCCUCACGAGCGUUUUGCUCACCCUGUAGAUUUGUUUUCCUUAACAGGAUUGAACUUGGCAAGGUAUCGAAGAAACCUUCCUGAUACGCUUUUGUUUAGGGUUUCUAUUACUUUUGACUUUGUCUUGGCUUUUGGGAUGUAUUUUGGAAUCCGAAUGUAACUUUUGGAGUAUGAUGGUUGUUGAACACCCGAUGUGCGGGUUGGAUAUCAGAUGACUUUUAUUAAACUUGAACGCUUUCGCAUUUAUUGUAUCUAAGUUAUUGACUCGUAUGGUGUGGUCCGGCAAUAAGUUUAAAUGGAAUUGCUUGAGUCCUGGCGAGAGCUAGGCAGGCAUCCCGCGGAUACCCUUUGGUUCGCCUUAGGGAGAAGUGGGGGCGUCACAGCUAUAGUCCUGUCUAAUGGUCAUAAUAGCCUGGUAUAGAGUCCGGCCAAUUAACAAGGUCAUGAUAGUUCGGUAUAGAGUCCGACCGAUUGACCCAUGUAUGUAAUGAGACCAAUUGGUAGUCAUGAAACCUAUUGGUCGCCCACCUAAAAGGGGUUUAAUCUCUAAGUUGAGUACUCAGAUGCCGGUUAUUGCAUGUACUUGUUAUGAACUGAUAUGAAAUGACUUAUGAUUUUAUGACCUUAUGACUUCCAUGUACGGUUAUGAAUAAGAUGUUUAUGAAUUGCUGUGUUACUCUUUAUUACUGGUUGUUUUACAAAUAACAUUACUUUCAACGAUUAUGGAUGUGAAUAAUGUGUAAAUAAAUUGAUUUAUGUAUAUAUGUAUAUGUAAAGUUAUGGUUGCAUCGUCCAACAGAGGGGUAGAUACUACCUACUGAGCGAUUUGUCGCUCAACCCAAUUUUUACCAUUUUUGCAGAUUUUGAAGAGUAUGAGUUGGUUUACAUAGAAGAUCCUGAGAAUGAUUUUUAUUAGUUCUAAGUGACUAGAAAUUAGCAGCCUAGCUGCUUCUAGCUGUUAGUUUAUUUAUAUUUCUUUCCGCUAUUACAACUAGAAAAUAAAUGUACGAACUUAUUGGAUAUUCGUAGACUAUUUUGCAUUUGAGAUUUGUACCGCACUUUCUUUAGUUAUACUAUUUAGUACUUGUUAAAUUUAGUCUAGUUUGAUGUUGCCUUGUAUUUUUUAGUGUGACUUGAGGAUACGGCGGAUGUCACGUGAUUGGCGCGUGCGGACUCGGGGCGUGACAUUUUUAGUCAUGUGACAUCCGCCGUAUCCUCAAAUCCCACUCAAUGAUACAAAGGCAACAUUAAGCUAGACUAAAUUUAGAAAGUACUAAAUAGUAUAACUAAAUAAAGUGCGGUACAAAUCCGAAAUGAAAGGUAGUCUAUGAAUAUCCAAUAAAUUCAUACAUUUAUUCUCUAGUCGUAACAGUGAAAAAGAAAAUAAAUAAAACUAAUAGCUAGAAGCAGCUAGGCUGCUAAUUUCCAUUCACGUAGAACUAAUAAAAAUCAUUCUCAAGGUCUUCUACGUAAAUCAACUCAUACUCCUCAGAAUCUGCAAAAAUGGUAAAAAUUGGGUUGAGCAACAAAUCGCUCAGAAAGUAGUAUCUACCCCUCUGUUGGACCAUGCAACCAUAACUUUACAUAUACAUAUACAUAUAUAUAUACAUAUAAAUUAAUUUAUUUACACAUUAUUCAUAUCCAUAAUCAUUGAAAGUAACGUUAUUUGUAAAACCAUCAGUAAUAAAGAGUAAUAUCGCAAUUGAUAAAUGUCUCAUUCAUAACCGUACAUGGAAGUCAUAAAGUCAUAAGUCAUUUCAUAUAAACUUAUAACAAGUACAUGCAAUGACCGGCUUCUGAGUACUCAAUCUAGAGAUUAAACCCCUUUUAGGUGGGCGACCAAUAUGUUUCAUGACUACCGAUUGGUCUCAUUAUAUUCAUGGGUCAAUCGGAGAGACUCUAUACCAGACUACCAUGACCUUGUCAAUCGGCCGGAUUCUAUACCAGGCUACCAUGACCAUUAGGCAGGACUAUAGCCCCUACCGUCUAGUCCAUGACUAUUUUACUUAACAUAAAUUCGUUUCACAUGUUACAUACAUAAUUCUUUAAUUUCAUAAAAGAUACAACUCAUUUGACAUAUAAUAGCAUAUCAAAAUGUUUCAAAUAAGUCACAUGGUCCAUCUUUGUAUAGUAAAAAUAGAACUUGCAUAAAUAUUCAAGUAGAUCACUUAAUCAAAUGCAUUUCAAACCAACACAUCAAAAUAUGAUUGACAACAAAAAUUUCACUUUGCACUUUUGAAAUCUCAGAAGGGUAAGUACCACCUACCUUUGUCUGGCUACUCGAGUGGAACUAUUUUAUGUCUUCUAAACUUGUGUUGUACCUAUCAAAUGCAUAUGUUUCCUAGUUAGUUAAUAUUUCUUAUAAAUGCAUAGAUAUACACACUCUGAAUAAUUUUUAAGAUUCAUGUCUAGACCAUUAUGUGAACCCUAGCAGAGUUUUCCUAAAUUGAAAAGUUUUUAUUUUUGGAAAGUUUCUAUUUUUAAAAAGUUUCCAUUUUUGCAAAGUUUCUUAAUUUGGAAAGUUUCCCUUUUGGUAACGUUUCUUAAUUUAAAAGAACAUAAUUAUUCAUAAUCAUAUUUAUUAUCUUGACUAUUAUCUUACUAUACAUAUUUAUGAUUUAUUAUUAUCCAUUAUUAUUAUCAGUGUUAUCGUUAGUAUUGAUAUUAUUGCUAUUAUAAUUGUAAGUGCUUCGUUUAACCUUCUAGGACUUAUCUUACACAGUAUAAAUUAAUCUGAUAAGGCUAGAUUAAGAUAUUUUAGAUUCCUAUCUAAGUAUCCUAGACUUAAUUAAUUCAGUAUAAACUUAAAUGACUAAUCUUUAACUUCGAAAAUUAUCUUUAGGUUGGGUUUUGAAAUUUAGUUCCUAUGUUAGUUCAUAAAAGAUGGCCUAGUUAUUUCUAAAUUUAUUUACUGUAUAUUCACUAAGCCCAUGCUAUCUUUCUAAUCCAAUAUACUUGCCAUUAUAUAUAAAUGUGUGUAUAUAUAUAUAUUUUAUUAUUACUAUUAUAUUUUUUUUUCUUUGGCCAUCCUUGCCUGGCCCUUUUUGUUUCUUACUUCACCUGGCGCUGCCAAAGCUUUUCUCAAGCUUUGGCAGCGCCACAAUUCUUGACUAGCCGAAAGGGCAACCUUUGGAAUGGUUCCAGGCUUUCUCUCCUGCCUCUUUUUCUUUCUUUUGUCCUAUUCGGUUGGCCUUUCAUGUCGCCGGCAAGUUUUGUGUUGCGCUUCAGGAACGGCGCACAAUAGCAGCGGCGGGGCCGCUGCUCCAACCCCCUCUUCUCCUUCUUUUUUUUAAAAGAAUGAAGAUUUCAAUUCCAUCCUACCCCAUAGCUAACAUUUAGUACCCUAUUUCUAUCGAUCCAAAUAUAAAUCUUCAUAAAUUUCUCCUACAGGCUUAAAUAUAUCAUAAUGCAUAUAUGCACGAAAUUUUCAAAAUAACUCAUGGAAUUAAAUAGACUUAAGAGAAAAAGAAUUUUAGCAUGCGUUCAGAAUUUACAGAUCUAGGCGUUUAAUUGUCUGCUUGUUCGACGGCGAUGUUCUCUUCUUCUCCUCUACUCUUAGUUGAUUCUUUCUCUAGGGGAGGUAGACAAGGAAAAAAUAGGAAUGGUGUUAUUUUUUUUCUCUCUAUUGUUUUGAUAAAAUCCUAAACUCUAGCACUAGUAGAGCUGUAAACGAACCGAAUCGAACCGAGUAUCUCAUGUUUGAGUUCUGUUCGUUAAGCAGUUCGAACAACGUUCGUGUUCGUUCGUUAAUUUUCGAACUCCAAACCUGUGUUCGUGUUCGGUUCGUUAAGUAAAAUUCGUGUUCGAGUUCGAGUUCGAGUUCGGCUCGUUUAACAUAAACGAGCCAUUCGCGAACAUGUUCGAAAUGCUCGAAUCCAAAUUAUUUUAUGCCUUAAAUAUGCCAUGCAAAUUAUUAAUCAUUCUAAAAAAUAAUUAAAGCACUAAGUGACUAAAUUCUAUUAUUCAUUAACUAUAUAACUAACAUUAACAUAAAAACAACAAAUAAAACAAAGAAAUUUGCCCUCCAAAUAUAAAAGUCCAGCCAUAAAAUUAACCCUAAAAUUUGUUAAAUGAUAAUUAUGUCUAUGUUCGCGAACGUUCGUUAAAACUCGCGAACAUAUUCGUGUUCGCGAACGUUCGUUUAGCAUGUUCGCGAACGUUCGUUAAAACUCGCGAACAUGCUCGUGUUCGCUCGAUUAUUAAUCGAACAAAAAAAUUCGUUCGAACUCGGUUCGUUUAAAAUUUCGAACGAGCCUUUCACGAACACGAACGAGCCGAAACGAACCGAGCUACCGAACAGCUCGGUUCGUUUAACAGCUCUAAGCACUACCCACUAGUAGGUGGUUUAGAUAAGAGUCUUAGUUUAUUAUGAACUCUUAUCCCACCUCAUCUCCUUACUAACCCUAAUUACUCAUCUACCCUAUCCUACUAAUAAAUUUUUAUAUUAUUAUUAAUUUUUUUUCUUUACCCAUAGUAAUUUUGCCUUUUUAAUCAAUUAAGCAAAAGAAACUAAUAAAUAAUUUUAAAAAAUGAGCAAGGAUGUGGGUUUUACAUUCUACCCCCUUUACAAAAAAUUUCAUUUUCGAAACUUACAUACCUUGAUAAAAAAGAUAGGGGUAUUUAUUCCGCAUGUCUUCCUCUAACUCCCACGUUGCCUCUCACAGUGUAUGGUUCAUCCAUUGCACCUUCACGUAGGGUAUGGUCCUUCUCCUUAGAACUUGGUCCUUCCGGUCCACGAUUCUUAAAGGAACUUCCUCCACUGAUAAGUUCUCCCUUACCUCGAUGGGUUGAUCCUCCAAAAUGUGGCUCGAGUCCGAUACAUACUUUCUCAGUUGGGAGACAUAAAAAACAUUAUGUAUCCUUGACAAAGCAAGCGGGAGAACCAAUCGAUGUGUUAGAGGUCUAACUCUAUCCAGUAUUUCGUAAGGCCCUACAUAUCUCGGACUUAACUUGCCACUUCUUCCAAAUCUCAUCACUCCCUUGGUAGGGGAUACUUUCAAAUAUACAUUUUCUUCCGGUUGAAACUCCAAAGGUCUCCUCUUUGAAUCCACCCAACUCUUGUUUCGGUCCUGAGUUACUUUUAAUCUUUCUUGAAUAAUCUUAAUUUUCUCCAAAGUUCUUUAUACCAAAUCAGGGCCAGUGAUCAGUUUCUCACCUACUUCAUCAUAAUAUAAGGGGGAUCUAAACUUUGGUCCAUAUAAUGCUUCAAACGGUGUCAUACCUAUACCGCUAUGACAGCUAUUAUUGUACGAGAACUCGAUUAGUUUUACCAACCUAUCCCAACUAUCCGAGAAGUCUAGAGCACAAGCUCUGAGCAUGUCUUCCAGUGUCUGUAUAGUCCUUUCCGAUUGUCCAUCCAUUUAAGGGUGGAAGACGGUACUUAAUCUCAAGUUAGUCCCCAUAACUUCUUGAUAGGUCGACCAAAAUUUAGACGUGAAUCUAAGGUCUCGGUCAGACACUAUACUUACUGAAACACUGUGAAGACAUACGAUUUCCUCCAUAUACAUCUCUACCAACCUCUCCAUUGUUACCUCAUUCGACAUUAGUAGAAAGUGGGCAGAUUUGGUUAGCCGAUCGACUAUAACCCAAAUGGCAUCGUUAUUCCUAAUUGUUCGAGGCAAUCCUACCACAAAAUCCAUUGUCACAUGUUCCACUUCCAUUGGAGAAUUUCUAGGGGUUGCAAUAAGCCGGCAGGUCUUUGAUACUCGGCCUUUACUUGUUGGCAUACCAGACACUUCGCCACAUAUUCCGCUAUUUCUCGUUUCAUCCCAUUCCACCAAUAAUUCCUCUUCAAGUCUUGGUAUAUUUUAGUCCCACCAGGGUGAAUUGAGAAUCUUGAAUUGUGUGUCUCUUUUAGCAAUUUCUGUUUCAAUCCUUCAUCCCUUGGCACACAUAAUCUACUCUCUUUCCACAAACUCCCAUCGUCUUUCAAUUCAAUCCUAUCGAAGGGUUCCACUCUAAGUUUUUCCUUAAUCUUUGCACACCCGUCAUCACAAUGUUGUGCUUCUUUAAUCCUAUCUAUUAAGGUAGGUGCGACCACUAAGGCAGCUAGCAUGUGAGCCGUGGAGUCCACCAUUUUCACUUCAAAAUUCUCCAUCUGAUCCUUUGUUGUGGGUUCUCUUAAUACCCUUGACUUCCUACUGAGAGCGUCUGCUACCUUAUUUGCCUUGCCUAGAUGGUAACUAAUCGUCAAAUCAUAAUCCUUAAUUAAUUCUAACUACCUUCUCUACCUCAUGUUCAAUUCCCUUUGAGUAAAUAGAUACUUGAGACUCUUUUGAUCAGUGAAAAUCUCACAUUGCAUACCAUAUAAGUAAUGCCUUCAUAUUUUCAACGCAAACACUACUGCCGUCAAUUCCAAAUCAUGCGUUAGAUAAUUCUGCUCGUAAGGUUUUAGUUGGCGCGAAGCAUAAGCAAUUACUCUCCCAUUUUGUAUCAAAAUGUAUCCUAAAUCAUUUUUAGAGGCAUCACUAUAAAUCACAAAUCCUUCCGUUCCAGAGGGUAGGGUAAGUACUGGGGCUAACAUUUAUCCGUCCAUUCAAAUUUUGCUCUCUUUUGAGUCAACCUAGUAAGAGGCAUAACAAUGGUGGAGAAUCCUUCCACAAAUUUUUGAUAAUAGUUGGCCAACCCUAAGAAACUCCUCACUUCGGAUACAUUACUGGACCGUGGCCGGUCUACAAACUCCUCACUUCGGAUACAUUACUGGACCGUGGCCAGUCUACAAUUGCCUCGGCUUUCUUUGGAUCAACUGACACUCCUUGGGCCGAUAUAACGUGUCCUAAGAAGGCCACACUCUUCAACCAAAAUUCACAUUUACUAAAUUUAGAGUACAAUUUCUCCCUUCUUAAUAUCUCUAGAACCUCCCUAAGGUGGGCGGCAUGAGCUUCCUCAUUUAGGGAGUAUAUUAGAAUGUCAUCGAUAAAUAUCACAACAAAACGGUCUAGUUGUGGUUUGAACACCCUAUUCAUCAAAUCCAUAAAGCUGUCUGUACGUUGGUUAAUCCAAAUGGCAUUACUAAAAACUUAUAGUGCCCAUAUCUUGUACGAAAUGCACUUUUCUGAAUAUCAUCAGCUUUAAUCUUCAAUUGAUGGUAUCCAGAUUUUAAAUCUAUCUUGGAGAAUACUUUAACUCCCUUCAUUUGGUCAAAAAGAUCAUCUAUCCUAGGAAGGGGAUAUUUAUUCUUUAUCGUGAUUCUAGUCUAAAAAUGAAUUGCGAAAGUGGUGUCAGAUUGGGACCUAGAUUCACGUCUAGAUUUGUGUCGACCUACCAAGAGGUUAUGAGGACUGAUCUGAGACUAAGUAACGCCUUCCAUCCCCAAACAGAUGAACAGUCAGAAAGAACCAUACAGACACUCGAAGACAUAUUGAGAGUUUAUGCUCUAGACUUCUCGAAUAGUUGGGAUAGGUUAAUAAAACUAAAGAAAUUCUCGUACAAUAAUAGCUACCAUAGUGGGAUCGGUAUGACACAGUUUGAAACAUUGUACGGGCGAAAAUGUAGAUCUCCCUUAUAUUUGGAUGAAAUAGGUGAGAAACUGAUCACCGGCCCCGAUUUAGUGGAACGAACUGUGAGAACCCAGAAGAAAAGAAAAAAAUUUAAAAAAAUAUUAUUUUAUUCCUGUGCACCCGAUUUCUUUUAUUUUCUUUAUUAUAUUACUUUUAUCAACAUUUUAUCAGUAAAUAUAGUUUUUAAAUCAUUUUUCUAGUAUAAGGUAGUUCGUGAGAAAUUAGGAAUGUAUUUUGGCUGUGGGACCCGCUAGUGCAUUAAGUGAGAGAAAUUCGGCCAAUUAGGUUAAAUUUUGCGUAAAGGGAUUUUAUUACUAGGGAUUAGGAGAUAGGUGGAGGUUACCUAGAUGGAUUAAUCAUGGAGGGACAAGAGGAUAACUCUAGCAAAAACAAAGUGCCAAGUGUCCAAUUGUUGUUGGACUAAGCUUACCUAACUUUUGACUUAACUUUCUUUACUUUCCUUAAAGUCUAAUUUUGACCAAGUUGUCUUCAUUCUUCAUCUCCUCAUGGCCGAACCUCUCUAGCCAACAAAGGAAAGAAAUCUUCAAAUCCUUGCUCAAUCUUGAAAACUAGCCGAUUAUUUCUUGAAUUAGUCCAUAAAAUCAUCUUGCUAAGGGUCUUUGACGAACUUGGUGGUGUUGUUUUGGAAGGAAAUCUCCUAAGCUACAACCUUUCUUGAAGAACUAAGGUAUCUUGCUUGGAACUCAUCUUUUGGUUUUAAUUUUGGCCAAUUGGUGCCUUAUAGUAGAUAUAUACGUGAUUUUUCGGAAGAUUUGGUGGAUUGGAGUGAAGCUAGCUAAUUUUCUGAUUUUUGUGGGACUUUUCUGUUUUCCUAUGAUUGAGAUGAUUGAGCUGGAAUUGAUGGUUCUAAAUGGCAUUAUAUAGCUCUCUUGUGCGUUAAUUGUGGUUAAUUGCGGAAAAUUUCCGCUUGUGCGGAAAAUUUCAGAUUUAGGGUUACUAAAUGGGGGUUUUCUAUGGUUGAUAGUUGAGCUUCUAAUUGGCUAUAAUUGAGGGGUAUUAUGACCCCAAUGAAGUAUAUUGAAUGGCUUAUGAAUUGUUUGGGUGCUUGUGGUUGUGUUGGAUGGCUUUUAAUGGUUGUCUUGUAGGUUGGAAAAGCUGAAAUUUUAGGGGAAAUGCUGUCCAAGUGUCUAGGGUAUCGGAUUCUUAUGAGUUGGGUUGAGAUUUGAUAGAAAUGAAUAAUCUUAGGGUUUAUUUCUACUUUUAACCCUAAAUGUUAUGUAUUUUUCAUUUCCAAGCUAUAUUUGGGUCUUACCUUAAUAGUUCCUAGAAAAAGGUAUUCGACUUGUGUUUGCGUUUUCAUUGUACUUUCUUGAUUGUUAUAGGGCGUGCCGGUGAUCCGAGACUCACGUCGGGCGAAAACUUGUGAAAUUUCUUUGUUGAACUUGGUGAGUGUACUACUCACAUGUUUGUUAUUCCGUGGCUUUCUUGUACUUGAAUUCUGUGAUUUGGACUAGUUGAGAUGAUUGUUUGAGCUAGGUGAGGCGAGGGUGUACUUUACCACUCUCGUACUCUCUGGCCUUCUUGACUGGUUAUUAUAUUAGGCUUACUUGACUGUACUUGUAUCACUUGAAUACUCUUGACUGUACUUGAUUUGGUGUCGAUUGAAUACCAAUCUUUACUGUUCACUCUGGGCUCUACCUCAUUGGAAGUCAAUGGACUCGAGCCAGUAAGGACUUGGUCGGGGACAUUUGACAAGCCAUGGGGACUGUAUUUGGGAAUCUUUGGGUAUGAGACCCUUGAUUCCGGUAUACUCGAGUAAUACCAACUCUGUACUGUUUGGUGUUCGGGCCCGGUAAGGGGAAAGUGAGGUGGACGGAUAAUUGGAGUAAAGAGGAGUCUACGGUCAUGAUUACCUGGUAUACAUUGAAGGAGAGUCAAUGAGAUGAGAUCAAGCAUGGCAAAAGAGGAAAAUGGCUCUUGAGAGCCAUCCGUAUCCUUUUAUUCCCUACACUUGGGGGUUGUUACUUUUACUUCCUUGACGUGCAUAUUUGGACUGAAUAUUCUUGUGUUUAUGUGAUCCUGGUAUAUUUUCGUGAUGGUACUUCAUUGGGCGAAAGCUCACUCCGUGAAUUUUGUUUUCCUUACAGGGAUUUACCUUUUGGACUUUUGAUUUUGAAGAAUGAGUUGAGUAGAGCUAGUUGAGAGAUUUUGUAUAGCUCCUCAAUAGUUGGAAACUUAAUUGUACUGGGAUUUAAAUGCUUCCUUUUGGCUUGUAACCACACGAAUGUGGUUUGUAACAGUGUGUGUGUACUCAUGUUCAAUGUAUUAUAUUUGGCUUGUAUAUAUUCCUUUCAGGGGUUGUAAAAAGUUACUUGUAUUCGAUUGGGUCCUGGCGGAUUGUGACGUGGUAGUCACUAUUCACUUUACGUUUUAACUUUUAUUUUUCCGUUUCUUGAUUGUUGGCUUGGUUGAGCGCGCUAGUAGAUUCCCGAACGACUUGAGUUACUGUUUUACCGUUUUAGUAGUCCUGGCGAGAGUUGGGCAGGCAGUCAGCUAACCCCUUUGGUACGUCUUAGGGGAAGGUGGGGCUGUCACACGAACCUUGGAGAAGAUUAAAGUUAUUCGAAAGAGACUAAAAGUAACUCAGGACUGAAAUAAGAGUUGGGCAGAUUUAAAGAGAAGACCUUUAGAAUUUCAACCGGGAGAAAAGGUAUAUUUGAAAGUAUCCCCUACCAAGGGAGUGAUGAGAUUUGGAAGAAGUGGUAAGUUAAACCCAAGGUAUAUAGGACCUUACGAAAUACUGGAGAGAGUUGGACCUUUAGCGUAUCGACUGGCUUUUUCACCUGCUUUGUCGAGGAUACAUAACGUUUUUCAUGUCUCCCAACUGAGAAAGUAUGUAUCUGACUCGAGCCAUAUUUUGGAGGAUCAACCCAUCAAGGUGAGGGAGAACUUGUCAGUAGAGGAAUUUUCUUUGAGAAUCGUGGAUUGGAAGGAUCAAGUUCUAAGGAGAAGGACCAUACCCUACGUUAAGAUGCAAUGGAUGAACCAUACACCGCGAGAGGCAACAUGGGAGUUAGAGGAAGACAUGCGGAAUAUAUAUCCCUAUCCUUUUUGUCAAGGUAAAUAAGUUUCGAUGACGAAACUUUUUGUAAGGGGGGUAGAAUGUAAAACUCAGGUCCCUUCUCAAUUUAUACUUUACUCAGUUAAUUAAAUGGUAAAUUGUCAUGGGUAAAGGUAAAAAUAAUUGUAGGAUAGAUUAAAGGGUUAAGUGGGAGAUAGGAAGGAGAUAAGAUAGGAUGAGAGUCACAACAAAUUAAAAUUCUUAUCUAAACCACCAAGUAGUGGGUGGUUACUAGAGUUUAGAACAUUUAUCAAAAUAACACAGGAAAAUAACACCGUUCCCACUUUUCAUUUGUCUACCUUCCCUUAGAGCAAGAAUCAACUAAGAAUAGAGGAGAAGAAGAAGACGUUGCCAUCAAACUAGCAGGCAAUUAAUCGUCUAGACCUGUAAGUCCCAAACGCGCAUGAAAGUUUUUCUCUUAAGUCUUAUUAAUUUCAUGAAUUAUUUUAAAUAUUUUAUAUAUAUUCAUAUCGCAAUAUAUUUAUGCCUGCCUGAAAAAUUUAGGAAGAUUCAUGAUCGAAUUUGUGAGAAUAUUGUAUUAACUUUUAAUUAUGGGAUGAAUAGGGUUUACCCAAAUCUGUUGAAAAAAAAAAUUCGAGUGAGAGGAACAGCGGUAGUCGCCGCUGCUGUGGUGCCCGUGGUUGAAGCCAAAGCUUCAGCAAUGCAAAAAUUAAGAUGUUUAUCAAUUGUUGUGUUACUCUUUGUUACUAGUUGUUUUACAAAUAACGUUACUUUCAACGAUUAUGGAUGUGAAUAAUGUGUAAAUAAAUUGAUUUACGUAUAUAUGUAUUUGUAAAGUUAUGGUUGCAUGGUACAACAGAGGGGUAGAUACUACCUACUGAGCGAUUUGUUGUUCAACCCAAUUUUUAUCAUUUUUGCAGAUUCUGAGAAGUAUGAAUUGAUUUACGUAGAAGACCCUGAGAAUGAUUUUUAUUAGUUCUACGUGAAUGGAAAUUAGCAGCCUAGCUGCCUCUAGCUGUUAGUUUUAUUUUUUUUCUUUUCCGCGGUUAUGACUAGAGAAUAAAUGUACGAAUUUAUUGGAUAUUCGUAAACUACCUUUCAUUUGAGAUUUGUACUGCACUUUAUUUAGUUAUACUAUUUAGUACUUUCUAAGUUUAGUCUAGUUUAAUGUUACCUUGUAUCAUUGAGUGGGACUUGAGGAUACGGCGGAUGUCACGUGACUGGCGCGUGCGAGCUCAAGACGUGACAUUUUUAGUGGUAUCAGAGCUUAGGUUAUAUGAUCUGUGUAGACACCAAAUUUUUGGUUUCGAAUUUUAUUUUUUAAUUAGUUUAAUUUUAGAUUUAUUUGUUUCAAUUUCAGGUUUAUUUUGGUUGUUUCCUGUUUCGUGCCUCUUAUUGUAUUUUAAUUAGUUUACGAGCAUUUAUUUUAUUUACUAAUUUGAUUAAAAAAAAGAGGAAAAAGAAAAGAAAAAUGAUGAAAGUGAAAAAUGAAGGAAAAAAGAUUGAAAAAUGGCAACUUUGUUGUUUUUAGUUUGUAUAUUUUGAUGUGAUAUUACUUAAAUUGUUGAUUUUUAUUACUUAGCUUUAUUAUUAAUUUUGUUAAAUUAUUAUUCCAAAAAAAAAAAAAAAAAGCCACGCGCUCAUAACUUUCUUCACAGAAACAUAGCUUCAGUACGCAAACCUCGUCCCUGGAAAUAAGACAGAACAAAAAUGGGAUUUUUCUCCAUUUUCCUUUUCUCUAAAAUCACCAAUACACAAUGCCACCUCACUCAUUAGAAGAUAUCAAGAAGCUUCUGGCACGAGACCAUCAAAUUGCUGAGAAAACUUGCCAGCAAUAUAGGGGUUUGAUCCGCACCCUUGAAGUUAGGUUUUAGGGAGAUUGGUUCCAUAUAAAAGGGGAAGAACAAACACAGCCGAAGGAGAGGAGAAGAAAAGAGUGACGGCGGAGGACCAAAAAGAAAGAAAAACAAGAGAGGACAGAGGUAGAGAGAAUAGGGGUUGGCGGCUGCGGUUACAAGGAACCGAGAGCUAGCAAGGAAGGAAGGUUGGCGGCGGAAACCAUAACCAGGAGAGCGAGGGUUUCGUGAGGUUGAGCAAAAAGAAACCAGAAAAGAGUGAAGGGGAAAGUUGGAGAGCGAGAGAGAGGCUAGUGACGGCGGAACAGAAACCAGAAAGGAGAGUUUUGAAAAAAAAAAAAAAGAAAAACAACCGAGAGCUUUGGAAGGAAGAAAAGGGCGACUCAACAGGAGAACCAAGAAGGAGUCACGGCUGGGGCGAGAGCCUGGAGAUUUCUGGUCAAAACCAAAAAAGAAGGAAGGGGACUGUCACUCAAGUUUCCUUAUCGUUGCUAAAAGUCCAUCGGAAAACGGCACAGUAAGGUUCCUUUCCCUGUUAUAUAGAUAAUUUUUAUCAAAUAAAUCAUGGAAACUAUGCUGGAUCUCGAGUCAAGUGAAUGUGGUCAAGAGUUGCGAUGUAGGUUCAUGGUUAUAGCUCAAAAGUGCGACCUUCUUACUGUUGUUGUGUAUGAUAGGUAUGUUAGGAUCUAAAAAUUUUUUGGUGUUGAUUAUAUUUCGUUCCUGGACUGUAGUUUAGUAGCAAGAUCCUAGCUUUGAAAAGAAAGGGCAUUUACAUGCCUGUUCCGUUUCCAUUUUGAAUCUGUUGUGGCUUGUUCGGAUGUCGGAAUUUUGUUCUGGUUUUGUUGCUGAAGUUCUCGAUUGUUUGAAGUGUUUGAUUCGUUUGUUGAGAGGUUUUGAGCCAUGGUUGGUUCGAAGUUUUGAAUGAAUUCUUGUUAAAAAUUUAUAGACAACUGCAUCGGAAAACCAUGAAAGCUAUGCCGCAAGCUCUUGCAAAGUUGCAGAUGGUUGAAUAAUAGGUUGACGGACCGUUUUUGCAUGAAAGUUUCCAAGAAUCUGCAUCAUUUCCUCCUAUGUUUUUUGCCCGUUUGGACGUUGAAGUUAUGUGUCUUGUUACUUAGUUUCAAAUUAUGAUUUUUGGUGAAAAUUUUUGAGCAAAGCUGUAUGCUUGGGUUCGAAAUCUGAGUUUGGAAAUGAAAAUGCAGCAGGCUUGCGCUUUCGAUUGCUGAAGUUUUUGCAUUGUUGAAGUAUUUGAUUUGUUUGCCAUUUGAUUGGAAUACCGUGUGCAUGUACGCCAUGAGGUAGAGUCGUGUUUUGAAGUAGAGUUCAGUUGCAAUAAAAAAUGCAGCGUAGCUUGGGCCGAAUUGCAUGAACUUUUGGGGGUGUUUUCUGCUCCCUUUGUUGCAUGUUCAGCUGUAUUAUGUUAAUCAAAGUGUCUGGUUGUCAAAUGGUGAUCGAGUGAUGGUCUUUGCUGGCUUUUGUUUGAAGUCUCCUAUGAACCCUGUAUUUGAGAGCUUAAAGUUGCAAAAAUAACUCUGGAUGAAUGUUGCAGCAGAAAAUUUGCUUCGUUACUUCGCAGGCUCCUUUUGCUUGAUUGAUUCUUUUGUUGCAUUAUAAAUCAAGUAGAUCAGGUGGUGGCUUGUUGUUUUGUGCGAAUUACAUUCGGUUUGGGCUGUCAAAUGCGUAGAGUUUGUUUGAGUUCUCACACACAAACAUAUCUAAGCUGAAGUAGAAAAAGCUGCUGCAUUCGUUCCUAUACCUCUGCUAUUUUCUUCUCCGCAAACAGCUCGUCAAGGGAGCUUUGUCAUCUAAUGUGCUAGUUAAUCUUGUUCUGAAAAGGAAGAAAUUGGAUAAGUAGUGUUUGAGUUUGCAUGCUUAGGGUCUAAAACACCUGAAUCAUGAUCGAACACCUUGCUGAAAAGCAAACAAGCAGGCUGCCGAAACCAUUUCUGCAUGUAUUUUUCAGAAUUUUGGUAUGAUAUGUUUCCAUGUUUUCUGGUCAUUUGGAUUGUGAUCAUUAUGUAGUCUGUUACUUGGCUUAAGGUAGUGGUGUUGGGUUGAAAAAUAUCUGAUCAAAGCCGUGUAUUUGAAUCAAAAUCUGGUCUGCAUGAUGAAAUGGAAAGGAAAAGCCGUGGCUGGAAAAGAAAAAACUGCAGAAAGCUUCAUACGUGAAUUGCAGAAGUAAUGAAGGCUUUAGUUCUCGUUGCAUACAUGAAAAAUGUUUCCAAAAAUUGCCUUUUAACCCCCCAAGCUUCCCUUUGUUUUACUAUGACCCAACCAAUUGAAUAAUGUCAUCAAUUUGGUCCUUGGUAGUUUUAAUUUUACAACUUCAUUGCUUGUUUGCUUCAAUCAAUUACUAUUCUUUGUUUCAAUUACACUUAAGUCAUGACUUUAGGUGCUUUAUGACCAAGUGAGCUCGGGUUUGCCUAUUUUCUUUAAUUUUCUCCAAUAAAUUGGUACCUUGACCAUUUCUUUUAUUUUGGAGGAUAAAUAAGUGAUUUCACUCCAUUUAAGGCGUCAACUCAAGAGAGGUAUAACUUCUUUUAUCUUUUUUGACUCUCUCCUAUGUGAUCCAACGUGCUAAGUGAGAAUUGCAUGUCUACUUUACUUUCCUUGUUUUUUCCUUAAUUCAUUUCAUUUAUUUCAUUUACUUUUGCUUUUGUUAAGUCAUUCUUUUAUUUAUGGGGUAUGUGUACACCUCUUGGCUUGUAAUAGAUAGGGCUUGGAGAGCAAUUUUGUCCAUUUUUCCCCGUCCCCUUUUGUUUUAGUUAGCAAAUGUAAUAGGUUCAUUAGCUUGAUUGCUUGCUUUUGUUGCUACGUGUUAAUUUGCUUUAUUAGGCUCUUGCAUCUAGUCGAGCAUGCUAAGCGUUAUGUGCUAUGUGUUUAUAGGUGAUUGGCAUGUCUACUUGCUCUCUGUAGUCAUAGAUGAAUGUGAAGGAUGAAUGCACGUCACCACACUAGUCCAACGCUAGUUGUGGCUCAUUGUCCCGUUUUCCACUAGUCCAACGCUAGUAGGAAUUCAUAGAUAUGGGCUAGUCCAACGCUAGACCCUUAGGGAUUUCCCUCGUUAGUUCAUACUUGCAUGUUUCACUACAUUUCAUGCAUUUUUCUUAGUUUUCUAGCAUUUGGCAUGCUCCCCCAAUCCUUUCCCCUUCAUUUUAGGCUUUUGCAUCUUCAUGCUAGUUAUAUGGUACAUUUGCUUGAGGGUCCCCUUUAGAUAAGGGAAACGAGCGAGUGUGGUUACAAAAUAGCCUUAGCACGCUAGUUCUUCCUUCUAAUCAAAGGGAAAAUUAAAGUCAUGAAGUUAGGAGUCAUUCCCGUACCCGACUUGAUGCAUUCCUAUAGGUUCAUACACUUUCAUUCUCAUCAUGUCACUCCCUCACCCUCUUAUCCACAUUUUCUCACUACUUAUAUCCUUCUCAAUACAAAUGCCAUGUUCACACAUUUUUCUUCUUGUCACUUGUUUUUCUACCUCACAAAUUGCACCCAAUUGCACUUAUAUGUAUCUACUAUCAUAUUUUCAUUCAUUUGCACACAAACACCUUUAUUUUCCCAAUUUGCACACAUGCACUUGUCUUACAUUCGCACACAUGCACGUUUUCUUACAUUUUCACACUUGCACUCAUAUUUGAGUCUUCAUUUACAUCAUUCGCGACCUCUAUGAGGACUUUCCUUAUUGGCCACCACAACUCAUAUGGUUGGGACCAAAAAGCCUCGUAAGAGACAUUUUAGAUUUAGGAUUGCAUUUCUUUUUCAUAUCCAUUAGUCAUAUCCAACAUGCAACGCAUAUUUUGGGUAGAAGAAUUAGGAAACAUGGGGCUAAAUCACGCAACUAGCUUUGGUUAGGGUAAGGGAGUGCCUUAGGCUUUGCCUUUGCCUUCUCCCUUAUCAAAUGUGACCCCCGAUCCCUUUCUUUGGUUACGUAGACCUAAAAGUUCUUAAAAAGGGGUUUGUUUACUUUGCUUUUCAAAAAAUUCAUUUUUGGGUGACUUGGUACACCCUAACUCUAUACCAAGUGGCGACUCCAUUUUCCAUGCAAAAAACCCUUUUUGAACUUUGUUUGGCCAAAUCGUCGCAUUUUCAAGUCCCACGGCCUUUUAUUUUCAUUUUCACACACAUUCACAUACAUAUUCCACACACUACUUUCACUUUCACGCCAUAUCAAAAAGUGGGGCGUGACAAUCUGAAAGUAUGUGAAAUGGUGUUUGAGAUAUUAGAGAUUUUGAGAAUUGAAAUGAGAUGAAAAGAAAAAGAGGAUUAAAGGAAAUAAGAGAUUCUCAUGAUUUUAAUGUUUUCAAAGUUUAGGUUAUGCGAUCUCGAUAUAUGUUGAAUGAUGUUUGUAAUAUUAGUGAUUUUAAGAAUUGGAAUAAAGUUGGAUAGAAGAUUGUGAAAUAAGAAAUUUCCAUAAUAUUUAGUGAUAACAGAGCUUGGGGUACGAUUUACUCUUUAGAGGAAAUACACACUGGGAAAUGAUCAAUUAUGACUGAAUAAAUAAGCUUGAAAAUUUGCAUGUGUGAUUUAAGUUGAAAUGGUACUAUUGGUAUUUAUGAUGUCCUUUUUGUUAGAUAUGAUUUUGGUAGUACAUUCUAAGUUUAAAAUAUCGGGCGUGUAGGAAAUAUUAUAUAUAUUUGAAGUAUUGUCUGUAGGAAAUUGAAAGUAUCAAGGAAUUAAAGUAUGCGACAAGCAUGAUGAAUUAAAUAAAGAGACCCAGUUUAGCUAGUGUAGGAUUAAUUGCACGAUGGGUGACAAUGACAUUGGAGGUUAUAUUGACUUUUCUUGACAUGGGCUAAGGUUUCACGGAUGAAACCACUUCAAAGGAUGAAAAAUGAAAUGUUGCGGAUCUUUUCUAUUUGCAAUAGUGCUCUUACUUAGAUAGAAGUACUAUUGAUGCCUAUUUUACUCUAGUUGAGUAUUACCACUAUUGGUGACAACUAAUAGAUGUAUGGUCUUAUCCCAUACAAAUUGAUAUAGUCUAACUGUAGUAUUCCUUCGGUGGGAGAUGUGGUCAACAGUGAAUAGACUUAUUUUUUUUUUUGAGGUUUACAAUGAUUAGAUCUAAUGCCCCAGACAAUUAUUGAACUAGCUUAUUUGCAUUAUUACAUCGUGCUUAGUCAACAAAUAUAUUAGAAAUUUCUUAGAAUACAUAAUCUUAUAUAGUUCUUGUCUUAAAAAAAAUUUUCUAUUUCACGAACAAAUGUUAAUCAAGAUUUUUGAAUAAGUAUCUUUAUCAAAUAAGUAUAAUUUCUAUAAAUAUGUACACACCAAGAAACAUAAAUUAACAAUAAAAAAUGAAUAAAUACCAUAAAUAAUUAUAUCCUAUAACUCUGUGCAAAAUAUUUUUGUGAUAUUCAUCCAAUCUCAAAAAGAGCUACAAAUAAAUGUGUUCUACACAAAAAAAAAUCAUAUCAUAUAAAAAGAAUCUAACAAUAAUUCUUGAUAAAUUCUCUUUGUACUCUAAACUUAAUAGUGUAAGAAGUACAAUUAACUAACUUAUGUGUUUCUAACACUUCCAGGUUUUUAAACUUGUAUGAGUUCAAAAUUCUACGUAUAAAUACCUUACCAAAUUUAUGAUAAAGUUAUUAUAUUCAAAUAUGAGAAUUUGGCGAUAAUUUUUGUAUAAAAUUUUGUGUGUUUCAGUAUGUUUUACCGUAAUAUAAAUAUGUGUUUUGGAAAUUGAAUUGAGGUAAAAAAAAAUGACCAAAGAAAAUAAGAUUCCCAUGGUAUUUAAUGGUAUAAUAACUCAGGUUAUAGGAUUUGAAAAUAGGUGUGAUGCUAUUUUAGAUAUGAGAUUUGAGGGAAAUAAGGGAUUUUCAUUACCAAAUUACAAACAUAGUGGGCAGGAACCCAUAUAUCGAGAUAAUGAUUACUUUUUGGGAUAGUGGAUAAGUAAGUUGUGAUAGAAUGUGAGACAAAAGAAGAAAUGGUAUUGUUGGUGUCUAUGACAUCCUUUCUAUAGGUUGAUCUCUAUGGAGCAUUAUAAGUCGAUAUUUAGAAAGGACCAUACAAACACUCGAAAACAUGUUGAGAGUUUGUACUCUAGACUUUUCGGAUAGUUGGGAUAGGUUAAUAAAACUAAUGAAAUUCUCGUAUAAUAAAAGCUACCAUAACAGGAUCGGUAUGGCACCGUUUGAACCAUUGUAUGGGCGAAAGUGUAGAUCUCCCUUAUAUUGGGAUGAAAUAGGUGAGAAACUGAUCACUGGCCUCGAUUUGGUGGAACAAACCUUGGAGAAGAUUAAAGUUAUUCGAGAGAGACUAAAAAUUGCCCAUGACCGAAACAAGAGUUGGGCAGAUUUAAAAAGAAGACCUUUAGAAUUUCAACCGGGAGAAAAGGUAUAUUUGAAUGUACCCCCCACCAAGGGAGUGAUGAGAUUUAGAAGAAGUGGUAAGUUAAGCCCGAGGUAUGUAGGACCUUACGAAAAAUUGGAGAGAGUUGGACCUUUAGCGUAUCGACUGGCUUUUCCACCUGCUCUGUCGAGGAUACAUAACGUUUUUCAUGUCUCCCAACUGAGAAAGUAUGUAUUUGACUCGAGCUAUUUUUUGGAGGAUCAACCCAUCAAGGUAAGGGAGAACUUGUCAGUACAAGAAGUUCCUUUGAGAAUCUGGAUUGGAAAGAUCAAGUUGUAAGGAGAAAGACCAUACCCUACGUUAAGGUGCAAUGAAUGAACCAUACACCGCGAGAGGUAACGUGGGAGUUAGAGGAAGACAUGCGGAAUAGAUAUCCCUAUCUUUUUUAUCAAGGUAAAUAAGUUUUGAGGACGAAACUUUUUGUAAGGGGGGUAGAAUGUAAAACCCAGGUCCCUUCUCAAUUUAUACUUUACUCAAUUAAUUAAAUAGUAAAUUGCCAUGGGUAAAGGUAAAAAUAAGUGUAGGAUAGGUUAAAGGGUUAAGCGGGAGAUAGGAAGGAGAGAAGAUAGGAUGAGAGUCACAACAAAUUAAAAUUCUUAUCUAAACCACCAAGUAGUGGGUGGUUACUAGGGUUUAGAACAUUUAUCAAAAUAACACAGGAAAAUAACGCCGUUCCUACUUUUCAUUUGUCUGCUCCUCUCAGAGCAAGAAUCAACUAAGAAUAGAGGAGAAGAAGAAGACGUUGUUGCCGUCAAACUAGCAGGCAAUUAAGCGUCUGGACCUGUAAGUCCCAAACGCGCGUGAAAGUUUUUCUCUUAAGUCUUAUUAAUUUGAUGAAUUAUUUUAAAUAUUUUAUGUAUAUUCAUAUCGCAAUAUAUUUAUGCCUGCCUGAAAAAUUUAGGAAGAUUCAUGCUCGGAUUUGUGAGAAUAGUGUAUUAAAUUUUAAUUAUGAGAUGAAUAGGAUUUACCCAAAUCUUUUGGAAAGAAAAAAAAAAAAAAAGAGAGGGAACAAUAGCGUUGUAGGCCGUUGCUGCUAUUGUGCGUCGUUGCUGAAGCUUUGACUUCAGCAACACAAAAAAAAAAAAAAAGAGGCAAAGGUCACCAAUUGGCGACCUUGACCAAGAAGAAGGCCAACCGAAGAAAACAAGGGGUCGCCAGCAAGCCGAACGAAAAAAAAAGUAGCAAACGAACCCUCCUCUUUUCACUAGCCAAAAAGGUCGGCCCUUUGAAGGAAAAAAAAGAUUAUGACUAAUAAAAAAAUCAUAAUAAAAAUAAUUAAUAUAUAUAUAUAUAUAUAUAUAUGGCAAGUAUACUUGAGCCAAAAUAUAGUAUAGGUUUAGUGAAUGUUCAGAAGAUAAAUUUUAAAUAUAACUAACUCACCUUUAUAACUUAUCAUGGGUUUUAAAUUUCAAAACCCAAGCUAAAAAUAAUUUUUAGAGUUUCAAGAUUUAGUCAUCUAAGCUUAUGCUUAAUUGAUUAAGUCUAAAAUAAUUAAAUAGAAAUCUAAAACAUUUUAAACUAGCCUUACUAGAUCAAUUUAUACAAUGUAGAAUAAGUCCUAGAUUGUUAAACGAAAUGCGUAAAAUCAUAAUAAUGAUAAUAAUAAUAAUAAUACUAAUGAUAACACUAAUAGUAAUAAUAAUAAUAACAAUAAUAGUAAUAAUAAUAACAAUAUAGAUAUAGAUGAAGUAAAUUAAAGAUAUAAAUGAAAAUUAAAUGAAAAGAUAAAUAUAAGUGGAAUAAACCAAGACAAUAAUUAUAAUAAUAAAUCAAUAUGUACAUAUAUAUACAUAUAGAUAUAAAUAAAAAUAACACCUACACAUGCACAAAAAUGGAAGUAAAACAAAGAUAAUAGUGACUAAUUAACAAAUACAUAUACAAAUGAUAAUAAAAUAAAAUAGUGAUGAAAAGGAUAAAAACAAUAACAAUGAAUAAUAAUAAAAUAAUAAUAAAUAUAUAUAUAUAUAUAUAUAUAUAUAUAUAUAUAUAUAUAUAUAUAUAUAUAUAGAUAAAUGCAUACAAUGGUCAAGAUAAUAAAUUUGAUUACGAAUAAUUAUUUCUAAAUUAGGAAACUUUACGAAAAAAUUGAAACUUUCCAAAAAUAAAAACUUCUUAAUUUAGGAAAACUCUGCUAAAGUUCAUAUAAUGGCAUAGACAUGAAUCUUAAAUUUACUCAGAGUAUGUAUAUUUAUGCAUCUAUAGGAGCAGCCAGACAAAGGUAGGUGUUAUUUACCCUUUUGAGAUUUCAAAAGUGCAAAAUGACAUUUUUGUUGUCAAUCAUAUUUUGUUGUGUUGACACAAAAUGUAUUUGAUUAAAUGUUUUACUGGGAUAUUUAUGCAAGUUCUACUUUUACUAUACGAAAAUAGACCAUGUGACUUAUUUGAAACAUUUUGAUAUGUUAUUAUAUACCAAAUGGGCUGUAUCUUUUAUGCAAUCAAAGAACUAUGUAUGUGAUGUGUGAAAUAAAUUUAUAUUAAGUAAAACUCAAAACAGUCAUGGAAUAGACGGUAGGGGUUAUAGUCCUGCCUAAUGGUCAUAGUAGCCUGGUAUAGUGUCCGACCGAUUAACAAGGUCAUAAUAGUUCGGUAUAGAAUCCGACCGAUUGAUCCAUGUAUGUAAUGAGACCAAUCGGUAGUUAUGAAACCUAUUGGUCACCCACCUAAAAGGGGUUUAAUCUCUAAACUGAGUACUCAGAUGCCGGUCAUUGCAUGUACUUGUUAUGAGCUGAUAUGAAAUGAUUUAUGAUUUUAUGACUUUAUGACUUCUAUGUACGGUUAUGAAUAAGAUGUUUAUCAAUUGUUGUAUUACUCUUUAUUAUUGGUUGUUUUACAAAUAACGUUACUUUUAACGAUUAUGGAUGUGAAUAAUGUGCAAAUAAAUUGAUUUACGUAUAUAUUUAUAUGUAAAAUUAUGGUUGCAUGGUCCAACAGAGGGGUAGAUACUACCUACUGAGAGAUUUGUCGCACAACCCAAUGUUUACCAUUUUUGCAGAUUCUGAGGAGUAUGAGUUGAUUUAUGUAGAAGACCUUGAGGAUAAUUUUUAUUAGUUCUACGUGAAUGGAAAUUAGCAGCCUAGCUGCCUCUAGCUGUUAGUUAUAUUUAUUUUCUUUUCCGCUGUUACGACUAGAGAAUAAAUGUACGAACUUAUUGGAUAUACGUAGACUACCUUUCAUUUGAGAUUUGUACCACACUUUAUUUAGUUAUACUAUUUAGUUCUUUCUAAGUUUAGUCUAGUUUAAUGUUGCCUUGUAUCCUUGAGUGGGACUUGAGGAUACGGCGGAUGUCACGUGAUUGGCGCGUGCGGGCUCAGGCCAUAAUUGAUACUAUUUCCCGGAGACAUUGCCUUCCCUUAGUUUAAUUUCCUAUUCUAUUCAACGUCAUCUAGCUCUUUAUGCCAUAUAUUUCAACUAAUUAAUUAAUCUCAUACAAUUGCUUCAUAAUGACCAUAUAUCUCAAAGAUUAAGGGCCUUUCUUUAAUUUCUUCCUUCCCCACCUUUGCCUUCUUAACAAACUAAUAGACAGAGCUAUUCAAACCAAUCAAAAAAAAAAACACCAACUUCUUCCUUCCAAUCUCAUACAACUCCCUUUGUUAUAGUUCUAGUAGUGUGUUCAGAAAAAUUUUUGUGCAAUAACAUAUGGACAUGUUGAAAUCCUUAUUUAACCUAAUGCUUGCUAAUUUAACAAAAUAAUGCUAGAUAAAAGGAUUUGUGUUUGGAUAGUUAUUUAUAAUCCUUCUAUUAUAACAAAAUCAUGCACAAUGAAAACAUAUAGGUCUCUCUUGAACAAGAAAAUUUUUCUUGUGCUCUCAAUAUUUUUCAUCACUGAUCAAAAUAAAUAUCGAAAUGAAGAUUUGUACAUAGUUGUCAUUCUUAUGCUUAUUUUAUUUUUUUAGGAUUAGAACUUUAUUACUUCUUUUUUUUUUGACAAGGGAACCUAUAGUUGCUACUUGAGAGUGCAUACUGAAUAAAUCCUAUCCCGUGCAGUAGCCCAUCAAUCACAUAGAGGGGUAAGACACACUAGACAAUCUCUGUGCGACGAACGGAUAUCCCAGGAGAGGUUCGAAUCUAAGUUGGUAGAAAGACAUGACACCAACUCUACCAUCUUGACUAACUCAAGAGACUUAUUAUUAUUUUUAGUUGCUUCUACCAUUUAUGCAAUUACUUCAAUAGAUAUAAAGCCAUACUGCAUGUUUAAAUAAUUUAUGCCUAGUUGGGCAUGCAUGCACGCGGUUUAUUCCUCCUAGUUCUCUCUCACACGAGCAAAGCCAAUCCCAAAAAACAAGAACUACAGAUAGCCCAAUCAAACAUUCUUAAACAAGACUACUUUAAAUUUGAAAUGGGAGGUUAUUUCAGUUUGUUUGGAUAGGAGGUUAUUUAAAAUAUUUAUUUGAAAUUUGUGAUGUAAGGUAUAUGAGAUAAAAAAGAGCGAAUUUCUCAGACUAAUGCGAAAAAGAGAAAACAUCACAAAAGUGAUGCUGCUGUGGGCUCACUUCUAGAUUAAGGGUCGCCGCAAAUGUCAGGAGAGACUUCGUAGAAAAGUUGAUUUAAAUUUCUUUUUUUUUUAAAGCUGGAACCAAUUUUUUUUCGUUUUCACAAAAGUUUCGCCGCAAAUGGUGAAUGAGGCUGAGAAAAAAAAUAUUUUUUUGAAUUGCUGCAAAUUACACAAUUUGCGGUGAAGCAUGAAAAAAAAUAUUUAAAAUUUUUUUUGAGAAAUCGCAAAUUGCAUUUGCGGCAAAGGAGAAAUCGCCAUUUGUGUCCAUUUGUAUCUUAUCAUCAGUUUUAGUUUUCCCAUGCUCUAGUUGCAUUCAACAUGAAGAUAAUUAUAUAAAUAUUCAUGUGUUACUUCACAUGAUGUUGUUCAUGAUAUGCUAAAUUUAAGUAGAAGCGUCUGAGUCCUCUGCUAGUUGGAAUUAUCACUUUUUGCUAGAGUUAGAUCAUUUUAUACGAGACAAAGUGGUGGCAUCUAGCCUUAUAAUAAAGGAUUUUGCAGCUGAUGGUCUAUCAUAACACCAUAAUUGUUGACCUCAUACAGUUGCAAAACCUCUGUAAUAUGUAUCUUGAUCCCGUUAAUCCCGUUAAUCUUGCACAGUGUGCUCAUCCUGGAUUGACAGUGAUAUGAGAAAAGGCUUUCAGGACAUUAUAAUACUUGAAUCAAGGAAUGCGACUAGCAGCUGGCCCAUUUGACCAUCAAGAUGUUGGCACAUCUACCACUCGUACUGUCUCUUUCGAGAUGCCUGUCGAACAUUUAGCCAAGUAGAUGCAUGAUAAAAAACAAGACGGUAGGCAUUGCAGAGGGCACCUCCACCCAUGUUGUUCAUGUAUUCAACAUAUUUAAUUUUCAAUAUGUCUUGCCCGACAUUAAAACAAAAAAAUUCAAAAAUGGAUGAUUUGGGCAUAUUCUUUUCAAUUCAUUUUAUAUUUUCAACCAAAAGGAAGUUGAAAGAAUUUUUAUAGGAUGAUUAAUCAUCAUUUAUGAAAUUAGCACAAUUUUGUAGUUAAAUUAAAUUUGCAGCUUUCAGGCUUAGGAUUUACGUAUUAGGAUUUUAUUGUGAGGGUUUAGGGAUUAGUGUUUUAGGUUGGGGUUUGCUAGCAAAAUCAUCGUAAUUCCAUUUUAAAAAAAAAAAAAAUUUAAAGUUUGCAGCUCAUUUGAGGUGUAGUGAAUCCUUUAAAAAAACUUUUUUGCUUCGCCUCCCUUUUGAGGUGGAGCAAACCCUUGUAAAAUAUGAAAAAAAAUCCAGUCCUUUUACUUCCUUGGCGGCGAAAAAAAUGAAAUUGAAUUCAAUUUCUUUUAAACCUACUUUUUCAUUCCCGGCGACCCUUGAAAACAACACCAACCCCAAUAGGAGAAAAUUGGAACUAAUGCUAAGCAGUAAGAUGUAGACGCCACGCGAUUAGAUGUGCCAAACAGUAAGAUAUGAAUGGUCACGAUCUUUUGUCCCACAUCGGCUUCUUAAAAAAUUGUGGGAUCAUCAUGCACGUUUCGCCUGCCUCAAAAUUUUUAGAAACAAAAAUUUUUAUCCUCCCCCAAAUUACAUUUGCAGUUUCUGAAAUUUUUUUUUUUAAAAUUUCAUUUACAUUUGCAGCAAUUCAAAAAAAAUAAUUUUUUUUGCAGCCUCAUUCGCCAUUUGCGGCGAAACUUUUGUGAAAACGAAAAAAAAUCGGUUCCGACUUUAGAAAAAAAGAAAUUUAAAUCAAAUUUUUUAUUAAACCUCAUAUGAUAUUUGCGACGACCCUUAAUCUAAAUGCCAACCCCCAACAACAUCACUAUUGUGAUGUUUUCUUGUUUUCGCAUUAUUUUGAGAAAUUACGCAUAAAAAAGUGGUUGAAAAUUGUGUGUAUGAUGUAAACAAAACAAAAUUUGAAAUUUUUUUUUAAAAUUCUUGAUAUCCAAACACACCAAAUUUGUUUUGAAUUAUAUUAUGAUCCAUUAUUCUUUUCACUCAAGAAAUAAUGGAUCCUAAUAUAACUAUUAAGGUGGCGUUUGGUUCGCAUGUUGGAAUCGAAUUCGGAUUCGGAAUCAUUCAUCCUGGAUUUGGAAUGGAAUCAAUCAUUACAAUACAUUUGUUUGGUUCAGUGCCAAGAAUGUAUAUCAUUACUAUAGUUGAUAUUUGGUACGUUGGCUCUUUGUAAAUGGGAUAUAAGAAAUUUUCACUAAUUAAAUAUAUUAGUAUAAAUAUAUUAGUAAAUUUAGUAUAACUAAUUAAUAUUUUCUAUUAGUAAACAUGUAUAAUUAUUAGUAUAAUUGAUAAUAUCAAUUAUAUUACAUAGAUUAAUAUACAUUAUAUAAUACAUAUAACUAAUAAUAUCAUUAUUAUAAGUUUGUAACUAAUUAAAUUAAAUAUUAUAUAUAUAAUUAAAUAUAAUUAUACAAAUGUUAUAAUAUAAAUAUAUAAUUAUAAUUAUAUAAUAUAUAUAAAUAUUAAUUAUACUAAUAUUUUAUAUAAAUAUAAUGUAUAUUACAUAUUAAAUAUAGUUAUUAUUAUAUAUAAAAUAAUAAUUACAAUUAUAAUUAUAUAAUUUAUUAAUAUUAUAUACAUGUUUAUAUUAUAAUUAUAUGCACAUAUAGUAUACAUUUAUAAAUAUACAUAUAUAUUAUAAAUAUAUUAUAAUAUAAUAUUAAUAAAUUUAUAAUAUAUAGUAUAUAAAUAUAAUUAUAUUUAACUAAAUAAUUAUAAUAUAGAUUUAUAUAAUAUAAUAAUAUCAUUAUUAUAAGUUUGUAACUAAUUAAAUUAAAUAUUAUUUAUAAUUAAAUAUAAUUAUACAAAUGUUAUAAUAUAAAUAUAAAUAUAUAAUUAUUUAAUAUAUAAAUAUUAAUUAUACUAAUAUUUUAUAUAAAUAUAAUGUAUAUUACAUAUUAAAUAUAGUUAUUAUUAUAUAUUAUUAUAUUUAAAAUAAUAAAUAUUAAUAUUAAUAUAUAAUUUAAUAAUAUUAUAUACAUGUAUAUAUUAUAAUUAUAUGAACAUUUAAUAUACAUUUAUAAAUAUACAUAUAUAUUAUAAAUAUAUUAUUAUAUAAUAUUAAUAAAUUUAUAAUAUAUGUUAUAUAAAUAUAAUUAUAUUUAACUAAAUAAUUAUAAUAUAUAUUUAUAUAAUAUACUAAUAUUAUAAUUAUAAUAUAUUAUAUAUAUGUAUAUAUUACAAUAUAAAUAUAAAUAUAAUUAUAUAAUUAUACUAAUAUAUAUAUUAAUUAUACUAAUAUUAUAUAAUUAUAAGAUUUGGGAAUCAGACUUGGGUUUUGGACAAAACUUACCAAGUUACUAAGGACUGGAGGAAUGCUAAAUUUUUAGACAUCAUUCCAAAAUUUUAAUUCCGAUAGUAGUGAACUAAACAUGAAUCAUGGGAUUUAUUCCAUAAUUUCAUUCCGAAACCCUUUUACCAAACGCCCCCUAAUAGUUUAGUCAACAAUGCUACUUCCAUAGGCAAUGAAACUUAGAGCUCCUAAUAUGUACUGGCCAGCACUGAGGUACAUGUCCUGCUAAAACAUGAAUGACUUGGAUUAUGUAACUUAUGUUUGAUUUGCAUAUUAUUUACCUCCUGAACCUAUAAUACAUUAUGAACUUUGAGCAAAUUAUCCUCAUUAUUACAGUAGACCCAAAAAACAAAAGAGUUAAAUAGAUAAUAAAAAAUUUUUUGACCCACAAUUUAGUUACUGAUAUUAGUGGACAAGCUGGUGCGUAGCACAGUCAAACCCAAGCAAGUACUGAUAAAAGAAGAAAUGCAUAUAAGAAUGGAAAAGCAAACCCUCACAUAUACUGAUAAGGCAACUGUCUAAUAAUUCAAACAAAGUUACCUAGCUAUUAUACUAAUGCCCUCUGCACUACUGCAGGGGAUUAGUUUGACGUAAGUCAGGAUACUCCUAUAUUAGAAAAAAAAAAAUCAUACUAAUGCCCCUAUUUGACAGAAAAGGUACAAAAAACAGAACCGAUGGGGUAACGGUAACAUAUCACAAGCAAGAUAGUACCACCGUUCUUACCACACAUUUAAAAUUCCUAAGCAAGGAAAAAAAAAACAUAAUAUAAAUAAAACUGCUAUUCAUCAAUGCUACAAACGGCCAAAAAACUUUCAUUCACAACUUUUUCUCACAUAUAGACGCAAACAGCAGUAUUUCCAAUAAAACAAACACUUAUAAUAAAAUAAAAUCUAAAUAAAACAAACCCAGCCAUAAUCUCCUUACAUUAAAAAAAAAAAUCAGAACAUUACAGUCGAAAUAAAAACUCCACUAUUAUCAUAACACUAAAAUCCUCAAACAAAUUACUCUAUCGGCAAAACAAUUACAAGCAUAAAAUCCUCUACUCAAUCCAAAAUCGAGACAGUGUUCAACACGACAAUCAGUGGAAGCCACCACGUGAAUGUUAGCCUCCUAAGCACCACGAGUAGAGAACACCAAGUGAAGAGUAGACUUGUGAGGAAUUUCAUAGUCUUCAAUAGUGCGACCAUCCUCAAGAUGCGUACCAGCAAAAACCAACCUUUGCUCGUUCGGUGGGAUUCCUUCCCUAGACAGAAUUUCUUCCUUCACGUUCUCGAUGGUAGCAGAACCCUCCAACACCAGAGUAAUGGUAUUCCCUCUCAAAGUUUCCACAGAUAUUUCCAUUCUUCCCCUCCACCUCAUCACCAACUGAAGGGUUGACUCCUCCUGGAUGUAAUAAUCUGCAAGAGUCCGACCAUCCUCAAGCUGUUUACCAGCCAAAAUCAACCUCUGGUCAGCCAGUGGGAUCCCUUCCUUAUCUUGAAUUUUCGCCAUGACAUUGUCGAUGGUAUCAGAACUCUCCACCUCCAGAGCUAUGGUCUUUCCAGUAGGAGUUUUCACGAAAAUUUGCAUUCCACCGCCAAGCCUGAGCACCAAAUGAGGGAUAGACUCCUUUUGAAUAUUAUAAUCGGCAAAAACAUUGUCUGGGGGAACACCCUCCUUGUCUUGAAUCUUAGCCUUGACAUUGUCAAUAGUAUCAGAGCUUUCAACCUCAAGACUGAUUGGCUUACUAGUGUCAGUGCUCUCAGCUUUCGCGGAGAUCUUCAUCUGUUAGGGGGAAAAAAUGAAACAAAAAAAAAAAAGCCAAAGCCGAUCAGAUCUAAUCAAAUUCAAAUCUUUAAACCCAAAAUUGCCAGCACAAAUACCAAAAGAUAAAUAAUCGGAAUUGCUAGCCAAACAAAAAACUGUAAUCCCUCAACCUCGAUCAAUGUUAACCAUUAGAUAAUGCUAAGCUGUGACCAUAUACCAGCUAAUUGAAUGUAUAAUAGUCAGUCACAUUUAGCAGCAGCUAAUUGAUUGUAAUAAGUAGAUAGUUAGUUGGUUAUGAUAGUAGUUAAUUACUUAGCAUCGCUGAGGUGGCAAGGUGGUUAAAGGCGGUUACUUCUUAAUUCAUUGAUAAAAUAAGUAACAGCAAGGGAAGGCAAUUAAGAAAGCUAGUGAAAAAGAAACAUCACUUAUCAAUAUAGUACAAUUCCUUUAUUAUUGUAACCUUUCCUAUAACUCUCCUUGAUUAUCAAUAUAGUACAAUUCCUCCUCCCUAUUCCUCGACGGACAUUCUCCGUUAACUGGAAUUGGGAAUUGGGAUCUUCACUACCUUUGCAUCACAAAACAAUUUAGAUUGUCAAAGAAGGAAAGAUUACCUUUUGAUGGCAGAAUUUGAGAGAAGAUUGAUGAAGAAGAAGAUGGGUAGAUUAACGAGUGAGAAGUGAAGCUGAGAGACGCCCCUAUGGAUAUGCUAGUAUAUUAAAAAGAGGCUAAAGAGGUACUGUUGUCAGCACUGUUGAUUGUCAGAGUGUUAAUUUCGUCCCCUUUUCAUUACGCAGAACCAACACGCAACGCGGUGGUAUGUGCAAUGGAAACUACUCCGGCGUUGCUUGUGCGGUGGGUGGAAAGUGGGAUGAACUUCCUACCGAUGAAGAAACACAAAUGAAGCAUUUCCAUUCAUGUACACCUUCAACGAUCACAGCCCUUAAAUCAGUGGUUUUGAACUUUUAGCAAAACAACAAUGGAAACUUCGGUUUGCUUCUAAGGUGGAAAGUGGGAUGAACUUCCCACCGUAGGCAGAAAGCCAAUUAGAAGUACAGUUAACUUCGGUUGCUUCUACGGUGGGGUGGAAAGUGGGAUGAACUUCCCACGAAUGUAGCACACAAAUGAAGCAUAUCCAUUCAUUUACACCUUCAACGAUCACAGCCCUUAAAUCAGUGGUUUUGAACUUUUAGCAAAACAACAAUGGAAACUUCAGGGUUAGUUCUAAGGUGGAAAGUGGGAUGAACUUCCCACAGUCGGCAGAAAGCCUCUUAGAAGUACAGUUGCUUCUUCGAUGGAAAGUGGCAUGAACUUCCACUUUUUUUCCAAAAAAAAGUCCCAGUUGUGUCGAACUUUCUAUUUUUGGAAUGGAAUAUUUACGAAAUCUCCAUGAAUAGGAUCAACCCCUACUCCAUGGGAUUUACAUAAGGUUCCUCUUUAAAUUAAAAAACUCCUGAUAGGGUUUAAUUGAUCCAUGAUUUAUGUUUUAUCUUUCGAUUGGAAACUAGGAAUAGACGGACUUUCUAUAGGACCUAUUUUACUAAUGGGAUUCAUCACCACUUUAACGACUUUAGCAACUUGGCCAUUUACAGGAUUCUCGAUGAUUUAAUUUCCUAAUGUUAGCGAUGUACAGCGCUCAAAUAGGAUUAUUUUCUUCUCGGAACCUUUUACUUUUUUUUCAUCAUGUGGGAGUUAGAAUUAAUUCCUGUUUAUCUACUUCUAUCUAUGUGGGAUGGAAAGUGGGAUGAACUUCCUCUUUUUUUCUAGACAUGAUAGACCUACUCUUACUCUAUAUUAAGGGAAUGGGAAACCUAAAGAGAUCUAAGAAAAAUUCGGAAAGAACUGAAUCACCACUCAUUCAUCUAAAUCUCAAAUAAAAUUUUAAAACUCUUUUAGUAGCUAACUACUCUAGGAGUAGUUGGUUGGGAUAAACUUCCCACUGUAGGCAGAAAGCCUUUUAGAAGUAAAACUCAGCACGAGCAUUUGUGUCCAUAUUUUUGCGGCCCAAUUGAGAGAAGGUAACUGGCAAAGGCUGUUACCAUCUUAAGGAGCUUAGCAAAUACCUAUAUGAAUUGGAUUGGGUCGUUAAAUGAAUAAAGAAUGUCCCAAAUAGGGCAAUGGGUAAAAGUCAUUAUUAAUUUGAAGCCAGAAUUUUUAGGUUGGGAAAAAAACUUGUAAGUAAUAAACUUGUUAUUCGAUGAGUAUCAUUUAUAGAAUUAUAUAGUUGUAGUGUAUUUCCUUUUUGUUUCUACUUUUUUCUUGAUUAUCUAGUCUUAAAUUAAGUUUCUUUAUCAACAAGGUCAUCCUUAAUGAUGAUUUUGUUGAAACAAUGAUAGCAAUAAAUUAUAUUAAACAGAAUGAGGAAGUUUUGUAUUAAAUAAGAAUUAAUCUUUGCACUCUAGUUUCGAGCGCUUUAGACAAGAUGACAAAAGCAAGUUUUUCCAUUAGUCAGCUUGUUUUUUCUUGGAUUUCCAUUGAUGAUGAGCCAUCAUCAUCAUCAUCAUCUUCUCUUUUAAACUUGAUGGUUGUUUUGCAGUUGCACUGAUCUUUGCCAUAGGCAUCAAGGAGAAUGAUGUUAGAGGAGAAUUUGUCACUAUUAUGUGUUUGAAGGAAGAAAACUGGAGGUGGGAUUUUGUGAGAAUUAAGAAAAGUUGGAAUCGGUUGGGAGGAUAGAGUAAGUUUAGUUUGAGCAAGAAAAAGGUUGGGUUUGCUGCUAUUGUUGUGCCACCAUAGGAUGAAAUUAAAGUUAGUUGUUCUUGUAGUUUUGAGGGGUUUUAGGCAAAAAGACAAGGGAAGAGGUUGAUGAACGAAGAGUUUCAACUAUAAAGCUGUACAAUACUUGACCAUAGUGGAAUAGAUGUGCUCUAUUGAACUAUUUGGCUUGGAUUAGAUUGGACCGUACUCUUACUGGAUCUAAUCAAGAUUGAUUCUUUGUUUCAAAAAGAAAAAGAAAUUAAAUCAGUGUGAUGCUUGAUUAGAUAUUCGACUCAAUCAGCAACUUGAUUCAUCAUGUUUCAAAAAGGCAGAGAUAGGCUUACAAGGGUCGUCCGAUUACAUACUGUACAUCAUUGUACUCCCUGGUAAGCUUCUUCUUUUUUUUUCCGGAAAUGAUAGAAGUUUUUAUUUCUACAAAUAGAGAAAUUACACUAUUCGAGCAAAGGCUCAAGUUUUUCUUUACAAAAGUGUACUGAGACACUGAGGAUCGAAGAAUUCCUCAUCAAAAUGUAAAUGCAUUGCCUGCUUACUCAGUUUAUGACUGAGACAAUUAAUGCUAUGAUUAGCGGACUGAAAAUCAAAUGAGCAUAUCGUAAACAUUAAGCUAAGAUCUGUUAUGUAUUGUAUGUGGGCUGCUAGUAGCAUGUUACAAGAAACUUGACCGUUGAGAAGCUUGUAAACCUGAAGGCUUGGUGUCUGAAGUUUGAUACUGAAGCAGCCACGUUCCAUAAGCUUGCACAGUGCUAACCGUAUGGCCACAAGGUUGUCUAGUAUUGGUGAUCCGGUGCUUCUUUCUUUCAUCAGCCACACUGCACUUAGUUGAUGCAAUCUGUUUUCUGCUGUAAUGCCGAUUCCCAUGUUCAAACCCUCGAGAUGCUGUCCCACAUGUACACUAAUGGUCAGUGUGUUUGUAUCUUCGACCACCCUCUGCUCUUGUACAUCCGCUAUAUCUGUUUCUGAGAUGCUCACUUGCUGUUCAGGCUGUUGAGAUUUCAAAUAUUCCUCCCAUUCCAUAACUACCUUUGUAAUCACUUUCAUUGGAUGUCUCUCUUUGUCUUCGAACUCUACUGUAUUCCUGGCUUUCCAAAUUUGCCAAAGAAUGUCCACUGUCAAUGCUAUAUGUUCCCUUCCUUCCUUCCUAUCUGUGACUUCCAUUAGUGUACUCCACCAUUUCCUGAAGUCGCUUGUAAACUACUGCAGACCAUCCCAUUGCAAUGGAGCCAUCUUCCAGAUCAUCCUUGCAGUCCUGCAGUGGAAGAAAAUGUGCUCCACUGUCUCACUGUUCUCACCACAUUGCUUACACAUUAGGUCUCCCUUUCCCGUUCUCCGAAAGAUUGCCUCUCGACCUGGUAGCACUUGAUGCAGGCACUUCCAUAAAAAUACCUUGUGUUUGUGCUUUACUGGAAGACCCCAUAGCUGUUUCCAGAUUUUGCCAUUUCCCCCUGACCAGCUUGUUUCCCCCUUGCCGUUCAAUUGCACUAUAGGCUGCGUGGUAAGACUUGUGAGUGCUGCAUAUGCCGAGCUGACUGUGUAGUUUUCUUUUUUGGUAUGAGACCAAAAGUAGCAAUCUAGUCUCCCUGUCAAGCUUAUAGGUGUUCUGAGUAUAUGAGCAGCUUCGUGUGAACUAAAGAGCCUGAAGAUGAGAGUUGAUUUCCACCUAAAGUUGGCUAUCAAUUCACUAACUGUUGUGAUAUUGCAACCAAGGGGUUUUGAAGAUUCAAUCUUACCGUCCUUUCCUUCCAACAACCAAGCAUCUUCCCAAAUUCUGGUGUUGUUCCCAUUUCCAAUCUGUUUCCUAGCUCCGCAUUGCACCACCUCUCUUGCGGACAUCAAACUUUUCCAUAUCCAUGAUGCAUUACCUUUGAUUUCGUAGUUGAAGAGGGUUGUUUUGGGGUAGUACCUUGCUUUCAAAACUUUGCUAAGCAAAAGGUUGGGGCAUGUGAGGAGCCUCCAAAUCUGUUUGCCUAGCAAAGCUUUAUUAAAGCUUUGAAGAUCUUUGAAGCCAAGACCACCAGCUUGUUUUCCAGUUGACAAUGUCUUCCAUGAAACCCAAUGCACUUUCGUUUGACCGUUCUCCUGCCCCCACCAAAAUCUUGCCAUCAAAGAGUUGAUGUCUUUGCAUAACCUCACGGGCAGCUUAAAACAUGACAUGGCAUAAGUUGGCAUCGCCAUAAUAACAGCCUUCAGCAACACCUCUUUCCCUGCUUGGCUAAGCUGUGUAUUUCUCCAGUUGAGGAUUGAUUUUUGGCAUCUGUCUUUAAUAAAUCCAAAGAUUUGCAUUUUGGUUCUUGUGAUUACCAUUGGCAAACCCAAAUACUUCCCCUGUUUCACCACUUUAACCUGUUGUAGACUGCUGCAAAUUUCUUCUUGUACUUGUUUCGCCACAUUUUUGCUGAAGAAAACUGAAGAUUUUUCCAUGUUGAUCAUCUGUCCGGAUCCUUUUUCAUAUGUUUGCAGAAUUUUCAUCACUUCUUGAGCUUGCUUCUUAUCGGCUUUGCAAAAAACUAACGAGUCAUCGGCAAAGAAGAGGUGAGUUAGUGAAGGUCCGGUUCUACUAAUCUGCAUUCCAGUCAAUUUUUGCUUCUUUGUGCCUAAGCCAGCAAGUUGAAAAAACCUUCGGAUACUAGUAGAAACAAGUAAGGCGACAAUGGGUCUCCUUGUCUAAUCCCUCUUGACGGUAUCAUAUAUCCUUUAAGCUCACCAUUUAUGUUGAAGGAAAAAGAAACUGUUGAGAUGCAUUCCAUUAUCCAGUUUAUCCAGGUAUCACAAAAACCCAUUUUAACCAUGAUUGCCUUCAGAUAUCCCCACUCAACCCUGUCAUAAGCUUUAGACAUGUCUAACUUUAGAGCCAUAAACCCAUUAGAUCCUUCACUUUUGUUUUUUAAGUAGUGCAAGUACUCAUGAGAGAUAAUAACAUUGUCCAAAAUCUGUCUUCCAGGUAUAAAAGCAGCUUGGUUUUUGCUAAUGCAGUUUCCCAAAAGUUUUUUCAAUCUGUUUGCUAGGAUUUUGGAAAUGGUUUUAUAGAGUACAUUACAAAGGCUUAUAGGCCUAAACUGCUUAACCUCAGUGGGAUUAUCGACUUUGGGAAUGAGUGAUGUGGUUGUGUGAUUCAAAGCCUUUAACAUAUAACCCGAAUGAAAGAAACUUUUGAUUGCUGAAAUGAUGUCAUUUUUAAGAAAUUGCCAAUAUUUCUGAAAGAAAAUUGGUGUCAUGCCAUCAGGUCCCGGGGUUUUGGUUGGAUGCAUAGAGAAAAGUGCAUCUUUAAUUUCUUUUUCCAUGAUUGGUUGGGUAAGAACAGUGUUCAUGUGAUCCGAUAUUGACUGUGAUAUUCCCUCCAGAACCAACUCAGUUGGGGUACCUACCUUGCUAGUAAAAAGCUUGUUGUAAUGUUUAACAACUUCUUCUCCUAUUUCCUCCUCAGAUGUGGUCCAAGUUUUGUCCUCCCUUUGUAUUCUUUGCAUUUUAUUUCUCUUCUUCCUACCUUUAACACUAGAGUGGAAAAAAUGAGUGUUUUUAUCCCCUUCCUUCAACCAUUGCACUCUAGAUUUUUGACUCCAAAAGAGUUCCUCUUCAUCAUAUGCCUCCUUUAAUUUCCUCUUGAGCUCCUUAGUAGUAGCCUUUUUGUUUUCGCAAUCCUGUCCUUGAAGGUCUAGCAUUUGUUUUUUCAGGCCAUCAAGCUUGCUUCUAGAGUUGCCUUGGAAGGUAUUUUUCCAUUUCAAAAGAGCCACUCUGCAAUUCGCAAUUUUCCUAUGCACUUUGAACAUAUUCGAACCAGUUUGUGCCUCCUCCCAAGCAUGCUUUAUGACUUGUUCCACCCUCUCUUUUUUCAUCCAUCUCUUAUCAAAAAAGAAUCAUUUUUUUUCUUAACCUGUAUAGGAUUGGAGUCUAUUAACAACAUACUAUGGUCUGAUCCCAGGGUCUCAAUGUGUUUGACUAUGGUUCUGUCGAAAAUCUGGCUCCAAUCAUGACUUACCAAGGCUCUAUCUAAUCUUUGCUUUAUUUCCCCUUCAUGAGACCAAUGGUUACUCCAAGUCCAGGGGUUACCUUCAAAUCCAAUGUCUAUGAGUCCAUUAUGUUCAAUGAAGUUGUUAAAAUCUUGGAAUGACCCCUGCUCUCUUUUCCUACCUCCCCACUUUUCCUCAUUUGAGGUAAUGUCAUUGAAAUCACCUGUGAUGAUCCACUUAUGACCCCAUAAUACCUUUCUUCGUUGCACCACUUCCCAUUGCUUCCUCCUAAUUUGAUCAUCAGUACUAGCAUAAAUGCCAAUGAACCACCAUUCCUCAUUCUUUUCUGUAUCCUUGAUCUGAAAUUCCAUAGUGAAAGCCGUAGUUUUAAUGUCCAUCACUAUCACCUCAUCGUUCCACAAAACCAUCAUGCCACCUGCUUUAUUCAUAGACUCCACCACUUCACAUUGAUCAAAUCUUAAUUGUCUUCUUAUCCUUUCCAUGAACUGUAAUCUGUUUUUGGUCUCACUUAAGAACACCAUAUGUGGGGAGAGGAGGUUGCAAGCCUCCCUCAACUGGGGAAUUAUCAAGGGGCUCCCAGCACCUUGGCAAUUCCACACCAGAGCCUUCAUUUAUCCAUGGGUGACCAGAUUAGGCUGGUCACCACCCCUUCAGCUUUGCUCACAGAGAUCUCUUGAUCAGUCCCCAAUUUUCCUUUUUUUGCCACUAUUUCAGUCACUUCAACAUCGAUCAUAUCCUCAUCCAGCAGCUGCACUUUCCUUUUCCCUGUGGCCUGUUUACUUGGCUUUUGUUUCUGACUCCCUUUGUGUGAUUUCCUGAUUAUUAGUGGAGUAUUCAACUUGCUUCUUGUGCGUGUAGAUCUUUUGUGGUUGCACCUUUCCUCCCCCUCCUCUAGUUGAGCCUCCACUUGCUUGUUCUCCACUUCUACUUCCUUAGAAGAUUGUUCCACCGACUUUUCCAGCACUACAUUGAGCUGGCCUCCACACAAUCUCGUUUCAAACUGUAGUUGCGCCUGCUUUGCUUUGUCAUCUUUGUCAUUUACCUGAUUGACAUCUGCUGUUUGCCCAUGUUCCUCCUCAGCUGCCUGGUUCCUCUCUCUUAACUCCGUCUCACUGAACUUUGGAACCAGCUCACCAUCUUUGAAGCCCCAUCUUUUCUUAUUUGGGGAUAUCUCAUUUGCCUGGACAAUCCCAACUGUUUGACCACAUACCGUACUUGUAUUCCCCUCCUCUGCUGCCUGACCCCUCUCACUCAGCUCCUUAUCACUUGGUUUUGGGACCAAUUCUCCCUCUUUGAAACCCCACCUUUGCUUGUUUGGGGAAAUACUAGCAGCCUGUUUCCCUCUCCUUUCCUUCUGAGGCGACAUAUUCCCAACUCUUGCCCUCAUCCAUGGUCCAAAUUGAUUGUGUUGUUGGCCUUUACCCCCUACUAUACUAGCUGAACAAUUUUUCUCGUUGUGUCCAAUUUUACCACUGGUAUAACAGAAAUCAGGUCCUCUUUCAUAUUUGAAGCUUAACCAUUUCAGUUUUCCUUCCAUUUUCACGGUAGUCCCUCUCAUUAAGGGUUGUGAAAUAUCUGCCAUGACUAACAUUUUUAUGUGCCUCCCUUCCUUCCCUCCACUUUGGGGUAUAAUCACUUCCCUUGUUCCAUGAAAAACUGAUGCUAUCUUCCUCCCCACCUCCUUGGAUAACCAGUGAACAGGAAGAUUCCAAAUUUGAAUCCAUAAUGGUGCCAUGUUAAAAUCCGCUCCCUCCUCUUCAAAACCUUCAAACCAUGGUUUAACCACUAUAAUCUGGUUAUCAACAAUCCAUGGCCCUCCCUUGCAAAUCCUUUCUCUAUCUUUCUCGCUGGGUAUGAAAAAUUGAAAUGUGUUAACACCAACCUCCACCACCCUUAAUCCUUUAGGAUAACCCCAUGCUACUGUCACAAAGUUUCGCACUCCCACAUAAUUGAUGAUUUUCUCACCCAUUAUCUUUCCCACUAGACUUUCUUUACACUCCUUUACACUUGGGCCUACAUCUCCUAAGUCAAUCUCUGUUUCACCCCUCUCUUUGGUGGAAAGAUCAAAUCUUUGCAGAAUUUCAGUUAUUUCCUCAGCCAUAUGUCCUCGACUAUGAUUCAAUAAGGGAAUAUCACAGAAACAAAACCAGUUGAGAGAAUGGGACAGCAACAAAGAUGGACUAACCACAACGUAACACACAAAUAUCAAAGUUUGCCACUGUGAUGUUCCACUGAGGUUAAAGGUUCAGGAUUAUUCUGUCUCAGAAACUAACCCGAAAGACCAAACAUACUGCAUUAGUCUACCAACUAGAAAAACACAACGACCUAUAACCUUGAAACUCCAGAAGAACUGGAAACAGCCCCCACUUUUUUUAAUAAAAAUUUCUUCCUUUUUUUUUAAAGCAUUUUCUAUUUUCAGAAAUUAAAUUUUUUUUUUCCAAAAAACACCAGGAAAAAGAACUCUGAACUUAAAAAGCGAGGAAAGGGCCUAUAACACUAUCCCUCAAGAGUACAUGCAUACCAGAAAGGAUCCUUAAAAAAAGCUUAAAGUUACCUAUCUCAGCUUGGAGAAAAGAAAACCGACAGAGGUAGCAGUGGGGAAUCCGCAAUGUACUACCGCUUUGGCUUCACCAAUCAGAAACUGGGACUAUGAUCUUGUCGGUAUCUCAUUUAUGGUAACCCUCACAAUGUCGGAAGGCUUUUGAACGUUAAAGUGGACGGUCAUUAAUCGGCAAAGGGAUUGUUUCUGGCUUUCAGGUUGUUCCUCUGUUUUAAUACACAAACACCCAAUAAGGGAGAAUGGCACAGUUCCCAAGAGAGAGAAAAAGGGAAAACUCUCAACCGAGAGAAAAUGAGAGAAAAUUUCCCUGGUAAGCAGUGAAAGCGAUCUAAUUAUUUGAUUUUCCUCUUUUUUUAAAAAAACUUUUUUUCCUUUUUGUGUAAAUAAACUAAUUGGUAGUAUAUAUUUUAUCAAAUUUGAAAUUAUAAUUUGUAAAAGAGAAGAACAUGAAAUAGAUGUGUUUGCCGGUUUUGUAUGUCAAGCUUGUUUUGGUGAAGGCAAAAGAAAGUACUACAUAGGGCAAGGGUUAAGAAAAAUGUGAAUAAUAAUAAGAGUAAAUCUUAUAUGCACUGACAAUGUAUACACUAUCACCGUUUGAUUCACGACAUGUGUGCAAAAGUUGAAUUUCAAAAUCAAAUUUUGAAGUGUAUACACUGUCAUUAAUAACAAAAAUGGAGUGUCAUUAAAAUUCUUAAGAAUUUGAAAUUACACUUAAAUUUGGUUAUACAUCCGUUAUAAAUUUAGAAAAGGAACAUUUCCAUGUAUUAAUUUCAAGUAAAAAGUCAGAAUUUUCAUAUAUGAAUAUUAAAAGGGAAAAAGGUCCUAGGGAUUAAGGUUUUGUACGAAUAUUACAAGUUUAGAGGUUAGUCCAGUUGUCUUGUUUGUUAUGGGAUCAAUCAAUGUCGCCUGACCCAUUUCUAAUUUCCAUGUAUAGGUGUCAAGUCCCAUUACUAACUACAAUGGAAUGUAUACUAAGAUUUUAUGGUUAUAAUUUCAAGGUCAAGUUGUCACGGGAGAACUUAGCAAAUUUGGCCAUGGGCAGCAUAAACAAAAUUUGCUUCUGGAUGGGGGAAAGACGUAUUCUACUUUUCAAGCUCCAUGCUGCAUUGCUUUCUUAUUUAUCAGUGUAAUUAGUAUAGGACAAUUCGUUAUUGAAUUUAUUAGACCCUCUUUGUUAUAGUUCUUGUAGUGAGUUCAGAAAAAAAAAUUUAUGUAAUGACAUAUCAACAUGUUGAAAUCCUUAUUUAACCUAAUGCUUGCUAAUUUAACAAAAUAACGCUAGAUAAAAGGAUUUGUGUCUGGAUAGUAAUUUAUGAUCCUUCUAUUAUAACAAAAUCAUGCACAAUGAAAACAUAUAGAUCUCUCUUGAACAAGAAAAUUUUUCUUGUGCUUUCAAUGUUGUUCAUCACUGAUCAAAAUAAAUGUCAAAAUGAAGAUUUGUGCACAGCGGUCAUUCUAAAGCUUAUUUUUAUUUUUUUUAGGGAUAAUUUCAAAAACCUACCCUGAGGUUUUUGGCAAUUUCACUAAGCUCCCCUGAUAUUUGAAAAAUUAAACAUACCUCCCCUAUCAUUUAAAAUGAUAAUUUUACCCUUAAAUGUUUUAAUGAAAUUCUCUUAUUUGGUAUGCUUAUACUUAGAAAUUACCCAAAAGCACUACUAAAAUUAUGAUAAUCCCAUUACACCAAAAAUUUAUAAACUAUAAAUGAAUUAUAUCAACAUUUUCUUUUCUAUCUUAUAAAUUUAAAUCCAUAAUAAAAUAUCAUAAAAAAUAUCGUAUCAUAGUAAUAAAAUUAUUAUUAUUAUAAUUGUUUAUCAAAUAGUAAAUAUGGACAUGAAAAAUUUGGUACAUUUUUCUUAUAAUUAUACUAAAUAAUCUUCUAAUUGUGUAGGGAAAUAAAUUAAAACUCAUUCCAUAAGAGCAUUUUUGGGUAUUCAUUUAAAAAAUUAUCCAAAUCAAUAUUAUUUUAAAAUUUUGUUAUUAAAACUAUCAAAUCAAGGGAUGUAAGUUGUGACAGCCCCACUUUCCCCUAAGGCGAACCAAAGGGGUUAGCGGACUGCCUGCCCAACUCUCGCCAGGACUAACGGUGCAGUUUAGAGCGAUCUAUUGCGUUUCUGAACUUAUAAUGCACGCAAACAAGUCAAACUGGCAAAAUAACCCAAAAUAAAAAAAAAUGAAAUCCGGAGUCGGCCAUGAAUAGUAACCGACCCGUCAGAACCCAACCAAAAAUCAAGCAAACCUUCACAUCUUGAAAUUUAGCAUUUACAAGCCAAAAUGACAUAUGAAAAUUACUCAAAAUUAAUACAUGUACGGUUGCCAAAAUAAAAGUGAAAACGGCCCCAAUGGCACAUUUAGGAUUUCAAUUCAUAAACUAUACAAAAGGGAUAUUCAUCUAGUUCAUUCGGCAACCAAUUAUCAAAAGUCAUUCCAAAAGCAGUCAGAUUCCUGUAAGGAAAACAAAAGGAACGGGGUGAGCUAAUUGCCCAGUGAGAAUACUAUCACUCAAGCCACCAAGUACAUAUAAGCAUCAAGCUUUUCAUUCAAUAUAUUAAAAGUAAACAAAGGCACACAUCACAUGUGGUGAUAAAAGGAUACGAGUGGCUCUCAAGAGCCCUUUUCCCUCGUUUGCAUUUCUUGAUCGAAUUUCAUUGACUCUCCGUCAAUUCAAAAGUAACCAACCGUAGACUCCACUUUACUUCCAUUCCUUCCACCCAACAUACCCCUACCGGGCCCGAACUCCAAACACUUGCACUUUGGUAUUACUCGAGUAAACCGGAAUCGAGAGUCUCUCAUACUACAAGAUUCCAUAUAACAUUUUCCCAAGGCACAUCAAUUGGCACGACCAAGCCCUCGCCGGCUCGAUUCAAUCAACUACCAAUGGGGUUGAGCUCAAAGAUAACAAUUGUAGUCGUUGGAUACUCGUCCAAACGACACCAAACCAUGUACUUUCAUUUCAUGAAACAUGUCGUAUAACAUUCCAAUAACAUGGUAAACAAUAAGUGAGAGUGAUAAAGUACGCUCUCACUUCAAUCAAUUCACAUUCAAUUCACUUCAAGCAAUUCACAUUCAAAGCCAUAUAGUAACACACAAGUGAGUAGUACACUCACCAAGCUUGCAAAUGAGGUUUCAUGCACUUCCGUCAAAAGAACGCCGUGCACCAACGUCACGCCCUAAAACAUGCAAACAAGGACAAUGAGACUCGAUAACGAGUCAUAAACCAAUGUCAAAUACGACCCCAAUAGGGUUCCAUAAGCAUAUACAAACAUUAGAGAAAACCAGAAAAUCCGGAAAUGGAUUUAGCUUUGCCCUGAAAAAAAUAGUUUUUGACCUCUUUUUGCGGUAAUGGCACCCAAGGCACUACGAUUAUCGGAUGAAGGUGUAAGAUACACCGUUUCGAAGCUAAAAGGCAGGGCUACAACAUUGCAGAAGGUCACUCAACCCAGUUUCAAGUGUAACCAGGUCAAAAAUGCAAGAUACUACACCAGAAUCACAAAAACAGAUUCACAGAACGCAUUCUAGCGGAAACAUCAUAAAUCAGGCUAUCCAAGUCCAAAUCCAGAAAUUAUAAAACCAGCUGAAAGCUAAGAAAAAGGGCUACAUUUCAUUAGAAGGCCUCAACAACCAAUUCCGAAGAAAUUCCAACCAAAACAAUCAAUUACAGGCGCAAUUUUUACAUUCGGAUAAAACCAGGACAGCAAGGGUAAUUUCGACGUUUCUCAUCCUACACUACUCCGAUUGACCUAAAAUUUUGUAGGCGCCUCUAAAAUAUCAUUCCCUACAACUUUCAUGUUUUAAGCCAAGGCCAAUUUAGCCUCUAACUAGGAGCUACAAAACCGGGCAGAAUGUUCCCAAGAAAACCCUAACUUUCUACAAUGCCUUCCAAACCAGAAAUUGGUUGCAAUUAUCCACUUUUUCCACCUUCUAGAGUCAUUAUACAUCAUUUCCAAUCAUCAUAGAUAGCCACACAAUCAUGUUCAUAUUAAAACAGAAAAUCACCAAUAAAUAAAAAACUUCCCUAAUUCAACCACAAAUCAAGAUGUAAUCCAUAAAGUUUCAUCACAUACCACCACUAAUCAUAAAUUAGGCAUCAUUAGUGGAAGGAAAGUGGUUCUUCACAACUCACCUUAGAAACAAGCGAGAGAGAGCAAUAGAUCCUCUUAGCUUUCCAAAUAACUCCACAAAUCAACUCACUAACACUUCUUUAAGUGUUUCUAUGGAGCAAAAACAAAAUCUAAUGGUUGAUUUAGAAGAUUGAAGCAACUUGGAGAGUUUUCUUUCUUUCUUUCUUGAGAGUAAGAGCCGGCCACUAGAGAAGAGAAAAUGGUGAAAUUUUGGUUAAUUUUGUGAUUUAUUUGGUCAAAUAGAAAAAGGUGAAUAGUGGUCUUAUGUAAGAACCAAUCCUAUGGUGACACUUGUCACCUCAUUUAAUGCUUGCCUAACUUUUGUCUCCCUCAUACCAAUCCACUUAGCAUCUUCUACUUAUCUCUUAACACCCGAUAAAUUAAUUACAGUAUCCAAAACUUAACGUAGUUGGCCGAAUUUUUUUGAACUUUUCGCACUAGUGGGUCCCACGUCCGGUAUACGCUCUUAAUUUCUCAAAACCUAUUCGAUACUAGAAAAAUCAUCUAAAAACUAUAUCUGCUCCUUAAAAAUAUCUAGAAAUUUUUUCUACUCACGAAAAUGCAGAAAACAAGCCAUGAAAAAUAAUAAAACCUAGAAAAUGGAAAAUUAUGGGUUCUCACACUCUCUCCCCCUUAAAAGAAUUUCGCUCUCGAAAUUUCUCACCUAACUCACGAAAAGUUCAGGGUAUUUCUUUCGCAUCUCCUCUUCCACUUCCCAGGUAGCUUUCUCUACCCCAUGAUUUUUCCACAGUAUCAUUACUAACGAAAUUUGCUUGUUUCUUUAUUCUUUGACUUUUCGGUCAAGCACUUGGACAGGUUUCUCUUCGUAAGCAAGCGAUUCGUCUACGUCAAUCUCUUCUGGUUGUAAGAUAUGGGAGGGGUCGGGAUAGUACAUCUUGAGCAUCGAGACGUGGAAAACGUCGUGAAUUCGAGAGAGACUUGACGGCAGCUCUAGUCUCUAUAUGCUACCGCGCCUAUCCUCUGCAGGAUCUUGUAAGGUCCGACGAACCUCGGUUGCAAUUUCUUUCCUCUACCCGCCGUGACACUCCGUAAUGUUGUAACCUUGAGGAAAACACGGUCUCCAACUUCGAACUCCAAAUCUUUUCUUCGAUUGUCCGCAUAGCUCUUUUGUCGGCUUUGAGCUGUUUGGAGUCGUUGUCGUAUCAAUUUCACCUUUUCUUGAGCUUCCUCCAUCCAAGGAAUAGUGGUUGGAUCCAGUGCCUUCCUUUCGCCAACUUCAUCCCAGUAGAUUGGUGAUCGGCUUUUUCGUCCAUAUAGUGCUUCAUAUGGAGCCAUUUGAAUCGACGAAUGGUAGCUAUUGUUGUAUGCAAACUCUACUAAGGUCAUGUGUUGACCCCAGUUGCCUCCAAAAUUCAGAAUGCAAGUUCGUAGCAUGUCCUCGAGAGUUUGAAUGGUUCGUUCCGAUUGUCCAUCCGUCUGAGGGUGAUAGGUCGUACUCAAGUUGAGUUUCGUCCCCAGGGUUUCUUGGAACUUUUGCCAAAACCGUGAUACGAACGGUGGAUCUCGAUCGGAGACGAUACUGACUGGAACGCCGUGUAGCUUUACAAUCUCGUCCAUGUACAGUUGAGCCAAUUUGUCCAUGGAGUACUUCAUGUUUACUGGCAAGAAAUGGGCUGAUUUGGUUAAUCGAUCGACGAUCACCCAAACGGCAUCGUGCUCUCUUUGCGCUCGCGGCAAACCUGAGACGAAAUCCAUGGUGAUGUUUUCCCACUUCCACUCGGGUAUCUCAAGGGAUUGUAACAAGCCCGAUGGUUUUUUAUGCUCUACUUUAACUUGUUGGCAAACGAGACAUUUUUGCACGUACAGAGCAAUUUCCUUCUUCAUAUUGUCCCACCAAUAGUUUCCUUUCAGGUCUUGAUACAUCUUACUACUACUCGGAUGGAUUGUAUACUUGGAUCGAUGAGCUUUCUCUAGAAUCUCCGUUUUCAACGAUUCAUCCUUCGGCACCACUAUUCGGUUUCGGUAUUUUAAAAUACCCUCAGGACCAAAAUUGAAAUCAGUGGUUUCUCCUUUUCCCACUUUCUCUCCUCAUUUCUGCACCAGUGCAUCUUCCUUUUGAGCUUCUUUAAUCCUUUCCAAGAAGGUGGAAGUCACUUUAAUAUUGCCAAAAAUCACCUUAUGGCUCCCAAGGCAGGGUUUCCACUCGCAAACCGACUAGAGCAAAUUUCACUCUUUAAUCAUUAAUCCUGCUACUUGCGCCUUGCGACUUAAAGCAUCGGCCACUACGUUUGCCUUUCCGGGAUGGUAGUUGAUAGUACAAUCGUAAUUCUCCAGAAAUUUCAUCCAUCGUCGCUGCCUCAUGUUCAAUUCUUUCUGUGAGAAAAGAUACCUCAAACUUUUGUGAUCGGAGUAAACCUCGAAGGUUACCCCAUAUAGGUAGUGUCUCCACUUUUUAAGAGCGAAAACAACGGCAGCUAGCUCCAGAUCAUGCGUCGGGUAAUUUUGCUCGUGAGGUUUCAACUUCCUAGAGUCAAAAGAGAUCACAUUACGGUUCUACAUUGGUACACAACCCAGACCUUCUCGUGACGCAUCGGUAUACACGACAAACCCGUCACCUCCGUUAGGUAAAACUAGAACUGGAGCCAUGGUCAAUCUUUUCUUUAACUCUUGAAAACUUGUCUCACUUCGGGCGUUCCAUAAGAACCGACCAUGUUUCUUCGUCAAAUCGGUUAGAGGACCGGCUAGUUUGAAGAAGUCCUUGAUAAAAUGCCGGUAAUAUCCAACCAGUCCUAGAAAGCUGCGGACCUCUGUGGGGGUUUCUGACCUCUUCCAAUUAGUCACAGCCUCUACUUUCGCCGGGUCAACUGAAAUACCCUCUUGAGAAAUUAUGUGUCCCAAAAAAGCAAUUUUCUCCAGCCAAAAUUCGCACUUGUUGAACUUGACGUACAGUUGAUGGUCUCUUAGGGUUUGUAAAACAACCCUCAAGUGCUGCUCAUGCUCUUCACGCGUCUUGGAAUAGACCAGGAUGUCAUCGAUGAAGACCACUACAAAUCGAUCCAGGUAGGGCUUUAAAACCCUAUGCAUUAGGUCCAUGAAGGCGGCAGGAGCAUUGGUCAGUCCGAAGGGCAUAACUGCGAACUCGUAAUGCCCAUAUCUCGAGUUGAAGGCAGUUUUUGAAAUAUCCUCCCUCCUGAUUAAUAACUGGUAAUACCCUUGUCGGAGGUCCAAUUUUGAAAAGACCACUGCUCCGUGCAGCUGGUCGAACAACUCAUCUAUGUGGGGCAGUGGAUACUUAUUUUUCACUGUAAUAUUAUUCAGGCCCCAAUAAUCGAUACACAUCCUUAACCCACCAUCCUUUUUCUUCACAAAAAGUACAGGAGCUCCCCAAGGAGACCCACUCUCUUGAAUGAAUCCCCGCUCCAGAAGGUCCUGUAAUUGUAACUUUAGCUCCUUGAGCUCAGCAGGAGCCAUUCGGUAUGGUAUUUUUGAGAUAGGUGAGGAUCCUGGUAGCAGGUCUAUUUUGAAUUCAAUUUCUCUUUCCGGAUGUAAGGCUACUAACUCAUCAGGAAACACGUCCGGAAAUUCCUUCACUAUGGCCACAUCCUCUACCUUCACUUUAUCUGCGGGGUUGUUAAUCAAAAAGGCCAAAAAUCCUUGCGCCCCUCUACUUAGAAAUUUCCUAACCCGAAUGCCCGAAAUCAAAGCAGAUGAGGCUAAUCGACCCCUUAUAUCCAACCUUAAGGUCGCCUCACCAGGAAUGCGAAAUUCUACCACUUUUGUUUUACAAUCCAGUUGGGCAUUGUACCUGGCUAGCCAAUCCAUACCCAAUAUUACAUCAUACCCCUUAAUUACCAAGCUUAUCAAGUCCCCUAAUAAUCUCUUCUCUCCUACCCACACUUCACAAUCCCUAUAAAUCAUACUAGUAACCAAACGUUGAUUCCCCGUAGGUGUACUAACUUCUAGGUCGUAUGGUAAACUAGCAGGUUUUAUAUCGAUGUCACACAUGAAAUCAGGGUUAACAAAGGAAUGAGUGGCACCAGGAUCAAUUAAAACUUUGGCAAAACGGUGGAAAAUAGGGAUCGUACCUUCUACGACCUCUGAGGAAUCUGGGACCUGUUGAGGUUCUAAGGAAUAUACUCGAGCUGGCACCUUAGGUUUCGCCUCAUUCCCCUUAUUCGGUCCCGAAUUGGUCUUUGGCGUGGUUUGAGUUCCCCUUCCGUCUUGCUUUAAGAGUGGGCAGGUAGCAAGCUGGUGGUCUGCGCUUCCGCAACGCAGACAUUUGCCUCGUUUCUUCCAGCAAUUUUCUUCGGAGUGAUUCUGCUUUCUGCAGUAACCACAGGGCCCGCGAGACGCCGAACCUGAACCCUUUUGGAAGUUUCCGCCUUGGCCUCUCCCGGCUGGGCCACCCCUAGACUGAGCCCCUCUGCCGGAACCUAACUGUCGUCCACCUCCAGCUCCGCAUCCGAACUUGGAGGGAGUACCUUUAUCCCCUUGUCCAGAGCUGCUUCCAGGAAAGCCCCGCUUCUUCGCCUGGAAGUUCCGGACUUGCAAUCGAGCACUCUCUACCCUUUGAGCCUUUUCUACGACCUCGCUAAAAGCAUUAAUUUGAGCCACUGCGAGGUCCUUCUGGAUUUCGACGUUUAGGCCCUGAAUGAAACGCCUAAUUCGCCGUUGCUCCGUCAUGAUCAGCUCAGGCGCAAAUUUAGACAGGCGGGUGAAUUGACUCUCGUAUUCCGCCACUAAUUGAGCCCCUUGGCGGAGUCGAAUAAAUUCAUCUUCCUUCCUCUCCUGAACUAGAGGAGGGAAGAAUUUCGCGUUGAAUUCCCUAAUAAAAUUCACCCAAGUCCUGGGCGUUUGUUCUCAUUCCCAUUUUUGUCGUAUCACGUUCCACCAGGAACGGGCCGCCCCUUCUAACUGGAAUACGGCAAAAGUCACCUGCCGUUCAUCGGUGUAGUGCAAGGCCGCAAAAAUAUCGACCAUCUUCUCGAGCCACCUCUCGGCAACAUCUGGAUCGGGCCCCCCAAUAAACUUGGGUGGAGCAAACUUUUGAAAACGUUCGAGAGCUCUGUCUUCGCUCUCGACAUGAUUGCCAGGGUUUUCAGGAUUAGGGUUUGGGUUCUGGCCUUGUUGUUGCACCACUUGUGCGAACAGGUUAGUCAUUUGCUGCAUAGCGGCAGCGAUUUGCACAUUGGGGUCAAGGUUAGGUCCAGAAGAGGUUUCCCCAGUACCCCUAUCCGGUGUGGGUUGUCUAUUACCGCGCUCACGCCCCCGUCCACUACGUGUGCCUUCCAUGAACUUUACUUGGUCUAGACAAAGGUACUAAACCAAUAUAAAACAAUGCAUGUAAGUAAAACUCAAAACCUUUCCAAAUAGAUAUAUACAUUCCAAGCAAGGCAAACAGCACACAUAUUAACAAUCAGUCAAGUCAAGUUCAGUCAAGUCGAGUACAAACAUGGACAAUCCCCAAGGGAAUGGCCUCAACAAAAGAAAUAUACACGUAGCUAAUCUAAACGUACAAAACGAUUAGCGAAGGCCCUUCUCCCUAUCCAUCCUAUAUACAAAACCAACUAUCCAAAACAAACCCUAGAAGUCCUGUCUUAGACCGACGACGAGCUAUUAGACCCACCCGACGGAGUGGAUCCAACCCCAGCCUCAGGCCCCGCACAUGAGUCCUCGCCACUCACGCCCUCGACCACAUCCGUGCAAAGAUUCAAGAUCGAUGCAGCUCGAACCUUCACCUUGCGAGCUCGUUUAGUCUCGCGCUCUUGGACUUCCCUAAGCUGAGCGCAGAGGUCAUCAACCCUAUCCUCUGCCUCAAGUACGUCGUCCUUCAAACCCUCAAUGCGCUCGGCCUGUCUCUCAUUGGCCGCCCUAAGUUGGGUCACCUCGGCCUCAAGUCUCGCAUUCUCUCCGGCCAACUCCUUACGCUCCUCGGCCACGGCAAACACUAGAGCGUUAGGGUAAGUAUACUUAUGUCGACACUCACAACGUCGGAGACGGUUAGACGGGUUCCAACGCAUAACGGCCCCUCCUGGCCGUAUCUGGUAUGGUAUCACGAGGAGCGCUCCACGAGGUCUCUCGCCCGGAGGACUAUCAUUAGGUUCACCCUGUCCGGCCAUCCUACACCAAAAGAGCAAUUAACCAUAAAUAAGCUUAAAGGCCAUAAAUAAAGAACCCUCGAAUCAAGCAUUUCUAUUACUCCCAGGCUAAUUCAAACCUAGGCUCUGAUACCACCUGUGACAGCCCCACUUUCCCCUAAGGCGAACCAAAGGGGUUAGCAGACUACCUGCCCAACUCUCGCCAGGACUAACGGUGCAGUUUAGAGCGAUCUAUUGCGUUUCGGAACUUAUAACGCGCGCAAACAAGUCAAACUGGCAAAAUAACCCAAAAUAAAAAAAAAUGAAAUCCGGAGUCGGCCAUGAAUAGUAACCGACCCUUCAGAACCCAACCAAAAAUCAAGCAAACCUUCACAUCUUGAAAUUUAGCAUUUACAAGCCAAAAUGACAUAUGAAAAUUACUCAAAAUUAAUACAUGUACGGUUGCCAAAAUAAAAGUGAAAACGGCCCCAAUGGCACAUUUAGGAUUUCAAUUCAUAAACUAUACAAAAGGGAUAUUCAUCUAGUUCAUUCGGCAACCAAUUAUCAAAAGUCAUUCCAAAAGCAGUCAGAUUCCUGUAAGGAAAACAAAAGGAACGGGGUGAGCUAAUUGCCCAGUAAGAAUACUAUCACUCAAGCCACCAAGUACAUAUAAGCAUCAAGCUUUUCAUUCAAUACAUAAAAAGCAAGCAAAGGCACACAUCACAUGUGGUGAUUAAAGGAUACGGGUGGCUCUCAAGAGCCCUUUUCCCUCGUUUGCAUUUCUUGAUCGAACUUCAUUGACUCUCCGUCAAUUCAAAAGUAACCAACCGUAGACUCCACUUUACUUCCAUUCCUUCCACCCAACAUACCCCUACCGGGCCCGAACUCCAAACACUUGCACUUUGGUAUUACUCGAGUAAACCGGAAUCGAGAGUCUCUCAUACUACAAGAUUCCAUAUAACAUUUCCCCAAGGCACAUCAAUUGGCACGACCAAACCCUCGCCGGCUCGAUUCAAUCAACUACCAAUGGGGUUGAGCUCAAAGAUAACAAUUGUUGUCGUUGGAUACUCGUCCAAACGACAGCAAGCCAUGUACUUUCAUUUCAUGAAACAUGUUGUAUAACAUUCCAAUAACAUGGUAAACAAUAAGUGAGAGUGAUAAAGUACGCUCUCACUUCAAUCAAUUCACAUUCAAUUCACUUCAAGCAAUUCACAUUCAAAGCCAUAUAGUAACACACAAGUGAGUAGUACACUCACCAAGCUUGCAAAUGAGGUUUCAUGCACUUCCGUCAAAAGAACGUCGUGCACCAACGUCACGCCCUAAAACAUGCAAACAAGGACAAUGAGACUCGAUAACGAGUCAUAAAUCAAUGCCAAAUACGACCCCAAUAAGGUUUCAUAAGCAUAUACAAGCAUUAGAGAAAACCAGAAAAUCCGGAAAUGGAUUUAGCUUUGCCCUGAAAAAAAUAGUUUUUGACCUCUUUUUGCGGUAAUGGCACCCAAGGCACUACGAUUACUGGACGAAGGUGUAAGAUACACCGUUUCGAAGCUAAAAGGCAGGGCUACAACAUUGCAGAAGGUCACUCAACCCAGUUUCAAGUGUAACCAGGUCAAAAAUGCAAGAUACUACACCAGAAUCACAAAAACAGAUUCACAGAACGCAUUCUAGCGAAAAUAUCAUAAAUCAGGCUAUCCAAGUCCAAAUCCAGAAAUUCCAAAACCAUCUGAAAGCUAAGAAACAGGGCUACAUUUCAUCAGAAGGUCUCAACAACCAAUUCUGAAGCAAUUCCAACCAAAACAAUCAAUUACAGGCGCAAUUCUUACAUUCGGAUAAAACCAGGACAGCAAGGGUAAUUUCGACUUUUCUCAUCCUACACUACUCCGAUUGACCUGAAAUUUUGCAGGCACCUCUAAAAUAUCAUUCCCUACAACUUUCAUGUUUUAAGCCAAGGCCAAUUUAGCCUCUAACUAGGAGCUACAAAACCGGGCAGAAUGUUCCCAAGAAAACCCUAACUUUCUACAAUUCCUUCCAAACCAAAAAUUGGUUGCAAUUAUCCACUUUUUCCACCUUCUAGAGUCAUUAUACAUCAUUUCCAAUCAUCAUAGAUAGCCACACAAUCAUGUUCAUAUUAAAACAGAAAAUCACCAAUAAAUAAAAAACUUCGCUAAUUCAACCACAAAUCAAGAUGUAAUCCAUAAAAUUUCAUCACAUACCACCACUAAUCAUAAAUUAGGCAUCAUUAGAGGAAGGAAAGUGGUUCUUCACAACUCACCUUAGAAACAAGAGAGAGAGAACAAUAGGUCCUCUUAGCUUUCCAAAUAACUCCACAAAUCAAUUCACUAACACUUCUUUAAGUGUUUCUAUGGAACAAAAACAAAAUCUAAUGGUUGAUUUAGAAGAUUAGAGCAAAGAUUGAAGCAACUUGGAGAGUUUUCUUUCUUUCUUUCUUGAGAGUAAGAGCCGGCCACUAGAGAAGAGAAAAUGGUGAAAUUUUGGUUAAUUUUGUGAUUUAUUUGGUCAAAUAGAAAAAGGUGAAUAGUGGUCUUACGUAAGAACCAAUCCUAUGGUGACACUUGUCACCUCAUUUAAUGCUUGCCUAACUUUUGUCUCCCUCAUACCAAUCCACUUAGCAUCCUCUACUUAUCUCUUAACACCCGGUAAAUUAAUUACAGUAUCCAAAACUUAAUCUAGUUGGCCAAAUUUUUCCGAACUUUUCGCACUAGUGGGUCCCACGUCCGGUAUACGCUCUUAAUUUCUCAAAACCUAUUCGAUACUAGAAAAAUCAUCUAAAAACUAUAUCUGCUCCUUAAAAAUAUCUAGAAAUUUUUCCUACUCACGAAAAUGCAGAAAACAAGCCAUGAAAAAUAAUAAAACCUAGAAAAUGGAAAAUUACGGGUUCUCACAUAAGUAUAAUUUUUCAAAUCUUAUGAGAGCUCAGUAAAAUUACCAAAAACCUCAGGGGAGGUUUCUCAAAUUAUCCCUUUUUUUUAACAUUGGAAACUUUAUUACUUCUAUUUGCUCCUACCAUUUAUGCAAUUACUUCGAUACAUAUAAGGCUAUGCUGCAGGUUUAAAUAAUUUAUGCCUAGUUGGGCAUGCUGCAGUUUAUUCCUCGUAGUUCUCUCUCACACGAGCAAAGCCAAUCCCAAAAAACAAGAACUACAAACAGCCCAAUUCAAGGCUAGGUUUAUUCAUUCUUAAACAAGACUAGUUUAUUCUUAAUCAAAACAGUCUUAAAACAAGACUGGGUUUAUUCCUCCUAAGUUCUCUCUGCACACGAGGAAAGCCAAUCCCAAAAAAACAAGAACUACAAACAGCCCAAUUCAAGAGAGUCUUGAAACCAAGACUGUCUUAAACAUGAUGGCAAAGACACACGAGCAAAGCAAACAGAAUUCCCAAAAUCAAGACAAUCAGCGUAUUGUCGUGUUUAGAAGCCACCACGUGAAUGUUAGCCUCCUAAGCACCGCGAGUAGAGAACACCAAGUGAAGAGUCGACUUGUGAGGAAUUUCAUAGUCUUCAAGAGUGCGACCAUCCUCAAGAUGCGUACCAGCAAAAACCAACCUUUGCUCGUUCGGUGGGAUUCCUUCCCUAGACAGAACUUUUGCCUUCACGUUCUCGAUGGUAUCAGAACUCUCCACCUCCAGAGUUAAGGUGUUCCCUCUCAAAGUUUCCACAGAUAUUUCCAUUCUUCCCCUCCACCUCAUCACCAAGUGAAGGGUUGACUCCUCCUGGAUGUAAUAAUCUGCAAGAGUCCGGCCAUCCUCAAGCUGUUUACCAGCAAAAAUCAGCCUCUGGUCAGCCAGUGGGAUCCCUUUCUUAUCUUGAAUUUUUGCCUUGACAUUGUCGAUGGUAUCAGAACUCUCCACCUCCAGAGCUAUGGGCUUUCCAGUAGGAGUUUUCACGAAAAUUUGCAUUCCAUCACCAAGCCUGAGCACCAGAUGACGGCUGGACUCCUUUUGAACAUCGUAAUCGGCAAUGGUCAGCCCAUCUUCCAGCCGUUUGCCAGCCAAAAACAGCCUCUGCUGGUCUGGGGGAAUACCUUCCUUGUCUUGAAUCUUAGCCUUGACAUUGUCAAUAGUGUCAGAGCUUUCAACCUCAAGGCUGAUUGGCUUACCAGUGUCAAAGCUCUCAACCUCGACUGUCAGACCUUUCACGAAGAUCGGCAUCUGUUAGGGGGAAAAACCAAAACAAAAAAAAAAAAAAACCCAAAUCCGGUCAGAUCUAAUCAAAUUCCAAUCCCUCAACCCAAAAUUGCCAGCACAAAUACCAAAAGAUAAAUAAUCGGAAUUGCUAGCCAAACAAAAAACUGUAAUCCCUCAACCCCAAUCAAUGUUAACCAUUAGAUAAUGCUAAGCUGUGAUCAUAUACCCGCCAAUUGGAUGUAUAAUAGUCAGGCAGUCACAUGUAGCAGCAGCUAAUUGAUUGUAAUAGUUAGUUAGUUAUGAUAGUAGUUAAUUACUAAGCAUCGCUGAGGUGGUCAAAAUUGCGGUUACUUCUUAAUUAAUAAUUGAUAGAAUAAGUAACAGCAAGGGAGGGCAAUUAAGAAAGCUAGUGAACUUAUCUCCCCUUUAUUAUUGUAACCUUUCCUGUAACUCUCCUUGAUUAUCAAUAUAGUACCAUUCCUCCUUCAUAUUCCUCAACGGACAUUCUCCAUUAACUGGAAUCGGGAAUUGGGAUCCUCACUACCUUUGCAUCACAAAAUAAUAUAGAUUGUCAAAGAAGGAAGGAUUACCUUUUGAUGGCAGAAUUUGAGAGAAGAUUGAUGAAGAAGAAGAUGGGUAGAUUAACGAGUGAGAGAUGAAGGUGAGAGACGCCCAUAUAUAGAGAAAAACAGAAGACUUCUACUUCCACAUUAAGCAAGUGGUUGCGUUUGGGGAGGGAGGCUACCGCGAACAAUUUUUCUAGAACGUGGCAGAAUUUUCAGAGAGGAUUGAUGAAGAAGAAGUAUACAAAUCAAAAGCGGCUACAAUAUUUUCUUUCUGACAUUCCGUCGUUGACCUCAUAGUGUAUGUGUUAAAGCUCGGAUACCUUUAUUUAUGGUAGGAACGCAUUGACCGUUCCUACACAUCAUGGUCUAGCCAUGGUUGAAUUGUUUGUGGUCCAAAACCAUUUGGACUAAGAAGCACAGACCACGCGCUUGGCAAGGAGUACUCGCCAGGCCUGAGAAAAAUUCUACACCACAGCAACUGUACGUGCAAUUCUUCAUUUGAAUUUAAUUAACUUUUGUCUUCAUUUCUCCCAUUUUGGUAUUCGACGGAAAAUGUGCGCAUAGAAGGUACCGAAAUUUUAACAAAUAAUAAAUAUAAAUCUCAUACGUGAGGGGAUAAUAAUUUCGAAGAAGGAAAAGUGGAGGCAAACAUAGUAGUUCCGCGGCAAUACGAAACACAAAAGGAUUCAAGCCUUCAUUAUAUUUAUAUACAUAUAUAAAUUUAGUACCCAAGUGUUCAGUUUUAGCAUCCGGGAAAAUGGUAUAGUAACUAUCGUUAUACUAGUAUAUUAAAAAGAGGCUAAAGAGAUACUGUAGUCAGCACUGUUGAUUGUCAGAGUGUUAAUUUCGUCCCCUUUUCAUUACGCAAAACCAACACGCAAUGCAGUGGUAUGCGCAAUGAAGCAAUCCGAUGGUAUGUGCAAUGGAAACUACUCCGGGGUUGCUUGUGCGGUGGGUGGAAAGUGGGAUGAACUUCCUACCGAUGAAGAACACAAAUGAAGCAUUUCCAUUCAUGUACACCUUCAACGAUCACAGCCCUUAAAUCAGUUGUUUUGAACUUUUAGCAAAACAACAAUGGAAGCUUGGGGGUUGCUUCUAAGGUGGAGAGUGAGAUGAACUUCCCACCGCAGCCAGAAAGCCUAUUAGAAGUACGGUUGCUUCUUCGAUGGAAAGUGGCAUGAACUUCCACUUUUUUUUCCAAAAAAAAAAUCACAAUUGUGUCGAACUUUCUAUUUUUGGAAUGAAAUAUUUAGGGAAUCUCCAUGAAUAGGAUCAACCCCUAUUCCAUGGUAUUUUUAUGAGGUUCCUUUUUAAAUUAAGAAAAUCCCUGAUAGGGUUUGUUUGAUCCAUGAUUUAUGUUUCAUCUUUCGAUUGGAGAUUAGGAACAGACGGACUUUCUAUGGGACCUAUUUUACUGACGGGAUUCAUCACCACUUUAAUGACUUUAGCAGCUUGGCCGGUUACAAGAUUCUCAAUGAUUUAAUUUCCUGAUGUUAGCGAUGUACAGUGCUCAAAUAGGAUUAUUUUCCUCUUGGGACCUUUUACUUUUUUUCAUUAUGUGGGAGUUAGAAUUAAUUCCUAUUUAUCUACUUCUAUCGAUGUGGGAUGGAAAGUGGGAUGAACUUCCCUUAUUUUUUUUCGGAUAUGAUAGACCUACUCUUACUCUAUACUAGAGGAAGAAGGGACUGAAGAGACCCAAGAAAAAUUCAGAAGGAAAUGAACCACCACUCCUUGACCUAACUCUCAAGUAGAGUUUUAGAACUCUUUUAAUGGCCAACUAUUCUAGAAGUUCUAUUAGAAGGUAUAUUAGGUAGAAGGUCUAUUAGAAGUACAACUCAGCAUGAGCAUUUUUGUCCAUAUUUUUGCGGCGCAAUUGAGAGAAGGUAACUGGCAAAGGCUGUUAUCAUCUUAAGGAGCUGAUAGCAAAUACCAAUAUAAAUUGGAUUGGGUCGUUAAAUGAAUAAAGAAUGUCCCAAACAGGGCAAUGGGUAAAAGUCAUUACUAAUUUGAAGCCAGAAUUUUUAGGUUGGGAAAAAAACUUGUAAGUAAAAAAUAAACUUGUUAUUCGAUGAGUGUCAUUUAUAGAAUUAUAUAGUUGUAGCGUAUUUCCUUUUUGUUUCUAGUUUUUUCUUGAUUAUCUAGUCUUAAAUUAAGUUUCUUUAUCAACAAGGUCAUCCUUAAUGAUGAUUUUGUUGAAACAAUGAUAGCAAUAAAUUAUAUUAAACAGAAUGAGGAAGUUUUGUAUUAAAUAAGAAUUAAUCUUUGCACUCUAGUUUCGAGGGCAUUAGACAAGAUGACAAAAGCAAGUUUUUCCAUUAGUCGGCUUGUUUUUUCUUGGAUUUCCAUUGAUGAUGAUGAUGGCAUUCCAUCAUCAUCUCUUUUAAGCUAACUUGAUUGUUGUGUUGCACUUGCACUGAUCUUUGCCAUAGGCAUCAAGGAGAAUGAUGUUAGAGGAGAAUUUGUCACUACUAUGUGUUUGAAGGAAGAAAACUGGAGGUGGGAUUUUGUGAGAAUUAAGAAAAGUUGGAACCGGUUAGAGUAAGUUUAGUUUGAGCAAGAAAAAGGUUGGGUUUGCUGCUAUUGUUGUUGCCACCUUAGGAUGAAAUUGAAGUUAGUUGUUCUUAUAGUUUUGAGGGGUUUUAGGCAAAAAAAACAAGGGAAGAGACUGAUGAACGAAGAGUUUCAACUAUGAAGCUGUACAACACUUGACCAUAGUGGAAUAGAUGUGCUCUAUUGAACUGUUUGGCUUGGAUUAGAUUGGACCGUACUCUUACUGGAUCUAAUCGAGAUUGAUCCUUUGUUUCAAAAAGAAAAAGAAACUAAAUCAGUGUGAUGCUUGAUUAGAUAUUCGACUCAAUCAGCAACUUGAUUCUUCAUGUUUCAAAGAAGCAAAGACAGGCUUACAAGAGUCGUCCGAUUACAUACUGUAUGUACAUCAUUGUACUCCCUUGUAAGCAGUGAAAGCGACCUGAUUAUUUGAUUUUCCUCUUUUUUUAAAAUUUUUUUCCCCUUUUUGUGUAAAUAAACUAAUUGGUAGUAUAUAUUUUAUCAAAUUUGAAAUUAUAAUUUGUAAAAGAGAAGAACAUGAAAUAGAUGUGUUUGCCGGUUUUGUAUGUCAAGCUUGUUUUGGUGAAGGCGAAAGAAAGUACUACAUAGGGCAAGGGUUAGGAAAAAUGCGAAUAAUAAUAAUAACAACAAAGGAGUGUCAUUAAAAUUCUUAAGAAUUUGAAAUUACACUUAAAUUUGGCUAUAUAUCCGUUAUAAAUUUAGAAAAGGAACAUUUCCAUGUAUUAAUUUCAAGUAAAAAGUCACAAUUUUCAUGUAUGAAUAUUAUGAGGGAAAAAGGUCCUAGGGAUUAAGGUUUUGUAUGAAUAUUACGAGUUUUGAGGUUAGUCCAGUUUAUCUUGUUUGUUAUGGGAUCAAUCAAUGUCGCCUGACCCAAUUCUAAUUUCCAUGUAUAGGUGUCAAGUCCCAUUACUAACUUCAAUGGAAUGUAUACUAAGAUUUUAUGGUUAUAAUUUCAAGGUCAAGUUGUCACGGGAGAACUUAGCAAAUUUGGCCAUGGGCAGCAUAAACAAAAUUUGCUUCUGGAUGGGGGAAAGAUGUAUUUUACUUUUCAAGCUCCAUGCUGCAAUGCUUUCUUAUUUAUCAGUUCAAUUAGUAUAGGACAAUUCGUUAUUGAAUUUAUUAGAUCCUCUUUGCUAUAGUUCUUGUAGUGAGUUCAGAAAAAAAUUUUAUGUAAUGACAUAUGAACAUGUUGAAAUCCUUAUUUAACCUAAUGCUUGCUAAUUUAACAAAAUAACGCUAGAUAAAAGGAUUUGUGUUUGGAUAGUUAUUUACAAUCCUUCUAUUAUAACAAAAUCAUGCACAAUGAAAACAUAUAUAUCUCUCUUGAACAAGAAAAUUUUUCUUGUGCUCUCAAUAUGGUUCAUCACUGUUCAAAAUAAAUGUCAAAAUGAAGAUUUGUACAUAGCUGUCAUUCUAAAGCUUAUUUUAAUUUUUUUAGGGAUAAUUUCAAAAACCUCCCCUAAGGUUUCUGACAAUUCCAUUGAACUCUCUUGAGAUUUGAAAAAUUAUAUAUACCUCAUCUGUCAUUUAAAAUGAUAAUUUUACCCUUAAAUAUUUUAAUGAAAUUCUCUUAUCCGGUAUGCUUAUACUUAGAAAUGACCCAAAAGCACUACUAAAAUUAUGAUAAUCCCAUUACUCCAAAAAUUUAUAAACUCUAAAUGAAUUAUUUCAACAUUUUCUUUUCUAUCUUAUAAAUUUGAAUCCAUAAUAAAAUACCAUAAAAAAUCUCGUAUCAUAGUAAUAAAAUUAUUAUUAUUAUAGUUGUUUAUCAAAUAGCAGAUAUGGACAUGAAAAUUUUGGUACAUUUUUCUUAUAAUUAUACUAAAUAAUCUUAUAAUUGUAUCGGGAAAUAAAUUAAAACUCAUUCCAAAAGAGCAUUUUUGGGUAUUCAUUUAAAAAAUUAUCGAAAUCAAUAUUAUUUUAAGGUUUUGUUACUAAAACUAUCAAAACAAGGGAGGUAAGUGUAAUUUUUCAAACCUUAGGAAAGCUCAGUGAAAUUAUCAAAAACCUCAGGGGAGGUUUCUCAAAUUAUCCCUUUUUGUUAACAUUACAAACUUUAUUACUUCUAUUUGCUCUCCUACCAUUUAUGCAAUUACUUCGAUACAUAUAAAGCCAUGCUGCAGGUUUGAAUAAUUUAUGCCUAGUUGGGCAUGCUGCAGUUUAUUCCUCGUAGUUCUCUCACACACGAGCAAAGCCAAUCCCAAAAAACAAGAACUACAAACAGCCCAAUCAAGGCUAGGUUUAUUCUUAAACAAGACUAGUUUAUUCUUAAUCAAAACAGUCUUAAAACAAGACUGGGUUUAUUCCUCAUAAGUUCUCUCGGUACACGAGGAAAGCCAAUCCCAAAAAAACAAGAACUACAAACAGCCCAAUUCAAGAGUGUCUUGAAACCAAGAUUGUCUUCAACAUGAUAGCAAAGACACACGAGCAAAGCAAACAGAAUUCCUAAAAUCAAGACAAUCAGCGUAUUGUCGUUUAGAAGCCACCACGUGAAAGUUAGCCUCCUAAGCACCGCGAGUAGAGAACACCCAGUCAAGAGUGGACUCGUGAAGAAUGUUAUAGUAUGCAAGAGUGCGACCAUCCUCAAGCGGCCCACCAGCAAAAACCAAGCUUUGCUCUUCCGGUGUGAUUCCCUCCAUAGACAGAACUUUUGCCUUCACGUUCUGGAUGGUAUCAGAACUCUCCACCUCCAGAGUUAAGGUCUUUCCAGUAGCAGUUUUCACGAAAAUUUUCAUUCCGCCACCAACCUUGAGCACCAAAUCAGGGAUAGACUUCUUUUGAAUAUUGUAAUCGGCAAGGGUCCGCCCAUCUUCAAGCUGUUUGCGAGCUAAAAACGGCCUCUGCUUGUCUGCGGAAAAACCCUGCUUGGCGUGAAUCUUAGCCUUGACAGUGUCAACAGUGUCAAAGCUUUCAACCUCAAGGGUAAUUGGCUUACCAAUGUCAAAGCUCUCAACCUCGACUGUCAGACCUUUCACGAAGAUCGGCAUCUGUUAGGGGGAAAAAAACCAAAAAAAAAAAAGCCAAAUCCGAUCAGAUCUAAUCAAAUUCCAAUCCCUCAACCCAAAAUUGCCAGCACAAACACCAAAAGAUAAAUAAUCGGAAUUGCUAGCCAAACAAAAAACUGUAAUCCCUCAACCCUAAAUUCGGCACCUAAUUCCUUAAUUUAGGGGUGGAAUCCAUAAAUUACAGAGAAAAAAAAACCUAAAUCAAAAUCUAUUCCUUCUUCUUCUUCUUUUUUUUAAAUCAAAGUCCCUUGCAUUCCCUCCAAAAUAAUUGCCAAUAUUCAUUUAUCCAUAACUCUAGAAAAUAGGGCGAGAUGGCAUAUGGCAAAAUAACAUAGCAGAAUAGAAAAGUGGGCAAAGAAGAAAAAUGGUGAAAAUAUGCUGUCACCUUACAGAAAUUAUAAUGAGGAGAAGGAAGAAAUAGUGGUAGUCUUGGAAGUGUGAAAUCUAAAAAAGCUUAGGGAAGAUGAAUCCGAAUUGUAAAGUGGGAGAUAGGGGCAUCCGGGGCAAAGACUGAGCUGAGACAUACCCAAGUAAUAAUAUUGCAAGCUUAUCACAUAAUUUGCAUAUUUUAACAAUGGUGUGGAACAAUUUUACUUGUACUUGUUUUAGGCACACGAUUGAAAUGCUAUAAAAAAAAUAAAAUAGAAAGUUUGUUCUGAAAAUCUGUAUGAAUGGUUUGAGUUAGAUAUGUUGGAGGAAAGUGGAAGAAAAUUUUGCACAACAAGUGUUCAUGAGAAAGUAAAUGAUAGCUGUCCAACCAAUUAUUGGAAGGAAUUGCUGGUAGAAGAUAAUCAGGAGCCAUGAGUUUCCAGAAUAAAAAGAACGGUGUAUUCAUUAUACGAACUAUAUGAGAAACUUUCCACAAUAAGUGAGGAGGUUUAGGCAAGUAAAAGAACAGAAAAUUUUAAAAGGUUCUAUUUUUUUGGGUAAACAAUCAAACCUUAUGGUGUACAUACUAUUACCAGGUAUUUAUGGGUGAUCACUUUCAGAUAAACUGAGACACAUAGCAAGAGAAAAGGUAAGCAAAGUGGCUCAUGAAAAGUAGAUAUAGGUAAAGAUGUUUAGAUAAGUAUGCCCUAGUAUCAUGUUGGAUAGCAAAUAUUUUUUAAAUGAACUAAUGAUGGUGGAGAAACAGUGGGAUGCUAGCAAAUUCGAUCAGAUCUAAUCAAAUUCAAAUCUUUAAACCCAAAAUUGCUAGCAAAAAUACCAAAAAUAAAUAAUGGGAAUUGCUAGCACGAAAAAAAAAACUGUAACCCCCGAACCCUAAAUUCGGCACCUAAUUCCUUAAUUUAGGGGUGGAAUCCAUAAAUUACAGAAACAAAGAAACCUAAAUCAAAAUCUUUUCCUUCUUUCUUCUUUUUUUUUAUUCCAGCCUAAAUUGGAUUAAUUAUAUUAAAAAUAAAAAAAUGGAAAGUCUUCUCGUUCAACCAAAUAAUCCCAAUAGAUCCGUCAACUACCGGAAAAUUUAAAAAAAAUAUACUAAAAUCAAUCAAAGCAUCAAGCAGCAAACAAUCAUAAACAAACUGUGAAAAGAAGCAAACUGAUGCAGUUGCAAGGAAAUGACUGGAUUAACAAACUCAAAAAAUCAAAAUACAUAAAAAAUGAAACUGUUACAUAUUGCUUUUUAUGAAACUGUUACAUAAAGAUUUUUUAUAAAUUUUCUGCUGCAUUUUUUAAUUUUCUAUUAUAUAUUUUUUUUUGAAACUGUUGUAUUUAUUUUUUACUAAAUUAAUAGUUAUUGGAUCUUAAGGAAACAAAAAAGAACUAAAAUAUGAUAUUUAUGAAGGAAAAAUAGCAAUAUAAUAAAAAGUGGGACAGAGAGUGACACAGGAUAUGGGACAGAAGAUCUGUUGCGGAGAUAUUAACCGUUCAAUAAUGCUAAGCUGUGGUCAUUUACCAGCUAAUUGAUUGUAUAAUACUUACUCAGUCACAUUUAGCAGCAGCUAAUUGAUUGUAAUAGUUAGUUAGUUAGUUGGUUAUGAUAGUAAUUAAUUACUAAGCAUCGCUAAGGUGGCAAGGUGGUAAAAAAUGCGGUUACUUCUUAAUUAAUAAUUGAUAGGAUAAAUAACAGCAAGGGAAGGCAAUUAAGAAAGCAAACACACCUUGAGCUCCAAAUGAGGGAUAGACUCCUUUUGAAUAUCGUAAUCGGCAAGGGUCCGCCCAUCUUCAAGCUGUUUGCCAGCAAAAAACAGCAUCUGGUUGUCUGCGGAAAAACCCUGCUUGGCGUGAAUCUUAGCCUUGACAGUGUCAACCAUGUCGAAGCUUUCAACCUCAAGGGUAAUUGGCUCGCCAGUGCCAGGGAUCUCAACCUUGAGUGUCAGAGCUUUCACGGACAUCUGCAUCCGUUGGGGGGGCGGGGCGGGGGAUACCAAAAGAUAAAUAAUCGGAAUUGCUAGCCAAAAAAAAAAAAAAAAAAGCUGUAAUCCUCAACCCUAAAUUCGGCACCUAAUUCCUCAAUUUAGGGGUGGAAUCCAUAAAUUACAGAGAAAAAAAAAUCUAAAUCAAAAUCAUCAAGCAGCAAACAAUCAUAAACAAACUGCGAAAAGAAGCAAACUGAUGCAGUUCCAAGGAAAUGACUAGAUUGAUUGAUGAGAUAUUAACCGUUCAAUAAUGCUAAGCUGUGAUCAUUUACCAGCUAAUUGAUUGUAUAAUAGUCAGUCAGUCACAUCUAGCAGCAGCUAAUUGAUUGUAAUAGUUAAUUAGUUACGAUAGUAAUUAAUUACUAAGCAUCGCCGAGGUGGUCAAAAUUGCGGUUACUUCUUAAUUAAUAAUUGAUAGGAUAAGUAACAGCAAGGGAAGGCAAUUAAGAAAGCAAACAUUUCCUGUAACUCUCCUUGAUUCUCAAUAUAGUACAAUUCCUCCUCCCUAUUCUUCCACGGACAUUCUCCGUUGACUGGAAUCGGGAAUUGGGAUCUUCACCAGCUUCGCAUCACAAAAUAAUAUAGAUUGUCAAAGAAGGAAUGAUUACCUUUUGAUGGCAGAAUUUGAGAGAAGAUUGAUGAAGAAGAAGAUGGGUAGACUAACGAGUGAGAAGUGAAGGCGAGAGACGCCAUUUAUAUACUGUAUGAAAAAGAGGCUAAAGAGGUACUGUAGUCAGUAUGUAGAUUGCCACAGUGUUAACUGUUAAUUUCGUCCCCUUCUGAUUAUGCAAAACGGACCACAUAUUUAACUUUAAAGAGGUUUCUGUGGCUUUGAACUUUAACAAAACGCCAAUAGAUACUUCGUGACCAAAUUUUGUCCUCACGGGAAGGUUUUAUUAUGAUUAUUGAGCAACGUGUCUUUUUUUUUUUUUUGGAUAAUUUAAGAAACCUAAACCUCCCCUAAGGUUUCUAACAGUACCACGGAACUCUCUUAAAGUUUAAAAAACUACAUCCACCUCCUGUGAUUUGAUAGUUUUAGUAAUAAAACUUUAAAAUAAUAAUGACUUAGUCAAAUUUUUAAAUGAAUACCCAAAAAUGCCCUUGUGUAAUGAGUUUUAAUUUACUUUUCUAUACAAUUAUAAAAUUAUCCAGUGUAAAUAUAAGAAAAAAGUGUCGAAUUUUUCAUGUUCAUCCUACUAUUUGAUAAACAAUUAUAAUAAUAAUAAUUUUAUCACUAUGAUAGGAUACUUUUGAAGGUAUUUUAUUAUAGAUCUAGAUUUAUAAGAUAGAAAAGAAAAUUUUGAAAUAAUUGAUUUAGAGUUUAUGAAUUUUUCGAAUAGUAGGAUUAUCAAAAUUUAGUAGUGAUUUUGGGUAGGGGUGGGCGCGGGUCGGGUACCCGCCCCGCAUAUCAGUGGGUACCCUAUAACGGGUACCCGGUGAGAUAGGGUCGGAUCAGCGAGUACCCGCCCCGCCCCAUUUAUCAUUUAAUUUUUUUAAAAAAAAUAAUUUAUACCAAUUUAAUUUUAUAUUUUACACAUUCAUCUAAGAUUUAAUAAUUUUUUUUUUCUAAAAAAAGGUUUCCCACCAAGAAACAAGCAUAUGAAGAGAAUAUAAGAUAAAGGAAAAAAAUUAAAAGAAUUCAAAAUCAAUAAAAGUUUGAAAUAAGUAGCACAAUUUUUAAUAUAUAUGUUCCACAUUAAUUAAACUUUUUUCUAUAAAAUAUAAGAUCAUGGCCUUUACAAAUGAAUCUUGUAAAUAAACUAUAGUAUCUCAUAUUUGUAAUGCAAUUUGUUCAAUAAAAUUACUUAUUUAGUUCUAACUUAUUAUUUUAUAGUGUGUGUAUAAAAAUAAAAAAUAUAUAUAUGCGGGACGGAUCGGGUACCCGCGGAUUUUUAAUUAUGUGACCCUAACCCGCCCCGCAUCUUAGCCGAUACCCGACCCUCUUUUGACCCGAUCAAAUAAUAAAAAUCGGAUAUCCUAAUUUUCGGAUCCGAUCGGAUCGGAUAUGACGGGUUUUCGAGUUAGCGGAUAAUUUUGCCCACCACUAAUUUUGGGUCAUUUCUUUUUGAUUUAUUGUUAAUUUUAAUACCAAAAAAUAGAAAACAAAGAUUAGUAAAAAAAAUAUAUUGGAUUACAUAUAAAGUUAACUCAUAAAAAAAUCACUAGUUCGACAUUUGAUUAUAAUAGAAACUAGAAAUAAUAGUAAAAGUUCUACAGUUUUAUUGGUAAAAAAAUUAAAAUAAAAAGGAAUGAGAAGGAAAAAGAAUGAAAAAAUAAUUUUAAAAGUCAUUCUAAAUAUAAGAAUACCAAACAAGAGAAUUUUAUUAAAAUAUUUAAAGAUAGUAUUAUCAUUUUAAAUAACAAGUAAGAUAUGCGUAAUUUUAAAAAUCUCGAGAGAGUUAAACGAAAUUGUUAAAAUCCUCAAGGGAGGUUCCUGAAGCUAUCCCAAUGGUAACAAUUCAUUAAACAAAAACACAGGAGACUUGUAUAUCCGGAGCAACUCCUUCUACGUCUCUUUUAGCUGUAAUAGCAAGGCAACCGGGAGUAGGGUGUCAUUGAACGUCUCCUGGCUCCUGGGGGGAACAGGCAUACUGCCGCCGGACAAGUGUUCACUGUGAAAUUUACAGCUCACGUGCUUCUUCCAAAACAAGGGGUUGGUACAAACCACUGUACCAUUCUGCAGAAUUGUUAUGCUGUUUUAAAACAAUGAGUUGGUACAAACCAAUAUACCAUUCUACAGAAUUAUUGUUGGUUUAAAACAGGGAUAACCUUUUUAUAUAUCAUGAGGGUAUAAUUAGAUUAACACAUUUAGAUUAUGUCACACAAUAUAAAUUUAAAUUUAAAAUUCAACUCAUGCACAUAUAACAUACGUCUAAAAACAUUCAAAACUUCUAGCGCAAAAAAAUCACUGAUGGUAUAUAAAAAGCUAAUUCUUAAAAUAAUAUUGCAAGAAGAAGCAAUUGCACCACAGCCUUGACGAUGAAAGUGUCAUCAGCCCCUAUCCUGGGAAAAAUUUCAAGCAACAAACCAAUAACAUUGUAGUCUGCAGCAGUUUCUUACUAUAAUUGUGCUUAGCCGGCCAGGUCCUCUGCCCCCUAAUAAUUGGCUUCGAAUCCCUGUCCCCAAAGUAGUCUCUUCCCACUGUCCCUUGUUUGUAUAGCCACCACGUGUGUCUAGCAUUUUAUUAAUCCAAAUUUAAAUAAACCGAUAAUAAUCGAUUUAUAAGUUUAUUCAAAAUCAAUUAAAAUAGAUAACUCAAAAAAAAAAUUUAUUUUCCUUUUAACAAAAAAGAGUCUUGUUGAUCAUACAUGAUCUGGUCAUUUGCAAGAGGAUUCGAAGCCCUAAUAAUUGCUCCUCAUUUGCAAGUGAUAAAAUAUGAUCAAGAACAUAAUGUCAUAUCGUCUUCUUGAAGAGGUUAGCAGCCGAAUCAGAGGGUACGUGCACAUUCUCAAUCCAAAGAGACUUUUUAGGCGCUAUAACAAGCAAAGUGGCCAACUCAAUUGUCUUCCCCUUUCAUUCCUUAACGGCUUAUGAAAUCAGAAAACUCAGCGGCAGAUGAACAGUUUACAAGCCUACGAACAAGCUUUAACACUCCAAGCAUGCAAUCUAAGUCCACAAAUAUCAAACAGCAGAGUAUAAAUUGAUUCUUCAUGAAUAUUCCAAGAAACGCUUCUGCUAAGGACUCAAGAGCCAACUCAAGCGGCAGGAAACCAUCUUUGGUUCUAACAUCUGCCUUUGCUCCAUAUGUAAGGAAUAACUAUGUCAUUGACGAAGAUAAUUCGAUUUCUGCCAAAUGCAACGGAUAGAGGUGACCGUUAUUUAUUUUGUUUUUGGGUUGACAAGGAAAUUCGUAGCCGCUACCCAAGAGUACACGCUGGAUAAAUUCCAUCCAUACAAUAACUUGUUAACCACACAGAGAGGUAUAACGCGCUAGACAAAUCCUGAACGACGAGAGCUGCCCCGGGUUGGCAAGAGGAAGUAGGACUACGGCUGUUAAGUCCACAAAAAUUUCACCCUUGGGAGCUGCUGUUCAGAAAGGCGAUUUUGACGUCCCCAAGAAAUACUCCCAUCGGUUCAAGGAGUUGGAAAUGGAUGGGAUAUAACGAGAGCUAAGAAUAGGGGUUAAAAUUAGGGUAAACUUCGGUACUCAACAAGGAUAGUAUUGAUAUUACAUAAUGAUAAGUGCUUAUAUUAUGAGUGGUGAUUGAUUUUCUGCAUUGCAGAAUUGACAAAUAGUAGGGAAAAAAUUAAUAAUGGGAAAUUCCUAUCAAAACUAAUUGCAGAGCUCUUUCCUAGGUACAUCAUAUUUCUGCACAACAGGCAAAGCUAGAGACGGAAAAUAACUGAAACUUUCACAACUUUCACAAACUUUCAUGAUUAUAUUACAGUAUACAUGAUACAGUACAUGAAUUCAACAAAUCUCUUAUACUAACAAAUAUUACAGGACAAAAAUUAUGCCAAAAGUCUAUAUAAAGAACACAUCAAACAGCUUUUAACAUGCUUUGUUUCCAACUAACUGAUCUUCACACAAUCAAGGCAAAUCAUAAUUGUUCUUUUUAUUAUAUGGUUCUUUGCCAGAGAUAAUUUGGUCCACAAAAUGACACUGGCUGCUAAGAUUCAUUACAUUUCAAGAAGAAGUUGAGGGGGUAUAGGAAGGAUUGAACACUUUCUGUUCAGCACAGCUGAGUACUUCAUUAGGCCCUGCCUCUUCUCGCCCAAUUCCCAAAAGGUCAAGGUAGUUUAGAUAAUGGGAGAUAAUGAUAUUCAUACUGUCAAUAUCACCUUGACCACAAACAGAAUCUCCAUAGAGGAGGUUCAUGGUUGUCCCAAAACCAGGAACUCGUUUUGCUUCAGUAUCAUUUUUGUUGGGCUUCCAGUUGCCAACAAAUGCAUCAUGAGCAGAAGGUAGUCCCUUUUUCUGGGGUUUCAUCCAUUGAUAUAUUGCAGCCUGGAAAGCCAGAGUCGCGUUUUGUUCAAUGUAUUCAGGAUGGUUCAAAAGAUCUUGCUUGAGGCCUUCACCAACAGGCCCGUAGUUGUAGUUCCUAAGACAACAUACACGGAUACAGUCAGAAAAAUAUGCAGGACUGAAGCAAUUACUAAAAUGCAAUAGAGUUAAAAUACCGAACCCCCCCCCCCCCCCGGCCCCGGCCGGCCCAAAAAAAAAAACCCGCACAAAAAAAAAAUUCUAAGCAUGGAGCCCUUCAAUAUCUAUAAUCAUCAUGCGAGCAUUACAGACUUUACAAUUCUAAGAAACAGGGACAGUUAGAAUGGAAAACAAAUUAACUUUGUGUAGUCUUUGUUAAGAAAGCUUGAUUCAGUAGGAAUCAGUGAACUAAAUUAUGGCAGAUGAUAAUUAAGGACUAUUUCCAUAAAACAAUCAACAAAGCUUGCAGAAAGCAAAUGGCAUUUAGUUCCACAUCCAACUGAAAUUUCGAGGCAUAAAUAGCAUAUCUAAAUCACUGGUACUGCUUUUUUCUUCCCUCUCACUGUCUCUCUCUCUGAUCAUGUCAAAGACCUCACUUAGCCUGUAAAAAGUAACAAUCAAGUAAGGGAAGAAAGAACACCACCACAUACCAAUAAAGAGGUAGUGCACCACGACCAUGGUAACUAACUCCAGGAGCACAUGGAUAGGUUAACUUGAAGUAAUCAUCACAGUAUAUUGAGCUAGGACUCAUUUCCUUGUUGUAGCAUAGACCCCAAGCCAAGGGCCCCCCUGUGGCUACCCCAUAACCACCUGCACCAUUAUCAGAAGCAUCAACUUUAAAUGGACUUAAGCAAGAAAAUGAAGUCAAUGCAACCAAAAAUCAAAGAAAAUUUCUCCCUCGUGAGCAACUUCCUCAAAUCUCAAUUUCAGCUUCAAGGCACCAUUUAGUUGGAUGCUGAUUGGAGAAAUUUAUCUCAUAAGUUUAGAUAGACAAAGCUAUUUGCCUAAGGAUUUAUUUGUUUCACCACACUUCCAACUUUAUUCAUUGUUACACAUUUUCUAAGUCUGUCUUCACAGAUACUAGCAAACAGUAGGGAUGGUAAAAAAAAUAUCCACAUAACAGUAGGACUUAGUUAUAAUAGUAUUAUAGAUAGAGAUACUAAUCAUAUAUACACACAUAGUACUUGCAAAGAAGGUGAGAUAUAGGAGCAUUAAAUGCAAGAAUAGGCGAGCUAAGAAUGGGCAAUGCUAAGAAUAGGCGAGCAAUGAAAGUGUUAAAAAAUGGGCAAUGCUAACUAAAUUUUGCACUUCCUUUUUUAAUUUUUUUUUCCUUUUUAGCAAGGGAGAGGAUGGGAUUUAAGAAAUGGGGAUGGAAAGAAAGAGAAAAAAAGGGGGGGAUUUCAGUACUAAAUCUUACAAUUCUAAAAGAAAUAUAUUUCCUUGAAAGUCACGACACAUUACAUAUAUAGGAGAAUGAAAAUCAAGAAUUAAAAAAUUUUCUUGUGCUCAGUAACAAUGCUGAAAAUAAUUUGCAUCACAUACACAAAAUAUGGUAACACUUGCAUACUCUGUUUUCAUGCUACUUUACGAGUCUUAAAUGUACCUGAAUAAGAAAUGACUAAACUAAUCUGAGAUUCUUUUUUAUUUUGACUAGAACUCGUUCAAAAGAAUGUUCACAGCGAAAAGAAAACUACAGUGAUUGUACCAUCACAUCCAUCUUUUGCUUAUAUGCAAAGAAAACAACAGAUAUAAACCUCCUAUAAUGAAACUUUUAGAUCCAAAUAAAUCAGUUCAAAACAGCACUAAAUCACAAACUAUCAUGUCAGAUCUCAAUUCUGGCCCCAAAAAAGAAAGAACUUCUAUCCAUACACUCAAUCUAGGUAAUACGCAUUCCAAGAUCAGUAAGAAUCUGAGUAAUUCCACACGAUACACUAAGUCUCUUAAAACCAAUAAUUCUAGCCACAAAUCUACAUCCACCGACAAACAUGUCCAACCUAGACAGCAUCCCUACAAGCUCGUGUAUUGUUCUUUGAAAGAAAUGGAAUCAAUGAAAUGAAAGAUGGAGUCAUAUUCUCUAAAUUAAGAAUAGAGUUUCUAAAAAACACAACAAAUUUCCAUUUCCAAAUCUCAUGAAGAACCAAACGCAACUCAACUAAAUUAGGGAAAACACGCUAUAAUUCCAUAUCAUCUCCUUACCUUUUCAAACAUGAUAUUAUAUUUGAUAUUAAGUACUAGCCAUCCAUUUUUGAAUUAACCCCUUCGAAACCGACAACCAAAAAAAAAAGGUAAAAUGGAUGGUAAAUUCUUAUGCAUAUAUAUAAAAACAAACAAAACUUUAAAUCCAUCAAAAAAAAGGAGAGGAACUUACAAGAAGUUUUGGCACCGACAUGACCAAGAAAUGCGGAAAGCUCCAACAUCUGGGCAGUCUUGUUUCCAGUGGUACCAAAUCCCAAAGGCUGGAAAAGAGCAGCUGCGUGAAUGAAAGAUUCGUAAUCCCAAAACCCAACGGCAUGAGCCACCGGCGAAUUCCUCUUGGAGAACAGAUUCUCAAACUGGUAAGUCUGAAAAUAGUCCGAGAUCGUCAGAUUACAACAGUAAACAGAUGGGGUCGAACAUUCCCACCCCUUUGUACAGUACUUCUUCCCCUUCACAACCUUCACCACUUUCGACGGCACCGCCGACUCGUCGGCGUAGGAAAUCGCCGGUGAAAGAAUCAAAAUUAGACAAAUAACCGGCAAAAACAUCUUGAAAUUCAACAUUUCUUUACAAUGCAGCAGGGAUUAAAACGGUCGGUUUUUUCUGCUGGGAUUUUUGGAGCUAUAAAAUUGAAGAAAUGAAAGGGAAAGAAGAGCUGGAAUGAUGUUGGAAAGGGGCCUUGGACUAUAGAGAGUGUGAUGCAAGGUAAGGAAAGCGGUGGUUAGAUGCGGUGUCGUUUUCUGGGGAUGGAGAGAUGGACGGUCGAGAUGGGGUUUGGGUUGGGGAAUGGAGGGUGGAUGGUGAACGUGUACCAGGCUGGAUUUGGAAUCAAGCAAAGGGGAGAUGGUGAGGGAGUGACCCACUAACUAAUUCAGUAAUUCCACCGACAGCUCCUGAGUCCUGAGGACUCUUCAGACUGGGGGUUUGUUUUUUUUUUGGUUUUAUGGAUCCGGAUAUGGGAAUCCGGAGUCAGAGUUGUGCCGACAAAUGAAAGUCUUGAACUCGUUUAAGAUGAGCUAAGAAUGUUCAUUUACGUUUUGGAGUCUUACACUGCUACUACGCUACUAGGUACAUUUGUAUUUAUUUUCUAGGGAUAAUUUCAAAAACCUUCCCGACGUUUCUAACACUUUUACGACCUUUCCUAAGGAUUUAAAAAUUACACUAACUUUCCUUCUUAGAAAUUUGGAUCCAUUACUUGGGAUAAUUUCAUAAACCUUCCUUGAGAUUUUCAACAAUUACAGAGAUCUUCUCUCAAGUUUCAAAAAUUAUACUUACCUCCCUCGCUUUUAAGAUUUACAUAACAAUAUAGAUCCAAUAGCCUAUAAUUUUUCUUAAAUAUCCUAAAAUACCCUUCUUCAGAGAACAAGACACAACAAAAUAAGGUUUUAAUCUUUAAUUUCAUGUACGUGUCAUACUUACUAAAACAAACAAAAUCCAGUCGCUCCAACUCAUCUCAAAAUUCAUUACUUGCUAAUUCUUGCUUUAUGCAAUUACUACCACCACUACCAAUACUAAACCAAGAAGAGUAAAUUUUAGGGAUAAUUUCAGAAACCUCCCCUGAGGUUUCUGACAAUUUCACUGACCUCCCCUGAGGUUUCCACAAUUACACUGACCUCCCCUGGCAGAACUUGGGACCCAAUUGCUGACAUCAUAUAAUGCAAAAUUACUAUUAUACCCAAGACAUUUUGUGUUAUUAUAGGACUAAAAUAUGAUAAGGCAGAUGGUGUUUUUGGAUAGUAUUGGAUUGCAUUUCUAUUUAUUUAAUGUAUGGUUAUGAAAUUUGUAAUGAUAUUACUCUUGGAUUGCAGUUUUGGUUUGCACCUUAUUACUGUUAAUGUUUUAUAAAUGACUGUUUUAGUUCUUGGAUUACACCUUACCUCCAAAAUUUGGGAAUUUACCCAAAUUUUCCAUUUUCUAAUAUUCCUACAAAUAUGCAAAAUUAUGCAUAUCCCUCAAAUCUACCCAAUAUUAAUGUUUUGUUAAACUCUAAAUAACAAAAAUAUGAAAUAUAAUAUUUAAAUAUAUUUUAAUACACACAAGUUGGACGGGUAACUAGUGUGUCAGAGAGUUGCCAUAAUCUCCUUAAACCCGCAUGCGGGUUUAAAGAGUAUUCGGAUAUUCUCAUAUGCACCUAUGCAAAUCGAACCAACCGGAUAUCUUAUCCGUAUCCCAUUUUUUUAAAUAAAAAUCUUAUAAAUUUGAAAAAUAAAAUCAAAUUUAGAUGUAUUAGGGUUUUAAAAAUAUUAUAUAAGUGAUAAAAAUUUUAUAAAUUGUAAAAAUAAAAUCAAAUUUAAAUAAUUAAAUGUUAUAUUUGCAUAAGAAAUAAUACAAUAAUCAUAAUAAUGAUAAUACAAUAAUAUUGGUGUAAUAAAACUGCCAUUAAUUUAAAUAUUUACUUAUAAUGCCCAAAGAGCCUAAUUACCAAUUUUUUCUUCUCGCGCUCAAAUAUAACAUUAACCCGCAUGCGAGCUAACCUUGAAAUAGAAAAAACACAGAAUCCCGCUUGCGGGUUUCAACGUUAUUAUGCAGGCGGGAUUUUAACCUGCUUGCUUGUGAACAUGUACCACAUUGCUUUGAAUUUUUGUGACAAGAGGAAAGCUUUGUCUGAUGAAUGUAUUUGUGAAAUGACCUGAGUGGUGGUAGAUGGGUUAAUUGGGUCGGUUGCGUUACCCAAUUGUUUAUAUCCAUAAGUAAAAUUUUAUGAUUCCCAUACCCAUCCCCUCACUUUUUCUUAUUUAUUUCUGAUUUUUAUUAGUUUUCAUUAAUUCACUAAUAUAACUUGUACACCUACCUUAAGGGCAUUUAUGGGAACAAAAUUUCCUCUCUUUCCUGAAAACACUUUUUUAUGUUUACUUUUGUGGUCAUGGGCUGAUUUUGUUACAAAAUCAGAAACCUCAAGGGAGGUUAGUGUAAUUGUGGAAACCUCAGGGGAGGUCAGUGAAAUUGUCAGAAACCUCAGGGGAGGUUUCUGAAAUUAUCCCUAAAUUUUAUAUACACUGAUAGUGUAUACACUAUCACGGUUGGAUGCAUGACACGUGAGUAAAAUUUGGAUUUUAAAUUUAAAUUCAGAUAAGUUGUCAUGCAUCCAAUGGUGAUAAUAUAUACUGUCAAUGUAUAAAAGAUUAAUCCAACUAAAAAAUGCCCCAUGUCCCUAAGAACAUAAUUCAUCAUUGCUCUAGCACUCUUAGAUAUAGAGACAAAAUUCUACAUUUAUAGUAAAAUCACAAUUAAUAAAUAAAUAAAAGAGAGAACCAAUGAGUAAUUGCUGAACUUUUUUGCUUAACAAACAUAGUAGUAACUUCUUUAUGUUCCAACUUUCAAUUUCAUUUUUUUCCCUAUAUCACUGUCACCUUUUUCAUCUUUCCCUAGUUUGACAAUAAAAUCCAUAGUUUGCACCUUGCUAAUUUGGUAACUUCAAUUGGCUAACAUUUGUAAAGAGUAAAACUGUUGGGAAAAAAAAAAAGAAAGGGUCUAAAAUUUAUAUAAUAAUAAAGAGACAGGAAGAUAAAAAAUACAAAUAAAUUUUAGAGAUGGUAAAAAAUUGAUAGUGGUGUGGUUGGUAAUAAUGGAGCGCGAUAUUUGGUGAGAGGGAGAAGCGAUCGUAGGAGAAAAAGAGAGAAUAAUAUGAAAGGGGGAGGGAAGAAGAGAUGAAAAUUAGAAAUUGAUGGAGAUUGUUUUUUGAGAUUAGGAAAUGACAAGUAGAAUAUAAGGAUUAUUUUCGAUUUUAAAUGUCCCUUUAUGAAUUAACUAUUAAGUGGAGGAUAUUUUAGUCAUUUGAUUAGACCAAGGGAGGUCUAUGUAAUUAUUGAAACCUUAGGGGAGCUGAAUAAAAUUGUCAAAAACCUCAAGGGAGGUUUCUAAAGUUACCCACCUGUUACUUAUCUAAGAUAUAGUGAAAGUACUGCUUUGCCCUAAGACAUUAUGCAUUAUUACAAAUAGAUAUUUGACAAAAAAAAAGGUUAGGGCACUAAAUAAAUAAGAUAAACUAAUUAAACCAAAAAAUGAUUAUUUCAUCUCAAAUUAGCAACGAUAAUUACAAUAAAAAAAGGGCAUCAAUUGCUGUCCUAAGAGGGAUAAUUUCAGAAACCUCUUUCUGAGGUUUUUGAUAAUUUCACUAGCCUCCCCUAAUAUUUAUAAAAUUACACUUACCUCUUUUGGUAGAAUUGUGGGCCCAAUUACUUACACCAUAUGGGGAGAAAUUACUCAUAUACCCUAGGACAUUAUGUCUUAUAGAAAGUAAUGUAUAACAAUUGAGUAAUUAGAGUACUAAUUAACUAUUAAUAACUAAUUAACGAAAAUAACUAUUGAGAAUAUCUUUGAUGAUGAACGGUGACUUGCAAUUAUAAAAUAAGACCAAUUGAUAUACAAAAUGGCACUAUUUUAUGAUUGAUAAAACUUGAUAACGAUCAGAAACCAGUUGUACACAAUAUGAGAGGAAGAACUUUAGUAAAAGAAAAAACACAUGGCAAAAGAAGAUUGUUCAUGAGAAAUUUUUCUUUGAAACUCUUAAAAUUAUAAUAGUUGUAAAGUAAUUUUGUGGAAGUAAAGGAGAAAGAAGGGAAAAGAAAAGCAAAAGUCAAAAAAAUUUUAUGUUCAAAAUCACAAGAAUCAUAGCAAACUAAUGUUAAGAGCAAUGAUUGGUCUAUUUUACUGAAUCUUAUGAUCAUUAGUGUAGUUUUAUUACUUAUUUGUAUUAUCUAAUGUAUUGAAUAUGAACUUUAUAAGUAAUGAAAUGCGUGUGUGUUAAUUGUUUCUAAUUUUUAAUUAUUUUUAUUUUUUUACUAAUACAACUUAUAUACAUGUAUAAGGGGUAGUUAUGGGAUAAAAGUUUCAUCUCUCUUCUUAAAAUACCUUUUUAAUGUCACUUUUUCUGAUUUGGACUAAUUUUGUUACUAAAACAUUAAGUUCAGGGAAGGUUUAUGUAAUUUUGCAAACCUCAAGAGAGGCUGGUGAAAUUGUUAGAAAUCUCAGGGGAUGUUUAUGAAAUUAUCCCAUCCUUAUAAGAUGGUGCUAUUUUAGUGAUUAAUAUCACUUGACAAUGGGCAGGACAGACAACCUUAUAUAAUCUGCACAGAUAGAUCUUAUGAGCAAGAAAAAUAAAAGAAUUUUCUGAUUGACUUAUUUUGUUGAAUCUUGUGUUAAGACAAAACUAUUCAUGCCUUUUGUUGUUGAUUUGUUGACUAAGACUUUUUUUUUUGCACCAAUACUUUUACUUUUACCUCGUCAACUAAAAUAAAAAGAUUAUUUUUUUACCCAAAUUUGGAUGCUUAUACUAAUAAUUUAAUAGCAUUAUAGAGUUAGUUGUGUCUUUUAUAUGUAGUUGCCAAUGACAAAAAGUUAUGGCCAUUACAAUUUGCACUAGCUAUGUGCAGAGACUAUUGUUGCUACAUCUUUCCAAAUUUUACGUAUAUCCCUUGACUUAUAUUAAUUAUUUUAUUCUUUACUAAUACAACUUGAGGACAAUUAGAAAAGGGCAUAUAUGGAAGAAAAUUAUCAUCUCACUCCUCAAAAUACUUUUUAAUAGUACUUUUUCUGAAUUGGACUGAUUUGUUACCAAAACUUUAAAUUCAAGGGAGAUUAGUGUAAUUUUUAAAACCUCAAGGGAGGCCAGUGAAAAUGUCAGAAACCUCAGUGGAGGUUUUUGAAAUUAUCCCUAUUUUGUAAGGUGAACAUGAAGUUUUUUUUUCUUCCCCUGAUUCUCAAAUCAUUCCUUUUGGGAUGAGUGUUUAUUUGCAAAUAUUUAUUUAUUUAUUUAUUUUUGUAAGGUGAACAUGAAGUUUUUUUUCCCCUGAUUCUCAAAUCAUUUCCUUUUGAGAAUUGAGAUGAGUGUUUAUUUGAGAUGAAUGCUUAUUUGAUUGCACUAGAAAUAUAUUUUUGGAAAUAUUGUUCAAAAUGUCUCUUACAUUUUGUCAAAUAAUUUUUUUCUUUCUUUACAUUUAAAAUAUUCAUUUUACGUCCCUUACGAAUUCAAGUUAGUAAAAUUUGUCCCAAUUUAAGUCAGAUAACUUUUUAAUUUGAAAUCACUAUGUAAUCCAUAUGUAGUCAUUUUUAUGUACGAAAGAUAAAAUUUUAGGUUGGAACUAAAUUUUACCGACUUAAUUUUAACAUAAAGUUACUAUUUUAAAGGUGAAGGACAAAAAAAUUCAUUUGGCGAAAUGUGAGGAACAUUUUGAACAAUUUUCCCUAUAUUUUUCAAUCCACUUUUUUUUUUUUCAUCUUCUCAACCAUCUUUUUUUAUUGCAAAUGAAUCACAAAAAAGUUUCUCCAAACACACUCUCUAUUGUUGUUUGGAUUAGGGAAGGAAGGGAAAAUAUUAAGUGUUAGUUAAGUUUUUAUCCAUAAUUGAAAAGUCUAAAUUUUAAAAAAAUAGAUGUAUUAGAAAAUUUUAAAAAUUUCAUUAAUUUAAGUAUUCUUUCCCUCCAUUUCUACCCACUUUUAGAUGGAAUGAAGAAUUUUUCUAACGAAUAUCCUAUGGGCACACGUUAACACACCUACAUUCCACCUAACCUACCAUGUAUAUAUGCACACUAGCAAUUAUUAUUUUCUCUUGCAUUUAUACAUUUUUUCUAAUUAAUUCCCUUGAAUUUAUAUACUUUUCUUAAUUAAUCUUAUAUUUCUAAACAUCUAACACCUGAAAUAUAUCUUAAUGAGUGCCAUGUGGGCACCCGUUAGACAAACCGAAUGAAAAAUAACUAAAUUUUAUUCCUCCUUUCCUUCUCUAUUUUUUUUCCCCUCUCAAAGAACAAUCCAACAUUAAAAAAUCUUAUCUCUCCAUUUCCUCUCCUUUCUUUUCCUUCUCCUCCUAUUCCUUCAAAAUAAACAAAGCUUAAACUUUUGUUCUAAUUAGUUGUAUUAUUUUACUAUGAGUAAGUUGUCCUUUAAAAGCAUGACAAACAUAAAAAACUUGAGUUCAGCCCCAUCAACCCCAGCCCGAAGGUAUAAGAUGACAAACUUGGUAGAUGAAUCGGUGACUGGACCCGGGGAAUUGAGGUUUCCUAUUUGGUCCAAAAGGCCCAAGUGACAGUUGUACAUACAUAUACCAGUUUUGAAGUUUUCUUUACUCUUCUUUCUCUUUAUGGCAAUCUUUUUGCAAUUGGCCACAGAUCAUGUUUAUUUCAAACUAGUAAGUAAAUAAAUUAACUUCAAAAUUUUCUUCUAAUGAUACAAUACUUCUCAUAAAUCAUGAAUUCAUUACCAUAGAAGAUAAGUGCAGUAAACAGAUAAAUAUCAGGCAAACUAGAGAGAGUUGUGUUUCUUUUUGAGAGCAAGCCAUCUAUCAAAAAGACCAAAUGCUAAUUACUUGUAAAACUAAUGUAGUCAGGAGAUCAGGAGUCUAUCAUGGCUUAUCUGCACAACUGCAGAGAACCCAAAGACUAUACAAUAGUUGCAAUAUGUUUUAACAAGACAUUGCUACCAAUAUACAUAAUAUCCCACCCAAAAAUCCCUCAAACCACUUAUAAAGGACUAGAAAUAGAGGUAGCCAAAAAUUUCUGAAGUGAGGUGGUAAAAGAGAAUUAAAGUGGAAUCUGUGGUUCUUGAAUAUGACUCUAAAUGAAUCUAACUGGAAAAGUAUGCCAAAUGGCACCAGCAAAUUGGAAUGAACUUUAGGGUCACAGAACUAGAUCCACACCAUCACUAGCAUCUGGAAAUGUGACACACUUGAAAACUUUGCAUUUCGAACAGAGGAUGUAUCCAACCUGUGAAAAAUGUAAAUAUACUCAGCAGAUAAUCAGAGUAUCAUGAAUUUGAAUCUGCUUGAACCUGUGAAUUUGAACCUCAAUGAGAGGAAAAAAGGUUCGACCGUCAACUGAACAAUAACCCCUCAACACAGAACUUCCACAGCUUUAUUGAUGCAAUGGCUGCAUGCAAAGUUAAGGGACCUAUAACAAUCUAUGAACUUUUUUUUUUUUUGUCAAAAUAACAAUCUAUGAACUUGAAUACUAAGAACUGACAUGUACAAAAUUAAUACUCGAAACCUUUGACUCAAAUGAUUGCAGAAGUAAAUCUACUUCCCACUAUCAAAUUUGAUGCCAUUGUAUUAUUAUCUUUAAGUUCAUGACCUAAUUAACUUUGUUUUCUUCUGAAGCAGAAAAAUUAAGGUGCAAGAAACGAGAUAUUGGGAAUGGAAGCACUCACAGCUCUACAAGAUGGACAUCGCCGAUAUAUCCUCCUAUUUUCCGCUUUGACAUUAGUCUUCUGUCCUUUACAGAAAUCACAAACUAACCAUCCUCUGCCCCCGCAAGGUUCACACAUAAUUCCCCUCUCAUCCUAUUAGAUAAAUGAAACAAGUAAAGAGUUAAGUUGUAGCUGAAAGAUGCAGCAAAACUGAAAUUUACAGUAUCAUUAAGUUAAAGGAUGGGAAAAAACACAACCAGUUCAGAUCCUCAAAGAAGCAAGAAGUCUGCUUAAAAAGUAUCUCCUUUCAAAUGUCCACACCAUCAUGUGAAUGCAGCUAAUAUUUACUUUACAUAGUAGCUGGUUUUGUGGCCAAGAAUCUUUGUGUGUAGAGAAAGAGAUACAGCCAGGAUAGAACAUCUUAGACUGUUCUUUACUCAUGUUCCUCAUUACAAGGAAUACAAACUCAACAUGUUGCUCAACAGUUUAGCUUUCAAAAGGACAAAAUAUUAAGAAAAGAGGUGCACAUAUAGAAUGAUAUCUUAGAUGGUUGAUUUGGCUCGUACCCCACUGAAUGACAGUGGAUUUUUUGGAAAUAGUUUGACGUCCCACAAAAAAUUGGUUGCAUGUAUACAUAUUAAACUAUAUGCUUUUAAAACCUUAGCUUACCUAUUAGUAUGAAAACUUUACUUGCCAAGAGAAAAGGUCUCGAGGACAUUUUUGUUCCUCGCUACUGCCUACCCUGUGGGAAACCACCAGGAAGUCUCCUCACCUCUUUCCCCUUGCAGAAGCCUACAUCAUGUUCAUUCAAUUCCAUGCCAUUUUGCAUGUUACUUUAGCCAAAGUAAUCACCUUUUCUACACUUGAAAUCUCCUUUUACAUUUCUAAAUUAGAUCAAGGAAGCUCAGCAGCAGGUAUUAAUACACUAGUUGAAAAAGUAUUAACCAGCUUAAUUUUCUGUCUCCCAAUUCUUUGAAGUGACAUGCUGGAUUCAAUAUACUUCACUAAUGGAACUAAAUUUGAACUUUAGGGCUGUAAGGUUAGUAAAGCUUCUGCUUCACCUUGCUAAACUUUCUAAAAGUCUAAAAGCAUCUUUAUUUCUGCGAAAACCCUAAAGCAGAAUAAACAAGAAAUCCAAGUUCAGGCAGUUACCAGGUUGGCUUGAAGCAGAAAAAGGCACAAUGACACAGAAGUGGACCAAUGAACCUGAACUAAAGAAUGACAUUACAGCCGUAAACUUCUUUUUUAUUGAUUUAGGUUACCACCUAAUAAAAGUUUCUUCCUGCCCCUUCCCCUUUCACAAACCAAAUAAAUAAAUAAUUGAAAAUGUUAGACUGAAGAGGGUUCAUAAUCUCUGAAAAUCUGCUUAUCCUUCUAAAUUUAUUAUAGAUUUUUGUCUUAUACUGAAGCUAUAACUCAAGUUACAAAUUUGUAUUGAGUACUCUAAUUCAAUAUCCUCUAGUUCCCCUGGUAGGUUGUAGUCUAGGUUAAUAUUCGGGAAAAUUUCAUGCUUACAUCAGAAAGUUUUGAGCAUACAAUGUUGAAAUCUGGCAUUCUAUUACCUACAAACCCAAAUAUUAUCCUCAAAAUGAAUGAAUGAAAGAGCCUUGUUCAAAACAAUAAGUCACAUUAAUCAUAGUCCAUUUGCUCUCAGGUAUAGUUACUGAGCCAUUUUUUAUCCACUGCUCUCAUCUUCUACUUUGAGACUACUUGGAUCAGCUGUAGGAUAACCAUAGCACUUAAAGGACAUCCAUGGUAAUUAGGUAUACAAGUAUGAAGGAUGAAGAAUGGAUCAAGGAUUAAAAAUUUGUCAAGCUAUACUUCAAGCCCCUCGUAGAUCUCGCUUGCAUUGUAGUUAAGACAACAAAAUGGGGACCUUGCUGGGGAUUAUACAUCUUUUCAUCUCUCCCUUGUACAGAAACUAGUUGUAAGAAGACCAGGAAAACCCUUCAGCUGAAAGGAUGCACAGUAAUGCAAUAUCUCACAGCCUUAAGAUAUAAUCAAGUUCAAAGGAAAUUUCACAAUUAGUUCAUAAUGGACUACGGGCCUUCCACUGAUGAUCUCAAGUGACUUUGCUCCUCAAUAUGGUAUACUUAAUUUGGUGAAUUGGACAAGAAUUAUGUUUAUCUGCUUUUUAAUUUGAAUUUCCUUGAUAGUUAGUCUAUUAUGGGGAUAUUGCCAGUCAUAUACUAAAAGCUAGCUUUUCAAUUAAAAGAACUUAACGCUGAAAGCAUUUUCCUACAGAUUUGAAUUUCCUUGAUAGUUAGUCUAUUAUGGGGAUAUUGCCAGUCAUAUACUAAAAGCUAGCUUUUCAAUUAAAAGAACUUAACGCUGAAAGCAUUUUCCUACAGAUUAUGCUAAAACUCAAAAAGAAGCACUACUAGAAGUGGUUUCAGUCCCUACUACGGGGAACUGGACAGACUAGAUUCAAAGUGGACAACCUUGAUAUUCAUCAAGAGUCACUAAUUAGUCUGUAAGUUCUGAAACACAGCUUACUUCUUGUUAAACGAUUUCCUCAAUCCCUACGUGAAUCGCAUAAUAUUUUGCCGUUGUCAGUUGCCAUAUAUCUCUUUAGUUGGUUAAUUAGUUAAUAGUUUGUUCUCUGAUGAUUGACAGAAGCUCACAAACUGCAUUUUUAAUUCAAUUAAGGUGCAUAAUUUGCAUUUUGUAACUCCCAACUAUUGAGAAAUAGAGUUGUUUCUUUCCCUUAAACCAUUGUCCAAAAAGUUUAGAUAGCAUGAGGUUGCCCUUAGAAAAACAGCAUCACAUCUCUUACUUUUCCAUCCCAAGCAGAAAAGAUUUGCAAAAUGAACUAGAUGCUGAAAAUGAUUUGGUAUUUGUGGUAAAUUAAAGUUUUUCCACUCUAUACCGUUAUUAGAACCAUUUUCUAAAUUCCACUGCUAGUCCUCCUUUACCUGUUGCCUUGUUUGGAGGCAGAAACUAGUAAUCCAAAGCAAUUUCAACGCAAUCGCUCCAAAUUCACCUGGUGUAGAAUUUUCUCUUGGAAAAGGCAAACCAGAUUCAUUUUCAUCACAUUGCUCCAUUAACAGUAAUUUACUAAUUUUCAUUUUCAAAAGAGAAAAUUCCAUCCUUUUCACCUAUAAUUUACAAAAAAUCCCUGGGACGUGAUUAAUCGCCCAUUACUAGUUAUUUAUAUUUGUGUUUAAAAUAAUUAAACAAACCUUCUCAAUCCAUCUUGUAUCAGAAACCUCGAUUCAUCAUACUAAUCUCAACAUUUCUCCUCCUCAGCUACCACUUUCAUCAGGCAACAUCAUCCUCGCAUAAUUUUACCAAAUACUUAUUCAUCCCAACUCAAUUCUAUUCAAUUCAACUUUCUACAUGGCAUCAAUUUCUAGCAAAUUAAUCUAAAGGGAGCUGAUAUUGACACACACUGCUGUAAUUGUUAAUGGCACUUCCCUUUUCUAUUUAUUGCAGUUACAAGUUUACAACUUAAGUGGAGAUGUAGCUGCUAAUAUCAAGUCUCUUGCCAUAAUAUAAGAGUAGAAAAAUUCAGAAAUUCAACAGAACAUUGAAACAGCAUUGACCAAGCAUUCAUAAGAACAAUUCAUGCAGCACAUUAUAGUUUAAAACCCUUCUGGGAAAAAGUAAAAGAAAAGGGAUAAAAUACAAAAUUUGGGUGAGACCUGGGAUGCCUCGGGCAUGUUUCCUGCCACAACAGCAGUUUCAUAUUCUGCAUCACUUGCUCUGAUUUUAUAGCUUCGACGUCUUAGUCUAACUGAUGAAGAUGGCCUUAAACAGGAGAAACUGCAGUCCGCUAAGCCAGCUGGAGUGAAUGAGAUACCGACACAGUCAAACUUGAUCGGUCCAGCAUUGCAAGGCGAAUUCAAAAAUGUUGAAUUCAUCAUCUUAGCCCCUGCAGAAACAAUAAGACAAUAAAAAAAAAAAAACCAUGAAUGAACUGCCGUAAAAGACAGAAAAACAGUGACGUGAAGUUGAAGAAUGAUGGUUUUAGAUAAUAAAAUGGCAGUUGGAACACUGUAGCAAAGAAUGCAGAUGGAAAUUUGGAAGACUUUGCAAAACCAGGAUGGGAUUUUUUUCUUUCUUUUGCUUCAGAAAAAUGGAAGAAAGAACAAUGAAAAUCUUACAGCAAGUCAGAGGGAGAAGAAAAAGAGCCAGGAAAAUAGCCGGGGGUGGCCUUAUCUCGUGCAAUUGACCUUUGGGGUUUAAUUGCACUACAAGCCCCUAUAUUAUACACUGGAGUUUUCCCCUCUUGACCAUUUUUUAUAAGCAUUUGACCCCUUCUUUAUAAGUAUCUUGGGAUAACGUUAGCCCCACUAUCUUAAUUAGCAUCUUAACCCCUUCUUUACAAAGAAAUUAAUAUCUUAAUUGCUUUGGUUUUCUUUUCUUUUCUUAGUGUGUUCCUUUUUCCCAUUUUUUUCCCUUUCUCCUUCUUCCUUUACUUUUUCUUUGUUCUUUCCUUCCUGCAAACCAACAGCACGUUCCUUCCUUGUGCUGUUAUGAUUUAUAUGCUCAGAACAAUUUUAAGUUUUCAAAUCAUUCUUCAAAUUGUGUUUUAGUUUAGUAAUUUGUUGAUUUUGCACUAUUAAUAGGUCACUAAAAUAUGUAAGUCCAAACAAGAAUAUGUUUCUUACACUUUGUCUGACAAUUAAAUUACUUAAGCACAUAUAAAAGUUAAAAGAAAAUAGUAAUUACAUUUUGCUAAAGAAAAAUAAAUAAAUAGUAAAAGUACCAUAUACAUGCAUUGUAAUAAAAAUAAAGCUUAAUUAUAACAUGGAUAAAAAUCAUAUUUCAUAUGUUUAUUGGUUACAUGUGAUCAUUAAUAGUUGAUUAAUUGCAGGCUUUAGUUACCUUUUAUGUAUUUAAAUAAUUUAAUUUUAGUUGGAUAUGGUUUGCAAUAUAUGAACCAUAUAUCUUAUUUUAAUAUAGAGUUUGACAUUAACCCAAAAAAGAAUUGUAAAGAUAAAAAAGAAUGACUUAAGUAAAUAUUGUAAGUUUGCAAAAGGAAAAAAAAAGUGUCUUGCAGAAAGGUGGAAAUAGCUAGUAGCGUGAGACAAUGGUACAUAAAGAAAAGGAAAAGGUAGAAAAUGAGAUUAAAAGAGGAAAAAAUUGGGGAAAAAAAGGGAAAAUAGCUAAGAUAGUAGGAGUACUUUUGUUUGCACAAAUCAAAAAAUAGUGUUAAGUGCAAUAAAGUUCAAUGAGUAAACUGCAAUUCAACGCAUAGUUGACUGAGGAUUAGUGCAGUUAACCCCAUGUUUACUUCAAAACUUUUUUGUACAUAAGUUGGGACAGAUGGGACAAUCUCAGCAAUUACAAUUUUGAAAUAAUAUAUGUGAAUAUUAACUCUAUAAAUGUAAAAAUGAACACAUAUAUAAUGUUUCUCCAUGAGUUUUGUCACGUUUCUAAAAUUUCCUGUCCAUGACAGUUGCUGAGAAACCAUCUUGAGACUCUUUGGUUGUCUAUUUAAUCAGACCUAAAAAAGAGAAAGUGAAUGGGGAGAAAAUAUUGCACUUUACAUUCUGGUGGAGCAAGUGUCUAGUAAUAGAAAAUAUAUUAUAUUUACUUUGUCUUUUUUUUUUUUUUACAUUUACUAUGUCAUUUAUACCUUAUGUGUAGUUAACUAGACAUGUCAAUGGGUAGGGUUUGGGUUAGAUUCCUUUGAUUUAAAUCCAAACCCAUUUAAUUUAGUUAGACCCAUCUAGAUCCAAACAUUUUUGGAUCUGAAAAAGUAAAUCCAUAUCCAAACCCUCAUGGAUCUGGGUAUCCAUAAAUAUUUUUUUGAACAUACUAAAGUAAAAAUAUAUUAAAAAUGUAUCGAGUUCAUAAAUAAUAUAAAUAUCAUCCAAUUUUUGUUUUCGAAUAAUAAAAAUAACAUUUAACAAGUUGAAUGCAAUAUUAUGAAGUUAAAGAAAGAACUAUAAUUGACUACUUGUGUAUAUGUUCAAAGAUUUAAUAGCAUCUACAUCCAAUCUGUCAUUUGUUUGCUUUUACCUUUUUUUCCUUUUCCUGAAAAAGUCUACACCAAUUACAACUACGAUUAGUUUUUAAAAAAGAAAACAAUCAUAACAUAUAUAAAUAUUCAACCUUAUUGAAAAAAUGUAAUUUUGUACCUCUUUUUCUUAUUUAAGCCUCAAUAUUGGUAGAUGUCUCGCAAUCGAGCCCUAAAAUAGUGAAUGAGACAAAAGUCAUUUGACUAAAAACCGAUAGCAAAUAAAUAAUAGAAUAAGAAUAUUUAUAUAUACUUACUCAUUUUUUUCUUUGAUUCAAUCCAAUCAUCAAUAGUCACUAAUGUUUCAACCACAUCUGGAAGUAAUUUGGCACGAGUCUCAUCAAUCACUCUACCACCAACACUACAUGCAGAUUCUGAUGCAACUAUAGUGGCCAGAACAGCGAAUAUAUCACUUACCAUUUUUGCCAAAAUAGGGAAUUUUGGACAAUUAGCUUUCCACCAUUCUAAAAUAUCAAAAUUGUCCUUUCUUGGAAACUUUUGCUCUUCCAAGUAUUGAUCGAAUUCUGAAUUUUGAUUUGCAUGAAGGCUAGAUGAGCAAGACUCGAAGUACCAUUCAUCAAAGUCACUCAAUGCAUCAUUACUUGAACUACUUUUCUCAACACUUUCACUGUUCCAAAGAUCUAAUGAUGGUAAAAGUUCACCUCCAUAAUCCAUAUACAAAUCAACAAAAGUACUACGAACCCGUUGAAUGUAUUUUUCAGCGUUAUGUCCAUGAAUUUGUCUAUAAUAAUAAUCCACCAAAUCCAUCUUAAACCUUGGAUCAAGCACUACAGCUAUUGCUAACACCAAACUACACUCUUCCCAAUAUUUUCAAACUUCUCUUUCAUUGGAGCAGCCAUAUGUCUAAGAAAGUCAUGUUCACUUUGUUCCCAUUGCAUCAAUUGAAGUUGAAUGCUACAAAUAUCAGGAAAAAACACAUUUGCUGUUGGAAAUUUGGUACCACUAAAAUGAUGAGUUGCAUUAUAAAAGUGUUUUAGACAACCAUGAACAACAACAUCAACUUCCCACUCCUUUUGAGAUGGAUUAUACUUAUAGUUCUUAUUUAUUUGGUCUAAACGAUCAAAAGCUUCCCUUAGUGGUAAUGCAGUAUCAAGCAUUGUGAAGCGAGAAUUCCACCUAUUGUGAACAUCCAAACCCACUUUCCUUUUACCUUUCAACUUAAAUUGGUUAAUUGCAUUUUCAAAUUUUUGAUUUACAUAAGCAGACUUUUUCAAAUAUUUUACUGUUCCUCGAAUCUUGCUAAGCAGUCCUCCAAUUUCAGCCAAUCCAUCUUGGACAAUCAAAUUUAAUAUAUGUGCACUACAUCAAACAUGCAGUAGUUCCCCUUCCAAAGAUAGCAUAGACUUGUCAACAAGCCAAGAUUUCAAGUAUUUGACCAUAGAGUCAUUUGAAGUUGCAUUGUCAACUACUACUGAAAAAAUUUUCUUCUCCAAAUUCCACUCUAUUAUCAAAUCAGAGAUUAUUUAAACAAUCUUUUCACCACCAUGGGGAUAUGCAAUAAUUUUCUUCUUCAAUUCCUAAUCCUCAGUUAUAUAACAUGCAGUCAAGCAACAAUACCCAAUAUUUGAGUGGUCUGAUGUCCAAAUAUUAGUAGUACAAGUAACUUUAGAAGAGAUCGAUGUCAUCCAAGUGGUUGUACAACCUUUUCUUUUCCUCUUUAUGCAAAUUAAUCACAUCUACCCUUAAAGUAUUUCGACUGACAACCUUGAAAUUUGGGUUUAAACCAUUGCAAAAUAUGUCAAAAAAUUCACGGUCACACAUAUUAAAUGGAUAAUUAUGCUUAAUUAUCAUCGUGGCCAUGUCUCUUCUACUAGUUUCUUGAUCAAAUCUGUAAGGCUCAAGUUUUACAGUCCCAUCAUUAACAUUCUUUGCUGUAAAAAGUAACGAUUGGUUUUUUCUCUUCCUAGCAAAACAGUUUCAAUAUGCUUUUUUAAGUGGCUAGUACCAGAAGUAGUUUUUGCUGCAAAUUUUUGCUUACAAUGCUUGCAUGUUGCAACACCAUUACUUCUAUCGAAAUCAUCCCAUACCUUUGAAUUUAAUUUUUUCUUCCCUUCAACAGGCAUGUGUUUUUCUUCAUCUCCCAAGAUGACCACUUUAUUUUCAUCUCCAAUAUUAAGAGUGGGAUCCGUUGCCAUUUUCUAGAAAAAUAAUAGAUUGGUUAUUAACAUGAUUCAAUGCCUAUAAAAGUAAUAUACCUUAAUUUGCAAGUACUAUGAAUAAAGUAAUCAGUAGAUGACUAUUAUUUCAUAAAGCAAAACGAACCAAUGCUUUAUAAUAUCAUGCAUUUAUUAUUACUUUAACAUAUCGUGCACAAACUAUUUAAUGUGUACAUAGACGAAUUGAGAACAUUACAAUAGAUUCGUUACUACCAAAUUACAUCAUAUAUUCAUAUGAAAUAUUUUUUGAACUUACCAAUCUUUGAACUUAGUAGAGUAAAACAAUAAAGACAAACUGAGAUAUGGUAGGGCAAAAGAAAUAGUUUGCAAGAUUUCUAAAGAAACGAAAUAGAGAGGUAGAGAAAGACAAUGGAGGCACACAAUAGAUAGGCAUAGGGGGAACUAAUUAGUAUUUUAUUAGGUUAAGAGCGAAUCAUUUAAUCUAACGGUCAUGAAGUCUUACAUCCAAUAGCCAUAGAAUAUUAGAUUAUUUUAUAAAUUUACUAAUAUUUAUUAUUUAAUUAAGUAUACCUGGAUCUGGGUAGGGUUUGAUAUGGGUUUGGGUUUGAAUAUGGAUUUUAAAAAACAAGAUCCUAUCCAAACUCAUGACUCUUUCACAGGGUCUGGGUCUGAGAAUGGUCUGGAUUUGAAAAUUAAAUCCAAACCCUACCCAAAUGUAUUGGAUCUGGGUUGGAUGUAGGUAAGACCCGAUCCAUUGAUAUGCCUACAAUUAACUUUGAGGAAAGCAGGUAAAUCUAUACCUUCUACCAAAGUUUAUUCACAAUGCAUACAACCAUAAAUUAAAUUUGAUCUUGUCAUGCAAGGUGCACAUUUUGCAAAGAUAAUACAAAACACCUUCAAUCAAAUCAAGAAUUUGUAUAUUUGAGAAAAGAGAAUGCAAAACACCUUCAAUCAAGUCAAGAAUUUGUAUAUUUGAGCAAAAAUAUAAGCUCGACAGCUACUUUAUUUCCAAUCAUGAUUCUAAUCUUUUUUUUUGAAGGUUUUUUUUCCCUCUCAUUUUUGUACAUUUGGGAUCACAUUUUUUGCCAAAUUAUUCCCUUCAUUGAGGACACAUAUGCAUCUAUGUAAAAUAUGCAUAUUAAGAUGCUAAAGUUGGAUUCUAUUUGAGGGUUUGCUGGGUUCACCAUAUAACUGUGGCAAAACUGAAAAGGUCUAAGGUGCAAAAUUAUCCAAUUGGACACUGCAUGGAGGUAAAGUAAAAUUUAUGUCAUUGUCAAGGGUGUGUUUUGUAAUUAACCCUAUUCUUUUCUUGAAGGCAAGUAAAUUGCCAAGGUUUGAGCACAAAAGAUUGACAAUAGAUUACUUGGUUAAUUCCAAUAAACUCUAUUAAAAAAUAUUUUUUUUUUGCAUAUUGCCCCGAUGGAUAUUUGAUUGAACCAAUUUAUUCUUAUGCUAUAACAACCAUUUCAAUUUGAUACAAUUGGGCGGAGCCCAAAUUUAGGCUAAAUUAAUCAUGUGCAAGGCACAUGAUUUCGUGAACUUUUUCAAAGAAAAAAGAGAUAAAAAAUACAUUUGAAAUACUAAAAGUGUAAAGCAUAAUGCAUCGUGCCACACCUUGUCUUUUGAAAUAAAAGGAAAGGUAUUAAAAAAUGAGUUUUUAAUUUUAGAAAAUAAAAAAGGGUCUAAAAUGAGAUUUAGAAAAUGCAAACGUUUGGCCCUAAAGUAAUAGUCUAAAAAAGUUUUUAGAAAAGGAGAGUUGUCACUUGGUAUCAAAUUUAGGCGUAUCAAGUCACCCAAAAAAAUAUUAAACAAUUGAAAAUAAAUAAAACCUUUUUAGACGACUCCAGAUUUUUUAAAAUGAGAGAAAAGGGUUUAGGAGUCAUGGUUGAUGGUUGAAAAAAAGAAAGGCAAAGAUUUGAUUGACUCAAAUUUAAGGUAUUUUUUCAACCUAAACAGAGCUAGAUACGAGAUUUAGUCAAAAAUUUUCCUAAUCUAAUAUCUAAACUUAUCACAUUUGAAUACUUCUAUAUGGAUGCAAACCUAUACCUAUAGAUAUCAGGAGGAAUGAGAUGUCUUUUCAAAGUUUAAUUAGUAUCAAUCACAUUAAUUGUGAAGCUCAAGAAUGGUUCCUUGAAAAGGUCACGAAAAUGCAAAACAUAAAAUUCGAAGAAAAGAAAAUUAUGAUAUAUAGAUAAACAAACAUGGUAUAAAAGAAAGGAAUGCAAUAUAAUGGGUUCGGGAGACAAAAAUUUAUGACACAAUUUUCCUUUCUCAUAAAGGAGGUAAUAACAUGCUAAGACUAAGAAGCUAUACUCACCCAUUUUCCAUAUUUGAAGGGUGACUUUUCUAAUCUAGAAAAACAAAUGGAUUAACUUAUUUUCUAAUUAGCUAAAUGAAAUGCAAGUUUAAAUGAUAUGGUUUGCGCAUAUAGGGAUAAGGGAAUAUAAGAGGACAUAUCACGCAAAUGAAAAUAACAUAAAAAUGAAAAAAAUGCAUGAAAUGCAAUAAAUAUCACACCAAAGUAUGAAUUUAAUGUAUAGAUGGCUUAAGGAUCUAGUAUUGGAUUAGCCUAUUUCUACAAGUUCUCAUUAGCGUUGGACUAGUGAAAAAUCGAGAAGAAAAGCCACAACUAGCAUUGGACUAGUGUGGUGACAUCAUGCACUCAUUAUAAAUAAAUAAAGCAUAUGGAGUAUAAUUAAAACAAAUAAGUACAUAGAGCAUGUAGAACAUAUAACACGUAGACAUAAUAUCUAAAUGCAAAACCAUAGGAAAAGCAAAUAAAACACAUAAGCACAUAAACAUAUAAGCACACAAGCACAUAAGAUCUAACUAUUACAUUGGGAGUGCUAACUACAAUCUAAAAGGGGAAAUAUAAGAUAAUAAACCUAUCUAACCUACCUAUUAUAUUUAUCUUGCUAAUUAUAUUUUUUGCAAAAAUAAAACCUACCUAUUAGAUUGCCUAUCUCAUUACAUUUGCACAAGAGGAUACAACCUAUCAAUUACAAUUUGGGCAUUUAAAUACCCUCCAAGUAAUCAUAAGACUUAAAUUUAACAAACAUAAAAAUGAAUAAAAGCUUAAAAUAAAUAAAUAAAAGAAAAACACAUGAAAUAUAUAAACACAUAGGAGCAUAUAGGAACAUAUAAAAGAAAUUUAAAGGAUAUUAGUGGUACCUCCCUUUUAAAGUAGUAGCUAAGUGAGGGAAAGGGAGAGUUGUUUAUUUUUUAAAAUCAACAAACAAGUCAAUGUACCAAUUUAAUUGACAAUUAAUUAUUAAAAAUAAAAAAUUUAAUCUAAUAAAUUAACACUCCAAGCAAUGCAUGAAGAAUCAAAGAACCAAGGGAAUCUUAAUAAUAAAAGCAACAAAUAUUCUUAUGGACUAAAAUGAAAAAAUUAAAAAUUUUUGGGGUAAAAGUAUUAAUUUAUUAAAAAUUAGGGGCUAUAAUGCAAAUUUUGCAAAAAUAAUUUUUACUAUCCUAUUAUUCAUAAUAUAAUAAUAUUUGAGCUAAUUAACCACCAAAAAUUAUUUUGGAGCCAUCAAACCAAAACUAUUUGCAUUAAUUUCUAAAGUUGCCAAAUUGAAAAUCUAAAUUUAACAAAUUUUAUUUAAACCCUAAUUAUACUUAAAAACAGAAUUAAUUCACCCAAAACAUGCAUAAAAUAUAUAAAAGAGAUCGAGACUUUAAAAGGAAGAAAUUUAUUCAUUUUCACAAUUUUUUGGGCUUUAGUAUAAUUAUUCAAAAGUUAGGAGGCCAAAAUGCAAAUUUCUUGUGACCGAUUCAAAAUAAAAACAACUAAAAUUUUACAACAACAUGAAUGAACAGUAUCCUCUUCAUUUGCUUUUCCUUUUUUUUUUUUUUUGAAAGAAAAUCCUAGAAAAUGGUUUAAUGAGAAAAGGCCAACAAUAAAAUAAGCCAACUUCCAAACCAUCACAUAUUAACUAGGCCAGAUGUCUAGGCUUUAGUGUCUUAGCCCAGGCAAAAAUUCAAUGGAGAGCCUAGUUCAAAGAUGAAAGUAAACCCAAACUAAAGAACCACACUUUGGCUCACUAAGAAUUCAAACCCAAUGAUAUAUUAUCAACAAGCCUAAUUUAAAAUGGUAUAAAGCUUGGCCCCAUUUUUAACAUUGGCCUAUUUCUUUACUUCAAACAAGAUCCAUAAGCAACUAAGUAAUUUUGGAAGAUCAAAACAAGAAAGACAAAAUGGAAAAAAUUUAAAAGGACAGGCAAUAACUAAAUGAAAAAAAAGAAAUGUUCUAUCGAAAACUGGAAAAUUUCCGGGCACUUGGCUGGAAUUCUCGCCGAAAAAUUUGUCAAAGACUUCUAAGGUUAAAUUUUGGCAUGAACAUGAUCCUUACAACUUCAUGAAAGCAUGUGAAACAUCAAACAAGAUCUAGAGAUAAUAUAAAACAUGCAAAAUAACAUCUAAAUUUCAAAACCACAACAUUGAUUCCACUCCCAUGUUAUUUCUUAAAACCAAACAAAGGUCAAUGGAAACUACAUGAUUGGGUUACUGAGAUGGUAAGGAGCAAAACUUGUCAAUAUUUGGAUCCAAAACGUUCAUAUAAGAGGAACAUAAAACAUGAAAUCAGCCCCAAAUUCGCAAAACAAAGAAAAUCCCUAGUUUAUGAUUUGAAAAGUCAAUUUCCUAGUUUUGGCAUUUUCCUAGUAUAAAUGAAAUGCAUCAGAUGACUAAAGAGGCCAUUAUAAGCUUUGGUAAUCAUGAAGUGGGCAUCAACAAGAGAAUAACAUAGAUCAUCUAGCCUAGUCAAAAGCAAGAACUUAGAACUCCUAUAUAAUGGACUUAGAUUUUCAUACAAAUUUGAAUCAAAGGAGAAGAGAAGUAAGAGUUACUGUGACGACCCCACCUCUCCCUAGGGCGUACCCCAGGGUUUAGCAGACCGCCUACCCAACUUUCACCAGAAUUCGCUCACUUACUUUGGAUAAAACAAUUCACAACCUCGAACGUAAAUGGAACAACAGUUUUCAAGUUUGGAACGUACAAAUACAUUCAUUUCUGUCUCAAACUUCCAUACAAUCCCAAAUAUAUCAAAAGAUUUGAGUUCUAAAUACAUUCAACCCUAAUCAAGCGACUAGUGCAAGUACAAUUACAAAAUUUUCAAAAACUAGGCUACGCUAGCCAAUACCAGUCUCACGCCUCACUCGUACCCCCUGUAAGGAAAACAAAACUAAUAGAGUGAGCUAAACCUCAGUGAGGUUCCAAAUAGCAAAUUGACCAUUAAUUAAAAGUAAAAGUAUCAAAGUGGCAAAGUAGCGAGCAUCACAAGUCAAGAAAAUGAGCAAUAACGCUUCGUAUGGCCAAACAUUAAGUAUUCAACAUUUCAAUUAAAAGGAUACAGUUGCUUUUGCAAACUAGCUCCACCAUAACUUGAUCAAGUAGUAGUUGACACUCCGUUAAUUUUCAAGUAAGGUAACUAGUCCAAUAGUACACCACUUAACUCCAGUCUCCGUCCACUGACCAAACCCCUUGCCGGGCCUGAACUCCAAGAUAAACACUGGUGGUAAUACUUGAGUAUACCGAUUAGUCGAGGAGAUAACACUCCACUCGAUAAAACUAAAGACCCAGAGUUCGUUAUCUAAUCAACCAACCCCUUGCCGGCUCAACUCGAUUAACUAGCCACAGGGUUUCUGAAAUUCCAGACAAGAUACGAAUCAUAUACAUGUAUAUCGAUUCAAUUGCAAUCAAUGAACAAGAAUAUAUCAUAUUAGAGCAAAUGCGAUAAAGUACACCCUUGUCCGACCAUACCAAUCAAAUAUCAUUCGAUCACAUUGGUCAAGUAUUAAAAACAAGUGUCAAGUUCAAUCAGAUAUUUGGAAGCACUCACCAAAGAUUUAGUGCUUCUUCGGAUCACGUUCAGGUAUUACUCCUUGUUUGGAGUCCAAAUUUGCGAUAUAACAUCGUUUAAGAGCUUUGAAAUUAACUAAGGUUCGAAACUUAAGCUUUUCGUUUAAUGAAAAUCAAGUGACUGAAACUCAUUUGGGUAAUAUUCAUAUUACUUAUCAUACCCUAGAAAACUCAUGCUCGCUCUUUUAGUUUUGGUAAGGAAGCGGUUAAAACGUUUAAGUUCGAAAAGUGGGCUCAAGGACGAGAAAAAUAUAUUCCGAGUGGUCGCUACUUUCACUUUUCCAAGGGUACGAGUUUCGGCCGAAUUUCAGUUUGUAUACCUCUAUGAAAGAAGACUCGACUACCUUAGAGUGUCUAAAUUCAACUCGACCUCAAAUUUUCGCUCAAGUCGCGAGUACACACGCCUAACCUUCGAGUGAAAAUUUGGGCGGCAUGCUCUUUGUAUUUAGCUAUUUUCCAGCCAUUUAUGGCUUCAUUAUUUUCCUCAACUCAGCCCAAAUUCACACAUAAAUAAUCUUAACACAAUAGCCCUUCAACUAGGCUCAAUGUCAUUCAAAUACAAAGCAAUUCUAGCAAUGUAAUCCUAAAUCAAAGUUGGAAACUAGUAUUAAAGAAGAAUAACUAAGUAACAGGUUUGACACCUUCUGGCAUUUUGGUCACAACUGAAUCUACGCUUAUCGAAUUGGGGUACAUUUUAUGGUGUUUCGAAACUAAAAUAGAAAUAUACAUUUCGUAUGAAGGCAUCAACACCCAGUUCGUGCAUUUUCAAGGUCAAAAUGUGACAUCUCAGAGAAAACAGAAAGCUGCCUGUGAAAUAGGCCUUUUGGCAGUAAGGGGUAUUUUAGUCAUUUCAUAAGAUAUAGUGCUCCGAUUGGGAUGAAAUUUUAUAGGAAGAUAGUUAACUCCAUUCCCUACAACUUUCAUGUUUUGAGAAAGACCUGAUUCAGCCUCUAUCAUGGACGAAUAUGCAAUUCAGAAACAUGGCAGAUUCAUCAUCAAAGCUGGAAAUUCACUUCUACUCUAAAAAUUCAUAUUCUAACUCAUUACUAUCAAGUACUAUAUCAUCAAAACCAUUAAUUACUAGUUCAAUACCAUCAAUUAUUAGGUAGACAACCAUAAUCAAGGCUGAAAAUGUAAACCCUAGCUAACCCUUCCAUUAUAUCAUCUAAAAUUGAAUCAUUAACCAUAAUAAACCAAGAACAUAAGCUUCUAUCCAAAUUUAAACAAGAUUAAGGAAGAGAAAAGGAAAGGUAGUCAUGAUACCUUCCAAUAAUUGCUUGUAAGUGAAAACCACACCCUUUUCUUCCAAAACUUUUACCACACAAAACUUUCCAACCACCAAAAGAGAAGUUUAAUCGGUUUAGUUUAGUUGUUUUUACUCAAACAAGGAUGGAUUCAAGGUGAAAGUUGGAGUUUUCUCUCUUGUUGUUUUUCUCUCCUCAAGCUCGGCCAACAUAAAGAAAAUGGAGAAGAAAUAAAGCCAAGAGAAAGAUAAGAAAAUAGGAAUUUGUUUGGUCAAAGUUGGAUGGAUGGUCGCCAAGUGUCACCGCGAGAUUAAAGCUCAAAAUUUUCUUCUUUUUCCUCUUUUCUUGGUUAACAUUUGCAGUCACUUAAAGCUAAUGAAGGGCUGAUAUUUCUGAAAUAAUAGCAAGGAGAUUAAGGUAAUAAAGUAGUGUUCAAGUGGUGUAUUCAAUCGGUAACAACCGGUGCACGUCGGUUGAAUCCAAUUUUUCUUAACUCGCCCAUAUUAGUGUUGUAACUUAUGAUUCACUAACUUAUUAUUAUCACUUCUAAUCACACACUUUUUCUUAUCUAAAACUCACCGUUAACCACCAAAUUUAGUACACACUCCGCACCGAUUAAUCACACUACCAAAAGACGCAAAAACCCUAAUUUACCCUAAUGAUGAAAGUAAAGGGGAAACUCUUAAUUCUUUUCUUUAUUCCAACUAUUGAGGGAGUAAAUGAGUUGUAAAACUAUCAUAAAGUAAUUGAUUCAAAAUAAAAGGGAAUUUUAAGAAAAUAUGAGGAAUUUUACAAGUUCUCACACUCUCUCCCCCUUAAAAGAAUUUCGACCUCGAAAUUCAUACCUUUAGUCGUAAACAGUUCAGGAUACUUCUCUUGCAUGUCUUUUUCCAGCUCCCAGGUUAUUUCCUCCACCUCAUGGUGUUUCCAUAGAACCUUAACCAGUGAAAUUUGCUUAUUUCUCAAGUCCUUUACAUUCCUAUCCAGUACUCGAAUGGGUCGUUCCUCAUAGGUUAAAGACUCGUCCAGUUCAAUAUCUUCUGGUGGUAAAAUGUGAGUCAGAUCCGGGUGAUAUUUCUUAAACAAAGAAACAUGAAAAAUAUCAUGGAUCCGAAAUAAACUAGCGGUUAACUCUAGUUGAUAAGCCACAUUUCCUAUCCGCUGGAGUAUAUUAAAAGGUCCUAUGUAUCAUGGUUGCAAUUUUUUCCCCUUUCCUGUUUUAAUCUUUCCUUUCAAUGGAGUAACCCUAAGAAACACCUUAUUUCCUAUCUCAAACUCCAAAUCCUUCCUCUGAUGAUCAGCGUAGCUCUUUUGUCGACUUUAGGCCGUUUGAAGCCUCUGACGAAUUACUUUUACCCUUUCAUAGGCUUCCUCAACCCAUGCUAUUGUGGCCGGAUCUGUGAUCUUCCUCUCUCCUACUUCAUCCCAAUAAAUAGGUGAUCGACACUUUUGUUCAUACAAUGUUUCAUAUGGAGCCAUUUGAAUAGAAGAGUGACAACUAUUAUUAUACGCGAACUCAACCAGUAUUAGAUAUUGGUUCCAACUCCCUCCAAAAUCUACUAUACAGGCUCUCAAUAUAUUCUCAAGAGUUUGAAUGAUUCUCUCAAACUGUCCACCGGUUUGAGGAUGAUACGCUGUACUAUAGCUCAACUUAGUUCCUAGAGCCUCUUGCAACUUCUGCCAGAAUUGAGAUACAAACCUAGGAUCUCUAUAGGAUACUAUACUUACUGGUACCCCGUGUAAUCUCAGGACUUCGUUCAUAUAGAGUUUGGCAAAUUUCUCCAAGGAGUAUUUCAUAUUAACUGGCAGAAAAUGUGCAGUUUUAGUUAAUCGGUCCACUAUUACCCAAAUCGCAUCAUGACCUUUUUGAGUUCGUGGCAACCCUGAUACGAAAUCCAUCGUUAUGUGCUCCCACUUCCAUUCAGAUAUCUUUAAAAGGUAUAAUAGACCUGACGGUUUUUUAUGCUCAACUUUCACUUGUUGACAUGUAAGGCACUUUUGUACAAAUUGAGCAAUCUCUACCUUCAUAUUAUCCCACUAAUAUAGACUUUUGAGAUCCUGGUACAUUUUGCCACUAUUUGGAUGCACCGUGUACCUAGAACGGUGAGAUUCCUCCAAAAUCUCCCUUUUCAGUUCUUCAUCAUUGGAUACAACGACGCGAUUUCGGAACCUUAGAAUCCCAUCAAGACUUAGGUUAAAAUCAGACAAUUCUCCUUUCUUUACUCUUUCCACCCACUUUUGUACCGUUGGCUCUUUUGUUUUGCCCUCUUUAAUUCUGUCCAACAUCAUCGACUUUACCUCAAUAUUUUCAAAAAUCACUUUGUUUGGUUCAAGAUGGGGCUUCCAUUCACAGAUAUCCUCUAACAAGCUCCACUCUCCCACUAUUAAACCUGCUAAUUGAGCUUUUCGACUUAAAGCAUCAGCUACAAUAUUGACCUUUUCUGGAUGAUAAUUAAUGGUACAAUCAUAGUCUUCUAAGAACUCCACCCACCGACGUUGUCUCAGAUUUAGCUCUUUCUGAGAAUAUAAGUACUUAAAACUCUUAUGGUCUGUAUAUACCUCAAAGGUCACCCCGUAUAAAUAAUGCCACCAUUUCUUCAUAACAAACACAACUGCUGCAAGUUCUAAGCCAUGGGUUGGAUAGUUUUGUUCAUGAGACUUUAACUUCCUAGAAGCGUAGGCAAUCACAUUCCUAUUUUGCAUUAAGACACACCCUAAUCCUUCUCUCGAAGCAUCGGUAUAAACUGUAUAGCUAUCCUUUCCAUUUGGCAAAGUUAAUACUGGAGCCAUGGUCAAUUGCCUCUUAAGCUAUUGAAAACUAUUUUCACAUUUAGCAUCUCAAAUAUAUUUUCCUUGUUUCUUUGUCAAGUUAGUUAGGGGUCCCGCAAUUCUUGAGAAAUUCUUUAUAAACCAGUGGUAGUACCCCGCUAGACCCAAAAAGUUUCGAAUUUCAGUAGGAUUCUCCGGCCGUUUCCAUUUGGCAACAGCUUCCACUUUAGCUCGGUCUACAGUAAGUUCAUCUUUUGAAAUUAUAUGGCCUAGGAACGCCACUUUCUCUAGCCAAAAUUCACACUUGCUAAACUUAACAAACAACUGGCGCUCUCUCAAGAUUUGCAAUAUUAUUCUCAAGUGUUGCUCAUGCUCCUCCCUUGUCUUAGAGUACACCAAGAUAUCAUCAAUAAACACCACUCCAAACCUAUCCAAAUAGGGUUUCAACACUCGAUGCAUUAAAUCCAUGAAUGCCGCUAGGGCAUUGGUUAAGCCAAACGGCAUUACCGCAAACUUGAAAUGCCCAUAUCGAGUGUUAAAAGUGAUUUUUGGCAAAGGAUAUUUAUUCUUAAUGGUUAUUGCAUUCAACUCUCGAUAAUCAAUGCAUAACCUUAAACUCCCAUCCUUCUUUUUGACAAAUAGCACUGGAGCGCCGUAAGGUGACUCGCUCUCAUGUAUAAAUUUUCGUUCUAACAAGUCUUGCAAUUGAAAUUUUAGCUCCUUAAGUUCGGCGGGCACCAUUCGAUAAGGAAUUUUUGAAAUGGGAUUAGUUCCAGGUAUUAAAUCAAUUUUAAAUUUAAUUUCUCUUUCGGGUGGCAAAGACACCAACUCAUCUGGAAACACAUUGAAUACUCAUUUAUCACCGGCAUCUCUUCUAGUUUACACUUUUCUCUUGGGGUGUUAACUAGAAACGUCAGAUAUCCCCGUGUCCCAUUACUUAACAAUUUCCUAACCCUAAUUCUCGAAAUAAGAGCAGAUGAACCUAGAAUACCUCUCACGUCUAGUUUUAAAGUUGCCUCACCCGAUAUGUAAAAUUCAACCACUUUCAUACGACAAUCUAUCCGAGCAUGAUAAUGAGCUAGUCAAUCCAUUCAUAGAAUAACAUCGUACCCCUUAAUGGCUAGACUUAUAAGGUCAACUACUAAUUUCUGCUUACCAACCCAAAUAUCACAGUUUCUAUACACCUCAUUGGCAAGAAAAGAUUGGUUACCCGUAGGGGUUUUCACUUCUUGGUCAUAUGGUAGUCUUUCGGCUUUCACAUCAAUUUCAAACAUAAAUGCGGGGCUAACAAAAAAUUGGGUUGUACCAGGGUCUAUUAAAAUUUUGGCUAAACGAUGAAAAACAGGAAUCGUACCUUUCACUACCUCCGAUGGUUCAAGUACCGAUUACUGGUCCAAAAAUUACACUCUGGUUGGCACCCUUGACUUGGUCCCUCCUACAUUGGUUGAUUUAGGGUUUGAUUUGCCAGCCGACUGGGCAUCACCAAUCAGUGGGUAAUUGACGAUCUGGUACUCAAUACUUCCACACCUUAAGCACUUUUGAGCCUUUCUCCAACAAUUAUUCUCGGUAUGGUUAGAUUUCCCACAGUACCCACACGAUACUCGGGGGACGGAUGUCUGGCCUUCCUACGAGACACCUCUCCCCUGUCCCCUUCCACUUGGGGCUCCCCUCGGAGUACCUCCUCUCGAUGUACCCGUAAAUCUUCCACCUCCAACUCCUUGAUCGGCUUUAGGAGGUGGCAUGUUCCGAUCACUAUGUGCCGGCCCUUGAUUCCCACCAGGCGUCCCUCUCUGUUUUGCAUGGAAAGUUCUUACUUGUGCCCUGGCAAUUUCUAUUUUCUGGGCUUUCUCCAAAACCUCCGUAAAAGUGUUAAUUUGGGUCGCCGCCAAGGCCUCCUGUAUUUUCACAUUGAGUCCCUGUACAAACCUCCUUACCCUCCUUUGCUCCGUAGCUAUCAAUUCGGAAGCAAAUUUGGAUAGUUUCGUAAACUAAGUCUCAUACUCAGCUACACUUAGGGCUCCCUGAAGAAAUUUAAUAAAAUCAUCUUCCCUCUUCUUCUGGACUAUCGGUGAAAAAUAUUUCUCGUUAAAUUCCCGCACGAAAUUCAACCAAGUCCAUGCAGUUCCCUUUCUCUCCCACUUAACUCUAAUUACAUUCCACCAGGUUUUGGCUGGUCCCUCAAACUGAAAGGUAGCAAAAUGCACCUGUCUAUGCUCCGCAUAGUUUAAAGCAGCGAAUAUAUUGAUCAUUGUUUCUAACCACUUUUCACCUACCUCAAGAUCCGCCCCUCCCAGAAAUUUAGGAGGAGAAAUUUUUGGAAUCUAUCUAGGUCCCUAUCUUGUCCCAUUUCAGGAUCCUUGGGUUGAUUAAUAGGGGAUUGACCCUGCUGCUCUACUAGUCGAGUAAGAAUAUUAGUCAUUUGUUGAAUUGUCGUUGCCACCUGAUCCCCCCUUCCGCUCAGAGUCCAGGUUGCGGCUCAACCAUUGCACCUCUUUCCUCUCUCAAUUCUCGCACUGAUUCCUGUGCCUGUCUACCCCACGGCCACGGCUAGAACCACGCUCUCGGGUAGUCCCACUAUCCUGACUUCUUCUAUCUUCCAUGCUUCUUGAAUAAUAGACUAUAUAAAUAUAAAAUGAGUAUAAAGUAGCCAUUAAACUCAAAUAAAAUAUUUCCCAAUCAUAAAGGAAGGACACUAAAAUACAUUUCAAAUAAACAUUCCCUUCAUAUACAUAGCAAAAUAAGUCACAUAACAAGUUAGAAAGUACUGUACAAACCAAGGGACAUAAAACAAAAGCAAACCCUAUAUACAUCAAUUUGGACACGUCAAAUUCAAAAACAAAAGGUGACGGUCAUCCCACUAUGUCCCUAACUACCUCACAAAAUCCCUCAAAUCCUAGAUCCCUAGUCUAGUCAAUCACUUACCCAACCGACUCUGCCUCUUCCGCGGGUGUAGCCGGCUCCUCCUCGGGAUCACUGGGAACCACGUUCCCUUGACCCUCCUCGGCCAAGUUCUGCACCACAUCCUCUACUGAGGCCCCGCACUCUGUCAAGAUAUGGUCGGUCCGGUCUCUCACGUCUCUAACUACCUGAACAAGGCGAUCAUUAGCCGCUUGAGCCUGCUUUCUGAAGGCAUUAGUCCGUUCCUGCUCCUCAAGAACCGAAAUCUCAAGCUCUCGGAUCCUGGCACCCUGGACUCGGAGGACUGCCUGUAGUCGCUCUAUCUCCGUCUGGCACCUACGAUUGGCGCUAUCAAAUCGUCUUCUCUCAUCGGCAAUCGCGAGUACGACCCUAUCAGGGUAGGAAUAAAUCUUCCAGCAGUCGCAGUGUCGGAUCUUACGUGCUGGAGGCCACCGACAUACGGGCCCACCGAAAUGCUCCUGAUAAGUAAGUACACGACAUAUUGGCCCCUCAAGGUGCUCCUGACCGGUAGGUACAGGCUGAGAUGGCCUAGUACCCCCACUUGCAACUUUACCCUCCAUAACCUACAUUACAAGUAACAUCUCAAGAAUGAGCAAGUUAGAUAAAUAAAUAGAGGCUACACACCUAUUCUCGAGUGUGAAACCCUAGACUAUCAUAACCAAGUUAUAUCAGGUAUAAAUUGUUCAAUCUACCAAAAUCAAUUCAAAUCUAGGCUCUGAUACCACCUGUGACGACCCCACCUCUCCCUAGGGCGUACCCCAGAGUUUAGCGGACCGUCUGUCCAACUCUCGCCAGAACUCUCUCACUUAUUUUGGAUAAAACAAUUCACAACCUCGAACAUAAAUGAAACAACAAUUUUCAAGUUUGGAACGUACAAAUACAUUCAUUUCUGUCUCAAACUUCCAUACAAUCCCAUAUACAUCAAAAGAUUUGAGUUCUAAAUACAUUCAACACUAAUCGAGCGACUAGUGCGAGUACAAUUACAAAAUUUUCAAAACUAGGCUACGUUAGCCAGUACCAGUCUCACGCCUCACUCGUACCCCCUGUAAGAAAAAUAAAACUAAUAGAGUGAGCUAAAAUUCAGUGAGGUUCUAAAUAGAAAAUUGACCAUUAAUUUAAAGUAAAAGUAUCAAAGUGGCAAAGUAACGAGCAUCACAAGUCAAGAAAAUGAGCAAUAACGCUUCGAAUGGCCAAACAUUAAGUAUUCAACAUUUCAAUUAAAAAGAUACAGCUGCUUUUGCAAACUAGCUUCACCAUAGCUUGAUCAAAUAGUAGUUGACACUCUGUCAACUUUCAAGUAAGGUAACUAGUUCAAUAGUACACCACUUAACUCCAAUCUCCGUCCACCGACCAAACCCCUUGUCGGGCCGAAGUCCAAGAUAAACAUUGGUGGUAAUACUCGAGUAUACCGAUUAGUCGAGAAGAUAACAUUCCACUCGACAAAACUAAAGACCCAGGGUUCGUUAUCUAAUCGACUAAACCCUUACCGGCUCGACUCGAUUAACUAGCCACAGGGCUUCUGGAAUUUCAGACAAGAUACGAAUCAUAUACAUGUAUAUCGAUUCAAUUGCAAUCAAUGAACAACAAUAUAUCACAUUAGGGCAAAUGCGAUAAAGUACACCCUUGCCCUACCAUACCAAUUAAAUAUCAUUCGAUCACAUUGGUCAAGUAUUGAAAACAAGUGUCAAAUUCAAUCAUGUAAUUAGAAGCACUUACCAAAGAUUUAGUGCUUUUUCGGAUCACGUUCACGCAUUACUCCUUGUUUGGAGUCCAAAUCUGCGAUAUAACAUUGUUUAAGAACUUUGAAAUCAAUUAAGGUUCGAAACUUAAACGUUUCGUUUAACGAAAAUCAAGUAACUGAAACUCAUUUGGGUAAUAUUCAUAUUACUUAUCACACUCUAUAAAACUCAUGCUUGCUCUUUUAGUUUUGGUAAGGAAGCGGUUAAAACGUUUAAGUUCGAAAAGUGGGCUAAAGGACGAGGAAAACAUAUUCCGAGUGGUCGCUAUUUUCACUUUUGCAAGGGUAUGAGUUUUGGCCGAAUUUUAGUUUAUAUACCUCUACGAAAGAAGAUUCGAAUACCUUAGAGUGUCUAAGUUCAACUCGACCUCAAAUCUUCGCUCAAGUCGCGAGUACACACGCCAAACUCUCGAGUGAAAAUUUGGGUGGCAUGCCCUUUAUAUUUAUCUAUUUUUCAGCCAUUUAUGACUUCAUUAUUUUCCUCAACUCAACCCAAACUCACACAUAAACAAUUUUAACACAAUAUCCCUUCAACUAGGCUCAAUGUCAUCCAAAUACAAAGCAAUUCUAGCAAUGUAAUCUUAAAAUCAAAGUUGGAAACUAGUAUUAAAGAAGAAUAACUAAGUAACAGGUUUGACACCUUCUGGCGUUUUGGUCACAGCUGAAGCUACGCUUAUCGAAUUGGGGUAUAUUUUAUGACGUUUCGAAACUAAGAUAGAGAGAUACAUUUCUUAUGAAAACAUCAACACCUAGUUCAUGCUUUUUCAUGGUCAAAAUGUGACAUCUCAGUGAAAACAGAAAGCUGCCGGUGAAAUAAGGCUUUUGGCAGUCAGAGGUAUUUUAGUUAUUUCAUAAGAUAUAGUACUCUGAUUGAGCUGAAAUUUUACAGGAAGAUAGUUAACUCCAUUCCCUACAACUUUCAUGUUUUGAGAAAGACCUGAUUCAGCCUCUAUCAUGGACGAAUAUGCAAGUCAGAAACAUGGCAGAUUCAUCAUCAAAGCUGGAAAUUCACUUCUACUCUAAAAAUUCAUAUUCUAGCUCAUUACUAUCAAGUACGAUAUCAUCAAAACCAUCAAUUACUAGUUCAAUACCAUCAAUUACUAGGUAGACAAUCAUAAUCAAGGCUAAAAAUGUAAACCCUAGCUAACCCUUCCAUUAUAUCAUCCAAAACUGAAUCAUUAACCAUAAUAAGCCAAGAACAUAAGUUUCUAUCCAAAUUUAAACAAGAUUAAGGAAGAGAAAAGGAAAGGCAGUCAUGAUACCUUCCAAUAAUUGCUUGUAAGUGAAAAUCACACCCCUUUCUUCCAAAACUUUUACCACACAAAAUUUUCCAACCACCAAAAGAGAAGUUUAAUCGGUUUAGUUUGGUUGUUUUCACUCAAAUAAGGAUGGAUUCAAGGUGAAAGUUGGAGUUUUCUCUCUUGUUGUUUUUCUCUCCUCAAGCUCGGCCAACAUGAAGGAAAUGGAGAAGAAAUAAAGCCAAGAGAAAGAUAAGAAAAUAGGAAUUUGUUUGGUCAAAGUUGGAUGGAUGGUUGCCAAGUGUCACCGCGAGAUUAAAGCUCAAAAUUUUCUUCUUUUUCCUCUUUUCUUGGUCAACAUUUUCGGCCACUUAAAGCUAAUGAAGGGCUGAUAUUUCUGAAAUAAUAGCAAGGAGAUUAAGGUAAUAAAGUAGUGUUCAAGUGGUGUAUUCAAUCAGUAACAACCGGUACAUGUCGGUUCAAAUCGAUUUUCCUUAACUCGCCCGUACUAGUAUUGUAACUUAUGAUUCACUAACUUAUUAUUAUCACUUCUAAUCACACACUUUUUCUUAUCUAAAACUCACUCUUAACCACCAAAUUUAGUACACACUCUGCACCGAUUAAUCACACUACCAAAAGACGCAAAAACCCUAAUUUACCCUAACGAUGAAAGUAAAGGGGAAACUCUUAAUUCUAUUCUUUAUUCCAACUAUUGAGGGAGUAAAUGAGUUGUAAAACUAUCAUAAAGUAAUUGAUUCAAAAUAAAAGGGAAUUUUAAGAAAAUAUGAGGGAUUUUACAAGUCCUCACAGUUACCACUGAUGCUUAUGGAAUCAGAUCGAGCGUGGAAACUCCUAGGAAAAACAUACAAGUUUUGAAGUGGAGCAAAUCCAAGUGACUAAUAUUGAUGUCAAGAGUUAUGAGGAGGGUGACUUCAAGCCGCAAUUUGAAGGCCUUAGAGCUGCUUUCCCUGAAACCUCUCAAAACAAAAAUCAUUCUACCAUGAUCUUAGAAAAUGUAGAAAAAGAAAUGUCAUUCCAAAGACCUCAAAUGAAGUAGAAAAAUAGGGAUGAGCAGGGUUGGUUCAUUAGCCCUAUGUCUUCUUUUUUCCAGAAAAAAUUCUUUUCUUUCUUGCUCUUUUUCUUUUGCUUCCCAUCACAAAUCUUGUGUGGCUGCUUAUUUCACUAAAAUCCCCUCUCUAGAAACCCCAAACCUUUGUUAUUACAUAUUUAUGUGAAACAAAAACCCUAAAACCUAGAAAUGAGGGUUAGGAUGAAGUGGGAUGAUGUGUCCCUUUUUUUACCCUUUGAUCAAAUUUUGUUAGGUGUUAAAAGAUAGGAUUUGGAUAUGAAGAGCUGUAUUUGUACCAACAAACUUGGGAAAAAAGAAAGGACAAAGAAAGGAAAAAAUUCUUACCAAGAAAGCAAAUUCCCGCACCAAGCUUGUACUGGUCUCUCGUUUGCAACGUGAAGAAGAAGUGGCGCGCGUGCACAUGAAGAGUUGCACUCUUUUUAUUUAUUUAUUGAGGGAAGGGGAAAAAAUGGGUUUCUUUCCAGGUUUUUGCUAGGUUUCGGGUGGGCUUUUGUUGUGUUUCGAGUGAGUUCAUUUAGGAAUUGGGUUUUGAGUGGAUUUAGUGUUGGGUUUAUUGUUGGGGUUUCUAUUGGGUUAGAAGCAAAAGAAAAGAAAAGAAAACAAACCUCUACUAUUUCUUAAUUUUGAACUUUCAUUUUUUUUCUUUUUCCAUUUUUUUCUGCACAAACCUAAAAACAAAGUUAAUAUGAUUAAUUAAGAAAUUUAUAAGUAAAAACAAAAAAAUAAUAGUAGACUUGAGAUUAAGAAAAAUCUGGUGUCUACAUAUCGUACCUAAAAGUUAUAUUAUGGGAAAAGUUAAUCGCACUAGUCAUUUAUUUUACUAUAUAGUAAUCUAGUACAUGAAAAUUAUAUAAUAAAAAUGAUAGUAGGAAUGCGAUUAAUAAAAGAGAUAAUAUCAGUAACCUCCCCUGAGGUUUCUUUUAAUAGCACUUGGCACCCCGAAAAUUUUAAAAAUAUCACUUACCUCCCUUACUUUUGUUAUUUGUUUCACAAAAUUUUUAAAUUCUUAAACUACCCUUUUCACUUGCUAAAUAAAAAUAUUCCUAAAUCAUUUUAUUCACUUCAAGAAAACCACCACCCCAAAAACAAUCUCUUAUAGUAUUAUCACAUCAUAAUGCUAUAACCCAUAAAAAUAUAAAUUUGAAAAAAAAUAUAUUUGAAAAGAAAUGCACUUGCAUCAAUUUAACUUUAUAUGCUCAAAAUCCAUUCUUAUGAACUUAUAUUUUUUUCAACAUCUUCUCAACCUUUACUCAAAUGAUUAAAUUGUACCAUUCAUUAUAGAAAUCAACUCAAAAUAAGGAAAUAAAUCAUACCUCAUUUUAUCACAAUCACAAAAAAUAAAAGAUAAAUAAAAUUCAAUUUAUUAUAAUUUACAAAUAAAAUAUUGCAUAGUCAUCCAAAAAAAUGGGUAAGAGAGAAUGAGGGAGAAAAGGGAAAAAAUAAGAAAGCGACUUUUGCUUCUUUUUUUUUUAAUUUUUGAGUUCCAUUUAUUUGAUAUGUUGUGAAUUAUGUGUCAAAUGAGGGUUAAUAUAGUCUUUUUACAUUUAUUAGGGGUGGUAAGUGAUAUUUCUAAAAUUUCAAGGGUGUAAAGUGAUAUUAAGAGAAACCUGAAGGGAGGUUUCUGAUAUUAUCCCUUAAUAAAAAGUAGAGUGUGAUUAAUAUUUUUUGUAUAUUUUUUAAUAUGUUUGUAGUUGUAACAAAUGCACAAAAAAUGAUAAAGUCAUAUACUAAUACAUAUUAAAAUAAAUCACAAUAAUGAUAAUAAACCAAAAACUGUACAAAAUUUGUAUUUUUGGUGAUAUGGGGAAUAACUAGAUUAUUUUAGAAUUUUUUUUAUCAAGCAUAAGUGAUCAAAACUUUGGCCCCCAUUUGAAUUAGCUGUUUUCGGACGUAUUUUUUAAAAACUUUACUAUAGCUGUGUAUAUGAAAAAAAUUUACUGUAGAUAUUUUUUGGAUUGAUUUUAGAGGUAUUUUUAAAAUAUAUGAAAAAUACUGAGUAUUUUUAUAAUUUACAAUUUUUUGGAAUUUUUUUUAAAUAUACACUGGCUCUGUUUCUAUAUAUUAAUAUUUAUUUAUUUAUAAAUAUAAUAUUUUUUAUUUCAAUUUUAUUUUAUAAUAUGCAUAUUAAUAUAUAUAAUAUAAAUAUACAUAUUAUAUAUAUUAAUAUACAUAUUAUAAAACAAAAUUGAAAUAUAUAUAUUUAUAUAAAUAUAUAAAUAAAUAUAUUUAUAUAUUUAUAUAUUUAUACAAAUGUAUAUAUAUUAAUAUAUUUAUAAUAAUAUGUAAAUAUAUUUUAACAAAAAAUAUAUAUUUAUAUAUAAAUAUAUAUAUUUAUUUCAAUUGAUAUAAUAUAAUAUACAUAAUUGAAAUAUACACAUUAAUAUCUAUUAACAUACAUAUUAUAAAACAAAAUUGAAAUAAAUAUAUUAUGUAUUUAUAUAAAUAUAUAUAAAUAAAUAUAUUUAUAUAAAUAAAUAUAUUUAUAUAUUUAUAUAUAAAUAUAUUUUUAACAAAAUAUUUAUAUUUAUAUAUAAAUAUAUAAUAUUUAUUUCAAUUGAUAUAAUAUAUAUAAUAUACAUAUUAAUGUACAUAAUUGAAAUAUAUUAAUAUUACUAUAAUUUAUAUAUAUAUAAUGUAAUAUACAUAAUUGAAAUAUACAUAUUAAUAUAUAUUAAUAUACGUAUUAUACAAAAAUUGAAAUAUUAAAUUUAUAAAUUUAUAUAAAUAUAUAUAAAUAAAUAAAUAUAUAUUUACUUAAAUAUAUAAAAAAAUAUAUAUAAAAAUAUAUUUUAAACAAAAUAUUAAUAUUUAUGUAUAAUUAUAUAUAUUUAAUUUUUUGUAUAUAUAUUUCAUUAAUUUUAUUUUUUUUAAAAAUUUAUAUUUUGUAUAUAUAUUUUAUUAAUUUUAGUUUUUGAAAAAAUAUAUUUAUAAAUUUAUAUAAAUAUAUGUAAAUAAAUAUAUUUAUAUAUUUACAUAAAUAUAUAUGUAAAUAGAUUUAUAAAUAUAUAUAAAUAUAUUUUGAACAAAAUAUAUUAAUAUUUAUAUAUAAAUAUAUAUUUAUUUUUUGUGUAUAUAUUUUAUUAAUUUUAUAAGUAUAUAUAUUUAUUUUAAACAAAAUAUGAAUAUUAAUUUUUGGAUUAAUAUUUAUAUAUAAAUAUAUAUAAUUAUUAAACAAAAUAUAUUUUUUUGUAUACAUUAUUUAUAUAUAAAUAUAUAUAUUAAAAUAUUUUUGUAUAUUUGAAGUUAUUUUUGAUAUAUUGUUUGGAUAUAGUAUUUUUGGAGUUGUUUUUGUUUGUGUAUUACUGUAGCAUUGUAGAUGAAAAACAAGUAUUUCAAAAACUCUCAAAUUCAAACGGAGCCUUGGUAACUAAGAACUUGUGGGGAUAAAUUAGUCACUGUACGAAAAUCAUGUGUGAAUACCCAACCCAAUUGUACCUCAUUGGAAAAUUUAAUUGUUUCAAUUUAUGUUUAGGGAGUAAUGUGUAGAAAAUGUAUUUUUCAAGGGCUUUAUUGAAAUUAACCCUAAAAUAAAGAUGAUAUGAUCAACAUGCUCUACCAACAUUGUAAAAUACUUUUCAUCUCUUGCCUAAAAGGGUCAACCCAACUCAAAAUUCUCAACCUUUGAAUGCCCAGAUUCUUUCUUAAAAAUUAAAUACCAAAAACAAAAGCGAGAAAAUAAAAACCAAGCCAAUUCUGAGAAAUAAAACAAAACAAAAUAUCAAAAAGCCCCUUUGGAUUGUAAGAUUCGUAGAGUUUUUACAGAAAAUAUACUAUACUGAGUUGAUAUACAUGAGUUAAAAAAAUAAAUUAUAAUGACUUAAUAUAUAUAAAGUAAAAAAGUAAAUAAAAAAAAUUGUCGAGAAAUUUUUUUUUUUGGCAAAAACUCUCAUCAUCUCUUUUCCUAAAAGGGUCAACCAAAUUCAAAAUUCUCAACCUUUGAAUGCCCAAAUUCUUUCUUAAAAUACCAAAAACAAAAGAGAGAAAAAAUAAAAACCAAGCAAAUUCUAAGAAAUAAAACAACACAAAAUACCAAAAGCCCAUUUGGAUUGUAAAAUUCAUAGAGUUUUUACAAAAAAAAAAAAUAUAUUAUAAUGACUUGAUCUACAUAAGCUAAAAAAGUAAAUAAUAACGAUUUGAUAUAUUUGAAUGAAAAAGUAAAUAAAAAAUUAUCGAGAUUUUUUUUUUUUUUUUUUGCAAAAACUCUCAAUUCAAACAUUUAAAAUUAGCUAAUAAGUACAAAUUUGAGACCUGAAAAACAGUUUAAAAAAGCCCGAAAGACUCGCCCUUUUGUCUUCUCUCACAUUUUCCCUCCACUCUGCCUUCUUCACUCUCCCAGUCCCCUCACAUUCUCACUCCACUCUCUUUCUUCUCUUUCUAGGGUUUUUCCGAUUACCGAAGCGAGAGAAAUCGAGCAACCGCUAUGGCGUCGACCGCUGGGGUUUUCGGAAACCGCUGCAGAGCACUCAUGGCAGCCGCUAAGACCUCCGUCACCUCCACCACUGCCGGCUCCGCCGCUGCCAAAACUUCUGGCCGCAGAAAUGGCAUCCUGAAGACGCAGCCUGUCUCCCCUGCUCUCCGCCAGUUCGUUGGUGCACCCGAAACUUCCCGCACUGACGCCGUCAAGAAAGUCUGGGUUUACGUCAAAUCCAAAAAGCUUCAGGUCUAAUAAUAUACGAGUAGCUUUUCCAUUUCAGUGGAUUUUUUUAAUAAAAAAUUUUAGAUGAUUGUUUAACUUAUCUGCUCAUUACCUUCUAAUUUGUGACUAAUUUUUUUUACAUUUGCUUUUUUUGUUUAUUGGCUCAACUUCUGUUGGUUGUUGAUUGUGUACGGAAUCAGGCAAUAAUAUGUCUCUGGACAAAGACGUGCAGAGAUAUCAUGAUUGUAGUCUAUUGAGACUGAUUUUUUAAAAUUUUCUUUGUGAAUUUCUGUCUUUUAAGAAUGUCAAUGUAAAGGCAAAUAUACAACGAUGUUGAUGUCCUUGUGAAGCAAUAGAGUAUGUGUAUUCGGGGAAAAGAAGAAGAAAAAGUAUAAUAAGAGAAGUGCCUGGGUAGUUUGCAACUAUUUACUUUUUGUCUGUUUAAAUGCAUAUGUGUAUAUUUAAGUACUGUAAAUACAAGGUCUGUAGGCAUAAUGGCUAUCCAUAAAACAGGAAGGGAAGUUUUAAGCUCUGUUUUCUGGGGAACGGAGGGGGAUGAGGAGUGAAUGAAACCAUUGCUGUUGUAGGAUUUGAGUUAUCCUAUUGUCCAGUGGCCUACCCCUAAUUUUUAGCCUCUUAUGUCUGAGAAUCCUAGUUUCUCUUUAAACUUUUGUGUUCUCUGUAUUUGCUUUCCCAUUCUUUUCUGGUAUUCUUUGAGUAGAAGACUAAUAGAAAGGCGUGUGAACGGUUUUGAGUUAUGGCUUCUGUUCAUUGUUGCUGUUAUUGAUGUGAUAAAUUUGCAAGGCUAAUACUGAUAGAAUGCAUGUUUAUUGUGCAUUUGAUCUGGUGGAGUCUAAAGGGGUAGUGCCCAAAUUUCUAACCAAACUGAUAUUGUACAAUGACUAGGUAAUUAAAAGAUUCCAUUGACAUUCUUCUGCAGGCUAAUGAAUAAUUCUUACUUGUGUGAGUGUUUGUCCUUCCCUGUUUCUUCUUUCUAAUUUGGAAUGGUUUGUUUUUCUUGGUUUUUUCUUUUCUUUUCUUUUAUUCAUCUAUUUUCUGUAUUGGAGCCACUAGGGGAAAUUGGAUCCCUUGGUCUUGUGUCAAUUUUUAUCAUAUCUUAUUUUGUGUAUGUGAAAUUUUGCACUGCAACUUUAAUAUAGACAUUCUGGUUUCUUUACUGCUUGCAAAAUUAGUUUAAUUUUGAUAAUUAUUGUACUUCUCUGUCAAGAAUACUGCUACCCUGAUGGAUUGGCGUAUAAUUUCCCUUGAGAUGACAGAAGGUGGAGUUCAUUACCUAUGCUUGUUGCAGAAAUUCAGGGUCAUGCUGCCUUUUAUAUUGUUUGUCUUGAGUAGUAGAUUUUAAGAAGAAUUUUGAAAUCUGCAUGGAGAAAAUCUGUGCAAUUAGUUUGUGUUGCAUAUGCAUAGUUAAUCACGAUUUCUUAUUGCAUGAGACUAGAAACUUUCCUCAAGGUUACUUCAAAAAUAUGGUACAUGACUUUGUUGUGGUUUCCUUGUAUUUCAGAAUCCAAACAACAAGAAAGAGAUCUACUGUGAUGAGAAGCUGAAGACCAUAUUUGAAGGCAAGGAGAAAGUUGGAUUUACUGAGAUUGCGAAGCUGCUUUCCAAGCAUUUCCAGAAGGCUGCAUAAACAUUUCUUAGAAAAGAUAGUGAGUUUGUUUGGACAACAAGAAUUUGAAAUAAAAAUUUCAGAUUUUGUUUUGCUUGCAUCAUACACACAAUUUCCAAUCACCUUUUUAUUUCACAUACAUCACAUCACAAAAAGUGCUACAGUAACUGGAUCAAAUAAAUCAUCCAAAUAAAUUCUUAUCCAAACAAACUAUCUCUCUAGUGGACGGGUAGAUUUGUAAUUCAGGAAGUAGAACAUAUCCUCUUUUGUUCUCAGUCUCUUUCUUCCCCUUCUGUUGUCUUUUUGGACGAGGGAUAGUGAAUCUGGCGCACAGAUUAGAUGUUCUCUUUAUGUUAUCUCGAUGAUGGCGUAAAACUUGCGUAGGGUUUGUACGGCAAACAUGUUCCACUGUUCUGAUGGUUUUGGGGAAUUUUUUUUUUUUGGGCUUAAUGGCUUCUCUUAUUGAUAAAUUAUGAGGCGUACACAAGGUUUGUAAAAUCAAGAUCUCACGUCGGAUCGAUUUUAGUUUCACAGAAUCGGAUCGUAAGAUCUUAUCAAAAACUCCUAAAUUUACUAAAUUAAUGAAUUUGAAAUUCAUAUAUUAUUUUGUACAUCCUAAAAGAUAUCAAAUAAAUAAGCUAUUCAUAAAUAUAUAGUAUUUUUUACUUACUAUCUGACAAGUAAUAAAGAAGAGAAUAUAAACCUGUUAUCUGUCAUGAUUUCAAGUCUUAAAACCAAAUGCUUCACAGUUUACACAAUCAUAAUUUCAAAUAUAAAAUAAUCAUCAACCUUCACAAAUACUAAAAAGCCAAACAUCCAAAAAGAUUUUCAAGAUCAAAAUUAACUACUAGAAUGUCAUCUGUCAUGUUUAAACAAACAUGAAAAAAUAAAAAAUAAAAUAGCAACAAUUCAUCAUUUUCAAGUAUCAUAAUAAUUCAGAAAUACAUUAAUUUAUAACCAAUCAUUUUCAUCGUUUGAAUCAAAUUCAUUAUUCCCAUAAUCCAUAUUAUCAAAAUCAUUAUUUUCCCAAUCAUCUUCACCAUCCCAAUUCUCUUGGAAUUCAUCUUCGGCAUUAUCUUCAUCACCAUCCAAAUUAGUAUCAUUCAAAUCAUUAGUUCCCAUUUGAAGAUCAGUUUCGAGAACCAUAUCAAGAUAAUCAUCAUCUUGGCGGUCGAAUUCAGUUGAAGGCCCAUCAUCCUCAUCAAUAACAUGAAUCUCUUUCAUUUUAUUAACUUGUCUUCGACGGACAUGGGUUUGACGAUCUUCAUGAUCAUCUAAAUAAACAAACAAUAAUAAUGAAAGUUACCAAAAACAAGAGAACUUGCAAAAUAAAACUAUAAAAACAAAAAAAGGAUAAACUUUAUACUUAAAUUGGAAGAAAGAAAGAAACUUACAAACUCUCUGCACAUUUCUUGUAAGUAUUUCAAUUUCAUCAUCUUCAUUUCCCUCUUCAUCUGAAGUGUCACAUUUGGGAUUGUCAUCUAGAACUCGUAACCAGCUAUUUUCUCUUGGAAGAGUUGGAUUUUCUCUCUCUGUCACCCAUUCAUCAUCUGAAGGCAAAUUCUCAAAAGGAAUUUCUUCAAUAAUACGUUGCCUUUGCCUUUGUCUCUCUCUCAACUUCAAGUUGUACAUCACAAACACAAGAUCAUUCAUUCUUUUUUGAGCCAAACGGUUUCUUCUCUUAGAAUGUACCUAUUGAAAUUGAAAGAACUUACACAGUUACACUACGAACUUAAAUUCAAAUGCUAAACAAAAUAUUAUACUAAAUGAGAUAUUAUAUUAUAUGAAAACAUUAUUAUCAAUUCAAAUGCGCUCCAAUUUCGCUCACAUCCAGAAGAGCUACAAGUUAAACUGAGAAUUCGAAUGGCAAAAAUUUUCAACUCUGGACACUCAUCGCCAUAAGAUUCCCACCAAUCAGCUGUAGGAAAUUAAAAUAAAUAACAAAUUAGUAAAGGUUUUAAAAAUAAAAACACAAAGUUCAAAUGGUAACUAACCAGGAGAUUUCUUGUUUCUUGUUAGUACAGCAUUUUCAUGACCAAAUAAUCCAUUUGCAUGUCGAAAGUCAUCUAAUUGCAAAUCAAUCUUCACCCUUUCACCAGAUUCGGGAACCAUCUUAGCAAUGCAAUCAUAAAGGCCACGUUUUAUAUUUGCAUCCGACUGAAAAUCUGGGCUAUAUUGAAAUUGAGGAUUCAAAUAAUAACCCGUGGCAUGUAAAGGAUGACUUAAUUGAUCUUCCCAUCUUUUAUCAAUGAUAGCAAAUGCCGAUUCAUAUCUAGCAUAUAAACAUGAGUUUGGUUAAAAAAAUAACUAAAAAAAUUCAUUCUACUAUCCAACACAGAAAUUAUAAAUGAACUCAUAAUUAAUAUGACAAUUUAUUUAAAAUUUACCUCUUUCGAAUAUUGUUCACAUUUUGUUUGAUUUCUUCUUUUGCCUGAUAAAUAGCUUUAUAGAGAAAGCCCAUGGCUGGUUUUUCAUCAGAAUCAACCAUCCUCAAUACUUUGAUAAGAGGCGAAGCUAUCUUUAAACAUAACUCCACAUUUGGCCAAAAUUGUUGAUUAUCAAAAAUGAUGCUCUCAAUUUUUUUCCCCUUGUUUCUCCUAGCAUACAUGCUUGUUUUCCACUUAUCCGAACAGAAAAAGUUAAACAAAUUCCCUUUCAGCUCGCUAAGACGUCUCAUGGUCAAGUAUGAAGUAGCAAAACGAGUAACUCCAGGUCUAAUCAACUCCUUGCCAUUAGUGAACUGUUUCAUCCAAUUAAUAACUGUACCCCAUGCAUAAAUAUAUGUAACCACUGAUUUCGCUUUUUGUAUAGUAACUUUGUGGAGAGAAUCAAACUUUUGAAAAUCUUCUAACAUUAGAUCAAUACAAUGAGCAGCACAAGGGGUCCAAAACAAUCUUUUUCUCUUUUCCAUCAAUAUUUUUCCAGCUGUCUUAUAAUUAGAAGCAUUAUCGGUGAUGACCUGCACAACAUUAUCCUCUCCAAUUUUUUCCACAAUACCAUCUAACAAUUCAAAUAAUUUUUGAGCUGUUUUUGAAAUAUCAGUGGUAUCUACCGAAGAUAAGAACACAGUACCAGCUGGACUAUUCACAAGAAAAUUGUUCAUUGUUCUCUUUCUCUGAUCAGACCAUCCAUCGGACAUAAUAGUACAACCAGUUUUUUUCCACUCUUUUUUGUACAUAUUGAGCAAAUUCAAUGUCUCUUGCACCUCUUUUUUCAAAAAGGUCACUCUCAUUUCAUGGUAUGAAGGUGGUUUAAGUCCUUUUCCAUAUUCUCCCAAUUUCCUAAUCAUUAAAGGAAAUAAUGGGUUAUUUACAGCAUUAAAUGGAAUGGCACUUGUAUAGAACCACCUAGCCAUUAUUUGACAAACUUCAUCUCUAUCUUGUUUCUUCCAUUUCUCACUUAUGGUUGUUUGUCUCACAUUCAACCCCCCAGAUUUUCUCACAACAAAGUUGUCCAUAGAACAUUUUUUAGCCUGCUGCUUAACUUCACUUUCUUCUUCUUCUAAAUCAUACAUGGUACUAACCCUUUGUUUUUUUUUCCUUGAUUCCUCAGAACUUGCACUUAGUAAAUCAAACAUUUGGGUUCUAACAUCUUCAGGAACGCUGGGACAUGGUUCAACAUUUGUAUGUGUACAAGCUAAAUGAUGCUUAAGCCUAUACACACCACCAGCUCGAGUAAUCCCACAGUAUUUACACUGAACUUUUUUUUUAUUAGCAUCAAUUUCAAUUCCAUGAUCCCACCCGGGAUCCAAUCGAGCACCCGGUGCAUUUUUUCUACUUUGUUUCUUUGAAGCGGAUGAAGACAUUUAAGCACUGCCAAAUAUAUUAGAAUAUUCAUAAGAAACCAAGAAAUUCAGACCAGACCAGCACUUGAUAAAAGAAAAUAAAGCUAGCAUUCAGAAAAUAAGCCAGACCAGACCAGCACAAGAAAUUCAGUCUUAUUACCAAUGAUUUUUGCAAGGCCGAGUGCAAAUCCAAUGAAAACAUAGGUAAAGGACAUAAUAGCAACAACAAUAGAAGUUCAGAAAUUAAUGCUUGAACAGCAAACAUUUGUAUUUGUGUGAAUAUUUCUGGAAAAUAAAACUUUGCUAUACGUCCUACCAGAAAAGGGAAUUCUUUUAUGUGUCCUUAGUGAUCCUUCAUACCCUGUGCUUAAAAAUCACUAUUUCAUAAAAUUAUGGUACUCAAUGAGUUAAUCAAAACAACAAGAUACCAAAUAUUCUUAAUUCAUAUGCUUUUAAUUGUCUAGGUUACUAAUCACUUAGGAGUCAUGAUAACAACUAACUAAUCCAAAUUUCGUGCUAGAAUUGAUGUCUAGAUCAGUGCAGAGUUCUUAUAGUACAUGAAGCAUCUUUGGGAUCACAGCUUAAUAUAGCUUAGUCAAAGGAAUAACCAGGACGAGAGUAGAACAGAAAAACAAUCCUGUGAAAAUAGAUUAUUAAGGAGUCAUGUAACAGAAAGAAAAAUUAUCAACUGACAUGUUUUACUGUAAAGAUAACAGUUGAAAAAUCAACCGUCCAACUGCUGCAAAAUGCAUGACAAAAUGGGAAGAUUUAAACGAUGUUAUAUUAAAUAAUUUUAUGAGUUCUCAUUAAUUCAUUAUUACAAAAUAAUAAUACUCCUAAUUUCGAUUUCUUCAACAAGUUCAAUGGGAAGAUUUAUGUGGUAGCAGAGUCUCGAUUAUCAGAGCUUCCUAUGGAGAAGGCAAAAAAGAGUGCACCUAAUGGACCCGUUAAUGAUUCUGAGAGCACAAAUCCUAAGACAAAGUGCUGGUGCUUCAGAACCGUCAAUAAUUUUCAAGCAAGAAAACCAAAUUUUCACAAAUCCUAAUGGACCCGUCAAUAAUUCCCUUCAACUUCAACUCAAUUCAAUCAAAAGCAAUAUAUGUUCAAAUACCAAGAAAACCAAAUACAAAUCAUAACUUUAUCAAUCACCAUCUCCCCAAGUAUCAAUUUUCAAGCAAGAAAAUAACCACACUCACAUAUGACUUUAAUUGAAGUGCUGGUGCUUGAGCUUCAGUGUGGUGGCAGGCUGGCAGCACGAAAAUUGGAGAAGAACGGGUGCUGGAGCUUCAAGCUUUGAAGCUUGAAACGGCCAAAAUCCGGCGGCAACAGAGGAUUUCGUAGCUUGAUAUUCUUACCGAAGCAAUGGCUGCUGGAGCUUGAAGCUUUAAAGCUUGAAGCCUUGAAGCUGUCGGCUGUAGCUUGUGGGUGACUGGGUUCUUGGUAGAAGCCGCAGCAAUUUGUCUUGUUAGUACUUGGUCUUGGUAAGAGCUGUAGCCGAAGCUUGAGAUGGUUUGAUGGUUUAAAUUAGGGAUUUGAUUUGGGCAGCGGAGAGGAGAAAAGAAAUGACAAAGGUCUGCUUGAGGAGAAGAUGAAGAAGACCGAAGCUUUUUGACGGAACCUUUUGACUUUGAGGCAAAAUUUGUUAAAACAUUGCAACUAAGGCCUGCAAUUUCUUGAUAAACUACAAGCCUACCCCAAAUGUUGAUUUUUACUUGCAAAAUGAACCUUGUAUUUCACAAAUUAGCCCUUUUUUGUAGGAUCGAAGUAGGAUCGUACGAUCCUAUGCGAUCCUACCGAUCCUACCUUGAUCCUAUGUAGAUUCAAGGAAUUUGCGAUCCUAAGUGCGAUCCGGAUCGAUUUUGCCUUUCCGGAUCGUAGGAUCGUACGAUUUUAACAACCAUGGGCGUGCACUGUUACGAAGUAUCUUUUUUUCUAACAUUUAAAACACCAGUUAAAGGCUCACCGGUUAAAGCUUGCACUUGAAUAGAACGUCUGUUUAUUAUUCUUUGGUAGGAAAGGCAACGGCUUUGUCCACUAGUUCCUUCCGUCCCUGCCCCUUGCCCUGUGGGUGCCUUUAAGGGACGGGGGUUAAUAAAAAUUUGUCGUAAUUUUAUUAUAGUCAAAUUUUAACAAAUAAUUAAAUAUUAAAAUAUCAAUAUAUUAUCAAAUUAUUAUUUAUUGUAAUUUUACAAUAAAAAUUCAUAAAAAUAAUAAAAAAGUUAUUUGAAUACAAUUUAACAUGAUGAAAUAAAUAUAAUCAAAGUAGUCAAGUUUUUACUUUUGACACAAAUAUAAUUAAUAAGUCAUUAUUGUGUUUUUUUUUUAGAAAAAAGUGUAUUUGUGUUAAGUGUAAUUAGGAAUUUAGUAUAAAUGUAUUAGUAAAUUUAGUAUAAUUAAUUAAUAAUUUCUAUUAGUAGAUAUGUAUAAUUAUUAGUAUAAUUGAUAAUAUUAAUUAUAUUAAAUACACUAAUAUCCAUUAUAUAAUACAUAUAAUUAAUAAUAUCAUUAUUAUAAAUUUGUAACUAAUUAAAUUAAAUAUUAUAUAUAUAAUUAUAUACAUACAUACAUAUAUAUAUUUAUUUAUUAAUUUUUUUAACAGGUGGCGGGGGGAACCGCGUUUCUAAUCGAAGGGAAAAAAUUCCCCCCAACCCUCGCCCCAUUAGUCUCUCAUGGGACGGGUGCCCGCCAUCCCUAUUCUUUGGUUGGAAUCACCACUUUUGUUGUGAGAUUGCGAGGCAAAGUACCUCUGUGCUGGGUUAGGGUUGGAAAUAAAUCGAGUUGAAUUUUUAAAUUGUCAGACUUGAUUGGAAAUUUUGAGUUUGAAUCCUAUGCAAGUUUGUAAUUGGCUUAACUUAAUUACAUAUUGCUCUCUUGUAAUUAGGUGUUAGUAGCAAAUUGCUUCCUAUAUUUAUGAAAUUGACAAAUUACUCCUUUUUUUGUUGGGGAAGUGAUAGAAAGUAUUAUUGAUGAUAAGAUUAAAAUUACAAUGUGUGAGCAAGGGCUUAUAUUCAGCUAUACAAAGUGAACUAAGACACUGAGGAUCUAAGAAUUCCUCAUCAAAAGUUAUAUCUUGAGCAAGUAUAUUCAAUCUUGUACUUAGUCUAUUAAGUUCACAAGAUGGACUAUCAAAUGAGUAUUUCCUAAACAUUGAGCUAAAGUUCUUGAUAUCCUCCCGAUGUGUAGCAAUUCUAGUAUCAUUUGAGGAUUGUUUCCGUAUCAGAUUUAGAACUCGGGUACAGGAUGUAUGGACAUUGAUCAUCUCCCAAACUUGUUCCUUGAUCUUGCUCAAGGCCAAUUUAAUGGCUUGCAGGUAGUCUAGUACCAUUGAUCCAGUGCUUCGUUCCCUCAUUUUCCAGGUUGCAAGCAGCUAGUUCAAGUUGUUUUUUACAAAGAUCUCUAUCCCCAUAUUUUGGCCUUUCUUAUGAUGUCCUACAUCCACACAUUAUCAACAUGUUCUCUCCUUGUGCCACUUUUUGUUCUUGUUCUAAAGCUCUUUUUAUUUCUAAGAUAAAACAUCUGAGUUGUUGUUUGUUGAAAUUGGCUAUAUUCCUCCCAAUCCUUGAUUGUUUUCGAAUUCUUCCAUAGGAUGCAUUUCUUUGUCUUCAAACUCCUCUUCAUUUCUAAUUUUUCAAAUUUGCCAUAAUAUGUUCACUGUCAAGGCUAUGUGGUCUAUGGCAUCCUUUCUGUUCCUUGCUUCCAUCAGCUUUAGCCACUAGCUUUUGAAAUUUCCUGUGUGUUCAUUGAGUCCAUCCCAUUGAAGGGGGGCCAUUUUAUAUAUAAUUCUUGCUUUUCUACAUUGAAAAAAGAUAUGUUCCACUGUCUCAACAUCCCACCCAUAGUUUUUGCAAAUCAGAUCUCCUUUUCUUGUUGUUUUGAAGAUUAUUCUGAAGAUUAUUUCUCUUGCUGGCAAAGCAUGAUUCAGACACUUCCAUAUGAACAGCUUCUGUUUAUGCUUGAUCUUUAUUUUCCAUAGUUGUUUCCAAGCUCAUUCUUUCUCACUUGCACUGCUUGUCUCUCUCUUAUUGCUAUCUCUUUUUUCCAUCUGUCUAUCCUGCCUAGUCAUUGCUUUAUAUGCUGGUUUGACAGUGUAUUGUCCAGUAUUACUAUGGCUCCAAAAGUAGCUAUCAGGUCUACCAGCUAAGCUUAUAGGUAUUCUGAGGAUUUUCCUAGCUUCAUCUGAACUAAAGGUCCUAAAGAUUAGUGUUGUAGUCCAUUUGAAAUUUGAGAUCAAUUCACUCACCUUGCUAAUUUGACAACCUUGAGGCUUAGGAGAGUUUAAUUUUCCUACCUUGCAGUUCUGUAUCCAUGCAUCUUCCCAUAUUUUUAUACCUUUUUCCAUUUCCAAUUUUCUUUCUAGUUCCCCUAUUUACUUCAUCUCUGGCUCCUAUCAGACUUUGCCAUAUCCAGGAUGAAUUGCUUUUAAAUUUGUAGCUUAGAGGUGAAUCCUUUGGAUAAUAAUUAGCUUUCAUCACUUUGCUCACCAGGAGGUUUGGACAUGUUAAAAGUCUCCAUACCUGUUUGCCCAACAAAGCUUUAUUGAAUUUUUAGAGAUCCUUAAAUCCUAGUCCACUAGCAUCUUUCUUAGUUGUUAGUUUUUUUCUAGGAGCACCAGUGGAUUUUUCCUUUUCCUUUUUCUUCUCCCCUUUAGAAAUUUGCCAUCAUUGCAUUUAUCUCUAUGCAUAGUUUCACUAGAAGUUUAAAAUAUGACAUUGCAUACGUUGGUAUUGCCAUGGUUAUUGCUUUCAGUAAAACCUCUUUCCCUGUUUGGCUUAGCAUUCUGUUUCUUCAGCUGGUUACAGUUUUUUGGCACUUUUCUCCGAUAAAUCCAAACACUUGAUCUUUGGUUCUUGUGACAACCAUAGGCUACCCAAAGUAUUUCCCCUGAUUUACUACUCGUAUGUUUCCCACUCUUCUGCAUAUCUCUCUUUGCUUUUCCUGAUCCAUGUUCUUGUUGAAAAUUACUAAUGACUUGUCUAUAUUGAUCAUCUAUCCUGAUCCUUGUUCAUACGUCUUCAAGAUUCCCAUUGAGUUUGAGUGGUUUUUAUAAGGAUCCGAAAAUUAUUUUAUAUUUUAUUUCAUUUCUUUGAAUACUUUUUCCUUCUUUUACUUAUUGCCUUAAUUUCCUAAAUAUUUUUAUAAAUGAGUCAAGUUUUAAAAUAUUUUUCUUCUAUAUGUUAGUACAUGUUAGGUUCGUAGUGCAUUUUGGAAGUAGGACCCAUUAGUGAUGUGUGUUCGAUAAAUUUUUGAAAAUUAAGAGCAGUUUUGUGCAAAGAGAUAUUAUUUUAUAAGGUGUUAAGGGAUAAUUAGAAGUUGGUUAGAUAUUUUAGCAUUUGGAAGACAAAUAGAUGAGGAUUAACCUUGGAGUGCCACUUGUCAACCAAGCCUUGGAGCUUUGACUUGGACCAAGAACAUUUUUAGCCUUUAAUUAACAAAAAGAUUGACCAAAAAACCUAUCAUCUUUCCCUUCUCUAGAGGGAGAAAAGGAGAGGAAGAAACUUUAUCUUCAACCUUGAAUCUUGCUUGAAUCCUUGGAAUUUCAUCCUAAGCUUGCAACUCCACCCAUAGAAAGUGAUAUCAAGGCAGGAAAAUAGGCCUUUGUGGAAAGAUUAGUGGAGAAAGAAGCUUUUGGUUGCAUUUCUUCAUAGGGUUUGGAGGUAACUAUAUCAAGAAACCAUCUUUUCUUUUAUUACUUGCAUAUGAGUGGAUUUAAGUUUGAUUUUGGUAGAUUUCAUGGAAAAUUUCAUAGUUUGUGUGGUGGUUGGAAAAUUUCGAUUUUGAGUGAGAAAUUUCAGCUUUGAUAUGUUGAUUUGAGAUUGACUAUGAUCUAUUAGCUUUGCCAUGCGAAUAUUCUAACUUUGAUAUGUUGUUUUAGCUUCAUUAUAGAAAAUUUCAGAUUGUAGUAGUAAAUUUCAGCUUAGGGUUAUAUUUUUUCAGCUUUAUUAUGGUUGCUUUUGAGCUAGAUUAUUGGCUAAUUUGGGUGGCUUUGUAACCUUAAACAAGUGCCCUUUAUAGCCUAUGACUUGUGGUUGUGAUUGAGGUUGGAUUGCUAGGAAGAUAAGCAUUGAGCUUGGAGGAAACCUAAGGAAAAAUAGGGGGAAAUGCUGUCCGAUUUUGGAAGUAGCUUGUUUUCUUUAAUUGUGGGCUGAUUUUAUGGUAAACUUGCCUAAAAUACUAACUUUUAAGCCUUACUUAUGUGUUGAAUUUUAGAUGAAAUAGAGGGUUUUCGUUAGUGAUUUUCUCUAAUUUUUAGGGCUGCAAUUUUGCUUGUUGACCGAGUUGAUAGUGAUGCAUUU
Molecule: long non-coding RNA, 253957 nt
Filed under: Coffea arabica (coffee)
Lineage: Eukaryota; Viridiplantae; Streptophyta; Magnoliopsida; Gentianales; Rubiaceae
Description: long non-coding RNA (CARA_LNC005578)
Source: RNAcentral